GAUCAAUUAUAAUCGCAGAAAUGACGUCUUUCAAGUUAUUUUUAGAAAAGGUAUAAGCAUCUUCAUCUUUAUACAGGAACUCUACUGCUCUUGUAAAAUUAAUUAUAGACAUGAGCAAAACCCUUGGUAUAAUAUCAGUGUGUUUGAGGUAUUCUUAAUUCAAAACCUUCCAAUAAUUCUCUAUCAUAUUCCUUAUUUUCAUGUAUGCUUCUUCCUUUGUGACACUAUAUUCAUUCAUAUAACAUUCAACUGCAGAAGCUACAUCUCCUCUUUUUUGUUCUUCCUACAUACACAAUAUAAACAAACAAAAUAAAAGAUAAAUUAAUAGGUAGGCAUUUACUAAAAUUGAAGUGUCUAAUGAACAAAAAAUGUCUGUUAAAAUGUCAAAAUGAAAUAAGCGUGAACAAUUUUAACAUACUCAUAGUAUAAAAUAACUAUCAUUAUAAAUAAAUUAAUUCAAUAAUUACAUAUACACCAAUAUGUACCUCAUGUGAUUUAAGAUCAUUGAGUAAUCUUCCAAUGAGAGAGGCAGCAACAAGUAUUGGAGGUUCAGUUGUUAUCCAAUCAAGUGCAUCUUUAGUUGCUUGCUUUCCCAUGCCUAACCAAAACGUAGUUGCUAGCAACAGGUAACCACUUGAUGCAAUUCCAUUCUUCAUAUACUGCUCCAUUGUUGGUACUUUCUUCUCAUGAUACCAUCUUGCCUCUUCAAAGUAAGCCCUCACCACCUUUUUCAUCUAAAAAAAUAAUCAAUAAAUAAUUAUAUUAGUGAAACAUGCUUCAUUCUGUUCUUAGUUGGGGCCAAGAUAUAUCAAAUCUUCAUAGGAUUUGAGGCAUAAUUAUCAUUGGUAUUAUACCUCUAUUAUGAAAUAGUUUACUAGAAAUGACUUGUUUUCAUUUGUCAACUCUUUCUCAAUUUCAUUGUAAACAUCAAGAAGAUUGUAGUAAACAAUCUUCAUAUAUAGUGGUAAUUGUUCUGAAGCAUCAAUAUUCCACCUACAUAUAUAAAUAUGACGAACAUCAAAUCAAUCAAAUGAUAUAUAUGUACUGUAACACAUCAAUAAAAAUAUUGUUGUACGUUAUAUAUAUAUAUAUAUAUAUAUAUAUAUAUAUAUAUUACCUUUCAAUCGCGUCUGUGAGGAAAGUAAUUUCAUCCAAUGUCCCAUAGAUAUCAUAUGUGUCAUCAAUAAUAGUAAGGAAGUAUGCAAUUUUUGUUGAUAAUUUCCUUGCAACGCUGUACUGAGGCUCAAAGUAGACACUUAAACUCCAAAAGUAAGCCUCUGCCAAUUUGUCUCUUACAUAAGGUAAUGAUUUCACUAUUUCCAAUUUUUUCCACUACCUACAACAAAUUGUGUGUUUCUUGUAUUUAGUAUAAAUUGAUACAUUAAAGAAAAGAAUACUUAAAUUUGAAGUUGGAACUUAAUAUAAUUUUUGGAACACAGGUUGUGUUUGAUCAAAAUAAAUUUUACUUGAAAAAAAGGUGAAGCUUAACUUCAAUAAUUUUUUUGAGUAAACCAUUAUUUCACUUGAAAGAGUACUACUUAAAUAAGUUUUACAAACAAAGGUGAAGGUGCACUAGUGAGUUACCUUGUGAUACCACAUAGCUCCUUUUUAUGCAACUUUUGCAGAAUGUUGAAGUCCAAUUUGGCAAAGUUUAGUAACACCUCAUUUUCAUGGUUAAAUGAUAUAUAUUUCCUUGUUUCUACCCUCACCACACCAUCUUUAAUUGAAAAUUUCAGUGCAUUAUUGACUUGUUGUGCAAGCUGAGAGUUGCUCAAUUUAGGCAAAAUCAGUUUUAAUUGGGUGAUCGUGAAAUUCAGUGCUUCAUCCAUAAUUUCUUCGCCAUGUACUCUAAAUUGUGCUGCCUCAUAUAAACUCAAUAUUCCAUGUACAUCGUUAACCAAUUCAUUCUUGAAAUUUCCUUUGUCGUUAAUGAACUUCCUAAAAGCACCUGCUUCAAAUUUUGAGCGAAUUAGACAGAUCAUAUUUUCAUGAACUAAUUUUAUCAUCCUUUAAAUUGAAUGAUACUUACCACAUGAUGCAUAAUAACCUUGUUGCCUAAGUAAUCGAAAACAUAGAGCAAUAGCAUAAAGGUCGUUGCCAUCAACUUCACCAAUCCAUUCUUCAUAAUGAGUGUACAUAUAACUCAAUGAUUCCUCAAUCUCACGUUCAAAAUGAUAAGCUACUCCAAGACGUUGGAUUAUGUUGAGGAGAUCAUUCUUUUGCAAAGAUUUUGAAGGAGUCAUCACUAGCAUCUUUCUCACUUCUUCUUUUAGGUCUUCGUGUUGCGUUUCCUCCCCCUCAUUAGCUCCCUAUUUGGGAAUAUAUAUAUGUUACUCAAAUGAAUUUGUUUUGUAUAUUGAUGGUAUAAAAAGUGUUUAUUUACCGGAAUAUCAGCAUAUGUUAGAAAAUAGUCUCCCCAAAUGGUAGGAUGAUGAUUGCCAGUUCGACGUGUGAUUAUAAACUCAUCUGCCGCAAUGAUUUGUGUGCGCAACUCCAUCUUCUGUUUGGUAAAGGAAAUGAGCAAGGAUUUGAACAAACAUGAGAAGGGUCAACUAGCGGCGGAGCUACAUAGAGGGUGGUCAAUUAAACACGAGAUUAUAUUUUGACUAGAUAAAAUUAUUACUAUUAUUUAUGAAAAUGGGUUAAGUUGUUGAACUAUUGUGGAUUGAAUAGAGAAAAUUAUACUGCAUUAUAAGUUAUAAAAGUACUUUAUAUAUAUAGACAUAAAUCUUGGACAUCCUCGACGGAAUUUUUAACUUUUUCACUUGGGUCAGCACGAUGCAACCCUUAAAAUGUUCCAUUAACUCUUUUUUAGAUGAUCUAUAUAAAUCACCUAGCUAGGGCCAGUUGCGUAUAAUUCAAAGAUAUGUUCGUCCUCUCGAUCUAUCCAUCUCCUAUUUAAAUAAUACCAAAAUUUUAUCUGUGACAUGAUUUGAAUUUGUGUAAAAUCAAACUACUUCUUUACAAAAUCAAAUUGUUAGAUCAUAGAUGAAAUGAUCUCGAUUAGAAAGAAAAAAAUUAAAAAUAAUACCUUAAGUUGAUCUUUCAAAGGUUUCUUUAACUCACACCAAUGCACUAAAGCAUGAUGAUGUCUCGAUUCCUAUUUAUAAUGCCUUAAACAUGUGGAAGCGUCUGACAAAAUUAGGUCAAGAAAUCAUAUUAAUUAGCUUGGCCUAUUAAAUUUUGGAUUGACAUUUAGUUCAAGAUAAAAUAUUUUCAUUCCAAGUUCAGUGAUGUAUGAUUCAGAUUUGGAUAAUGAGGCCCGACAUAUUCAAGUCAUUCAAAAAAAGGAAGUUUUAAGUAUCUUGGCUUUAUCUAUAUCUAUAUCUAUAAUCUAUAAUAUAUAUCUAUAAUAUAUUAAAAUUGUGAAGCCCCUUGGAAAAGUGAAUUGAACUUUUUGCCCUUCAUUAAAAAAUUUUACAAUACACAAAACUGUCAUUUACUAAUUUUUAUAUUUAAUAAUUUAAAAUCACUUAAAAAUUAAAUAUAAUAAAUUAGUAGUUCUUUAUUUAAACUAGGUAACAAAACCUAAUAUUUUGGUAUCCUUUUAAUUUUGGUCACAGUCAAAAAAUACGAACUGAAGAAACCAAAUUAAAGAUAAAAUAAACAAGAAGUCCUAUUUAAGGUAAAAUUUGAUUAUUCAAACAAUUAUUUGAAUAAAUUGUAGAAAUCUUCAUCAAACGCAAAAUAAAUUUAAAGCCUUACUGAGGAUGUCAUAUAUUUAUGGUAGCAAAGCAGUUUUAAACCUAAAAAAAAAAAUUAUAAUCUUGUAAUUUUUUAUAACUAAAAAUAGAUUGACUUUAGUUUUUUCUUUUAUUUUUUAAUGAAAUAAUUUAUAAUCUCAUAAAUAUUAAGUUUUAUUUUAAAUCGCAAAUUGAAAAUAUAUUAUUUAAUUUUUUAGGUCAAUUUAAAAAAUAUAUUUAUAUCUAUAAUCUAUAUAUCGAUAUAAUAAUAAUAAUAAUAAUAACAACAACAACAACAAUAAUAAUAAUAAUAAUAUACUAAAGUGGGACCCCCUUAUAAAAGUGAUUUGAACUUUUUGUCCUUCAAUAAAAAAUAUCACAAUAGACAAAACUAUCAUUUACUAAUUUUUAUAUUUAAUAAUUUAAAAUCACUUAAAAUUAAAUGUAAUAAAUUAGUAGUUCUUUAUUUAAACAAGAUAAGAAAACCUAAUAUUUUGGUAUCCUUUUAAUUUUGGUUAUGAUAAAAAACAUAAUACUAAACAAACAAAUUAAAUAUGUACGAACUAGACAAAUCAAAUUAAAGAUAAAAUAAAUUAGAAAUUCUAUUUAAGGUGGAAUUUGAUUAUUCAAACAAUUAUUUGAAUAAUUGUAGAAAUCUUCAUCCUAAAGACAAAACAAAUUAAAAGUCCUAUUUAAGGUGAUUUAAUUAUUCAAACAAGUAUCAAGAUAGUUGUAGAAAUUUUGAUUAUUUUUUUCUAUAAUUUAACGAUUACGUUCUUGACACUUUGAAGUUGUUUUGAUUUUUUUCAUUAACCUAAUUGUCUGAUUUUUAUAUGUGUUUUAUGGUAUUUUGAGAUUUUAUCCUUCGCUUUUGUUUAAACUGGUUCAUAUAUUAUUAUUGCCAUAAUUUAUGUUUGCUAGGUUGUCACCUGAUUCAACAAAACGCUACGAAACAAAAAAAAAUUCAAGUAAGCUUCGAAGUUUUAUUGUAUUUAGAAAAUAAAAUAAAAUAAAAUAUUUUAAUAUUUUGAUUCGUAAGAUGUACACGUUUACCUUCAGUUUAAAUUCAUUAUAUUUAAGUGUUUCUUUGAUUUUUUUUUUUAAACCUAAUUGUGUGGCUUUUUGUGCAUAUUUUGUGGUAUUUCGAGAUUUUAUACUUAAUAUUUUUAAAUUGAUUUAUAUUGUUUAAUUAUCAUAAUGUAUGUUCAUUAGAUUGUGACCUUUAGAAGAAUGUAGUGAGACCGAAAUUUUCAAGUAAGAUUCAAAAUUUUGUUGUGUUUAGAACAUAUAAUAAAAUUUCAAUUUUUUACUUUUGUUAUUAUAAUUGGUUAGGAGUCGUGAUAAAAGUGUUUUACUUUUUGGUAUUAUAUUAAUAAAUUAUUAAUAUUAAACAUAAAUAAAUAAAGUAUGAAGGUCCUUAGAAAGAACUUUUGUGAAUCCUUAAAAGACUCUACAAUAAAUAAAAUUGGUAUUUUUUAUUUUUCUCAAAUUUUUGUUUAAUUUUUCAAUUUCAAUUUAUGUUAUUAUAAUUAGUUAUGAGCCAUAAUAAAAGUGUUUUCUUUUUUUUCUUUUGAAUUAUAUUAAUAGAGUAUUAAUCUUAAUUAUAAAUUAAUAAAGUUUGAAGGUCCUUAAAAAAAUAGAUAAGCUUGUUAUUUACUAUUUUUAUUUAAUUUUUUAUUUAAUUAUUUUAUAAUAUUUCUCCUAAAAUAUGUAGAAAGAAUUGUGAUAAAAUAACGACUCUUAAAGCAUGAAAGAUUAAGAAUUUGUAAAAUAUAUUAUAUUAAAGGGUAAUUAAUGUUCAGAUGAAGUAGUUGAUGCAAAAAAAUUUUUGGAGACACGUUAGACGUAAAAUAACUAAACUCAUAAAUAGAAAUAUAGAAAGACAAAAUUAGAAGAUAGUUUUUAAGGGAAGACGAUUUCUUUUUCACUUUUAAAGUUGAAACACUGUUGUCUAAGGAAUGACUUUGUAGUACAAUCAAACUUAUGUGCAUUGUACAACAUAAAUAUGAUUCUCUAGAAUUAUUUGUUUAAUUAGAUCUUAGUAUUUUGCUAUUUUGUUAUUUCCUUUUUUUGUGAUUACGUGUCUCAUACUUUUUUCCUUUUUGAGUUAAGGGUCUAUGAAAAACAAUAUCUCUACCUCACAAUAUAUCUAUAUCUAUAUCUAUAUCUAUAAUUUAUAAUAUAUUAAAAGUGUGAAGGCCUUUAUAAAAGUGAAUUGAACUUUUUGCCCUUAAAUUCUUCCCAAAUUUAAUUUUGUUUGUACCUGGUUUCUUCAACCCAAAAAAUACCCUAAAUUUCCCUAUAAUUAAUUUUUUUCAAAUUUAGUUUUUCCCCCAUUUUUUAUAUGUUUUUUCCCCUAACUAAUUGUAAAACAUACAAUUUUUUUCCUACACCCUAAAUUUUCCUAUAAUUAGCUUUUUCCAAAUUUAACUUUUCCCCCAUUUUUAAAUAUUUUUUCCCUAACUAAUUGUAAAACAUACCGGUUUUUUCCUACUAUACUUUAUUAAAACACCCUUUUUUUUAGUUAAUCAUAUUUGGUUCCUACUUGGUUUCUUUCAACCCACAAACACCCUAUAUUUUCCUACAAUUAAAUUCUUUUCAAAUUUAACUUUUUUCUACCAUCUUUUCACUAUUUUUUAAUUUAUUAUUUAAUUAUUUUUAUUAUAUUAACUAGACUUACUAAAAUAUAUGGACUCCUAAAAUAUAUGGUAGGAGAAUUAAUAAUAUUUUUCUUUCUACUAGACUUCCUAAAAAAUAUUUUCCUUUCUACUGUUUAAUUAGAAAAAUACUCCUAAAAUAGGACUCUAUUAAGGAAAUACUUCUAUAAAUAUUGAGAUGUACGUUAAACUAGAGAAUAAGUCAGUUUGCCUAUUGGAAGAAUAUCAUUAAAGCUCAUCUAACUUGAUUCAAUUGCAUGUCUAGAUUGAUGGAUGUUUGAUUUUCUAACUCUCGACUUCUUCACUGUUUUUGUCAACAUAAUAGAAUUCAACAGGUGUGUGUGUAUGUGUGUUUAUAUAUAUAUAUAUAUAUACAUAUAUAUAUAUAUAUGUAUAUAUAUAUAUCUUUUCGUUUGUCAAAAUUUUUGCCCAGACAAGAAUUAGUUGGAUCAAAAUCGAAACUUUGUGAUCACUAUUAGAAUUUUUUUAUAGUUUACAGGUCGUAGAUGAAUGUCAAUUGCAUCUUAAGAAUUUCUUGUGUAAAGUUUAGGUUUAAUUGUAUUGUUUGGAUAUUUUUAUUAUCUUAUUAUUUUAUUUUAAUUUACAGAUGCUAGAUGAAUGUGUGUCUGCUUUGAAAUUUUUUUUAGGUAAAGGUUAAGUUUAAUUGUAUUAUUGUAAUAUCUCUAUUAGUUUAUUAUUUUGUGGUAGUUUACAAUUCGUUGAUGAAUCUCGAUCGGGUUUGAGAAAUUUUUAUGUGUAAAAUUUAAGUUUAAUUGUAUUAUUUUGAUAUCACUUUUAUCAUAUUAUUUUGUUGCAAUUUACAGGUGAUAGAUAGAUGUUAGUCAACUUUGAGAAUUUUUUUUUUAAUGUAAAGGUUAGGUUUAAUUGUAUGAUUUUGAUAUCUCUAUUAUCGUAUUAUUUUGUUAUUGUUUACAGUGGUAGAUGAGUGUCAGACAACUUUGAGAAACUUUAUGCGUGUAAAAAUUUAAUUUAUUUGUAUUAUUUUGAUGUCUUAAGAUGGUAGAUGAAUGUUGAUCGAAUUUUAAAAAUAUUUUUGAUAAAAAUUAGGUUUAAUAAAUAAAUUCUUCAUCCUUACAUGCUCAAAAGAUAUUAAAUUUAAUUACUAUAGUCAUCUUUAUUAUUUAAACUAAUAUCAUAUUUAAUGUAAUAUUUGAACUCAUUAAAGUGAGGUACACGCGCAAGGCGCGUACACCUAAACUAGUUAUCUAUAAAAAUGAGAAGACUGAUGAGGAUGCCACUCAUUGUAUAGUACAAGGUGAAUGAAAUAAAUAAUUGCAUUUGGAGUCUUGUGUCAUAAGAAGAUGGCACCAUAAUUUAAAGAGAUGUUAUACAGAAUCAUAAUUAGACAUACUAUAUAUAUUGUAUGGAGCGAAAUAUUGGUCAAUCAAAACCUCUCAAGUUCAGAAGUUAAAAGUUGUAAAAUUGAGAAUAUUGCGAUAGAUAUGUAGGUGUACUAGAAUAGAUAGGAUAAGAAAUGAGGAUAUGAGACAAGGUGAGAGUACCUUUGGUGGAUGGCAAGAUGCAAACAUCAAGGCUGGGAUAAUUUGAGUAUGUGAAUAGGAGAUGUAAGUAUGCCUCAGUGCCGAGUCAUGAGGAUUGGCUAUGUAUAAUUUCAGGAGAGGUAGAAGUAGACCGAAGAAGCAUUGAGGAUAUAUGAUUGGAUCAGACAUGGAUCAAUUUCAACUUAUUGAGGAUAUGAUCUUAGAUAAGAGAUCGUGAAAGACAAGGAUUAGGAUUAGAUGCUUGGUAGCAGUGAAUUGUCUUGUUAUCCACAUACUAAUAGUUGUAAUAUUGCUCAUAUGUAGUUUCUUGUGCUUCAGUCUCUGUAACGAUAUGUUUUUUUUUUGUAUUUUAAAUAUUAUAUUAUUUUAUUGUAGUUACUGUUGUGUUAUUAUCUGUUAUUCUUAUUACUAUCUAUUAUUUUUUAUACUUCUUUUUCUGGAUUACUUUUUCUUCAAUCAAAAAUUUAUUGAAAAUAAUUUUUCUACCUCUAAAAUAAGGGAUAAAUUUUCAUACACUUUACUCUCUUCAGAAACCAUUUUAUGGGCUAUACUUGAUGUGUUGUUUAUCUAUAUUUAGUCUCAAUUGACACAAAGAAAAUUUUUGCCAAAAGAUAAUUACUACAUAUUUAGCCAAAUUUUAAAUCUAAACCUAACCAGAUUUCCUUUCUGGUGUAAAAUAAUCAUUUCAUGAAUAAAAGGAUGAAACAGAUGUCAUUAAUGGAACCCUUUUACCGGCAUGGGUCAAUAUGGCCUAAUUGACAACUGUUCCGCUCCUUUUCUGUUACCAAACUCUUUUUUUUUGUCUUAAUAUUGGAAAAAUGUUUUUUUAUUCUUUUUGCAAUUCAGGUUUAAAUAAUACACAAUAUUUUAACAUGUUAUUAAUUUAUAAUGUGAUAUUUUAUGCAUUUCUAUGUCAAACUCUAUAUGAUUUAGAGGAUUGUGGAUGCAUGAUAAUUAGGUACAGCCGUAUUGGAUAAAAUCCAGAAGUUAAAUUUACUCUGAUCUAAUCUCUUUUUGUCCCUAUCGCGUACGAACCGUAUUGGAUAAAAUCAGAAGUUAAAUUUACUCUGAUCUAAUCUCUUUUUGUCCCUAUCGGGUAUGAAUUGAAAAUAUUGCGAUAGAUAUGUAAGUGUACUAGAAUAGAUACGAUAAGAAAUGAGGAUAUGAGACAAGGUGAGAGUACCUUUGAUGGAUGGUAAGAUGCAAAAAUUAAGGCUGGAAUAAUUUGAGCAUGUGAAUCGGAUAUGUAAGAAUGCCUCAGUGUCGAGUCAUGAGGAUUGGCUAUGUAUAAUUUCAGGAGAGGUAGAGAUAGACCGAAGAAGCAUUGAGGAUAUAUGAUUAGAUCAGACAUGGAUCAAUUUCAACUUAUUGAGGAUAUGAUCUUAGAUAAGAGAUCGUGGAAGACAAGGAUUAGGAUUAGAUGCUUGGUAGCGGUGCAUUGUCUUGUUAUCCACAUACUAGUAGUUGUAAUAUUGCUCAUAUGUAGUUUCUUGUGCUUUAGUUUCUGUAACGAUAUGUUUUUUUUUUGUACUUUAAAUAUUAUAUUAUUUUAUUAUAGUCACUGUUGUGUUAUUAUAUGUUAUUCUUAUUACUAUCUGUUAUUUUUAUACUUCUUUUUCUAGAUUAUUUUUCUUCAAUAGAGAAUUUAUUGAAAAUAAUUUUUCUACCUCUAAAAUAAGGGAUAAAUUUUCAUACACUUAACUCUCUUCAAAAACCAUUUUAUGAGCUAUACUGGAUGUGUUGUUCAUCUAUAUUUAGUCUCAAUUGACACAUGAAAAUUUUUGCCAAAAGAUAAUUAAUACAUAUUUAGCCAAAUUUUAAAUCUAAACCUAACCAGAUUUCCUUUUUGGUGUAAAUAAUCAUUGGCCAAAGAUAUCGAUAGACACUCAAAUUUGUUGUCAAAAUUUACUUAGACACUUAAACUAAGGCCUGUUCUUAUCAGACCCCUAAACCCCCCACAUUUUGUUUCAAUUGGGCCUUUUUUUCCCUAUCAGCAAAAAUCUCAAAGUGUGUGUUGCACACACACGAUGACGUGGCAAAAUGAGCUAAUUGGAAGCUGACACAUGGCAUUGUGGGUCCAAUAAUUAUUAAAAAUUAAUUAUAAUUUUUUUUAAAAAGUAUAUAAAAAUUGCAUUGAGGAAAUUAUUUAAAAAUAAUUCUAAAAUUAUUUAAAAAAUAAAAAUAAAAAACUGAUUAUUUAAAAAAAAUUAUAAAUUUUUUUUAAAAAUGAAAUAAAUUAUUUUUUUAAAAAAUUAAUUAUUAAAAAAAAUUAUAAAAUUUUUUUAAAAAUGUAAAUGAAAAAUAACAUUGAGGAUAUAAAUUAUGAAAAAUAAUUAUAAAAUUAUUUAAAAAUAAAAAUAAAUAACUGAUUAUUUAAAACAACUAUAAACCUUUUGAAAAAAUUAAAUAAAUUAAUAAAAAAGUAUUUAAAAAAUAAAAAAUUAAUUAUUAAAAAAAAUUAUAAAAAUUUUUGAAAAAUAAAAUUAAGAAAUGGCAUUGAGGAUCCAAAUUAUGAAAAAAUAAUUAUAAAAUUAUUUAAAAAAUAAAAAUAAAACAUGAUUAUUUAAAAGAAAUUUUAAAAUUUUUAAAAAUAAAAAUAAAAAAUUUCAUUGAGGAUCCAAAUUAUUAAAAAAUAAUUAUAAAAUUAUACCCUUCAGUGUUAAUCGUCUUCCCCUGCCCCCGAUGUUUCUCUUCUUUUCCAUGAAAUAAUUUUAUAAUUUCUCAAAUUUUACACUAACACACAACACAACAAAAACAUAUUCACAUCACAAGAAAAAACCUUAAUUUUCUUCUUAACUUGAUAAUUAGUUUCCAUCAUAUUCAUAUCAACAAAAUAGCAGUAAUGGGGCGGGCUGGGGUACUAUGAAACGAUGAAGACGCGUAGUGGGGUGGGGAUACGAAACGAUGAAUAAUAUGUUGAAAAUUCAACAAUUUAAAUGUAGCAAACUUUUAUUUUUUUCGGCAAACUUUCAUUUUUUUCCUGCACUCUAAUGGAGGAAAAGAAUAAGAAUAACAACAAAAUUUUUUUAUAUCAAAUUCAAAAGUAAGAAUAAGAAAGGACAAAAAGUAGAAAAAAUGGUAUGAGAGUUAAGUUUAGCAAAAAAAAAAAAAAAUAAAGAAUCAAGAAGAGAGCGGAGAAGAAGAUGAAAUGGAGAGAAAAAAUAUGAGGCAAGGGGUGUCGGAUGGGGUGGGAGGUUUUGUGGCGAGGCUUUUUUUUUUUUUUUUAAAUUUUGUUUUAUUAAAAAAAUAUUGGGGAUCUUCUAAUGCUUAUUGUUUUAUUAAAAAGUUUUUUGGGGCCUUUAGUGUUUAAAAAAAAAUUGUUAUUAAAAAAAUUUUGGGGCCCUCAAUGUCACUUGACAUCUUUUUAUUCGUAAAUUAGUAAAAAAAUGCUCCUCACAUGUUUUUCAUGAUGGCACUGUACGUACAGUGUCACAUAGGUAAGAAGGAUUCAAUUGGAAUAAAAUAUGAGGAGUUUAGAGGUCUGAUAUGAACAGACCUUAGUUUAAAUGUCUAAGUGAAUUUUGACAACAAGUUUGAGUCACUAUGCCUUUGGCUAUAAGCAUUUCACGAACAAAAGGAUGAAACAGAUGUCAUUAAUUGAACCCUUUUAGGGGCAUGCGUCAAUUCGGCCUAAUUGGCAACUGUUCCGUUCCUUUUCUAUUACCAAACUCUUUUUUUUUUUUUUGUCUUAAUAUUGGUAAAAUGUUUUUUUAUUCUUUUGGCAAUUCAAGUUUAAAUAAUACACAAUAUUUUAACAUGCUAUUAAUUUAUAAGGUGAUAUUUUAUUCAUUUCUAUGUCAAACUCUAUAUGAUUUAGAGUAUUGUGGAUGCAUGAUAAUUAGGUACAGCCGUAUUGGAUAAAAACCAGAAAUUAAAUUUACUCUAAUCUAAUCUCUUUUUGUCCCUAUCGGAUAUAUUGUUGUGUAGGAGCAUUGAUUAUUCAUAUGCUUACUCUAUUAAUGAUAAUUUCCCAGAAAGUUAUAUAUUUGUAAAAUUUUAUAACUAUUUAAAUUGUUUGACUAUUGUCAUUGUAUUAGUAAAAUCACUCAAUCAAUUCAAAUAAUAUUUUCGAUAAAUAUUGCUGACGUGGAAAUUUUUAGAGCCAAACUUUUAAAAGUUAACCAUUAAAUUAACACGUUCCACUCAUCAAUUUAUUUCAAGUUUGAAGUGUCAACUAAUUAGGUCGUGCACUUUAUCUACGUUUAAAGGCAUUACAUUAAUAUCUUUAUAUAGAUCUACUUACAUUCAGUUUCAGAUAAUAAAAGUUCAUUUAAUUAUUUUUGGGGUCAAACUCAUUUUUCCUCCCCAAUUUGGCCUUAAAAAUCAAACCCCUACUUUUUAAAAUUUCUAUUUUACCCUUUAUCAUCAUUUUUUAAUUCUUUUUUUUUAACUUCUUUAAAAUCAUCAUAUUUUCAUUUUUAAAAAAAAAUCAUAUAACAAAAUUUUCAUAAAAACAUAAGCAUUAUUCAUAUAACAAAAUUUUUAUAAAAACAUAAACAUUAUCUUCUAGGAAAAAAAAAUAAGAAAUACUAAUUAAGUAUAUAAGCUAAUGAUGAUCUUUAUGAAGUAAAUUAGCAUAAUAAGAAAAUUAAUUUUAUUAAUAAUAAUCAAAACUAUAAUAUUUAUUUUACAAGUGAAAAUAAUAAGUAAUACUAAUUUUAUAAAUAUAUUUCAAUGCAGAAAAUACAAACAAUAAAUGAAAGAGAUAAACCUCUAGUACCACCUCGAACUAUGGUCAAAGUUGUUACGGCACACUCCAACUUCACGGGGUCCUAUUACCCCUUAAACUAAAUUUUAGCGUAUUACAUAAAAUGGAGCCCACAUCAAAGAUGUCACGUCAUCUAAAAUAAUUGACAAAAGGUAUCACGUUAGCUAAAAAGAUUGACAAAAAUANNNNNNNNNNNNNNNNNNNNNNNNNNNNNNNNNNNNNNNNNNNNNNNNNNNNNNNNNNNNNNNNNNNNNNNNNNNNNNNNNNNNNNCUUAUUUACUGAUAUAGACAAUAGAUAAUAUCGUUUCUUAUAACUUGAUCCUCAUACUAAAAAUAAAUAUUUUAAUUUAUCUGCUCAAUUUGUGAAACUAAGAGAAUUGUAUUACAUUUUUUUCCUACUAUUUACUGUUAAAUAACUAUAUAAAGUAACAGUAUAGACAAAUUUAAAGUUUCAAAUUAUCAUUAAUAAAAUUAAUUUAGCAAAAUAUACCUCUAAGUAAAAUUUUCUUAAGGAUUGUGUUAUAUCAAUAAAAAGUUAAGUAAUACGAGACAAAUUUAGUAAGAGAGUGAUAAAAAACAAAAAUAUACGCACAUGCAUGUACAUACAUAUGUAUAUAUACACACUUAGGGGUGGGUGGUUUGGAAACAUGUUAUUUUGGGAUUAGUUAUUACAAAAUAAGUUGUACUAACAUGUAUGUGUGAUAACUUAUCUCAUCACUAUGAUAUAAAUGGUGCGACAAAUAAUUUUGAGACUACAUAAUACAUCUAAUUAAACACAGGAUAAGUAAUCAUGAACUUUAUCUCUGAAUUACUAUAAUUAUACCUCACAUGAAACGACUCUUUAAUACAUAUAAUACUAAAAUAACGAUCUUAAAAAAUAACAUUGAAUUUUGUGAUAAAUUUUUAAAAAGUAUUAAUUUGCUUAUAAAAUUAAUAAACUUAAAUAAAAUGCUACAAAUAUCCAUGUUAAAAAAAUAUUCAUUACAUAUAAUAUAAAAAGAUAUUACAUAAAUAUAAAAUUAAAAUUAUAAGGACAAAAUGGACAUUGCAUGGGAUAAAGGGGGAAGUAUGAUUAUUGUUCAAUGUUGAGGGAGAGUUUGAUUUUUUAAUCAAAGUUGGGGGUAGAAAUGAUUUUCACCAGUCAGUGGCCUAGCUAUGUGUAGCGAAGGAUGGUCAGUCGAAUAUCCUUAAUCAAAAAAUUAUAUUAUGUAUAAAUAAAAAAUUAUACAAAGUAUAGAAGUCAUAUUUUUCAUAUGUAUAUAUUAAACUUUAAACACCCUUAACAAAAUUAGUUGAAAAAUAUGUUUCAUGAACACAAAUUAUACAAAGAAGAACAUAAGAUGAAGGGUUAAUUCGAAAAUAGGAUUUAAAGCUUGAAACACGUGCGAAAUGCUUUUUAAAAAAUAAUAUUUGUUUCCUCUCUCCUCUGCGAAAUUGCUAUGAGAUUAUAUGCAAAUAGUUUUAGUAGAUCUGACAAGCCUAUGAAAUUCUACACUUACUAAACUUGAUUUUUGGGAGAAGAAAAAUUUUUAUUGGAAAAAAUUGUAAACAUCAUUUCUCUGUAAAAGCUUUUCUAAAACAUACGUUAGAAAAUAAGUAGUUGGGGUUUAAAUAAAAUUGUUGGAAAUCAAAUAAUGAAAGGACACAACCUUUCGCUAAAUGACACCUCUUAUAAAAAUACUUAUAAUUAAUAAUUUAAUUUAAACAAAAUCUAAUAAAAUUUCUGACUUCACUACUGAUCGGAGUUUAUAUAAAUAUUAAGGAGAACUUUUCCUUUUAUUUUGUUUGUGUACUGUGUCAAAUUGUUCAGCAUUGGGUUAUAAAGUUUGAAAUCCACCUUAGAGUUGAAUUUUAAAUUGGAAAAAGUAUUUCAAAUGUAACACUCAGGACUUUCUUUACUCUUAAAAAGUGUAUGAAAUGACCCGGUAAGACCCCAAUAUUGAAGAUAAAUCACUUAAGAUGGGUUUAAAUGUGUUGGGGACAUUUUUAGCUUAGAAAAGACCUGUGUGUCAUGAAAUGGGCACCUCGCAGAAGCACUGCGCCACAAAGGCCACCGCAAUAAGCUACUAACUCGGGUUCGCGGUAGGGCUCGGCCCACGAACCUUCAUGUUCGCAAUGGGGUUGCCCCACGAACCUUAAGAUUCACGAUGGGGUCGCCCUAGGAACCUUCAGGUUCGCAAUGGGGGUCACACCACGAACCCCUUCCGUUCUUCAUCGAUAGUUCUCCCUUUUUAUUAUAUUGUACAUCCUUAAGUCGUUCUCAAUCCCUUAUGUACAUUUAUAGGGUCCUAAAAAUGAUUAUACAUCACAAGAAACCCCCAAAUCAUCAUUCAACUAGCAAGAGAGGAGAAAACUACCUAGGGUUUAAAAUUUAUAAGUCCAAGGGUAAAUUGAUAAGUCCAAGGGUAAAUUGAUACUACGUUAUCUCCAUUUCAAGGUAUGUAGAAUUAUUCUAACACUCAUGGGCUGAAUUAUGAUUUUUUUAUGAAUUUUAAAGUGCAUUUAUGUAUAUAAAUAUGUUAUGAAUUUUGAGGAUUGAUUUAAGAGCAUGGUUUAUAAAAUUUACUCUUUUAUGAUGAAAUCUAUUGGUUUUCAUAUGUUAUGGACUGUUCACUCAAAUUGAUUGAUAAGUAUGAAUUACAAAACCCUUUUUCUGAUGACAUUAUGUAUUAACUAUGGGUUCUCUAUAAACUUUAGAUUUCUAAUCAGGUGCAUGUAUUAUGGAUUUCAGGAUGGUAAUGAGAGCAUGAAUUAUAACUCUCCUUUUUUGAAUUAUGAGAUUUAUUUACUGACUAACAUUGAGGGUUGUUUAAUGAAUGAUGAUAAGAUUAGUUUUAAAUGUUCCCCGAUCAAUUAUGCAUUAUUAUUUCAUGUAUUUUGAAAGGGGUGUUUCUUGUUUCUAAAUGUUCUUUUAUUCGAAUGAAGAAAUGUACGUGAUUUAUAAAAGAGAUGACCACCCCAUGUCAAAUUCUUGAAAGGAUAAUGUGUUUGAAUAAGUUUUCAUGUGCUUUUGCAAUAAGAACUCUCAUGUGGUGUUUAAAUCUUUUGGUGGUCAUUUACAUGCUUUUAAAUAAAGGGCUAUGAAAAUGAUAAGAUAUGAUAUGACUUGCAAGUCUAGGUAUGGUGAUACCUAAUAAGGAAUGCCCUUAACAUGAAAAGAACAAAUGUUUAUAAGCAUGAAGCAUGAUUUUAAAAGGCUAAAAGUUGAGUUUAAAGGGAGCUAGAUGGCUACCCGAAGUAAGAAUGAGUGGAAGGGCUCAUUGCUAGAAACCGUAUUUUAUCGACGCGGGUAUUAUGAUAUGUUAUCCUGAAAGGGGGAUAACUUAGGUGUCCUGAAAGUGGAUGUCUACGGUAUGCUUGAAAGGGGGUAUACCACUAUGUAGAACUCCAAUCCUUGUGGCGAACUUGAAUUUGGGGCUUAGCCAAUGAGCUAAUGGUGAACCUAUAUAGCCUGUGGUGUGAUAGACUUGUAGGGUGUGUCAUCUGGCUCAAAAUUAAAGUGAAGAGUUAUGUCAAUGCGUUACAAGAAUGAUUUUAAGCUCGAAUAAUGCCAUAUAUUUUUAUCUCUAUUAUGUUGAAUUAUUUUCAUAAUGUUUAUGAUUAUUUUAAUGAACUAUAUAUGUGGUUUUUAAAUUGUUCUACAUACUAAUACAUUUCAAGUAUUUACUAUCCUCGGGUGGCUGCAUUGUCUCAUAAUGUAGGUUACGAGGAAUAGUCACGUGGUCCAGUGCAAAAAUAAAUUUUAUUUAGAAUUCAGAGUUGGUGAGCCUCCAUUAUUUCGAAGGACAUUUCUUCAUAUGUUAGUUUCUUUCAUGGUUUGGUCGGGGGCCUUGUCCCGGAUAGACAGAAUAGUGUUCAGUAAAGUCUUCGUAGGUUGGAUGAGGUUUUGUGUUUCAAUAUGACUUGAUGUAUUAAACUUGAUUAUGAGACUCUUCCUAUAGUUUGGCAAUCUUCUGAUUUAUAUGUAUGAAUUAUGCUUAUGGUAGUAUACUAAAGGGUCUCUUGGACCUUCGUGAUUCGGGAUGACCGUCUCAGUCAGGACCUCAGCUUGGGUUGUGAAAAGCUUGGUAUCAAAGCUAGGUUCAGGGUCCCAGGGUGUCUACAAAGCUGCAUCGAGUAGAGUCCUUUUAAUGGGUAUGUAGCGUUCCACACUUAUAAGAAGGAAGCUAUGAGACAUUUAGAAAUGUUUUUUUUUUUCUUCAUGUUCUAUUUUGUGCCAUAGGGUCUUAAUGUUUCCCAACUCAUGACUUUCCAUAUUUCACGUCAUGCCUUCCCAUAGAUCCAAUGGUCAUAACACCUCAGUUGGGGCCUCCGUUCCUAUUGGAACAAAUGCUGAAGAGGUACGCCCUACUCAUGGGACGUAGACAUAUUACAGAACCCAUACUCCAGAAUUCACCAAUCCUCCAGGGGUUCCACCAGUCCCAACUAGCCCUCUUCGAGAUUCUCAAUCCAUAGAGAGAGGUCUUGAAUACUGAGUUUCGUUAGUCUGUCCACAUGCUUACUCAGUUGGCGGAAUCACAGUCUUGUCAGAUUGAAAAUGUGAGUUAUAUCACUGGUUCUUCUGAAACCACUCAGGUUGGUCAAUUCAUGAUACUAAAUCCGCCCAUAUUUACGGGUACCAAGGUUGAGGAGAAUCCUCAAGUGUUUAUUAAUGAAAUGGAGAAAAUAUUUAGGGUCAUGCAUGCUAGUGAUACAGAGGGAGUGGAGUUUUCUACCUAUUAGUUGAAAGAGGUGGCUUACCAGUGGUAUGAUGAGUGAGAAGAGUUGAGAGGUAAGGAUGCUGAACCUGCAGUAUGGAAAGAGUUUUCAGAGGCUUUUCUGGAUCAUUUCAUUCCUCAGGAAUUAAGGGAAGCUAAGACUGAGAAAUUUGUUAAUAAUAAUAUGACAUUUGUCAUUUUUUUUAUUUAAAUUAAUUAUUUGAAAUCGGGAAAGAUGAGUGUCAAGGAAUAUGUAUUGAAAUUCACCUAGCUGUCCUAUUAAGCCCCAGUGUUGGUGUCACGAUCCGAACCCAGUCUUGGCCGUGACGGGUAUCUCAAGUCCAUCGAGGAUAGGAGGCCACUCCUGUUUCCUAGCCAAAUAGAACACGGCACACCUAGCCGCAGAUGAAUUCCAAACAUAUAACAAGAUAGAAUAAUCAAUAAUAAGAAUGUACGAAGAAUUCACAAUACCAAAUUCCAAUCCACAGUACUCCACAAAGCCUCUAUUCAAAUUCAAUAUUCAUCUAAGUUGAGACAUACCCUUGAUGAUAGCCACAAAAAGGGAAAACAACUUAACAGUCUAUGACAUAACUAGACCAAGAAGUAAAGGGCCUUUCGAAAGAAGAAGGCUCACUACUUCAAGCUGACUAUCAAACAACUCUGAGAUCACCUAUCACUGUGCAGGAAAAGUAGAAGGGUCUUCAAACCCUAUAUCAUGUGGGGAUACAACAUCCUGGGAUAGUUAGUGGGGUGAGCACUAGCAUAUAACUCAAGGAAGGGAUAAAAUAAAGCCAAGUUAAAAUUCGAUUCAAAACCAUACAUACAUCAUCAUAUACAUACAUAAAUAACAUGUCGGGAUAGAAAACGAGGUUUAGCAUGAUAGUAAAAUAUUAUCUUGGACUAUGUAGCUCAACCAUCAUUAACUAACACCAUGGGCUAUAUAGAUUUAGUUCUCCCUGCUGAAAGAGGCCUAGUACGUGUUAGACACAUGAAUGGAAUGUUUCAAGGAAGACCAGGAAUUGUCCCGACCCCACAUUAAUCCUGGAUACAAAAUAUAUCAAUAGUGUGAACCAUGCACACGGUUAUCAAGACCAACCCUUACAUUGGCAAACAUAAUUUUCUAGUAUCAGUCCUCUGGGACUCAUACCUUAAUGACUUAGCUACAUAAUCCCCAUUAAUCCUAACUAAAACAAGUUUCACAUAAACCAUUCAUUAACCAAGGGAUUAUACAUUAAGGCACACCACAAGUAUCAUCAUACCAUUUCGCUUCCAAGCUCAUAAUUAUAACAUUAUAAUUCCAUUAACUUAGGGGAAUCCCUCUACUUCUUUGUUCAUUAAAUCAAGUUGGAGAAAUGCCUCAACCUCGUUUAGUUUAUCAAAUCAACUCGGGGGAAUGCCUUAACUCCCUUUGUUCAUUAUAACAAGUUUAAGAGUGAAAACAUGGCCAACAAGGCCUUUAAGAAUCGUUUCUUUGUUUAACCAUUUAUGUAAUGCAAUAUUAUAGGUGAGUAAGGCAAACCAAGUGACAAUUCCAUAAUUCAAAUCUAUUUACACAAAGGUUAAGGGAACACAAUUAUUCAAAAUCAAUUCCAAGUUCAAAAUAUCAAAUUGGGGGAAUGCCUCGACCCCGACUCUAAUUCCCAUACCCAUAACCCAUGCACCCCAUUGGUUUAAGAAACAUUCAAUUCAAAGUAUGAACAACUCAUAAAAAUCAUGGGAAAAUAAUUCAAGGAUCAACUAUUCCAAAACCCUUAACCCGUAUUAAAAUCUACAUUCAAAUCCAUACAAAUAAACCAUUUAAAACACAUGUUUUUCAUAAAAUAAGAUUUGGGAAAAGGUAACAUGCCUGAAAGUAUCACAAUUAUGGAGAGAAAUCACCCUUGGGAGCUCUAAUUGACCAAUCUUGAGAAACCCUAGCUUGUUCUUGCUUUGGGGAAUUGAGAAAGUUUAAGAGUGUAUUUGAUGUGAUAAAGAAUGAGAAAUAACCCCUUCUUGGUGUUUUAUGGACGUGGGGUAUAAGUAGGGGAAAAAGAGAAAUGAUAAGAAUUCCCUUAAAAAGACUGAAAAUUGGUUGCCCAGUCGCUACGGGUGAUAUGAUGACUCAUAACAAUUAGCUACGGGUCGUUCUGUAGACUUGUAGUUUGGACAGUAUCAUGGGGCAUGCACAUAGGUCUGACUACAAGUCAUAACCUACCACUCAUACUCAAACCUUACGACUCAUAUGGUCUAGUUGUUGUCAAAGCAGAAAUAUUUGGGCACCAUACUGGUUAGGCUACGAAAAGCACUAUACGACUCGUAAUAAGUCUUAACGACUCAUUGAGUGACAAUCGUCAUCACAAUAGGAACUCGACCAAACACACUGGGUAGUUUAUGAAUAGGGUCCUACGUCUUGUACUAAUACUCUAGGACUUGUAUGAUAAAGUCGUAGUCAUGGCAGUAACCUAAAAGGUCAAGAAAUUUUUAGGGACCAAAAAUCUGGGGUGUUACAUUCUCUCCCCCCUCCCCCCAAGAUCAUUCAUCUCCGAAUGAUGAAUCAAGGCACCUACUAGCAUGAUUAAACAAAAAAACACAAGCAUAAUUUCCUUUAAUAAAGUUAGAAAACAAAGAUCAGCAAGGAAAAAAAACAUACCUUAAACACGAUUAUCUGAAGCGGAGAACAAGAAUGGAUACUUGGACUUUAUGUCCUCUUCGUCUUCCCAAGUAACUUCUUCAACCAUUUGGUUCCUCCAUAGAACCUUUACUGAAGCCACAUCCUUAGUCCUUAAAUAACGGACUUGCCUAUCUAAAAUAUCAAUCGGGAAUUCCUUAUAAGACAAGGAAUCCAAAAUAUCAACACUCUCCAAAGGAACAACUAAAGAAAGAUCACCCACACACUUCUUCAGUAUCGAAACAUGAAAUACCAGAUGAAUUGAAACUAAAAUCGGAGGAAACUCUAACUCGUAAGUAACAUUGACCACUCUUCUCAAAAUCAAGUAAGGGCCAACAUAACGAGAAAUGAGUUUCCCCUUAUUUCCCAAUCACAUGACUCUCUUCAUAAGAGAUACCUUUAAGAAUACCCAAUCACAAACAUCGAACUCCAACUCCCUUUGUCCCACAUUUGCAUAGGAAUUUUGGUGACUUUGGGCAGUUUUAAGGCUAUUUCGAAUCAUCUUCACCUUCUCCAUGGCUUAGUAAACCAUAUUUGAGCCAAACAACCUAGUCUUACCAACUUUGAACUACCCAAUAGGAUAACGACACCUCCUACCAUACAAGGCCUCACAUAGAGCCAUUUGAAUACUUGAGUGAUAGUUGUUAUUAUACGUAAACUCUAUAAGAGAAAAAUGGUCAACCUCCCUACCACCAAAUCAAGCACACAAGACCUUAGCAUAUCUUUUUUCUUUUGCCCAUCUAUCUAAGGGUGGAAAACUGUGCUUAGAUUCACCUUAGUCCCCAAAACCCUUUGAAAACAAUGCUAAAAGUGAAAAUAGAACUGUGUACCUUGAUCAGAUAUAAUAGUAACAGGCACACCAUGUAACUUGAUGAUUUCCAGAAUGAAAAUCUUAGCAUAAUCCUCUGUAGAAUAAUUCAUCUUCACUGGCAAAAAAUGAGCAGACUUGGUCAUCCUAUCCAUGAUGACCCAUAUCGAAUCAAAAUGAUGGCGAGACUGCGGAAGACCAGUAACAAAGUCCAUAUUAACCACUUUCCAUUUUCAUACGGGAAACUCAAUCUCUUGAGAUAAACCACCAGGCCUCAAAUGCUCUACCUUUACUUACUGACAAAACAUACACUUAGCCAUAAAAUUGGCCACAUCCCACUUUAUAUUAUUCCACAAAUAAACAUCCUUCAAAUCAUAAUACAUCUUCGUCGAACCAGGAUGGAUAGUGUACCUAGACUCAUGAGCCUCAACCAAGAUCCUCUCUCAUAGCCCAUCAAUAUCGGGGACAUAUAGUCUACCUUGGUACUGCAAGAUACCAUCACCACCAAUCUAAAAUCUAUGACUUUAUAUUGACCCACAUCAUUAUUAAUCUGUAUCAAAAUAAGAUCCAAAACCUGCUUCUCCUUCACCUCAGCACUAAGAGAGAGAUUUGAAGAAAACACUAGCCUCUUCUUAAUCCAAAAGCUUGAGAGAGAUUUAAGAGUGUUUAAAGUAUUUUUGAUUAAGAAUAAUAGGUUAAUGAAGUCCCAAAAGUGUUUUAAGUUGUAGGGUUAAAAGGGGUUAAGAGGAAAAAUAUUCAGAAUACCCCCAACUUAAACUGUAAAAAUCACCAUAGAAGGGUACGACUUCCCAUUCUCCCCAACUCGUACACACAAAAUACUAGUGCUACCCAUCAUUCGUACCCUAGAUAAAAUAUUGGACAUCACACUAUCCAUCAUACAACUUCCCUUACCUAAGUCGUACCUCCAUCAUAUGACAAAUACCUUAGAACCGUACCCUAGGCAGCCUACUAAGGGCAUGACACCCUAAUCAGCAUACAAGUGACUUUCCUCACUCGUACUAUCUCCAUACAACUUAUAUGGUGUCCAUUCGUAUUUUAGACAGUAACCAACCAAAACCACACUGAGUAACAUACGACCAAGACCCCUAAACCGUACCUAUAUUAUAUGACUAGAAAGCCUAUGUAACGCUCUAAAAUUGGGUCCCGAGACGUCACACGGUGCUUAGGAUCACAAGUGACCCCAAGCUAACCCUUCUACCAGCAUAACUCAUAAGCAACUGAACAAAAAGUAUAAAUCUAAACAAAUCUGUGGAAAAUAACUCUUUUCUGAAUAUGAUAGAUACAAAACUAAAUUUAAAAGAUUACAACUCUGCUUUUACAACCAAAACUGAAAUGGAAUACAUCAACUUCUACUGACUGUCUAUGAAGCCUCUACUAGUAUUGACUAUAGGUAGCCGGGUCAUGACUCCCGACUAACCCAUCUCAAUACGACUGAAUAAAGAAAAUACAACACUUCUAGAACUGUAUAACUAACUUAAGCCCUUGAAUCAAAAGGACUCAUCACCUGCUAACUGGAUGCCGCAAACUGACUGGAUCUGAAGAUGUACACUAUACCUUGUACCUACAUUCCNNNNNNNNNNNNNNNNNNNNNNNNNNNNNNNNNNNNNNNNNNNNNNNNNNNNNNNNNNNNNNNNNNNNNNNNNNNNNNNNNNNNNNNNNNNNNNNNNNNNNNNNNNNNNNNNNNNNNNNNNNNNNNNNNNNNNNNNNNNNNNNNNNNNNNNNNNNNNNNNNNNNNNNNNNNNNNNNNNNNNNNNNNNNNNNNNNNNNNNNNNNNNNNNNNNNNNNNNNNNNNNNNNNNNNGACUUUCUCAAACUCAGUCUUUCAAACAAAUAUGUUUUCAUCUCAGAUAGAAGAAUAAGACUUUUCAUAUUAGAUAGGAAAAUACACACACACACAUUGGGAGUCUCUUACAACCGACAUAAACCAUGUGAGCUACAUGGAGUCCAACGUCCAACCCACGUUGGGGAGAGCUGUCCUAUCCUUGCCAUCGGAGUAGGACCUUAAUCAUUCUUUUCACUAGUGAUCACUAUAUCAAUUAGCCUUAGGCUCACAUCCUACGGGGGCACGUAGUUCUAGGGAAGUACCAAUUACAGCUAUACCUCCCACUCGGUGCUAAAAACUAUUCCCAGACUUAGCUCAGAUCUUUUAAAAAGAAAAUCCACAACAACACAAUUCAACAAUUCAUAACGGGAGCCAUCAUGCUACCCCCUUAUCAUAAUCAAUCAAAAUGUGGAUUUCUUUUCUCAUUCGAGUUCAAAAAUAACUAUUUCAAGAUCAAAAGUUCAAAUCAAUCCAAUCACAAAGUGUGUAUAACACAUUACUUCAUAAAUAUCAUAAUCUCAAAUCGGGUUCAAAACAUUUCAAGAUUUACACUUUAUGUAGCAAACAUGUGUACUUCAUACCAAAAUCUGGAAAUUCAACUUUAAACAUGAUAUUCACAUCAAAUUCAUGAAAUUUAUCUUCAAAACAUCAAUCAUCUCAAAUUCGUAAGUAGAGCAUGUAAAAUCAUAUGUCUUUGUAAAAUAAUACAAAUUUUGGGCACAACAAUGAAAGGGUGUUCUUGUUGAAAACCCCUACAUACAUUAAACUUGAAGCUUUGAAUGAACUCUUGACCUUGGGACUCUAUUCGUGAAAAUAAUGAGUGUUUCUUGUAGCCCUCGAAAUAGGGAUUCCGAAUCUCGAAGAAUUAUUGAAAACUCAAGGUUGAAUCUUGAGAUAUUUAAAUUUUUAGGUUGAAACUCUAAUGAAUGUUCUUGGUGAUUUUGAGAGAAAGUAAACUUAUUUUGGUGUUAUGGGAGUUUAAUCUCGUGUUAUAAACAUAUAUAAGGGUGUUUUUGGCACUUGGAAGUGAGGUAUGCGGUGCACAACCCAUGGUAGACCUUAAGGUGUGCGUCUCACACCUUAUGACAGACAUUUAAGUAUGCCUCGCACUCCCAAUCCACAUAUUUGAUUGGGCAGCACAUUGCCCAUCGCACACCCUUACUGCCUUUCAUAAAAAUGGGCAUAACUCUUUGCUCGGGUAUCGAAUUUUUGCGAAAUUGAUAUCGUUGGAAAAAUAAUUCAAUUAUCAACAAUUUGAUAGGUCUUGAGAUGAAAAAUUCCAUAUAUAUUAAGAGAUAUACACAUUUGAAAUUGACCCUUGUAGAAUCGAAUGUCAAACUUUGGAUGAAUCAAUUGGUCUUAGCUCAACGUUAUUCUAGGUCAUUGCUAUAAAUAUUUUCCACCUAUAAACUACUCCAUAGACUAGGAUAAUUAUCAUGAAGCUUGUAUUCACGUGAGAAUCACUUGGAUUAGAGCUUAGACGCGCAGGAACGACGGUUAGAAUUCUAGCACGAAAAUACGGGGUAUUACAGCUUAAGUCAUAUGAUGUCCAGAGAGUUCAAAACUCAAGAAAUUUCUAAGGGUCAAAAUCCAAAGUGUUUCAUGAUGAGACUUGGUUACGCCUUACUAGAUAUAUGUUCAUGCAUGGACGUUUGAUUAUUUGUCCAAAUUUAGAUAGAGGUCAUGGGUAGGCUAAAUCUAGAGAUUUUAGUGUCAACUUGGCAUUCAAACACCAAAUAUCACAAAUUGGUUCUUCCAAACACCUCGUAAGUUAAUAAUUUUACCAAUCUAUGGCCUAAAUUGUCAUCCUUAUAUCUAAGAGAUGAUAUUAAAUGAACUAAUUCAAGUUUGUGUUCACAUUUAUUCCUCACUCAUAUCCCCCCUGUCAAGGAUGAUAUGGGUUCAAAGGUAUUUGGGAUUUGUAACCCUCAAUUUUUAGUUAAAAUAUAAAAUAAAUGUAAAACCCAUAUAAAGGAGCUAAUUUGGAAUACAAAUAAAUAAAAUCAUGCACUAACUUUUUACAAUAAUGUUUUUGCCUUCUUUCCUUUUUAGGUAUCUUAUGUCCAGGUAAAAAAGUCAAAAGUUGUUGAUAACCCGGAAAAAUUAGGUUUGCCAUUGGAUUGGAAGAAGCCAUUCAUGAACCAAGGCCCAUUUUGUAGGGUUGUUUGUAUACUUUCUUUCUUUAUGAAUUUGGCUAUAAAAUAAUCAAAUCCAAGGUCUAUUAGAAUUAUUUCUGUGGUUUCCGUAGGAUGCUCAACUUUCUGUUGAGGUACUCAUUAUCCAUCUUUGUGUCAAUUAAUUUGAUAGUAACUUAAAAGGGCCAAGGCCUGUGAAUCCCUUAAAGUCCAUAUUAAUUUUCUCUAUAAUAUUGUAAAAAUUACAUAUAUAACAAUAUGUUUACUAGGAAUUUCUAAAAGUCCCAACUUUUUUAUAAAUCUCGUAAAAUCCCAAUAUUUCGCCAUUGAUGAUACAUGUUAAUUAUCUUAGAUACAUAUAACGGAUACAUGUUUGAAGUAAACAAACUUGCACUUUUUAAGGAAUGUAACAGAUAAAUUAGCGUUAAAAGUGAAAUUAAUCUAACUAAUUAUGGUUAAAAUAAAAUUAAAUCCCACGAUUUAUGGCAAUUACCUUGUUAUUCCACCAUUCUAAUUCAAAACAACAUUCAUAAUCUGUUUGGAAAUACCCAAAAAAUUUCAGAUGUCCAUUUUUUUUCUGAUUUGUUAAUUUUAUUUGGUUAUUUGAAAUGAAUAAAUAGGUUUAAUGGGUUCAUUCAAAAGAAAGGAAAUUCAUUAUUCUUGAAAAAGAAUUCGUUAUUCCUUCUUCUCUGUUAUUUUUUGUUCUUUUUUUUUUUUUGAGAUGAUUCGUAGUAAUGUAUAUCGCGUCUUAUUAGUACAUUCUAGUGUUUGGUUUUCUGAUGUCAAGCACGAAGAAUACAAGAUUGAUGGUUGUAGUCGGAGAAGUACCAGUUUCGAUCUCAAUUUGUUAUUCCUUUUUCUCUGUUAUUUGUUGUUCUUUUUUUUUUCUCCGACGAUUUUUAAUAAUGAAUAUCGCAUUUUAUUAGUAUAUUUCGAUGUUUGACUGUCUGAUAUCAAGCACGAAGAAUACAAGAUUGAUGGUUGUAGCUGGAGAUGUACCAUUGUUGAUCUCAAUCGCUAUCUCAAGAAAAGCCGAUGAAGAUUUUUCCUCACUAGUUGUUUCACUGUCGGCUGUCACAAUGUAUGCAAUUCAUCCUUCAUGAAUACAGAUUAAAAAGUCAGAUUAUAAUCAAGAGAUGUACUCAUGAUUUGUUUGUCAACUCGUUUAUAAUUUGAAUUUUAAGUUCCUUUUCUUAGAAUUUUAAAUUUUAAGUUUGUGGUUCAAAUUACUAUUUUAAGUUGUCAAAUUACCCGUUUUUAGUUUAUUGAAUUAUAGUCUGUCAAAUUGUGUAAUUCAUCAUUAUUUCAAUUUUAAAGCCAAACGUUUGAUAAACCGAAGUUUGUAUCUCUUAUUGAUUGAAUUUAGCCAAAAAUACAAAGUUGUUUUCAUGUUUAAGCCAAAAUAUAACACAAAUCAAUAUAUAGAAAAACUGUAUGAACAUAAUAUUAUAGAUACAAGAUAAUACAAAUAUGUAUCUUGGUUGAAAUAUAUGUAUCUAUUGAUAUGCUUAAAUCAAUAAAUGUUAAACAAUACAAGAUACAUAUAAUUCAUAAACAGUGACGCAAUAAUCCAAAAUAAGAGAAAAUGUAUCUAUAAACUUCUAACAUGUGUCUAUUGUUGUGUUAAUUUGAAUAAUAAUUACAAAAUAUUAGAUACAUAUAAAAAUAAAAAAAUGUAUCUAAUAAAAAAUAAAAAAAUAUUCACAUUAAGAAGCUUAAUGAAUUUCUUAUGUAUUUGUGAAUUCAAUAUUUGAUUCAAAGUAACUAAAUGAUAUAAAAAGAUUUAUCUGAACAUUCAUUGAUAAAUUGCUUACAUAUUGCACAAGACUAUCGUUACGUAAUUAACAAUUGAUACAAUCGUGAAAAUUUUAUAUCUAUUGAAAAAUAUAUUUUGUGAAUAGUAUGAAGCGUAUGAAUAAUUACGUUCAGCUCGAAGUUGUUAAUCAAUUUAGAGACAAAAUGUCUUGCAAAGAAAAAAAAUUAAGAAAAAUAAAAUUAUGUUAUUAUUGAAUAUGUGAUUUAAUUGUACGAUGUAUCGUUAUGUUGCAUAAUGUAAUGUUGUGCUAGUUACUUUCAUUACUGGACUUAGUUAUAUAUGUUUCAAUAAACUUGAUACAUAUAGUUAUAAAUAUGUAUCUAAUACAAUGUAACAAAAAAUGUUAAAUAUGAUGACUUUGUAAAGAGAAACAAAAACGUACAACAAAAUCAUUAUAUAUCAUAAUCUGUAACAGCCAUAUGGCAAUCAUUGGUGAUAAGGUAGAAUCCAUGAUGUUGAAAAAUAUCUAAAAAAAAAAAUAACAACAUGUACUAACAUCAUCAAACUAUAUAACAAUCAACAAGCCAAUAAGUAAACAACUACUCAAUAUGCAAAGCACAUAUUUUUUCUUUUUGUGUGAAGCUGCUCCUUGACCUUGGUGGAUCGUCAUUCUCACUAAAGUAUCCUUUCUCUGUCUUUAUAGAGCCAUACUUGCACAAAAGAGUGGCAUAUCUCAUGCGAUGGUAUUGAACAUCAAUACUCAAUGAGGGAAUGCCUAAUCCCUCGCUCAGGUACUCGGCAUAAACAACUACAAAUACACCACAAUUCCUACAUAGAGAUUACUAAUUGAAUUAAAAAUACAUAUAUACUUGUAUAAGAUAAUGAAAAUAAUGAAAAGGUAAUGUAAUACUUACAAACUUCCACUAUCUUGUUGUGCUAUCCCGAUAACAUAUUCCACUCGGAAUGAAACCUAAAAAAAACAUCAAAUUAAAAAAAUAACAUUAGAUGCAAUAACUCUACAAUAACACAGAAUAAUAUAUAGAAAAACUGUAUGAACAUAAUAUUAUAGAUACAAGAAAAUACAAUUAUGUAUCUUGGUUGAAAUACAUGUAUCGAUUAAUAUGCUUAAAUCAAUAAAUGUUAAACAGUACGAGAUACAUACUAUUCAUAAACAGUGAAACAAUGAUAUAAGAUAAGAGAAAAUGUAUUUAUAAGGUUGUAAACAUGUAUCUAUUGUUGAGUUAAUUUAAAUAAUACUUACAAAACAUUAGAUACAUAUAAAAAUAAAAAAAAAGAAUCAAAUAUAUAAGAAAUUGAAAAAAAGUAUCACGCAUAUAUAAAUAUGUAUCAUGGCCAAUUAUUUUCCAGAUCUGAACAUGUCGGAGGUUCCAGAUAUUUUCUAGAUAUGACUUUGUCAGAGGUUUCAAUUUAUUUUUUGUUUCGCGCAGCAAAAUAUUAUUGGAUUAGAAGGUUUACCUGAAGUAUCGAUAACGGAAAACUAGCCGAAAAUAACCUCACCAUGGAUAAUUUUAUUUGCCGAAAAAGUAGCUUUACCCAUAACUCGAGCACCAAAAACAUUAUCAUCUUUAACACGAAACUCCAAACGAUCAAUUGGGUGAGCUAAAGGGAUAUGAUGUUGUUUAAUUUGAUUUUUGAGAAAAACCAUUGAACAUAAUAAGAAGAAAGUGAAGACAAAUUUAAGAGAAAAAAUAAAUUAAUUAAAAAAUGUGAAAAAGGAGAGGAGAAAAUUGUGGGAUAAAAUUGUAACAAAAAUUUUGGCGUUAAUGUAGCCAUUAAUGUUGGAAGAGUUGGAUAGAAACUGUUGCUUGAAUUAAGAUAUACAAAGAGGAGAAAAUGAGUUAUUUUUGGUAAUGAAUCGGGUUCUUAAUUGUAGAUUUUAACUUGUAUCUCAACUUUAUCAAAAAAUAUAAAAUAUUAAGAUUUAAGUAAUUUUUUAAAAGUGGAGAAAUUUUUAAAAAUUUUAAAACUUAUGUUGUUUAUUUAGGUAAUUUUUCAUAUAAUAUUUUCAAUUGAGCCUGUAGCCUUUACUUCGGGACAGCAAAAGUAAUUGGGUAGCCAGUUUAGUGCAAAAAUAAAUAUCAACUCUUCUGCAACUGCUGAAUUAAUAAACUUACUAUAUAAUCUCUAUUAGCUGACAAAAUGCAGGUUCGACAGCUGGUAAUUAAUCUACUGCACAAUGGACAAGAAACGUAUGCAAAUUUCUUAUAUAAAUGCAGAGAGCUGUUCCACAUGAUGGGAAAUCCCCCAAUCAGGAAUGAGUUGCAAGAGCAAAACAAGGUGGCUGAUUUGUUAGCUACAUAAUGAAAAUAUACUCAAAGAAGAUAGUCGUUUUGUGGAUUGGACAGUUCCUCAUGUUCGUUUGGAAGGCAAUGGAAGCAGACAAGGAACUCCUUUUACGAGGCAAAUAGCAUACUCCCUCUGUUUCAUAAUAAAUAAAUUGUUGAAUUUUGACACACAAAUUAAGAAAAAAAUAUUAAAGACAUAAAUUUAAUACAACUUUUCAUUUUUAUCCCAAAAAAAAAACUAACCUUGUAAUACUUUUUUAAAAGUUAAUUUGUUGUCAAAUCAUAAGGGUAAAUUUGAAAAAAAAUUCAAUGAUUCACUUAUUUUGAAACACCAAUAAAUACCUCAACAAUACACUUAUUCCAAAACGGAAGAAAUAUUAUAUUAUGUAGAUUGUACUCCUAGUUCUCAGAAACUAUCUUGUGCUAGAAAAACUACAGCCACUUAAGUUUGUAAUGAUGCAUAAUAUACUAAAACUCCCUUUUAACGGGGAAAAAAUUACACCCAGAUUGGGAGAACCUGAACACAAUUUUACUGUUUUAAUGUGGACUUUUGUUUGUUUCUUUGAUUCACAGUUGGUCAAGAAUUACUGCAUGCAAUUGUCAAGUUUUGGCAGCAGCAAAUUGGCAGAUUUGUAGGUGUUGGCAAAAGUCCUCAUUGGCUGCAUUUGGUAGAUGUAAGCAAUGACAUCUACAUGGACAGUUUUUGCUUAUAAAUAGAAGAGCUUUCAGCUCAUUUUAGUACACACCAUUUUGUGAACAACAACAACAUUUGAGAAGAUUUAGUUGUGUUUGUUUUCUUCUUUGUAGAGAGUAUUUGUGAGAGAGUUGUGUUGGAAAACACUUUUGUGAGCCCUUUCUUUUGGAGUGAUAUUUGUGAAAUUAUUCUCUUGGGUAUUUGGGAUAUUAGAGUAUUUAAUUACUCUAAUUUUGUGCUCUCUUUUAUACUUUUGUACUCUUUUUUGGUUCCGUUGGUGUUUAGUAAAGUUGCUUCUCCUUUUGGUUGUGGACGUAGGUAAAGUUGACCGAACCACGUUAAAUUUGUGUCUCCUCUAUUUUCUCAACUUAUUGUUAUUAUCGUCUUUGGUAUUGUCUUUAAUUGAUUACUUUGAUUGAUUCCGCACUAUCCGGGAUUCUCGAUACUAACAACCGUUCUCAAUUGUAAGAGUUUAGAAUAAGAUAGUUUGACGGCUAAGAUUAUAAGUCAAACACAUCGACAGACAUCUCAACUUAGCACCAUCUUUCACUUUGGUAUCUUAAAUGGACGAUAUUCAUUUUAAACACCUAAAAUAACCAUAACGCCUUUAGAUCAAAAGCUCAAUCAAUAGAGAAGCCUAGCACCUCGAAUUUAAAGCUCAAAGUGUAGACACAUAAUUUCGUCCCUCCCUGAUAUCAUUUUACCCAUUUUUACCUUAUCCUACCCAUGUAAUUACAUCCCACAAAAAUACAAAAAAUAACUCUCAACAAAAUCACUAACAAACUUUUAUUCUUUUAAACAUCCUAACAACCCUUUCAAUUAAAAGAAGACACAUUACCCAUACCCCUACCCCCAACACCCCAUACCCACGUGACCUCCUCCUCCUCAUAUUUCUUGUCCACAAAGGCAAAAAGAGAAAAACAUUAGAAAGGGACCCCACUAGGAAACUUUCAGGAAAGCCCACAAGGAACCAUUUUGUUUUAAGGGGAUGAAAUACAAUAUAUUCACACUCUCACAAAUAAAAAGGACCCACACGAUAUAAUUUCCACAGGCUCUACUCACAAUUGACACUGAUCUUCUCCAAAGAACGCAUAGACACUUCCACACUCUCUUGGAUUUUUUACUCAAUUCACUGGUAAACAAAAAAGAAAAUAAGGACUCCAUUUCUGUUUCUUGUUUUCUUCUUCAGAGAUACGCACACAACAACACUCGAAUUUCCCAUAGAAGGACUGAUUUCCUUCCAAUAGCAUAGACCCUCAAAGUCAUCUUCUUCACAUAUAUACCCAGACCACCGAAAAAGAAAAAAAUAGACUGAAAACUGAAGAGGGGUGAUCGGAAUAGGGGACUGGUGCGAGGUUCGAUCCUUCUCCAAGCUUUUUUUGGUGAAAACUUUCACCAGAAUUGAUUUUAGUUCAUCGUUCGGUUGACCAGUUCAAGAAGAAUCCAAAUUUCUUCAUUUUUCUUUAAUUUCUAAGGGAAUCUGGCCGGAAACGUUAAGUUUUGGCCAGAAAACAUGGACCAGCAGCGAAUUCUUCACUGAAAUUGGUCCAAUUUCGACUCAGUUUUGUGAUUAGCUUUUGUGUAUGGGUCGGGUUUAUUCUGUUGCUUUCCGUUGGGUUCUUCGACCUUCGUAUUGAUUUUGGGGUUUAAAUUCUGUUCGUCCCGAUCAGUUCGUAGCUAUCAGUCUUCGGGUUUUAAAUUUCUCAAUACCAAAUUGGAAUUCAUCGUUGUUGAGAUUCUUCUCAGGAUAUUCGAACGCGGUCUUCGUCUUUUCACUCGAUUAAUAUUUGAGUUUGGAAGCUACGAAUCGAGGUCCAAUUCUAUUCCCCUCUUUUAUUUAAUGUUUAUUAUAUUUGGUGUGUUGGAGUGAAUAUUGUGUUUGGUUGAUGCUUGUGAUGUGGUGAUAUGUUUCGAUAUUGUGUUUGAGCAAUCGUGAUUACUGUGGUUGAUAUUGAUUGAUUGAUUCACGUGAAUGAAGGAAUUGAAAGAUUUGAAUUCAUGUGGGAAUAAGUGGGGCGAGAAUUGAAAACUUGAUAUAAUUAGUGAAUUUUGAUUAGUUUGAUUCAUUAGUUGUUUGACUUGAAAUAAAAGUUAAUUGAAUUUGGUAGUAUCAAGAUACACCGAUUGGAAUAGGCAGGACGUAGGUUGGGUAGGCAAAUCUAGAGAUUGUGGGUUGAUUGAAUGUUUGAAAUUUGAUUGAAUGGUUUGAUUUUAUCACUUUUGAAUCAAUUAUAUAAUUUGGCCGAGGAAUGCCCCGAGGUAUCAUGUACCCGGAGGACGUUCGUGAUGAAGGCCCGAGGCAUCGGGUAGAGCAUUAGUCUAGAAUUAAUUUAGAGUAGGAUUUAUUUUUACACAUUUUUUUAUUUUUGGAUUGUAUAAUUGGAAUGGACACUAAAUUUUGGAUUGUUUUAUCUUGUUUGCUUGAUUGAUUGUUUUGCAUGUUUUGUGUGGUUUAUAUAUUCAUUAUGUCAAAUUAGCCUAUAUGCUCCACCAAGCAACCGUGGUCAAACCACGGGAUCGAGGGGUGUCUAACACCUUCUCCUCUGUCAACAGAAUUCCUUAGCCGGAAUCUCUGUUCGCAAACCAGUUUUAAAGAUUCAAACCAUUUCAAAAAGAAUUUUCCAAAGGUGACUUGGCACAGCGGAUUAUGCCAAGUGGAGACUCUGAAUUUAAUUAUAAAAAAUUCUUUUCGAAACAGAAUUUUCAUUUUUUGUCACUUAAUAAUAAAAUCCUUUCAAACUUAAAAAUUAAUCUUUUGGAGUACGAAAAAAGGGUGUGACAGCUCUGGUGACUCUGCUGGGGAACUAUUUCAGAAUCCAAGCUUUUUUUUUGGAGUCGUAUCGGCUUUGUUUGGCAUUACGAGUGUAUAAGUAUUGUUUGUGAUUUUUGUUUGUGUUUUCACUUUUGUGCAUUUUCGUGCUCUUUGUUUACAGUAUUUAUCCUAUAUGUUUAUCGCUUUUAUAUCUGACAUCAUGUGCAUAACCUGAGUCAUUCUUUCCGCAACAAGUCUCGGAGCGCACGUUGUGCGUACGAACUCUAUUUGAGUCACCUUUAGUUUGGGGGGAGCCGUUGGAUGUAUGGAGUAGGUGGAAAGUAAAGCAGCCACUAUCAACCAUAGUCUCUCCCGAACAGCCUUGUUAGUGAACCACAACGUAGGUCAGCCUAUAGGACAUUCUUAUGUGCAUCAUAUUGAGACCUAGCGGGGCCCACAUAGUUCUUUGUAGGAGACUCAUCCCUAAAGCAUUCCUACGUGCUAAAUGCUGCAUCUUUGAGGAUAACGUGGUCAUUUGACAGACUGAUGUGGGGUAAAGCAUGUGUUAGAAGUAAAGUGUGAAAAAAAAAGAAGAAGUCCAAAAAAAGAGUUUUGUAGUUUUUAGAGUUCUUUAUGGCUUUUGUUUUCCACAAUUCAAAAUUCAAAAAAGAUUUUUUUUACUUUUUGCCCUCAUUUUUCAAAAACAAAAAAAGUAUCAAAAAGAUUUUCCUUUUGUUUCCUUUAACAAGCAUUCACAAUUCGAAAACUCCAAAAAGAUUUUUUAGGAUCUUUUUAUAAAAAUAAAAAUGCAAAAAAAGGGUGGUAGAAGUUUUGUACAUUUCAUAUAACGAAAAUACCAAAAAAAAAAUAAAAAUUCUUUCAUAGCUGUUGGUGUCAUUUUUUAUGUGAAGUGUCAAAUUGAAAACUCAAAAAAAAAAAAGAUUUUGUUAUGUUAUUCAUUAUAUGUCUUUGGUCGUGUCUCAAGUCAGGAUACAUAGGCAACCCUCGGUGGAUCCAGUAAUCUUUAUUUUGGCCUUCGUCGUAGUCUUAGGCUAGGUCUUUUACCACGUAACCUAGAGUUGUUAGCCAAGUAGGCUGAUUUUAUUCAAUGUUACUAUUCGGCGAUUUGGAGUCAUAAAGCGGUCUGUUCCAUCGACGUAUGUCUGUAUCAAAUUCCCAUUGGUUGGGAACCUUUUGCUCUUAACAAAUUUUUGAGAUAAUUUCUUAUCUGCUACUACAGGAUGGAUCUGUCCACAAAGUCUAGAGUUCUUAUGGUUGUCAAGGUACCCAAAAAGUUGAUCAAGUGGUGGGGCACGUUCAAUUACUCUGAAAAGCACAAAGUGAGGAAAGUGUUAGGCAAUCUUGUAGCACUCAUGGAUCUCACGCCUCGUCCGGAUCUAAUAGAAGUUGUGUUGACUUUCUGGGAUCCAAAUAAUUUGGUGUUUAGGUUUGGAAGUUAUGAAUUGACUCCUACCUUGGCAAAAGUGUCUCAUUUGUUUCAGUUGACUUACUUGGUCAACAGAUGAUUUUAGCCCGCAAUCAUACUCGUAAGAAAUUCCUUCGACUCUGUGGAUUAAAAGAUAACAAGCAUCUGGGAUGUCUCAAACAAUCUUGGAUUUCCUUAGACUAUUUGUUUGCUAGAUUUGGGUCCUUAGAGGGUUUCAACUGCUUUUAGGAUGAAUUCUAUACUACCAAAAAAAUCUGGGAACAACGUCGUCUUGAGAUUUUCUGUCUGGCUUUGUUGGGUAUCUUAGUGUUCCCGUUAGAUGAGAGGUGUAUCAAUACUCGUCUAUAAUCAGUGGUGAUAGCUUUAUUCAAGAAAAAAGAUGAGGUCACCAUUGUACCAAUGAUCUUAACAGAAAUAUAUAAGGCUUUAACUGAAGUAAAAGGAGGGGUACGAUUUUUUGAGAGGAGUUAUCUGAUAUUGCAGUUGUGGAUGAUGGAGCACUUGCAUACGCCUUCUUUGGUUAAAGCAGAUGUGAUCGACCGUUGUCUGAAUGAUCUAGUGCAAGCCAUGCAAGAAAGAAUGCGUUUUGACAAAUUUUCUUUUCCUAUGGGAGUUUCUUGGAUUGAAUUUCUCAAAUCAAGAAUUCCGAACAACAUUCUUUGGUGCUAUAUGUGGUUUCAUCCUAAGAAAAUCUUUAUUGGAUCUCAAAUGCAACUCUUUCUAGUUUUGAUAGGACUUAACUGCACUAGGCCUUACAGUCCAAGAAGGGUGAUGCGUCAGUUGGGUAGGAUGCAAGACAUCCCCCCAAUAAUGGACCUUCUAAAGGAUGUAGAGUACUUUAAAGACCAAGCCGUGGGGAUAAGAAAAUAUGAGCAAUUUUGGAAUAACGCAAUAAAGCUAGGUGUCGAUACUCUCGAGGAAAAUCUAGGAUGCACUCAAAACUAUGAAAUCUGGCUACAAUCUCUACCCCGUGGCAUUAGUAGACCCUUACCAGCCCAACUUAGAGGGUGAAUACGGGAAGCAAUCAUGGUAAAGGAUGAUGAGCAGGAAGAUCCGGGUGCCAAUGUAAAGUUUUUGAGAGUUCAGUUGUCAUGUUUGAUCAUAACUGUGGAUGGGUGUCAGAGAAACCUUUGCGGGUGUAAUCUCCAAGAGGCGGGGAUACGGGAGAGAAAUUUGUUCCUUGGUAUCAAAACGUCGUUACAGGAUAUAUUGGAAAGUCUGAGUAGAAAAGAGGGGACUUCACAGAUGGGUUUAUCUCAGCCGGGGACGUCACACAGAGCACCAGUUUGAAAGAACAUGUCUUAUCUUUAUGUAGUUUUAAGUCUUUUAUGUUUCUGUCAUUGUAGGGUGGUGUCUGUGUUAAGUCGGAGUCAAGUUAUUUUUGAUAUUCGGAUCUUUAUUAGUAAUUGUACGCAUGUCGUUAGGGGUUUAGAAUGUUGUUUUGUAUUUGUUGUUUAGUUUUAAAGUGGUCCUAAAUUCGUUGUAUGUUUUGUUAUUUCUUUCAUCGAAAUGUUAUGAUGUUACGUCUUUCUUUUGUUUACUUGUUUUCGUUUUUUGUGAAAAAGUAAAAGAAAAAAAAACCUUCAAUUGUGUGAUGUUUAUGCAUAUGAAGCCCGAUCUGUGCAAGAUCUGAUUCAUGUACAACAUGAUACGUAGGCAACCUACUUUUGGGUUCAAUCUAAUCAUUUUGUUUCGUUGUUUUUCAUUAUUUUUCCUUUUUUAAAGAAAAAAAAUAAAAGCCAUAAAGAAUGAUAAAAUAAAGGUAGAUAGCGAGAGAAGAAAAGAAAGAAAGGAUGAUGAGAUAAUAAAGGGAAAAAACAGAGACUGAUAAGAAAAAAAAAGAAAAAAGAAGAGAGAGGGAAAGGAGGGCAAAAAAAAAAGGGGUGUGUUUGGAGGAAAGAAGUAAAUAAGUGUAGAUAAAAAUUGGGAUGAUGUUAAAAUGACCUUGCUACUCUCGAAAGCUGGUAGAAAUGAACAUGAAUUUAGGACAAUUUUACCAAUGUGAUUCCUAUGCUUGUUGUGUGCCCUAAUCCUAACGGAUGUUGUCUUUGAUGAGCAUGUUUCUUCAGAUUGAAGUCGUAGGUUUGCAGCACUCUGGCUAGUCACCCAUACUUCACUAGAUCAAAAGCAAAGCUCUCCAUGGCUAGCAGGGAGAUUGAAAAUUCGCUCAUUAACCCGGAUCAGGAUCACAGGGAAGAAAGUUCAGAACACAAUGAUGAGGUAGUAAGGCUCAGGCAACAAUUAAUAGAUUUCCACCAGGUAUGGGCCAGCGGAAUGCCUCCUCCUCCGCUCCCUGAAGGUCUUGGGAAUAUCUCUAAUUUCCCAUCGCUCUCUCAGGCACAAUUCUCUGCUUCUACUGAGUCACCUGAGCACGUGCUAGGAUUUACUCCGCGACAUUAUUAUCCUGGCAAUUCUAGUAUGCCCUUGGCAGCUCCCUAAUCAAGACCCGCUGCUCAGUCGGCGCCACCGAUCACAUCGGUAUUCGUGGCUCCACCACCACUUGAAGCUCCCAUAUAUGCUGUGCGUCUGACAAUGGGGCUUUCUCGAUCUGCCAGUGAGCCAGUAUUGAAGGUUCCAGAUAGUCAGUAUUAUGCCCCGGAGCCUACUUUGAGAAUGAAUGAACCGUAUGGGUACACUCAACCACCUGCAUUUCCAUUUGAUACGGAGAAACCUGUCGCAACAGAGGAACAGGAAGUCAUAGCGCGGAAGUUGAAAAGUUUAGAACAGGCCAUGAGGAAUUUGUAGGGAAUCGGAGGUUAUAAGAGUGUUUCCUAUAAAGAUCUUUGCAUGCUCCCAGACAUCAACCUUCCCCUCAGUUUUAAAAUGCCCAAGUUCGAGAAGUAUGCAGGGCAUGGUGAUCCUAUGGCACACUUGAGACGUUAUUGCAACCAAUUAAGGGCUGCAGGAGGAAAGAAAGAGCUGCUCAUGGCUUUCUUUGGCGAGAGUCUUUCUGAUCUGGCUUCAGAAUGGUUUAUCGAUCAAAAUAUCGACAAGUGGAACAGCUGGGAUGACUUAGCUUCUGAGUUUGUGCAACAUUUUUAGUAUAACAUCGACCUGAUUCUGGACUAAAAAUCCUUGGUCAACAUGAAGAAGAAAAACACUGAAGGUUUUAGGGAAUACGCGAUAAGGUGGUGUGAAUAGGCCGCCACGGUAAAGCCUCCAAUGAAAGAAAGUAAGUUGGUAGAGGUUUUCAUUCAGGCACAGGAUGAGACCUAUUUUCAAUAUUUACUUUUGGCAAUGGGAAAGUCUUUUAUUGAAGUCCUCAAUACGGGGGAGAUGAUAGAGGACGAAAUUAAGACCGGCCGAAUAGUGAGUUUUGCCUCAUUGAAAGCCACCACACAAGCGAUUCAAGGUAGAUCUAGCGUAUUUAGAGGUAAAAAGAAGAAAAAGGACGUGGCGACUGUCGUAGCUGGAACCCAUUCCUAUCCAAAAAGACCACCUCGCCCCUAUCUCUAAUCCCAAGCCCAAGUCUACACCCAAGCUCUAUAUAUUCCUCCCUACCAUUACUACCCUCCAUAAAGCCCUUUAUAUUUUAUUCCACCACCCCCGUACCCAGUAUAUAGCACACAUCCAUAUGCCCAAACCCCUUCUUACCCGCAAUGGCGCGCGCAAGCUCCACAAAAUCGCCUAUCCACUCCACUGAAUUACCAAAACCCCUCCAGACCCGAUUUUCAACCUAGGAUCGAGUAUAAGAAAGAGAAGAUGGUCAAAAAUCAAUUCACACCUCUUGGGGAGUUAUAUGCUAGUUUGUUUGAUAGGUUGAGAAAGUUGAAGGUCUUAAGCCCAAUUCAAGGACGGCUUUCAAAUCCACUGCCGAGGAAUCUCGAUUAUUCUUUAAGGUGUGCGUACUGUUCUGACAUGCCAAGCCAUGAUAUCGAGAAAUGCUAGCAUUUAAAGAGAGCUGUCCAAGAUUUAAUUAACACAAAUCAGAUGCUGGUCUAGGCCUUGGAGGGUUCAAACAUUAACCAGAAUCCGCUGCUAACCUAUGCUGAAACCAAUAUAUUAGAAUUGAUAUAUGAUGGGAAAGAGUCAUCAAGGUGUUAUAAGACUAUCGUCAAGAUACAGAGCAUUGAGGAGAAAUUGGUGAAUGUAGCAGUCUUUGAAAGCAAUGUCAUUGAGCCAGGAAGGAAUGAGAGAAGGUAAAGCCCAAGAAAGCACAAAGAAACCCCUGAUCACGGUGCAAGGUGCCAGAAGGUAUGUUGAUUUAAGUUAGGAUAAACCUAAGUUGACAGUGGUAGGAGCUCCGAAUAAGCCCAUCUUGACGGUGAUAAGAGCACUGACAGCAACUAUUGUCCUCAAACUGGUAACCCAACCUCUGAUAGUUGAUACGAAAAGGGUUUCCUGGAAUUAUGGGCGGACUGUGAUGACCUAUCAUGGGAAAGAAGUAGAGGAAGAUAUAGAUGAGGUAGGGGGUUUGACUCGGUCAGGAAGAUGCUUCGUCCCUAAAAGUUUAAGAAAGUCCAAGACAAUUAUGAGUGGACCAUCAUCUAUCAAAAAGCCUAUCACCGAAGAAGAAGCUUAAGAAUUUUUGAAAAAAAAAGAAAUUGCCAAAGUAUUCAAUAAUAGACCAGUUGAAGAAAACCCCUGCUCAAAUUUCCCUCUUAUCUUUGUUGUUGCACUCCAAGGAGCAUUGUGAUAUUUUACUGAAGGUAUUAAAUAAAGCAUAUGUUCCUAGGGAUAUUACAGUAAAUCAGCUUGAGAAAAUGGUUGGAAAAAUCUUUGAGGUCAAUCGGAUCAGUUUUUCUGACGAUGAAUUGCCUGUUGAAGGUACAGGGCAUAACCGAGGCCUUUACAUUACAGUGAAGUGCGAAGAUUUGUAUGUCACUCAUGUUAUGAUUGAUGGAGGUUCAGGUGCAAAUAUCUGCCCUAUUUCUACUUUUCAAAAGUUGAAUAUUGGUGCUAGAGGAUCAGGCCCAACAACGUAUGUGUUAGGGCUUUUGAUGGUGCAAAAUCAAACUCCAUUAGCGAAAUAGAACUAAUGUUGAUCAUAGGGCCUGUUGAGUUUGCCAGAAAGUUUCAAGUAUUGAAUAUAUACUCCUCUUACAAUAUUUUGUUGGAAGGCCGUGGAACCACAAGGCCAAGGCCGUUGCGUAUACACUGCACCAAAUGAUUAAGUUUGAGAAUGACAGGCAACAAGUGGUUAUUCACGGUGAAGGAGAUUUAUCCGCCUACGAAGAUUCUCCCUUGUCUCUUAUUGAAGAAAAUAAUGUAGAGGAGAUAUUCGUCUAUCAAAUUUUUGAUACAGUGCUAGUGAAUCUUAUCCUUGAAUGGCAGGUUAUACCGGGACCGUAAUUGUCUUCUGCUUCUAUCAUGAUGUUAAGUGAACUUUGGAAAUACGAAUUUAAGCCAGGAAAGGGUUUGAGAGUGUCUCUGUAUGGUAUAGUUCAUCCCAUAUGUCCGAGUAAGAACGUGGGCAUGUUUGGUCUGGGAUUUGAGCCUACGGCUGAAGAUCUAAAGAAAGCCAAGGGAAGGAAAUAUGAAACAUGGUCACUCCCUCGCCCAAUGCCACUACUCAGUGAAUCAUUUGUUAAGAGCGGUGUCACGAAGCAUGUGGAAUUUGAAGUUGAAUUGGUUGAUAACUGCCAGAACCUUUUUAUUGAAGUUGAUAUGGUCAAAGCAGGAGAAGGUACCAGUAUGACAAACGUACAAUUCAUAGGUCCAGCUGUCCGACUCAAUAAUUGGAAAGUCACUCCUCUCCCCAUCAGGAGGGAGUUUUGGUAUUUUAUUUUGUUGUUCUUUCUGUUUAUCCGAGUCAUUUCAGGGUUGUAAUUCGGAUUUUAGUCUGUUUAUGUUAUGUUGGCAUCUAUGCUUAAACCCUUCUAUCUUUUUAUUUAAUGAAAUGCAAUGGUCCUUUUGUUUCGUGUCUAAUAUAUUUGGCUUUUCUUUUUUUACACUGUUCUCUUUAUGCUGAUUCUAAUGAUAUGACAUGCAUGCGGAAUUUUCAGCCUAACCUUAAAAUCCAAACUAAUCAAGAUGUAAUGAAGCAGGAUGGGGAAUAUGAUGAAGAAGAAGCACUAGAAGAAAUAAGCAAAGAGUUGGAACAGUUUGAAGACAAACUGAAUCCUAAUUUGAAUGAGACCAAUAAAUCUAAGGAAUCAAGAGGAUGUUAGGGAAACUAAAAUUAGUGUACAUUCUUUUCCACAGCUAAAAGAUGGAAUGAUUCAAGCAUUAAUUGAUCAUAAGGAUGUUUUUGCAUGGUCUUAUGAUGAUAUGCCUGGUUUAAGCACUGAAUUACUGGCUCACAAAUUACCAAUUGAUCCCGCAUUCCCUCCUGUCAAACAGAAGUCGAGAAAGUUUAAAACUGAUGUAAGUAUUAAAAUCAAAGAGUAAAUCAUAAAAUAACUUGAAGCCAAAGUAAUUCGAGUGGCUCGUUAUCCCAUGUGGUUAUCCAAUGUUGUUCCCGUACCAAAGAAAGAUUUGAGUGUGUGUUGAUUACGUGAUUUGAAUAGAGCAAGUCUGAAAGAUGAUUUUCCACUGCCCAACAUCCAUAUUUUGCUAGACAACUAUGCUAAACACGACGUUGCCUCUUUUGUGGAUUACUAUACCGGAUAUCAUCAGAUCAUUAUGGAUGAUGAAGAUGUGGAGAAGACAUCUUUUAUCACACCAUGGGGGACCUAUUGUUAUUGAGUGAUGCCGUUCGGUUUGAAGAAUGCUGGAGCAACAUACAUGAGAGCCAUGAACACUAUGUUUCAUGAUAUGAUGCAUAAGGAGAUUGAGGUAUAUGUGGAUGAUGUGAUUAUUAAGUCAAAAAGUCGGGCCGACCAUGUUAAAGAUUUAAGAAAUUUCUUUAAAAGGCUUCGCAGGUAUAAUCUCAACCUCAACCCGACAAAAUAUGUAUUUUGAGUUCUGUCUGGAAAGCUGUUGGGGUUUGCAGUUAGCCGUCGGGGGAUUGAAUUUGAUCUCUCGAAAAUCAAAGCCAUUCAGUAUUUGCCCCUACCCAAGAAUAAGAUGGAGGUGAUGAAUUUUCUUGGUAGACUGAACUACAUUAUCAGGUUUAUUGCUCAACUGACAACACUUGUGAGCCCAUAUUAACAUUGCUGAAAAAGAGUGUUGCGGUAAAAUGGACUGAAGAAUGUCAGGAAGCAUUCGACAAAAUCAAAAGAUANNNNNNNNNNNNNNNNNNNNNNNNNNNNNNNNNNNNNNNNNNNNNNNNNNNNNNNNNNNNNNNNNNNNNNNNNNNNNNNNNNNNNNNNNNNNNNNNNNNNNNNNNNNNNNNNNNNNNNNNNNNNNNNNNNNNNNNNNNNNNNNNNNNNNNNNNNNNNNNNNNNNNNNNNNNNNNNNNNNNNNNNNNNNNNNNNNNNNNNNNNNNNNNNNNNNNNNNNNNNNNNNNNNNNNNNNNNNNNNNNNNNNNNNNNNNNNNNNNNNNNNNNNNNNNNNNNNNNNNNNNNNNNNNNNNNNNNNNNNNNNNNNNNNNNNNNNNNNNNNNNNNNNNNNNNNNNNNNNNNNNNNNNNNNNNNNNNNNNNNNNNNNNNNNNNNNNNNNNNNNNNNNNNNNNNNNNNNNNNNNNNNNNNNNNNNNNNNNNNNNNNNNNNNNNNNNNNNNNNNNNNNNNNNNNNNNNNNNNNNNNNNNNNNNNNNNNNNNNNNNNNNNNNNNNNNNNNNNNNNNNNNNNNNNNNNNNNNNNNNNNNNNNNNNNNNNNNNNNNNNNNNNNNNNNNNNNNNNNNNNNNNNNNNNNNNNNNNNNNNNNNNNNNNNNNNNNNNNGAUUGGGAGACGCGAGAUUUGAAGCUCAUCCCAUAGCGACAAUGCUUGCAAGAGUUAUGUCAACAGUUUGUGUUAGUAAAAUUUAGGCAUAUUCCAAGAAUUCAUAAUAAAAUUGCUGAUGCUUUAGCCACUCUGUCUUCAAUGCUCCAACAUCCUGAUAAAGCCUACAUCGAUCCAGUGUAUAUACAGAGUCGUGAUUAGCAUGCUUACUGUAAUGCGGUUGAAGAAGAGCUCGAUGGAGAACCCUGGUUCUUGGAUAUCAAGCGAUACAUUCAGUCAGGAGAAUACCCAACAUAUGCCACCAACAAUUAAAAGAGGACUAUUAGGCGUUUGGCUAGUGGAUUUUUCUUAAGUGGGGGGAUCUUAUAUAAGAGAACCCCGGAUCUGGGACUUUUGAGGUGUGUAGAUGCAAGAGAAGCCUCGACAAUCAUGGUUGAAAUACACUCUAGAGUAUGCGGGUCGCAUAUGAACGAUCAUGUCUUUUCAAAGAAGAUUCUUUGAGUAGGUUAUUACUGGCUUACUAUGGAGAGAGAUUCUAUUCAAUUUGUUCAAAAGUGUCAUCAAUGUCAGGUACACGAUGAUCUGAUAUAUUCUCCUCCUGGUGAGUUGCAUGCAAUGGCUGCUCCAUGGCCGUUUGUGGCUUGGGGAAUGGAAGUGAUUGGACCGAUUGAGUCGAGGGCAUCAAAUGGACAUAGAUUAAUUUUGGUAGCCAUUGAUUACUUCACAAAAUGGAUAGAAACAGUAACUUUCAAGUCAGUGACAAAGAAGGCUGUGGUAGAUUUUGUUCAUGCCAACAUCAUUUGUAGGAUUGGAAUUCCUCAGAUGAUCAUUAUAGACAAUACUGCCAAUCUCAAUGGUCAUUUGAUGCAAGAAGUGUGUCAACAGUUUAAGAUUGCACAUCGAAAUUCUAUUCCAUAUCGCUCAAAGGCCAAUGGUGCUAUAGAAGCUGCCAAUAAGAAUAUAAAAAAGAUACUGUGAAAAAUGGUACAAGGGUCUAGACAGUGGCAUGAAAAGUUGCCAUUUGCAUUGCUAGGUUAUCGCACCACUGUUUGCACUUCAACAGGGGCAACUCCAUAUUUAUUGGUGUAUGGGACAGAAACAGUCAUCCCUGUAGAAGUUGAAAUUCCCUCUCUUCGAGUCAUUGUAGAAGCAGAGAUUGAUGAUGACGAAUGGGUCAAAACCCGACUGGAACAUUUGAGUUUGAUUGAGAAAAAAAAGGCUAAUGUUUGUGUGUCAUGGUCAGUUGUAUCAGAGGAGGAUGGCUCGAGCAUAUAAUAAAAAGGUUCGUCCCAAGAAUUCUGAAGUUGGUAUUAAAACGUAUCCUUCCUCACCAGGUUGAAGCAAAAGGCAAGUUCUCCCCUAACUGGCAAGGUCCCUUCGUUGUGAAGAAAGUGUUGCCCAAUGGAGCCUUAUAUUUGACAGAUAUUGAAGGCAAAAUGGCAGAAAUGGCUAUCAAUGCUGAUNNNNNNNNNNNNNNNNNNNNNNNNNNNNNNNNNNNNNNNNNNNNNNNNNNNNNNNNNNNNNNNNNNNNNNNNNNNNNNNNNNNNNNNNNNNNNNNNNNNNNNNNNNNNNNNNCCUCUUUUGAAAUCAAAAUAGAGUCAAAGAUAAAUGUCAAGAAAAUAAGAAUAAAAGAAAGAGUUUGAAAAAAAAAUCAAAUCAAAACAAAGAACAAGCUUAUGGAACUACGUGCGACCUGAUUCUCCUCUCUCGGGAGUGAGAUACUUAGGCUGCCCUAUUUCGGGCUUGGUCCAACCAAAUAAAGAUUUUAGAGUCACCCAGUCAACAAAAAUUGGGGCAUGAUUUAAUGUGUUGUUUGAGUCGAUUCCAAAAGUUGUAAGUCCCACCCCCACAUCAAGUGUCAUUUGAACCUCUUACCAUUCUUUUGUAACCUUAUCCGAAAGCCAAGUUACAACCAAAGAAAGUCCUUCAGAUCAAUUUUUGAUAAUGUUAAGGCUAAGCAUGCAAUGGAUAUGAUGAUACAUUGUGAGUUACCACUUGUCUCCCUCAACAUAAGAAAUCAGGAAAGAAAUACAAAAAUGAGAGAAUCUUAUUGUUGAAAACCCCUGUGGGCAUCAUAAGAUGAUGGUGAGUCGAGAGAAAUGAAAAUGAGAGAGUCUUAUUGGUGAAAACCCCCGUGGGCAUCAUAAAGAGAAAAGUGAAAAGUGAAAAGAAAGAGAUUUGUUGGCGAAAGUCUUUUAAGAUCUCGUCAAUUGAAUGUGAUGUAUGAGUCCAAUGGAUUUCAAGAAGCGGCUCAGCGGCAAAGGCACGAACUCAACAAUAAAUGGGGAGUUUAAAUAGAAAGAUCAAGCAGCUUAAUCCAAAAUGUAUGUCAUACUCAUUGGAGUUGGUUGUCGUAUUCAGAUAAGUUUUCUUUUUGAAUAUAGGACAUUGCCCUUUUCUUUCAUUUACAUAUUCAUGCUUUUUGUCUUUUUAUGUCAUUUAUCAAACUAAAAGUCACCAUCAUUUCUUUACAUUUUAAGUCCAGUCUGUGUCAAAACAAGCGAGAAAGGAUUUCAAAAUUUACUACCAGUCUUUCCCAUUAUAUGAGGAAAAUCCAAGGACCAUCACAUGAAAGAAAUAUGAUCGAAAUUCAACACGAAGCAAAGAAAGUCUAUCAACCGACAAGCUGUUGGAUUCGUGGAAGUAUUCAGAUUUGGGAAAAGAGUUCACCUUAGAGGCAUGGUAAAAUGGAAAACCAUUGUUCGAGUCAGAACUCAUUUCCCUCGAUCUGGAUUCAGGUCAAUGAUGCGGCAAGACAGGGCAAGUGUCAGCAAUUUGGAACAAAGAUGAAAGGAACGAGUGCUGGGGCAGAUACCUGAGAAGCCAAGAGCUGCAAGCCACCACUAAGUUUUUAACUGACAAAUUUUCUUUGUUGAAUAGGGGCAAAUUUGCUUUCACUUAAUUCAGCUACCAAUGGAAAUGCACAUCCGUGGGAUUUUACUUUCUGUUCAGGACCCUCCUGAAAAAUGGGACUUUACUUUCUGUUCAGGACCCUCCUGAAAAAUGGGAUUUUACUUUAUGUUCAGGACCCUCCUGGAAAAUGGGACUUUACUUUCUGUUCAUGACCCUCCUGAAAAAUGGGAUUUUACUUUAUGUUCAGGACCCUCCGGGAAAAUGGGAUGUUACUUUAUAUUCAGGACCCUCCUGGAAAAUGGGAUGUUACUUUAUGUUCAGGACCCCCCUGGAAAAUGGGAUUUUACCUUCUGUUCAGGACCCUCCUGAAAAAUGGGAUUUCACUUUAUGUUCAGGACUCUCCUGAAAAAUGGGAUUUUACUUUCUGUUCAGGACCUUCCUGAAAAAUUAGAUUUUACUUUUUGCUCAGGACCUACCUAGAAAAUGGGACUUUACUUUCAGUUCAAGACCCUCCUGAAAAAUAAAAUUUUACUUUCUGUUCAGGACCCUCCUGAAAAAUGGGAUUUUACUUUCUGUUCAGGACCUUCCUGAAAAAUUAGAUUUUACUUUUUGCUCAGGACCUACCUAGAAAAUGGGACUUUACUUUCAGUUCAAGACCCUCCUGAAAAAUAAAAUUUUACUUUCUGUUCAGGACCCUCCUGAAAAAUGGGAUUUUACUUUCUGUUCAGGACCNNNNNNNNNNNNNNNNNNNNNNNNNNNNNNNNNNNNNNNNNNNNNNNNNNNNNNNNNNNNNNNNNNNNNNNNNNNNNNNNNNNNNNGACAACGCUUUCAAAAAUAAAAUACUACUUUACUAUAAUUUUUGUUUGGGAUAAUUUUCGUUCUAGUUUUAAUUUUGGGUUUCAGGGGCCCGCCUGAAGAACAGGGUGAUGAAAUAGCAAGUCAGGAGCCCGCCUAAAGAACCGGGCGAUGAAAUGUCAAGUCAAUAGCCCACCCUAAGCACAGGGUAAAUAAAUGGAAAGUUAAGCAACGAGGUGAAAUAAUUGAAAGCCAAACAACAAGUUGAGAAAAUUGCAAGUCAGGAGCUCGCCUGAAGAAUAGGGUGGUGAAACUCAAGUCAAAAGUUCAGAAGAAGCUGCAUAGAUAGGAUUUUGUAAUUUCAUUUAUGUUUUUAACUUGUACUUUUUAUUUUUUAUGUAAUGACAGAUCCGCGGACCGGAACCUCGAUGGAACCUCACUCGACUCUCCAACUCGGUAUAGUCCACUUCUCUUCCAACCCUUUGAGAUACUUGUGACUUCCUCAUGACUUGGGUAGAUAGGGUGUUCGACAGGAUUUGAUUGUCCUUCUUUCUUUUACUCCACUCUUUGAAUAAUGAUCGGGACAAAAUUUGAUCUCGUUGUUUUCUUCUUUGUCUGAAAACACUGCGUGUUUACAUUCAAAGGGGGCAUGAUGUAGACACGUAAUUUCGUCCCUCCCCGACAUCGUUUUACUUCCAUUAGCAUAGACCCUCAAAGUCAUCUUCUUCACAUAUAUACCCAGACCACCGAAAAAGAAAAAAAUAGAGUAAAAACUAAAGAGAGGUGAUCGGAAUAGGGGACUGGUGCGAGGUUCGAUCCUUUUCCAAGCUUUUUCUGGUGAAAACUUUCACCAGAAUUGAUUUUAGUUCGUCGUUUGGUUGACCAGUUCUAGAAGAAUCCAAAUUUCUUCAUUUUUCUUUGAUUUCUAAGGGAAUCUGGCCGGAAACAUUAAGUUUUGGCCAGAAAACGUGGACCAGCAGCGAAUUAUUCACUAAAAUUGGUCCAGUUUCGACUCAGUUUUGCGAUUAGCUUUUGUGUAUGGGUCCGGUUUAUUCUGUUGCUUUCCAUUUGGUUCUUCGACCUUCGAAUUGAUUUUGGGGUUUAAAUUCUAUUCGUUCCGAUCAGUUCGUAGCUAUCAGUCUUCGGGUUUCAAAUUUCUCAAUACCAAAUUGGAAUUCAUCGUUGUUGAGGUUCUGAUUGGGAUAUUCGGACGCGGUCUUCGUCUUUUCACUCUAUUAAUAUUUGAAUUUGAAAGCUACGAAUCGAGGUCCAAUUCUAUUCCCCUCUUUUAUUUAAUAUUUAUUAUAUUUGGUGUGUUGGAGUGAAUAUUGUGUUUGAUUGAUGAUUGUGACGUGGUGAUAUGUUUUGAUAUUGUGUUUGAGCAAUCGUGAUUUCUGUGGUUGAUAUUGAUUGAUUGAUUCAUGUGAAUGAAGGAAUUGAAAGAUUUGAAUUCAUGUGGGAAUAAGUGGGGCGAGAAUUGAUAACUUGAUAUAAUUAGUGAAUUUUGAUUAGUUUGAUUCAUUAGUUGUUUGACUUGAAAUAAACGUUAAUUGAAUUUGGUAGUAUCAAGAUAUGUCGAUUGGAAUAGGCAAGACGUAGGUCGGGUAGGCAAAUCUAGAGAUUGUGGGUUGAUUGAAUGUUUGAAAUUUGAUUGAAUGGUUUGAUUUUAUCACUUUUGAAUCUAUUGUAUAAUUUGGCCGGGGAAUGCCCCGAAGUAUCUGUAUAUAUUUAUUCACCGGGGAGGUAUCAUGUACCCGGAGGACGUUGUGAUGAAGGCCUGAGGCGUCGGGUAGAGCAUUAGUCUAUAAUUAAUUUAGAGUAGGAUUUAUUUUUACACAUUUUUUUAUUUUUGGACUGUAUAAUUGGACUGGACUCUAAAUUUUGGAUUGUUUUAUCUUGUUUGCUUGAUUGAUUGUUUUGCAUGUUUUGUGUGGUUUAUAUAUUCAUAAUGUCAAAUUAGCCUAUACACUCUGCCAAGCGACCGUGGUCAAACUACGGGAUCAAGGGGUGCCUAACACCUUCCCCUCGGUCAACAGAAUUCCUUAGCCGGAAUCUCUGUUCGCAAACCAGUUUUAAAGAGUCAAACCAUUUCGAAAAGAAUUUUCCAAAGGUGACUUGGCACACCGGAUUAUGCCAAGUGGCGACUCUGAAUUUAAUUAUAAAAAAUCCUUUUCGGAAAAGAAUUUUCAUUUUUUGUCACUUAAUAAUAAAACACUUUCGAACUUAAAAAUUAAUCUUUUGGAGUACGAAAAAAGGGGUGUGACACAAAGAACAUACAAAUAAUGAAGUGGCUGGAGAGAACUCUUCAAUGAAUGUAAAUCAUGUUAAAAAAUUUAAAGUUAUUGAUCAUGAAAAGGAGAGUGAAUUUCAAUAAAGCCCCAUCAAAUUAAUCAAAUUAUACCCAAAACUCCUUGAAUUGGGAAUCUAGAGCGGUAGUGAUGGUAUACCGGUGGUGGGUUCAUGAUGUGAUGGAGGAAAAAUGAAAAAAAAAUGGAGCAGCAGCAUAAUUUUUAAAAAAUUUUCAGCUAAAUAAGAAAUUUCAAGCACUCAAUUUCGAGUGUGUUACACUCACCAUUUCAUGUCAACAAAAAGUAUCAAAAUGACACGGUUGAAUGUUGGUUUAGGUGUUUAAAAUGAACAACGUCCACUUUAUGUGUUAACGUAAAAGUUUGUGUCAAAUUUAGGGGUUAGGCGAUAUGUUUGGCCAAGAUUAUAAAUAAAUAGUUGAAAUAGAUUGAUGACAUUACAGGCAUUACAUGGCAUUUGCUAAACCCACACUGCAGAUCAAUCACAUCAAACAAACCGAACAUGGCAUUGGCAACAAUAGAUAAUUCUCGACAAAAUUAGAGAAAAAAAGAAAAACUAAUGUGGACAACCAUCGGAUUUGGAACCAGAACUACCAUAAGAAAAAAUGUAUAUAUAUCUCAAGGAUCGUCGAGAAAAUAGUAAAAGCAAAUCAAAGUCAAUAAUGAGUACAAACGAUCAGAUUUUGAACCAAAAACUAAGAAAAUGGUUAAUGUUAGAAUAGUUGAAAGGAUGGGAGGAUAUCAACAUGAUUUCAUCAUUGUUGACCAGAGCCUAGCAUGUUGAGAGCCUUGAGUACGAAAGUGUAGGUAAAGGCAUCCUCCUGGAGCUUCUCAAAUCUGCAUCAAACACGGAAAGUUGGAAGUGUGAGAAUACUUGAGGUGUGAUUUUCAUUCCAUUCCACAUAUCUAUUUUAAAAAGAAAAAAAUCUUAUAGCAAAAUUGCUGACAGGGGAAAGUAGCUUAUCAAUUUUAGUUUGACAGUGAGCUUGAUCGAAAACUUGAGCAAAUGGAAAUAUGAUCAAUAUGAAAAAAGUUGUUUAUGAAAGUUUUGUUUAACUUCAUAUAUUCUCUAUUUUCCAUCCGACCAUUUACAAAUUUUUAGUCAACAAAAACAUACAGAGUGAAAUCCCACAAGUGGGGUUUGAAAAGAGUAGAGUGUACGAAAAUCUAACCCCUACCUCAUGGUCGUGGAGGUAAAGUGGUUGAUUCUGAAGAACCCUCGGUAAAGUAUAACAUAUAAAGAUAGGUAUGAAAAAGGGAAAACGUGUUAAGAAAACAGAGAAACUAACCUCAGGGAGGUAGAAGGCAUAUAUAUAUAUAUAUUUGAUGGGAGGAUAUCUGAAGAAGAAAAUCCAUAGUAGUAUAAUUUUGGUAUGAGAUUUUAGGGGCAGGAGGAGAGAAGGGAGACAUAAAAAUUAAAAAGGAUUUGAAGAAUAAAAAGGGAAUUAAAAAUAAAGUCGGUGGACCCACAAGAAACUCUUGAAAAGAGAAUAUAUGAGAUGACUUUUGACAAAAAAAUUGAAUACACGUGAUUCGAAACAUCGAUCUCUGAAACAUUUUGCACGGUCUUUACCACUAGACCAAAGACGAAGUCUGUAGCCAUGUCAAGGGUGUGCAAACGCAAAUACAUGUUGGUAAUUCUUAAGUUUUGACCUAUACAUUUUCUGACGAAGGGUGUUCACUUGCACACCCUUGAUUAGCUGUAGCUCCGCCCCUGCCCUGGGUAUCCACCAACUGUACUCUCAUUAAAGUAUGUUAGGGUGUAGGAAUUGUUAGGUUGUGGAGCCUGAUUAAUAUGUGACGUACUGUUAUAUAUUAAUGUUUAGGCUGUACCUUUUAUUCUCAUUCUCUAUGUAAUUGUACAUACUCCAAGUUAUUAAUAUAAAUAGCCCGUCCAUCGUGGAGGUUACCCACGGGUGUUACCACGAAAUUACCUUCCUCUCUCUCCUCAAGAACUCUCAAGUUUUCAUCAUCCUUUCCAUAGAUUUAGUAUGUGUGAACUGCUAAUCGAUCCUAACAACUGGUAUCAGAGCUUGGGAGUUUCAUCACGAUCACUGAAGAUGGAAGGAUCAAAGUUUGGAAUUGAGAAGUUUGAUGGAUUCGAUUUUGAUUUCUGAAAGAUGUAGAUCGAAGACUAUCUGUACCAGAAAGAUCUUCAUGAAUCCUUGAUCGGGGUGAAGCCAGAGUCCAUGAAGGAGGAGGACUGGAAGCUCAAGGAUCGGCAAGCUCUAGGGCUGAUCCAGUUGACCUUGUCGAGAAACGUGACGUUCAACAUCAUCAAGGAGAAAACCACAUCCGAUCUGUUGAUGAACAAGGUAUAUUUGAUGCGUAGAUUGUUCAAUUUACAGAUGCCUAAGAAUGGAUCUAUUACUGAUCACAUAAAUGUGUUCAAUAUGAUUGUUAGUCAACUGUGUUCUAUGGAUGUUAAUUUCGAAGAUGAAAUUAAAGCAUUGAUUUUGAUGUCAUCUCUGCCCGAGUCUUGGGAUACUAUUGUUGCUGCUAUUAGCAAUUCCUUUGGAUCUGAGAAACUAAAGUUUGAUAAAAUUUGAGACGUUGUUCUUAGUGAAAGCAUUGACAAACGAGAAAUUGGGGAAUCAUCUGGUAGUGCUCUCAGUGUUGACCGAAGGGGGAGAGACUAAUUGAGGGGUCAGAAUACACAUAACAUAUCAAAAUCGAAGAAUCGUGGAAAAUCUCCACAAAAAUCCAACGUGACAUGUUGGAAUUGUAGAGAGAAAGGAUAUUUUUGGACAGAUUGCAAGAAACCCAAGAAGAAGAAGAGUCAGAAAUCUAGAGAUGAUAAUGAUUCUCAGAAAUCUAGAGAUGAUAAUGAUUCUGUUAAUUCAGCAGAAGACAUUGGGGAUGCUCUAAUCCUUAGUGUGGACAGCCCGGUUGAAUCCUGGAUAUUGGAUUUUGGUGCAUCUUUUCAUUCAUCUCCUAGUAAGGAAUUGUUCCAAAACGUCAAGUCUGGAAAUUUUGGAAAGGUGUAUCUUGUUGACAACAAACCAUGGGAGAUUGAAGGAAAGAGGGAUGUCUGCAUAAAAACUCCAACAGGAAAUCAGUGGACAUUGGCGGAUGUCAGAUAUAUUCCUGGUCUCAAGAAGAAUCUAAUCUCUAUUGGUUAGUUGGAUUGCACAGGCUACACAACAGAGUUUGGGAAAGGUUCGUGGAAGAUUGUGAAGGGUGCUAUGAUUGUAGAAUGUGGCAAAAAAUCUAGAACUUUGUACAGCAUUGCAGGGUGUAUAAACACGGCUGCUGUUGCUGAGGGUACUUCUGGUUUAUGUCUGUGGCACAACAGACUUAGACACAUGAGUUCCAAAGGAAUAAAGAUGCUGGAUGCAAAAGGAGCUUUAGAGGGGCUGAAAUCUAGUGAUAUGGGUCUUUGUGAGAGUUCUGUUAUGGGUAAACAGAAGCGAGUAAGCUUCACGAAGACUGCGAGAGAGCCGAAGAAAUUACGGCUGGAAAUGGUCCAUACAGACUCUUGGGGACCAUCUCUUUUUCAUCACUUGGUGGAUCCAGAUUCUAUGUCACCUUUAUUGAUGAUUUUAGUAGGAAGGUAUGGGUUUACUUCUUGAAACAUAAGUCAGAUGUGUUUGCUACUUUCAAGAGGUGGAAAACUGAAGUUGAAAAUCAGACUGUCUUGAAAAUCAAAUGCCUAAGGUAUGAUAAUGGAGGAGAAUAUGACAAGUCAGAAUUCAAACAAUUCUGUGCAGCUGAGGGAAUCAGAUUGAUGAGGACAGUUCCCGGGAAGGCAAGGCAAAAUGGAGUUGUGAAAGGAUGAACAGAACAUUGAAUGAGCAUGCAAGGAGCAUGAGGAUACACUGUGGGCAGCCUAAGAUCUUUUGGGCAGAUGCUAUGAGCACAGCUGCAUACUUGAUCAACAGGGGACCAUCAGUUCCUCUAGGGUUCAAGAUUCCUGACGAAGAAUGGACAGGAAAAGAGCUAAAGUAUUCUCACUUGAGAACCUUUGGUUGCACUGUUUAUGUUCAUGUUGAUCCAGAGAAGAGAUAUAAGCUUGAUCCUAAAGCUAUAAAGUGCUACUUUAUAGGUUAUGGUUCUGAUAUGUUUGGGUACAGGUUUUAGGAUGACAGUAACAAGAAGAUGCUAAGACAUUGUGAUGUAACAUUUGAUGAAAAUGUCUUGUACAAGGACAGAGAGAAAAAGGUUCAAGAAACUACAAAGCAAGUGGGAGUUGAGCUUCAGUUGCUGAAGAGUACACCUAAAGAUGUUGCAGCAGAUACUCAACAAACUCCAGAGAUUAUCGUUGAGUAACCAAAGGUGGAAUAAGUGACACCUGAGCAGGCUGAGAGGAGAUCAUCCAGGACCAUUAGAGCACCAGAUAGGUAUUCACCAUUAUUACAUUAUCUGUUGCUGAUUGAUGAAGAGGAACCAGAGUCUGUUGCUGAGGCCCUGCAAGUGGAGGAUUUAAUCAAGUGGGAGCAAGCCAUUGAUGAUGAGAUGAGCUCACUUGAGAAGAAUAACACGUGAAUGUUGAAUAAGUUACCUGUAGGGAAGAGAGCCUUGUUUAACAAGUGGGUGUUAAGAAUCAAGGCAGAACUAGAUGGCAAAAGAAGGUUCAAGGCUCAGUUGGUAGUUAAAGGAUAUUCACAAAGGAAAGGUAUUGAUUAUGCUGAAAUAUUUUCUCCUGUUGUGAAAUUAACUACUAUCCGAAUUUUAUUGAGAAUUGUUGCAUCGGAGAAUUUGCAUCUUGAGCAAAUAGAUGUAAAGACUGCAUUUUUACAUGGAUAUUUGGACAAGAAAAUCUAUAUGCAGCAGCCAGAGGGGUUUGUAGUUCUAGGCAAGGAAAACAUGGGGUGCAAGCUCAACAGGAGCUUGUAUGGGCUGAUCCAAACACCUAGACAGUGGUACAAGAAUUUUGACUCCUUUAUGAGCAAGAGUGGCUUCCGUAGGAGUGAAAAGGAUCAAUGUUGCUACUUCAAGAAAUACACUAAUUCCUAUGUAUUUUUACUCUUAUAUGUGGAUGAUUUAUUGAUUGCAGGAUCCGGUAUAAGGAUAUAAACUCUCUGAAGGCAAGCCUAUCUUCUGAGUUUGAGAUGAAAGAUUUAGGUGCAGCGAAGCAGAUUCUUUGGAUGAGGAUUUCUCGGGAUAGAUCUGCUGGCACUUUGAAUCUAUCCCAAGAGAAGUACGUCGAGAAGGUGCUGUCUAGAUUUAGAGUUAAUGAUGCUAAACCCAGGACUAAUCCAUUGUAAAAUCACAUAAAAUUAUCAAAAGAGCAGUCACGGAAGACAACUCAGGAGCGGGAGCACAUGGCACUUGUUCCAUAUGCUUCUGUAGUUGGGAGUCUAAUGUAUGCUAUGGUCUGAAAUAGACCUGAUAUAACAUAUGCAGUAGGAGUUUUUAGAAGGUACAUGGAAAACCCCCAGAAGGAGCAUUGGGAAGCUGUGAAGUGGCUUCUAAGAUAUCUGAAAGGUACAUCCAGUACUUCACUUUGUUUUGGCAAUGGUAAAGUGAUUCUGCAAGGUUUUGUUGAUGCUGAUCUUGGUGGGGAUGUGGACUCAAGCAUGAGCACUUCCUAAUAAAUUUACAUCGUAAGUGGUACAACAGUGAUUUGGAUGUCCAGACUUCAGAAGUGCGUUUCUCUUUCAUCUACUGAGGCUGAGUAUGUGGAAAGAGCUGAAGCUGGAAAGGAGAUGAUAUGGCUGGCAGAUUAUUUGGAAGAACUGGGAAAGAAGCAGCUUAAGAAGAUUCUUUACAUAGAUAGAUAGAGUGCCAUACAGUUUGUGAGUAACCCGGUCUAUCAUUCGAAGAUGAAGCAUAUUAGAAGACGGUACCAUUUCACUAGCAGGGCAGUGGAAGAAGGUGAUAUGUGUUUGGAAAAGAUAGAAGGUGCAAAGAAUCCAGCAGACAUGUUGACUAAAUGUGUUGAUGUUGGUAAACUAAGGUUGUGCAAAACCUUAGUUAGCUUUCUGUAGUUAUGUCUACAGAUGUUGAGGUGUGGCGAACAUAUUGAUGAUGGAGGAAUAUUUUUUUAUUUUUUGAGAAUGUAAUUCUUGGAUGACAGAAUCAGUCUCCAAGUGGGAGAAUUGUUAGCUUGUGGAGCCUGAUUAAUAUGUGACGUACUGUUAUAUAUUAAUGUUUAGGCUGUACCUUUUAUUCUCAUUCUCUGUGUAAUUGUACAUACUCCAAGUCAUUAAUAUAAAUAGCCCGUCCGCCGUGGAGGUUACCCACGGGUGUUACCACGAAAUUACCUCUCUCUCUCUCUUCUCAAGAACUCUCUCAAGUUUUAUUCAUCCUCUCCAUAGAUUUAACAUGUGUGAACUGCUUAUCGAUCCUAACAGGAACCUCUAAAACGUACACUUAUUAAGAGUGUGUUUGGUAUGAAGAUGAAUAUUUUUCAAUAUCAAUUUUCUUAUUUCAUAUUUCGUAUUGUUCGUAUUUCUCUUAUUUCCUAUUUCUCUGAUAUCUAUUGUUAUUAUUUCUUAUCUCUUAUUUCUGUUAUGAUAUCCAUCCUAUUUCAUGUUUCAUUACAACCUUAUGUUACUAUUCUCUAUCUUGAGCUGGGUAUCUAUUAGAAAUAGCCUCUCUACUUCCUCGAAGAUAGCGGUAUGGACUGCGUAUAUUUUACCCUCCUCAGAUCUCACUUUGUGGGAAUACACUGGGUCUGUUGUUGUUGUUGUUGACUUCCGUACAUAAAGAAAAAACAUGUUUCAGAACUUUCCUUACAACCUCAAGAGCUUGAAACGAGUCACAACUUUUGGUCAUAACUGACACGAGACAUGGGACUUGGCUCUCAACGACAACCCCAACCAGGACCCGACUCCCGACAUAGGAGUCAAAUCUUGACCCCGACUUCCGACCUCAACCCCAAUGCAAGACCAAAUCGUAAUACACACCCAGUACUUGACUCCUGACCCCCGUUACUAAAUUGAGGCUCGACUCUUGACAUCGGCUCGGAGCCCGCAUAUCGAUCCCAUUCAGACGUCAAACUCAACCCUGCCUGACCAGAGACCUCACACCCAAAAUGGACCUAAUUCCUUAUCCUAACCUGGUACCCUACCAAUAUUUUGGACAGCGAAAGGAGACAAGAGGCGACAAGGUCCCGCCUCGCCACCCGGCGAGGCGAUCGCCUUUUGAAUGUACGGCAACAAUUAAUAUAAAAAAAUUAAAAUAAUAAAUAAAUGAUCAAAAUUUCAAUAACACUAAUAUAUGAGGAAAUAUUUUAAGUCAAGAAUUAAAAAUAGAUAGUAGAUAGAUACUAAAAGUCUAGAACUUGAAUUAUUCAACAAUCCAAUAUAUAUCCAUAAAACAAGCAAUACUAAAACUUUAAAGUUUAUUCUUCUUCAAGAUUGAGACGCCAUUGAAAUUGAAAUAGUUGUUAAUGAUCAAGACAGUAGUCAUUUAAUUAGUAUAUUACUAUCAUACUAUGUAAUUGAAUUCUAUAUAAGUUGUUCAAAAAGAAAUUACAUAAUAAGGCUACAAGGCACAAACUUACUGGUUACUGUUAUAGUAACAGUGUUUAAGACAAGUUCACUGUUACACAAUACAGUGAUAGGAAAAUAGAAGAAGAGAAAAGAGAAAGAAAAAAAGGCACCAAAGUACAGGUCUAAUUGAUGGAUUAAGAAGAAGAAGAAAGAACAAAAAUAUAGAAAUCAACAGUGAUGGCUCACUACUUACCAGAGUCGCCAGAGUACGUCGCCGGAGUAUGUCACUGGUUGCCGGGAAAAAAUUUGUGAGAUGGAUGGUAGCAGCCACAGUUACCACUAAGCAAGUUGGUAGAGCCAAUAUGUGUAAAUAAGCCCUAAAAUUAGUUUAUAUACCGAAAAUCCUAAUUUUUUUAAAAAAAUUUAAAAGGCGGCGUCAUUGUCACCUCGCCGCCUAGCCUCUCCAUGUCACCUUUCUCUCAAAGGAGAAAUCUUUUGAUUUUCGCAACACCAUGACCUGAAGAGGCGACUAGGCCUCGCCUCUCCAUUCUCCAUUGGCGACGUGGCGAGCACCUUUUACAACGCUGGAUCCUACUACAAAACCCGAUCUGGGACCCAGACUCCUUAUCCUAAUCCAAGACCCGACCCAAACCCAAAUCCCAAACCUGACACAGGACCACUUAUUUAUUUUCUAGGCAAAUAGAAAAAUAUUUUCCUUAUUACCAAACACACCCUAAAAGGAGAAAAAGAAAAAGAAGAAAUGCUUGUAAUAUGGGAGUACUUGUUUCUUUUACAUAAUAAGAAACAAUGGAUAAUAUGGAUAUCCGUAUAAUCCGUUGGUUUACCCAUUUUUUUGUCCAUAUAAAAUAUGGGUGGGUCAGAUAUUUUAUCUAUUUUCACCUAAACUCAUUUUCGACCCGCGCAUUUGCUACCCCUAACUCUAAUCAACAUCAUACAGGAGAGCAAACCCACAUACCUUAUGUCAUUAUUCCCUAUUUCAAGUAAGGUAUUGAUGAAGCUGGACCAAAUCAGGAGGAGGUCCUUACGGGAUGACAACAAUAGUGAUACAAGAAAAGAAAGGAAAGGAACAAAACAACAAAACUAAGUUACAAAACAAGAAGAAGAACACAACAAUAUUGUAACAACAACUCACGGAUUCCCUAGAAAUGAGAACAAACUAGUACAAACGAUUACAAGAAUAAAAUGAACAAAGGAUAGACAGUUAGACCUUGGUUGGUAUAGUCUUAAGAACCCAAGAACAUGUGAUACUCUUGGACCCUUAACACUACACGGAAUGGUUAAUAUAACUCCUAUGUUGACACAAGAGGGACUUUACCUCCUCCAAACACCAACGUCUCAAGCCAUGAAUGCAACACUAGUGAUUCUACACUAGUAUCACCCUAAUUUCAGGUUGCCUCCUAAACAGAAGAGAGGACUUAUCUUUCAAAGUGUUAUACAACUUACAAAUAUCAUCAAAGUCUAAGUAGUAAAUGACCUAACAUAUUCUAUUUAUAGUAGGUUACAAAAAUUGUGUGAAAUGUCCAAAAGACCCCUUAGUCAAACGCUUCACUUUAGGUGCCCUUGGAGUGUAGUUUGUGGACUUUUUUGGAGACUAUUUAGGCCCUCCUUUGCACUUCACUUGUACGCUCCAAGUCUCGGGUUCAAUACAUCUCAUAUAUGUCCAUCUCUAUGGUCAUUCUCGUAUCAUCCUCUCCUUCUUGAAAAAGGAUUUGAACUUGAAUCUGCUCCUUUGCAAAAUCAAAGAAGGACAAAUAAGCAAAAUAUCCUCAUGACAUAAGGGUUAGGAUUAGCAAAAUACACAAAUCACAUGCUAUGCCGAGUUGGUACAAACUUGGAGUAUACCCACGGGUCCUUUGUGUUGAACAUGAAAACCUUAGUAUAAAUAGCAUAAAGGAAGAGGUCAUCAUCAAUAAAAAGAGGUAAGGAAGAACCUUGCCUUCCUUCAUUAGCACUCACAAUCAAACAUUUCUUGUCGUUUGGACCAAGUAUCAAGUGGGAAAUGUAGAAAUUCCCAUAUUCUGAGAGGGUACCAGUGUCAAAUGGGAGAAGUACCCAACGUCUAAGCCGAGGCUAACCCUUCCUUCCCCUGGAAUGUCACUCCCAUAAUCAUGCAUAACAUUUUCUUUUUAGAGAAGACUAAUAUUCAAGAAUAGAGAGAUACGACCUAGAAGUCCUACCUCAAAAAGACAUAUGCCAUCAUUUAUAACAUUUCCAUACACAUGAUCUCUAUAAACAAACUACUAGCAAGGCUUUUACCACACAAGAUUUUCAAAGAGUCACGUGUACCAUCAAGAUCAACCCUAUAAACACCAUCACUAACUUGAGAUUUUCCUAGAGCACCACACAUAUGCUCAAGUAGUGGAAUAUAUUCAUGAGUAAGUUGAUCUUAUUCACAUUCUCACUAGUAGUUGGCCACUCACAUACCAACAUAGACUUACCUUGGCUCGCAGAAGGGUCAACUAGUGUAUGAAUACUGUCGUCAAUUGUUAAUAUAGUCUUACUCGAGUUAUAUGGGCUAGCACUAGAUGGACACAAAUUAUUCUUGCGAGAAGAAUCAAUUUCGUCAUCUAAAUGAUCAACUAGUGCUUGCAUACUUACAACAAGAGUUUGGUCCUCCCACGACCUAACAUCACCAAGAGUAUCACAAAAGGAUGACUCGAGCACCUCUACACUAGAAAAAUCCACAACUACACCUACUUGGCUCCUACUAGCCACAACACAACAGUUCAUAGGAGUGUAGGGGAUAGUGUUUUUACCUCAUAGCUCAUAUGAGAUAUGGAAUUCCUUUUGACGUGUGUCCGGAUAUCCCACUUGAUCCCUUUGACCUACCAUACGAUCCAACCUUUCAUUUACCAUAGCUAGAUCUCGUGACAUACUAUCAAGCAAAAUGACAUUAGUGGAAUUUUUGUCCAUGGGUUGAGAGGUUGAAGCCGCGGGUUACCUUGUAAUUGUACCUAAAAACAAAAAAGGAAAAGAACAAGCUUACAAAGCAAAGCACAAGUUAGUUCGGAACAACCUUACCACACUCUCACACACUUGAUCAUAUCACACUUGGAUUCACAAGUGUUGCAAGUCUGCUUGUAGUUGGUGAUGAGUCGAGGGGUGAGUCUAGUUGGUGAUGAGUCGAGGGGUGAGUCUACUCUUUGGUCGGAAUGGAUUCUUUGUUUGAAGACUCACGAAAAUGAUGUAUGAACUUGAACCAAAAAAUUCUAUGAUUCAAAAACAAGAAAAACACAAAAUAAGGUAGACACAAACAACGGAUGCAAAGGAUUAAUUGACAAUCAAGUAGGAGUUUACUAGUUGUUAAUUAGUUCUAGGAUCAACUAAUGAAACCAAGAAUCAACAAUUAGAAACUAGAAAAAUCCAAAUUUAAGCUUAAUUAUUGACGUGAACAAUAGCAAGUGGUGACGUGGAAGUAUGAAAUUUGUCUCGGGCCUACACAACUUAGUCACAAAUCUGAAAUUUUCAACCUUCACACAAUUUAGAAUGAAAGACAAUUGGUUUUGGAGGGAAAGUAUAAGUCUUGAGUAUUUUAUAAGUUUAUUGUCAAAAAAAAAAAGAAGAUGAUCUUGACUUGUACUAGUUCCACCAAACAAGGCUCCUUUAUUUAAGGAUAGUAGUUGAAAAAGUUGAUGUCAAGUCUAGGAAGUGAUGGUUCAAGUCUUCUCACCAAUAAACUUUACAGCUUUAUCUUCACCUUUUUGAAUAAAGUUUGCACUUUUUGUAGUUUAAGUUAUAAGAACAAGAUGAACAAAAUAACAAUCUUCAAGAACCUAACAACUUCUCAAGAACACAACAACAACAGCACGAAUCGUCCACCAAUCUUCAACACACGGUCAACUUCAAGUCACCACAACAUUAGUCAACAUUAUAAGCUCAACUUUAGAUCUAGACACUUUUAGUGUUGGUGAGAAAGAAACCAACACUAUAAACACACUACACAAGCAAAAAUAUACUAGAUCUAGUCACAAAACUUUUGGCUAAGUCAACAACAAGAACAUUUCUCCCCUUUUUUUUUUGAUUUUUCUAGCAAGCCCAAGAUUGAAUUUGUUGGAUAAAAAAUCAACCACAAGCUUUGAUACCAAAUGAUACAAGAAAAGCAAGGAAAGACACAAAACAACCAAACUAAGUUACAAAACAAGAAGAAGAACACAAUAAUAUUGUAACAACAACUCAUGGAUUCCCUAUAAACGAGAACAAACUAGUACAAACAAUUACAAGAAUAAAAUGAACAAUGGAUAGAUAGUUAGACCUUGGUUGGUAUAAUCUUAAGAAUCCAAGAACAUGUGAUACUCUUGGACCCUUAACACUACACACAACGGUUAACCUAACUCCUACGUUGACACAAGAGGGACUUUACCUCCUCCAAACACCAACGUCUCAAGCCAUGAAUGCAACAUUAGUGAUUCCACAUGUGUAUCACCCUAAUUUCGGGUUGCCUCCUAAAGAGAAGAGAGGGCUUGUCUUUCAAAGUGUUAUACAACUUAAAAGUAUUAUCAAAGUCUAAGUAGUAAAUGGCCUAACAUAUUCUAUUUAUAGUAGGUUUCAAAAAUUGUGUGAAAUGUCCAAAAGACCCCUUAGUCAAAGGCUUCACUUUAGGUGUCCUUGGAGUGUAUUUUGUGGACUGUUUUGGAGACUAUUUAGGCCCUCCUUUGCACUUCACUUGUACGCUCCAAGUCUCGGGUUCAAAACAUCUCACAUAUGUCCAUCUCCGUGGUCAUUCUUGUAUCAAAUAGUCAAUACAAGUUCAAUACAAGUUCAAAAUGGGGAAUGGGACACAGUAGAUUACCAAAAAAUGAACAAAGAAACAGAAGUAAAAUGUGGCAGCACACAAGAAAAAUUUACUUCUGAAAUGUGCAGAUACAACGACAAUGGGACCCAAUGGAACAAGUUGUAAUAAACCAAGGACAUAGACAAAAGUCGUUGGCACCCAAGAAUGUCAAGACUCCACAUGGCACUGCUCCAUAGAAAUAUAUCAAAAAACUAUGGAGUAAUUCAGUAAUUAUAUUUCCUUUGAAGUUGGUGAUGGAGACACAUCCGACAGGACAUGAUAAGUGGCUGAGCAAUAGCAUUCUAAAAGAUGAUAUUCCAGAUUUCUUCCAGUGUCGGACACUACUUUUGGAGAAUCCGACACAGACCCAUUGACAUUGAAAGAGUCCGAGCAACAUAGCUUGAGACCCAAAGUGAUCUCCUGGUUUACUGACAUUCUGUUAUCAUAACAGCAUCGUAAACUCUAAAGUAAGUAACCAAAAAGCCUAAAAAAGAUGCUAAGUCCCACUGGUUAUAAAAAAGAACUUAUCAAAAGUUUUUUUUUAACUUACCAAAUGAUUCAGGUCAUAAAGCUGGUUAUAAAAUCAUGGGAUAGUCACCAAUAUAUACUAUUCGGCCAUCUAGUUUACCAAACAUGGCCAAAGUAUACACUAAUAUGUAUGUGUACGUAUGUUACUCCCUCCAUUUAAAUUUGAUUGUCCUAUUUUUACUUGACACAAAGUUAAAUAAUUAAAGAAGAUUUUUGAAUCUUGUUGUCUUAAAUUAAAGGUAUGCCAACUUACUGAAAUACCCUUUAAUCUUGUGGUCUUAAGCAUGCAACAUAGAAAGUUGGAAUUGAAAGAGUUGCUAAAAAAAGAAAAAGAGACUUACUUUUUGAAACAUACUAAAAGGGAAGUAGAACAAACAAAUUGAAAAGGAGAGAGUAUAUGUAUAUUAGUAUAAAGUAUAUACUACCUAUACAGUGUGUAUAUAUUUUUUAAACUAGAUGGCCUGAAGGUGUUGGGCUGUAAAUUUUCCAAAAAUCAUACCUUCCAGAUUUUGAAAAAUGUCCUGCACCCAUUUCACAUUUGAACAAGUGUAAAUUAUCAUUCGUCUUCAUAUCUCUCAAUUUGGCCACAAACUUCGCUGGCUCAGAGAACAUAACGCGUGGAUCUGUUACAAUUUAAGACCUCACAUUAAAACAAAAGUAGAAAUAUCUAAAUAAGUGAAUGAAGAUUACUCCUUUAUUUCAAAGUUUGUGUAAUGACAGAUAUAAGCCAAUAUAUCAGUCUUAUGUGAUCUCUUUCUGAUUUGUCCAUUUUCAUAAGCAAGCUUCCUUAGUAGCUACAAAAGAUAAGCACAUACUAGUGGACAGUAGGAAAUUUACACUGGAUCACAAAGAUGAGAUCAUAUCAACUAAAUGAACUUGAAUCUUAUGAAUAUCUUUUGAAAAUUGAAUCUUAUGAGUGCUUCAUAAAAAUAUAAUAUGAACCUCUAAUCUUAUUUUGGACUUAUCCUGUUAUGAUAUUUUACGUGUUCCGAAUCUAAAACUUUAAGGAAGGAAAAGCCAUCAUUUGCUACUAGAUAUAUUUUUUAUUUGUUCAUAAAAAGGUAGAGAUGGCCAUAUACAAUAGAUAAACUAAAAGGUGAAGAAUUUGCAAAAUCUGAUUCUCCACAAAGUCCACCUAUCCUUCGAUACAAGAAGGAAAUUUAUAGGUGCACCAGAAGAAAAUAAGUAACCAGAGGCUCUUCCUCAAUUGGAAAAAACUUGACUCUACUCCUCAAAAUCUCUCGUAUUUCUCUCAUUCCAAAUAUCCCACAUCAACUCAAGACUUACAUCUUCUCCUCCUAUUCCCGCUUCUCCGCUAAAAAUUACUGGGGCCAAUUUUGUCACGUUUUCAUGUACCAAUUGAACACUAUCCAUUUUUUACUAUCCUCAGAAGGAUAAGAUUAUUCUCUUUACCAAACAUAUGCAGAUCGAAUCACAAUCUUAUAUAUAAGAAGAGCAAAAGAUUGAUCAAUCCCUUCAAGUUUGAAUUUGUUCAUUUGGAAUUUGGGUUCUUCUACUUCAUAUUUAUUUAAUAUAGAUAAUCUUUCACAGUAUUUGGCAUUACCCAAGAAACUUUGAACCACCUAAGCAUGUCCCACCCUAAUCAUAUGGUAGACAUAAUGAAUGAGAAGAUGAUCCACAUCUUUUCCUGUCUCCUUACAUAAGAACACUAGCUAACACAAAUAACCAUUCGCUUUCUAAGAUUUUCCACCGUCAAAUCACCCUCUAGAUGCUAGCCAAGAGAAAAAACAGACCUUCCUCGGUACUAACACUAUCCAAAUUGCAUCACAUGGAAAAACAACCACCUCCCUAAUUAAGAGUUUCUCAUAGAAAGAUUCAACACAAAAACUUUAUUAUUUCUCAAACACCAACACAAAGCAUCAGGUUUAUCCACUAAAAUGACUUGCCUGUGAAGGAUGGCCAUCAGCCUUUGGAACUCGGUCACCUCCCAAUCGUGAAAAUGCCUCCUAAAUCUCAAGUCCCAAAAAGUCUCUCCACUAUGUAUCUUCCUAAUUUGUUGAACCAAUGGAUCUCUCAUUGGCAUGACAUUCUAUACAAAAUCCAAAAAUCAUCUUUCAAUAAGUUAUCCCCACACCACAUAUGUCCCAAAAAAUUAACUCUCCUCUCAUUUCAAACCUUUAAUGAGAUAUUUUUGUUGAGAUCAUCUCAUCCAUUCAUUAUAUUCCUCCACAAACCACAUCCGAAAGGCAUAGUUACAUCUCCAUUUAUCCAUCCCCCUUCCAUUACCUCAUUUUUAUCAACUAUCUCCCUCCCCAAAAGUCUUGUACCUCCAUCCCAAAAUGCCAACGCCAUUUGUCCAACAAUGUUUUGAUAAGAAUCACCAAAUCUUUAAUUCUGAGACCUCCCUAUUUUUAGGAGAUGUGAUAGUCUUUCAUUGAACCAAGUGAUAUUUCUUUGCCCAAUCUGCUCAUCUCUGAGAAAGUUUCUCCGCAACCUCUCCUUUCCCUGUAAUUGAAAUUGGAGCCUGAAAUAAAGGCAUGAAGUAAGUGGAAAUAUUUUGAUAAAGUACUCCUAAGAAUCACCUUGUUUCUUCCUUUGGAGAAGUAUCUUUUUUGCCACCUGCUAACCUCUUCUCACCCCUCUAAAAAACCGAUCUCCACACCAAAACAUCCUUGUUUGAAGCCUCCACUGGUAAUUCAAGAUAGGUAGUCAGAAGAGCCCCACACUAUAGUGCAAAACCUGAGUAAGCACCUCAAUAUGACUUGGGAUGGGAUUGAAAAACCUUAAAGUAGGUUUAGGUUAGUGCUUGCCUUAGGUUAGGUUUUCGGGAUUAGUAGUGGGCCCCACAGGCCCUUCUUUAGGUAGAAUGCCUAGAAUAGCCCUUGUUGGACUAAAUUACCUCCUUUCGAUACCUUGGACUAAUUAUUGAACUUUAGGUUAACUUAGUCAGUUUAUUGAACCCUAACUAGCCUUGUGACCCCGGUUGGAGUAGUAUGUGACUUUAGAUCAUAUCCUUUGGCUUAGUGAAUAAACCCCGUAUCACUUAGCAUUUUUUUGGUAUUGUAUUAAGAAAAAUAAUGCUUGCAUUAUCUUUGUGUAUUAUUAAUACCUUGGUACACUUUUUUAUCUUAUGUAUUACUAAUCCUCACCUCUGUUAGACACUAUAUUUGAUAUUAAAGAGUGUGUUAUUAAUGCAUAGAAAUCAUUGGUAUUAGUGAUGCAAUGGAUUCUAAUGCAUGCAUUAGCAUGGUUGAAGUCAUAAUUGUCCCUCAAAAUCCUUUCCACAUCCUUUCCACCAUAUUUAUAAAGGGUAUUUCUAUAAACUAAAACAUAUUUUUUAGAAAUUAUGUAAUUCAUGUUAUUUUUAAUACACCAAACCAAAUAGUGCGUAAGAAUAACUAACGCAAGGUUAAUAAUGCAAGUGUUACUAAUACACAAUAUUUUGCACCAUUCUUAUACAACGUACCAAACGAUCUCCUACAGACUUGACCGCCUGACAUGGAAAUCUAUGACUUCUUAGACCCACGAGAAAUGAUAAUCUUGGAUCAUUAUUACCUUUAGCUUAUUUAUCAGUUCUGGUUUGAGUUCAGCACCUAGCAACUAUCAUAUUAGUUACCAGAUUGGCAUUUUAAUAUUAUGGUACUGUUCUCUAGUUCUAGUUCAAGUCCAGCGUUGAUGGGGGUUUGGGUUGUAGGUGACAAAAGAGUUUUAAAAUGAGGUGUAGGUGACACAAGUCUUAAUAAUUGAAUGGAGGUGACAAUAUCUUUAUUAUGGAUUAAGAAAGUUUGGUAAGUUUGAGAAUAACCCACAAGUUUUUAAAUUUACACUUUGAUCCAAAUAUUUACCUAAUAUAACAUGAAACGUGGGGAAAAAGGCAUCUUUCUCUCUCUCUCUUCUCAUCCAUUGUUGUUUUCUCUGUCUUAGCGAUUUUUGUUGUUCAUUGUUGCUGCUCCUUUAUUCAUCAUCUUUUGCUUCAUUAUCAUCAUCUUCUACUUCAUUAUCUUCAUGUUCUUGUUGUUGACCAUUGUUGUUGUUUUUGUUGUUGUUACCACUAUUGUUGCUAUUUGAUAAAUUUCUUAGGUCAAAUUUUAUUUCAUACAUCACUUUCCACUUUGGCAUUACUUCAUAGGAGACUUUGGUAAGUCAAGUUAUGAUUUUUAGUUGAAUUUUUCAUCUGGGUAACUGCUAUUAUGCUGUUUUUCCAAUAAUGGAUAGAACAUAAUCAUGAAUCAAACAUAAGAUCCAUCUGUUUAAAUAGAUAAAUCAUCUAUUGCGACAGAUGAGAUAUCUAUUUCAAUGAAAGACUGAUAUGUUGGAUUCAUGUUUAUGGUUCUAUAGGCCGUAACAUAAAUUGAAAAAAUAGGCCAUCUGAUAAAAUAGAUAAUUUAUCUGUUUAAACAAAUUAAUUAUCUGGUGCAAUAUGAUAAAUAUAUGUAGCAAUAGAUUAUUAACCUGUUGUAACAGAACCUGACCUCGAUUCCAACAAACGUGUUGUCUGUUGCAAUAAGGUAAAUAUCUGUUGCAACAGAUUAUUAACCUGUUGCAAUCGAACCCGAACUCAAUUCCAACAGACAAAAAAUAUCUGUUGCAACAUAUUAGUAACCUAUUGGAUAGAACUUCACCUCGAUUCUAAUAGAUCAUAGUCUGUUGCAAUAGGUAAUUCAUCUAUUGCAACAGGUUAAUUAUCUAUUGGAUCAUGUCACUCGUCUGUUGGAAUCAGCUUUAAAGGUGCCUCAUUACUAUAACAUCAAACCCAAUAGAUAUAUAGUCUGUUGCAACAUAUUUUUCACCUGUUACAACAGAUGACUCUUCUGUUGAAUUCAGCUUCAGGAGCGUAACAUAAAUCCUAGUAGGUAAGUAAUCUAUUGCAAAUGAUUACACCUCUGUUGGGAUUCAUUUACAACACUAUGAAAUCACUAUUAACUUUUUUUAACAAAUGACUUUAUUUAGGUACCACUAAUGGAAGGAUCAAUAACAAUAGAGGUAGAUUGUCAUGGUCAAUGGAUCGAGAAGAGCAAUCGAUAUGUAUGGCAUUGGAAUGAGGGUAAAAUGCUAGAGAUGAUAGCUAUGACAGUCCAAGGUGAUGUUUCGUAUGAUGAUUUUGUGAACUUAACCAUCAUUUAUUGUGGAAUGAAUUUUCAAUUGGAAGAACUCAUCAUUAGCUACAUACAUAGCUCCUUUGAAAAUCAGAGGGUACUACAUUUCAAGAUAAUUGAUCAGGUUCGGUUGCGUGCUUAUCUUAGUGAUUCAUCUAGGCCGGUGUUAAGGGUGUACAUGGUUGAAAAUACGAGAGAGAAUGAGAACUAGAACAUAGAAGAACAACAACAAGAAUACAUCUUUGAUGAUCGGUUGGAUAAUCUAGACAUAAAUAGUCCAGAUGAUGAUCAAACACCUACGCCCGUUAAUGUGACCAAUACGAUGUGAAGUUCUUCUCAAUUGACACAAUCUAGAAAUAUUCAUGAUGAUGGGACCGUCUUUUUUUAUUUGAAUGUCAUUCAAGGACAAGAAUAAACUAUCUACCACUUUGUUUAUUUCAUUCUUGAAAAAAGAUUUCAGAAUAACGAAGGUGAUUAAUUCGAGCAGUGUCUUUUGCUUCAAAUGUGCUAAUUCAAACUGCAAGUGGUGAUUGAGAGCGGUGAAGUACGCAAGUUCUAGCAUAUUCAUCAUUCAUAAACAUAAAAAGUAUCACACAUGUGGUUAAGGGCACAUCUCGGGACAAAAUCCUCACACCACAGCAAAGGUGCUCGGUGAAUAUUUUAGGAGUAGUUUCCCCGAUGGCAAAGGCCUUUCAACAAGGGUUAUGGCCAAUCAAUUCCUUACAGAAUUAGGUGUCUUGGUCAGUUAUUGAAAGGUGGAUAGGGGGACACUCGAGCAUGGGUAUGAAGUCCUAGAUGCCUACCUUACAUGAUUGAGUCCACAAAUCCUGGAAGUACGACGAUAUUGCAUCUUGAUAAAAAUGGAAGGUUCAGGUACUUUUUUUGUAUCCUAUAGUGCUUGGAUUCAAGGCUUUCGACAUUUGAGAAAAGGCAUAGCUGUCAAUAGUACCUUCUUUAGGAGAAGGUAUAAGGAGUUCUACUAGUGGCGGUGGCGCAAGAUGCGGAGAAUCACAUCUUUUCUAUCGUUUUUUGUGUAGUGGACAAGGAAUGUAAUGCAUUUUAUGGAUUUUUUUUGAACAACUGCGAAGCUGUGCCAAAGAUACCAAAGAGUUGUAUUUUGUAUCGGAUAGGCAUCCAAGUAUUUCAAAGAUGGGUUCAUGUUCCUUCACUUAAGCUUACUUUGGUUGUUGCAUCAGGAAUCAUGAAGAGAACAUUCAAACCAACUAUCACAACGAAAGGGUUGUGACCCUUUUUUAUAAAGAAGCUAAAGCAUAUAGUAGUGAAGAGUUUUUGGACUAUUUCAAUCAAAUAAUGGAUGUGAAUCCCAAGGUAGAAAAAUUUCUCGUACGUGUCGGUUUCGAGAGAUGGACCCGGGCAUUCUGUCCAACAAAUAGGUACAUUCUUAUCAAUUUAAAUGUCUUGUUUGAGUUACAAGUUUAAUAUGAUGUCGUACUAAGUGAUUCUUUUGUAUAGGUACAAUGUUAUGACAUUAAACAUAGAUGAAUCAGUGAAUUCAUUGUUUGGCAAUGAAAAAUAAUUUCCUAUCAAGGCUAUGUUUGAAAAAAUAAGCCAGAAGUAUGGCAAAUUUUUUAAUGAAAGGCGUGUGCAGUUCAAGUACCCAGAAAAAAGAACCCAAUUUGUUCUAAAAAUCAAAAAAAUAAUAUCAAUGAAUGUCAGUUUAUAAAAUAGGUUAUUACCUCAUAAAAUAGCAGAUUACAAAUUCAGUACGACCAGUCAUAGUGAUGUUGCCACAGUCGAUCUUCAAAUAAGAUCUUAUACAUGCAGAGUUUUUGACUUGGAUAAAAUACCCAGCCCACAUGCUAUGGCAACGCUUCAAGCUCAAUAAAGUCAUAAAUAUGGAACUGAAGUUUACAAGCACUCCUCUCAAUAUUAUUCGGUGGAAAAAUAUGAAAUGGCAUAUAGUGUGCAUAUUACUCCGGUGCCUCCUAAAGAAUCUUGGGUUGUUCCUACAGAAAGAUUAAUACCUCCUCCAUAUAUUGACCCAAACACUAUUAAAUUAGGAAGAAAGCCAUAUAAGAGGAGGCGUGGAGUCAGAGAAUCAUUCUCAUCAAGAAGAAAUAAGUCCUCCGUAUGUAAGCGCGCUGACCACAAAAGAACUACAUGCCCGAAUCAUAAUCCACCAUGAUCAUUGUAAUUGCAGAAACUUGUAUAGCUAUUUGUUGUGGACUUUUAUAUAUUUAACUCAUUGUUGUGAACGUAAUGUUAUCAUUCAUUAUAUAUAAAAUAUCUUUUUAAUAACUUGUGCAUCAAUAAAAAGAGGCAAAAACAUGAACUAAAUAAUACAGCAGACCAAAAGUAUUUUCAGCAGAUUACCCAUCUAUGGAAAUAGAUGGAUAUUAGCUGGAAAAAUACAACACAGUUCCAUAAAACUGAAAUAUCUUCCUCCAAUAGAUAAUAAAUCUAUUGCAACAGAUGGAUAAUCUAUUGACAGAAACCGAAUCGAUGACCAAUCUAUUCCAACUUAUGAUCCAUCUGUUAAAACCCAAAAGGCAAAAUUGCUAUUACUACUGGAUUCAAAAUUGCUCCUUGCCUCCAACCGUCAACAUGUUAACAUGUAAAAUAUUUUGAAGAAAAAAUAGACAGAAUGAAAAUUGAAUAAGAAUUAAAAAGCAAAAGUUGACUAAAAAUAAAUUUUUCAUUAAAUGAAAAUUAAAAUACAUUAGGUAUAGAUCCGAUAUAGAAAAAUUAAAAUACAUGCGCUAAAAUAAAAAACACAUUCUAAUUAUUAUUAUUAUCAUCAUCAUCACUAAUGACAGUCGGCCAAUCAACUCGCAGCAGCAGGGCCCUCAUCAGCCUCUGCAUCUCUCUGAACAUCGUCGCUCUUACGGAAACCAACUCCCUUUUUAGGUCAUUAACCUGCCUCUGAAGUUCCCAUAUUGUGUCGUACAGAAUAGCAAUGUCCCAAACAGGAUCAGCCAUAACUAAAACAUGCAUGAAUUAAUAAAUGUAAAUAAAAGAGUUCAAAUGUAAUACAACAUAUACUACAAACUGAUAGAUUUACACCGGAAAAAUACUUACCUCAACAUAAAGGAAUAUGCUCUUUGAAGAGAAGUUGUUGAAGAUGUCACACGAAAAGAAAAAUUUCAAGAAAUAAAUAAAGUUUAACAGAAUGAAGAUUAAGAAGGGACCUACUUAUAGAGGAUUGAAUCUGGAUAUAUAAGGACAAAAGACACGUUUGUUAAGCUCCAUUAUAUUAAUUACAUUCAAACUGGUGGCAUUUUUUUCUGUAAAAAGUUGCGACUUUUUUGUUUACAUUAAUACUUCCCACCUUUUCAAAACGGUUUUGAAACUUGAUAACAGUCGUUAUUAUUGUGCUGUUGUAAUAGAUCAUCCAUAUGUCGCAACAGAUUUACCAUCUGUUAUAUCAUAUAGAUUAUCUGUUGCGACAGAUGGACCAUACGUUGGGGAUAUUUUGAUUUUUUCUAACAACCAAUUCAUCAGUUGCAACAGAUGGAGAUUUUAGUUCAUCAACUAUUUUAAAUGUGUUAGAUUAAAAGUCACCACUACCUCUUUUUUAAUAGUCAUCACAUGCGUGCAGAUAAAUAAACAAUGUCUGGUCUGUUGUAACAGAUUUACAAUCUAUUUCAACAUAUGGAUUAUCUGUUGCGAUAGAUGGACCAUAUAUUAGAGAAGAUGUUUUGAUUUCUUCUAACAGCUAAUCAUCAGUUGCAACAGAUGGAGAUUUUGAUUCAUCAUUUAUUUUGAAUGUGUUAAGAUAAAAAGUCACAACUCUUCACACCUCUUUUUAAUAAUCAUCACAUGCGUGUAGAAUAAACAACACUGUAGUGUCUUUGAUGGUUUAGAAAGAAUAAGCUACGUUUAAUGGAUCCACUUUCAUGUGUGGGAGUUAUGUAUUAUUGAUUAGUCUACCGCGACAGACACACAUAAAGUGCAAUAAUUUUGUGAAUGCAGUUUUUUACCGAUUAGAGACUGAUCCUUCAAACAAGAUCCUGCAUUGUAUAAUUUAGUUUGAUAGGUGUAAACUGAUAAGGCCGAAGGGUUACAAGAUGGUGGUUUCGAUACCCUAUUACAAUUUAAUGACGAUCCAUGUUCAUGUUUUUGUGUCAAGUUUGGGGAAGGGUUUAAGUUUUUGGCGGCAGUGUAAAUAUCCAAUAGCGAUUAGACCGGUAUUAAUGGUGCAAUGGACUUGUUGAAAGGACUCCGAAGCCUCGCACUACAGCAAACAAUAAUGGAACCAAUAGAAAUUCCCCUAUUCUAUAUUUAUAUGGAUGGAUUGCUGAAGGAGACUUUUUUACAGUAGAAGGUUGUUGAGAGAAUACCUGUGCGGGAAGGGGGAGGUGAAGAAGUCCAUAUAUCAUCUCAGACCUUAUUUAAGAGGAAACACAAGGUAAGAAGCAAGGAAAUUCUAGCAAAUAUGGACAAUGAAGUUGACAUGAGAAACAGAGAAACUGGAUGAGCUUCAAAUGUUGAAGUGUAUUCAAAUAUAAAAAUCCAUCAGUCGUUGAAAAAAAAAAGGUCAACAGGUUUGGAGAUGGACACUUUGCUAGAGGAUUCAACUAGCGAGCGUUGACUCAAUGAAGACUCUCACAAAGUGCAGGACCAGAACUCUAAGGAAGAAGAUUUGCGAGCAUAAAAAGUUGAUACGAUUGUCGGUCAGAAUUGAAACCUGAACAAACAACUCCUGAAUUAAAAAUAAAGGAAGCCAAGAUGUUAAUUUCUAAAGUCUAACUUGCAUACCAUGCCAUCUGUUUGUGUCUAUGAUCAGGUUUGUGGUAGUAGAAACAAAAAGGUCUGAAGUUGGGAAAAAAUCCGAUGCCUUAUUCUUUCCAUUGCCUUUCCUUAUGAGGCAUGGGAUGUAUAUUUAACUUGAGAAAUUACCACCUUGUCUUUAUCCCAUAUUUUUAAUUCAGGAGUAAUUGUUUCAGGUUUCAAUUCUAACUGACAAUCUUACCACCUUCCGUGCUCGCGAAGCUGCUUCCUUAGAGUUCUGGUCUUGAACUUUGUGAGAAUCUUCUUUGAGUCCACGCUCGCUAGUUGCAGUCUCUAGCAAAGUGACCAGCUCUAGUACUCUUGACCAUUCUUCUUUUACUUCAACGAAUGAUGGAUUUUCAUUUUUGGAUAUGCUUUCACAUUCGCAACUCAUCCAUUUUUUUCAUUUUUCAUGUUAAUUUCAUCAGCCAAUUUCACUACACUUUCCUUCCUACCAUGUGUUUCCUUUUAAACAAGGUCUGAGAUGAUAUAUAGCCAUCUCAACCUCCCCUUUCCUGCACAGUUAUUCUCCAAAGCACCUACUAUUGUAUAAUAGUCUCCUCCAGCAACCCAUCUAUAUAAAUUUGGACCAGAGAAAUUUCUAUUGGUUCCAUCGGUGUUUGUUGUAGUGCGAGGCUUUAAAGGCCUUUUAAGAAGUCCAUUGAGCCAUUAAAACUGGUCCAAUCACUAUUGGAUAUUUAUACUGCCGCCAAAAACUUGAACCUUUCCCCAAACUUGACACAAAAACAUGAGCAUAAGCCUUUAUUAAAUUAUAACAGGGUAUCGACACCACCUACUUAGUCCCUCAGCCUUACCAGUUCUAACCUAACAGUCUUAUCUAUAAAAUGCCAUAUCUUGUUUAAAGAAUUAAUGCCUAAUAGGUAAAGAACGAACAUUCACAUACCUCCUAUAUAUGAAGAGAUUCCAUCUGCAAGCAGCUUAUUCAUUUGAACCCAUCUUUACUCUAGCCUUUAAUGCUGGUCGGGCAAAAAUAUAUCUAGUUUCACUUCCUUUUAUAUACAAACAAGAUAAAUACAUUUGACGUCAAACAAGAGAAGAAGAAAAAGAACAUUACAAAAGGGUAACACAAAAUUGAGCGAAUCAAUAGAUGACUAAUCUGAUGCAACAGAUUACCCAUCUGCUUAAUCGAUAAGGUAUCUGUUGCAACAUAUGGUUGACAUAUUACAACAGAUGAGUUAUCUAUUGGAAUAAAUCAAACCAGCCUUGUUACUGGUUUGAUUUCUUCAAACAGUUGCUCCAUCCGUAUAAAAAGGUAACACAAAAUUGAGUGAAUCAAUAGAUGGCCAAUCUUAUGCAACAGAUUACCCAUCUGUUCAACUGAUGAGGCAUUUUGCAAUACAUAUAAAAACAAUAGUUCAUUCAUUCAAGACUUAAAAGUCACCUUUCCUUCAAUUUUCUCAAUAAAUAGGAAACUAGUAAAUAGAUAAAUCAUUAAUAGCAACAUAUGUAAAUAUCUAAUUUAAAUGACAUACAAAGAAGAAAACGAGAUGGAAAAAGCAAUAGUAAACCAUACCUGUAAUUUGUAAAAAGCAAAGGGAUUGGAACAUCCAGUUCAAUUGAGAAAAGAAAUUGAUCGGUUGAGAUCUGAAAGGAUCCUCAUCUGAAAGAAGAGAGAAAAAAGAGGCAAAAAGGAAAAAAGAAGAUAAAGAAGAAAGAGUGAUAGAUGAGUUGAGUUAAGUCUUGAGUCUUACUUAUGGCUAAAGGAGAGAGUAUUCUUCUAGAUAUGGUUUUUAAAUAUUCAUUAAUAACUUUUGACUUUUGAGGGACACAAGGAGACAGUGACAUUGAAAUGACCAAAUAAGUCUACUCACUUAGGAGAUUUUUGAGUUAUCCAGGUAAUUUUUUUACUGCCUUAGUAUUUUAACUUUUUUAUCUCGGAUAGGAAAUACCUAAAUUAUUUUUAAAAAGGGUCUUAAAACAUCUAAGUGCAAUAGAUAACAAUUUCCUUUUGAAAAUUUCCAAAGCUCGAUCAUCUGUCGCAACAGAUGCAUAAUAUAUUGCAACAGAUGACUUAAUCUGUUUGAUUAAAUCCAACAAAAAAGAAAGCUAUUGAAAUAGGUUGAACAUUUGUUUUUAUACAUGUCAAUUGAUUUCUCAUCUUAGACUGAUACCUUAAGGGGUCAUUUGGUAAAGUGUAUUGUGAAAUAUAAUGCAUGCCUUAGUUAAUGUGUAUUGCUAGUACCUUAUUUGGUGCAACUUUUUGCCUAUGUAUAACUAAUGCAAGCAUUAGUUAUAGUUAUCCACUAUUGUUUAUUGAAGCGUGUAUUAGUAAUACACUCUAUUUCCUAUGUAUUAGCAAUACAAAUACUUUAAAAACAUGCAUUAACUUAUUAAAUGACCUUAAUACCCCUCAAUUUCCCUCUCAAAAUAUUUCACCAUUUCUUUUCCCAUCAUUUUAUUUUGCACUAGUGAGUUUUUUCUAAUCAUUUCACAAUUUCUUUUGCCACUAUUUGAAUUUACAAUAAUGAAUGGCUGAUUUAAAUAACUAUAACAUAUUUUUGCUUUGCUUCGAGAUUUAAAUAAAUAAAAAAAAUUGAUACUAUUUCUUAAUUUUACGUCUUGUAUUUUAUUUUCGUUUCGACUAUGUUAAUCCAUCGGCGUAACAUUUUUGCAAAAAGAUGAAGGUCUUGAAAUUAAUCCUAAACCUCUAUAUAAUAGUUUAACAAUAUUAAUUAUGUUUGAUAUAACAAAAGAACUUUGUUGCAAAAAAGUAUACAAAAUCAAAGAAGGGUAUUUUUGUAAACAAAAAUUUCUUUUAUAGAAAUUAUGUAAGAUAUAUUAUUUCUUAUACAUCAAACCAAACAAUGUAAUUAUUACUAAUGCAAGCAUUACUAAUACACUAUAUUUUGCAUUAUUCUUAUACACUCUACAAAAUUACUCCUAAUUGAUUAAUCUAGGACCAGGGGUGAGUUGUCAUAGUGUCAACUACAACUUCAAUUGAUUCUUUUGGAAAUUGAAUGAUAAGAUUGUAUUACGUUCCUCCCGGCCAGAGUCGUUGAUCGAUCACUCUGAGCUAAACCGAUUCUUACUACCUCAUAUGUUAGACCAAUAACUUAAUUGAUUAAACUAGGACCAGGGGUGAGUUCUCAUAGGGUCAACUACAACUUUAAUUGAGUCUUUUGGCAAUUGAAUGAUGAGACGGUAUUGCAUUCCUCCUCGCUAAAGUCAUCGAUCGAUCACUCUAAGUUGAACCGAUUCUUACCACCUCAUAUGUUAGACCAAUACCAUAAUUGAUUAAUCUAGGACCAGGGAUGAGUUCUCAUAGGGUAAAGUACAACUUCAAUUGAGUUUUUUGGCAAUAGAAUGAUAAUACGGUAUUGUGUUCCUCCCGACCAGAGUCGUCGAUCGAUCACUCUUAGCUAAACCGAUUCUUACUACCUCAUAUGUUAGACCAAUACUUUAAUUAAUUAAACUAGGACUAAGGGUGAGUUCUCAUAGGAUCAACUACAACUUCAAUUGAGUCUUUUGGCAAUUGAUGAUGAGAUAGUAUUGCGUUCCUCCCUUCCAGAGUCAUCGAUUGAUUAGUCUGACCUAAAUCGAUUCUUACUACCUUAUAUAUUAGACCAAUACCUUAAUUGAUUAACAAAUAGCAGCCUCUAUUUGAUAACUUACAAUAGAUGGAUAAUCUUUUACGAUAUGUGAUAGUCCAUUUGAUAAUUUACAAUAGAUGGGUAAUCUGUUGCAACAGAUUACUCAAUCUGUUUGAUAUUUUGCAAUAUAUAAGUAUCGGAUGCAACAGGUUGAACGUUUGUUUUUAUACAAUUUUAAUUGAUUUCAUAUACUUAAAUUGAUUAAUCUAAUCUAUGACUAGGGGUGGAUGGGUGAUUUCAUAGGGUCAACUACAACUUCAAUUUCGUCUUUUGGCAAUUGCAUAAUGAGAGGGUUAAAAAUUAUGCAUAUCUUUUAUAAUUUUAAAAAAUAAUUAAGAUCAAUUCAGACCAAAUUAACAUUUCCAAAACUUGUCAUUCUUUUCCAAAAUACAAAUCAUCCAUUUGCAAGAAAAAUGUUUCAUCAUUUCACAUCUCGAGUUCUCGCUCUUUUCUCUUUCUCACUGAAUUAUACAGUACAAUCAACAACUACAACUACUUAACAAAUCGCUCUACCUUUCAUAACAAAUCAAUUUUCUUCUCAUUUUUGACCACAUAGGUGUUAUUGUUGACUUUAUUCUUGCUUGUAUCAGUUAUUUUCUCUAUCUUCAUAGAUAACAGAGUUUGAGAAGAGUUCUAUAUUUGUUAUUAUUUUCUAAAAAAUAAGGGCUUUUAAGUUAAUAAUGAAAAAGAAAACUUUUAAUUGUAUUAUCUUUGAGAAUGGGUUUACAAUUUUGAGUUUUGAUGGUAAAAUCGUAGGAAGAACUCCAGAAACCCUAAUUUUUGUCACAGUUUUUCGUUGACUAUCAUGGUAUUAUUGGAUGGUGUUUGUGGUGUUUGUGGUGGUGGUAGUAGUGGUCAUCAUCGUUGUGGUGGCACUGGUGGUGGCUGUUGGUGACAUUAGUUAGGAGUGUUUGUGGUCGCAUUGGUUGGUGGUGUUUAUGGUGGUUGUCGGUAGUAUCGGUAUUUAUGGUGUUUGUUGCAUUGGUUGGUGGUGUUUGUGGUGGCAGUGGCUAUUGGUGUGUCGUUAUUGGUGGUGUUUGUAAUGUAUUUUUUAAAAUUUAUGCAUACAUCAAUUGUAAUGUAUUUUUAUUUUUCUGUUGUUUGUAAGUAAAACAUCUCUCCCAAAAGAAAAGAAAGUGAAAGUGGAUCAACGUUUGACCACUCCCAAAAAAGGUUAUAGUACAGAGGGAUUCAGAGGAUCUUCUUGAAUAAUCUCAGGCAGGGAAACAAAGUAAAGAUGAGGAGAUAUAUGAAAACAAUGUUGAAGGAGGUGGACUAGGGUCUGUAGAUGGGGAUGAAGAAAAUGAAAGUAAGAAAAAGGAGAAAUUAGAUAGUGAGAAAGAGAAAGAGGAUGAUCAUCAACAUGAUGAUAAUAGAUCACCCAUGGGGCAUGAAUUAAUAUCAACAUCCCAGCAUGAUCCUAUCAAAACUUUUAGUAUUGAUAAGUUUCAAGUUGCGAUGCCGAUAAAUUACAAAAAAGCAAAAGAACUAACUUGUGAAAUUGUACUUAAAUGUCAGAUGGGGAGUAAAUUUACUAGUUUUAGGAAAAUAAUGAAGGAUGAAAACAUAGAAGGACUUUUUAAGAAGAGCUACUUUGGAUGCUUUCUUGAGAUAGCUAAGGAUAACCUUGACCAUUUCCCAAUAAGGAUGGUAUAUGGUCUUCUCAAGCGCAUGAUCAAGUACGUGGGGAUGAUAAAAAUUCGGAGAAGGGGGCAAAAAUAUAAAUUAAAUAUGGAUCAACCACUGUAGAAUGCCGGUUUGUUUUAGUUUGCAAAAGUUUGCCAUAGUGAUGGGCUUGAGAUUCCAUUGUCCAGAAGAAUCACCUAUCACCAAGGAAACACCCCACAAAAGAUUAAAUGCAAGAAAACACAAAGAAAAAAUAGAUGGGUUUCUUGACAUUGCUCGACGUGGAUACAAAGCAUCGGAUUUGUUGAUAGAUCUCAUGGAUAAAACCAUACCUAAGAAGUAUUGGGAGAAAUUGUGCUUAUUUGGUUUGCCCAUCCGGUUAUAUUGGCAAGAGAUAUCAACAAGGCCAUAGAAGAUUAUUUGUUGGCCCGUGCUUAGGAUUUUGAUAAAUUCAACAAUUAUCCUUGGGGCUAUGACAACUUCUACUUGGUUGUCCAAUAUUUACCAACAAAGGUAACCUCAGGGAUGACUACAUUAUACGGAUUUUCUUGGACUUUUAUGGUAAAAUUAAUCACUAUUUUAACUCAUCCAUUAAGUUAUAUUGAAUAUAGUUAUUAUGACUUUUUUUUGCUUUUGUCCUGUUUACAUUUCUUAGGCUUGGGCAUUUGAAGCCAUUCCUCCCCUCCGAAAGAAAGUAAUGGAUUACCCGAAUGAGGUUUCUCAUCCAAGGAUAUUUAGGUGGUUGGCUGCAAAGAACAACACCAAAAUUAAGGAGGCUGAUCUCUUUAACCCUCUAGAUGAUGCAGUGUGUCUUCUUCAAGUAAAAUAAUUUUACUCAAUGAAAGAUAUUGAAUAGAUGUUAUAUCUGGUGCAAAAAAUGUUAUAUCUGAUACACCAGAUGUGACAUCUAUUGCAACAGAUUUCCCAUCUUGUGCUAACUGGUGCAAUAGAUGGAUAAUCUAUUGUGAUAGACGAUUGAUAUCUUGUAUCAGAUUAUCCAUCUGUUGCUUUGGUUCUCUGAACCCGACUCCUAAUAGAUUAACCAUCUACUGCAAAUUAUGCAACAGGUGUGUAAUCUGAUGUAACGUAUUGUUAAUACACAUACAGAUCAUCUAUUACAUAAUAUGUGACCCAAUAUAUUACCCGCCUUGUGUAAUUAGUGCAACAGAUUGGUAAUGUAUUAUGACAGAUGAUUGAUAUUUUGCAUCAGAUUAUCCAUGUGUUGCUCUGGUUCUCCGAACUCAACUCAAAUGGAUUUUAACCAUCUACUGCAAACUAUGCAACAAAUAGGUAAUCUGAUGCAACAUAUUGUUAAUCUGUUAUAGAAGUUGACUUAAAAUACUAACCCAGCUAUGAAAAUUAUUAUAUUAUAUGAUUUAAAUGUAUCUAUCUUUUUUUUUAUAGGUUGUGCAUCUAUGGAUCGUGCCUACUGAGGAGGAGUCAUUGAUGAUUUCUUAUAUUAUUUUAGGUCAUGUUGAUACUAUAGCAUACCCAACGGUAUAGUUAAUAAGGAAGGAAUUGGCUGGAGCAACAACCAUAAGAAGAACAGUUAGGCAAGGUCAGCCUAAUGUUGAGGCUCUUUAUGACCAACCUACUAAGGCAGAUUCGGGUGCUUCUUCUUGUGGAGUUGUUAGUGUUGGUGGAAGUCAUAUUGAUACUGCUACCACUCGUGACUAUGAUAAUAUUGAUGCUCAAGAAAAAAUAAAUAUGUCUGAAAAACACACCUUUUCACCCUUACAAAGGUCCUCUCACCCCUCUUUACCCUCGUAUGCUCGUUACGAAUCUGAAGAGUGCAAGAACAACCAGGAUAAGCUCUUUAAAAAAGUAGAGGCUAUCUCUAAAGCUGUCUAGAAAUUCAAAUCCAAUAGGGGUUUCAUACCAUCUAAGAAGUUGAGGGAUCAAUACACUCCUACAUUGUUGGUUAGGAGAAAGAAAAGAGCAAUAACCAACGUACUCUCUUAUUGGAAAUCAAAAAUAAUUACAACUCCUCCCUCUCGAAAAGCUGUUGAAGUUCAGGGGACAUUCAAGAAGAAGGUAAGGAUAUACGAUGAACUUGGCUCCAAAGAGAAGAGGGAUCUGCGACAGGCUAAGAAUGCCAAGCCAGGCACACCAGAUUACCCCAUGCCUCCCUUUCCCCCCCAAGACUUCCAGACUAUGACAGAUAUAUGUAUGUGUUGCGAGGAUAAGGCAAGUUUACUUUUCCUAACCUAGCCUUCUAAUCUAAUCUACCCCAUGAAGAAGAAGAUACACAACAGAUGUGAAACCUAUUGCAAUAGCUGGGUAUUCUGGUGCAACUGGUAGUGGUUCUGUUGUAAUUCACUAUCCAUCUAUUGUAUAAGUUACAUUGGAUUAUUGAUUCAGAGAACCCUAUGCAAUAGAUGUACCAUCUUUACAAUUACUAACCUAUUUAAAAAUUGUCUUCUUAUAUCACAAUAUGUUGACAAAAUUCUUUGUCUCACGAGGGAAAGACAAUUAAUGUACCCAGAAGCUUAUGACAUUGCUGAUAGGAUAAUGGACCUCGACUUCUGCAAGAAGCUCAAGGAUAAGUAUGAUCAACUCAAUAAUGCUGCAUUAUACUGUGGCAUGAGAUUUGAUUUCUUAUCUUCUACGUUGAACUGGGAUAAAGAAAAAAUGAUAAAAUAUGUUAGAGGGAAGAGGCCAAAUCCACAUGGUAAGAGCUGGACCGAGGCAAAGAGGAUUUUUGUAGUCAUUAUAGUGAAAGACAUACAUUAUUAGGAUAUUGAGAUACUACUCGAGGAGGGAAAUAUCAAUGUUAAUGACUGCAAUGAACCUCUCAUCGAUGAUCUCAAUCUUUUUCUCCUCGUGGAGCCACUAAUGGAGCUGUUGUCCAUCUUAUUGAGGGAGAGUAAAAUGCUGAAUCAUUUUCCAAAGAAAGUGUUGAUGAAAAAAUCAUAGGAUUUUGAAGGUCUAAACAAGGUCAUGAUCCUUCCAAAAAAUGAUGUCGGUUACGCGAGCGGCUCGCACGCUCUUGCACACAUCAAAUGUUUGAUGAUCGGCACAAAAAUGGUAGAGCUAAUGACCUUUCUGUGCAACAACACUAUGGAAAACCUACAAGAGGUCUGGGCUUAUUGGGUACUAAAUGGAUGCUUGGAGCCUAUGUAUAUAGAAGAGCCUAUGAAAUAACAAUUUUUAUUUCUAGUCACACUUCACUUUACUUUAAAUUACAUGUACGUGUAGUGACAAUAAUUUUUUCUAAUGAAUGAAAGUUAUUUUUUUAUAAUGCAAUAGAUUAUCAAUCUGUUGUAAAAUAUAUUCUAUCUGUUUUGGCAGAUAGUUUAUCUGUUGAAAUAGGUUGGUCAUCUAUUGCAUUAUACCGAUGUUAUUUCUAUCUAAUCUAAGUCUAAUCUUUUUCAAUAGCGGGAAGACCUAUUUGAUAAUUUCCAAUAGAUGACCUAAAUUUUACAACAAUGCCUAAAUAUGUUUGAUAUUUUGCAGCAAUUACAUGCUUGAAUAUCCAUGUGCACGACAACACCAAACCAGUAGCAAAUACACCACCAUGAAAAUUUCAGCAAUUAGGCUUGAAAAUCCAUGUUCCUAACACCACCAAACAAGUAGCAAUAAUGACAACAAUGUAGUAUCUUCUUGCUCGAUUUUAUUUCUCUUCAGAAGCCUUGACUUUCUUCAACAAACCCCAGAUUACACGAUUUUCUUGUGAAGGGUGUCGUUCUUCAUACCAAUCAAAGUAAUCGCAUCCAUCCAAUUUUUAUAAAAAUAAGAACACAAUUACAAAACAAUUACAAGUCAAUAAUUAAUCAACUAAUUAAAUAAAAAAAAUAUUACCUUUGAAAUCUUACAAGUAAAAAACCUAUGACCUGGAUUUUGUUGAGUCCAAGAAUUCUUCAAUAGAGCUUCAUGACCGCACUUACAAUAUCAAAAAUCAUUAUCACAAAAAACAGUGAAAGAUGAGCUCGACAUUGUCAAGCUCAGAUGAAAAAAAAUAAAAAAAGAUGAAGAAAAGAAAUAUCAAACAAAAAUAAUUUGAAAAAUAUUUGGAUAGAUAAAAAAAAGAUGACGACGAAGAGUAAGAUUUGGGAAUUGAAGGUUAAAUUUUAGGAAAAAGAUGAAUAUAUAAGACAUUGGGGGAAAAAUGAUCGUUGGGGGCAAAAUCAGACACCAAGUCAGCAAAAUGUGCCAACCUAACACAUUUAUGCCUAUUUUAUUUUACGUGUUUAAAAUGAAAAUUGUCUACUUGAUGUCUAUUUUAUUUUAGGUGUUUGAACUGAACACUGUCGAUAGAUUUCGCCUUUUUUAUUUCAAUUCACUUUCACUUUUUUACAUGUAGUGGCAAUUUUUUUAUGUCCAAUGAAAGUUGAAUUUUUAUAAUGCAACAUAUUCUCCAUCCGUUGUAACAGAUAUUCUACUUGUUCUGACAUAUAAUUUAUCUAUUGAAAUAGGUUGGUCAUUUGUUGCAUUAUGUAGGUGUUUCAUGUUUCUAUCUAUUUCUAUCUGUUGCAGCAGGGGAAGACAUGUUUGAUAAAUUCUAAAAGAUUACCUACCUAUUGAAAUAUAUGUCAAAUCUAUUUGAUAUUUUACAACAGAUGUUCCUUCUGUUACAACAGAUACAUUAUUAGUUGUAAUAUUUGAAUCUAGUAUUCCAUUUCAAUUAAUAAGUUCAAAUCUAAGAAAAAAAAUUCAUAGACAAAAUAAAAUAAAUCGAAGCCUUAAGAAAUUAGUUGAAAUAAAAUCAACGAAUAAAUGAGAUGUAAAAAAAUUGUUAUGGGCACAGAUGUCAACAAAUAUAUCAACAAUUUAAGUAUUGAUGCCAAGGAUUCCUAAGGAGGGAUGAGGUUAUUACUUUGACAGACUCAAGCUAUAAAGAUCUACUCAGUAUGGACAAGUUGUUCUUCAUUUGGUGCUAUGGAAUUUGGCUUUGCUCAUCGUAGAUCUUUAUUGACGCAUAUGUAUGGUUUCUGCAUUUUCUGUUCUUUGAAUUUCCAUAAAAAGAGUAGAUUAGCAUAUUAUCAAUGCUGUUCAACAAUAGCUUCUACAUCCACCUGGAAAGCUAGAAUUGGUAAAUGCUAAUCACGAAUAUACAAUAAAAUGGAAAAGGAUAACACAUUUUUUCUAGCAAAUCAAACAUGUCUUCUUUCUAUUUUAAAUUGUCCCAAAUAGAUUAUAUUUUUGUUGCAACAAUGAAUCAACUGUUGGGUCAAAUCUAUAUGAUAAUUUUCAAUGGAUGAACCAUCUGUUGCAAUAUAUGACUCAUCUAUUAUAGCAGAUAGGUCAUCUAUUGGUACAAAUAAAAGCGGUACAAAGAGCUCUUUGAUUUUCUAAAACAGAUGAGACAUAUGUUGCAACAGGUACUUUAUCUGGUUUAACAAGUUUGUCAACUGUUGCAACAGAUGUAUAUAUUUGUUUGAUAAUUUUCAGUAAAUGUGUCAUUCGUAGAAAUAGAAAUGUGUCUGCUUGUUAGUUAGAAGACAUAUAUAUUCACCUUGUUUAGCUCGUGUUGCUCUCCUUUGGACAUUGUACAUUGCUCAGUGCAACACACAGACAGAGGAGUUACAAUUUUGCUCUUUUAGAUGCUUGAUAAUGCCUUGAAAAUAACUUUCCAUCUCCUCUUAGCCUUAAUCUCUAAUGGAGUGGAUGGAAAUAAAAUCCUCAUUGAUGGAAUGAAACCUCUCUUAGAUAUCAAUUCCUUUGCAUAAGUAGCUAAUGCAUUAAUAACAUUAAUCACUACAUCAUGUUUCUCCCUGCAGUCUUGACAUUUGCAUGCAGAACGUUCGCUGGGAGAGGCAAAAUCUGUAUAACCAGUAUGAUCAUACUCAUAAUGGUUUAUUUUAAAUACUGUAAACGGAUCAUCAUUAGCACCAACAAUAACACUACUACCACCACCAACAGCCACAUCACUACUAAGAACAUCAAUAACAACAAGAUCACCCUUCCAAAAUUAUUUUUCUUGUAAUGGCUGUUGCUCCAAACAACUCCAUUUUUAUUCUGUCGAUGACCUUAGGGUUUGAUAAAGUUUUCACAGACCAUAAAGUAAAAACAAAUGACAUCUUCAACUCUCGAUUGGUCAAAACUAGCGAUGGAUGCACAAUCUAACAUAAAUCAUUACGUAUAUUAGAAUGAUGAUUAGAUCAUUCAAAAGAAUCAUUAAUUAAAAUAAAAACUUAAUUAUAAUUAUAAUUACUGCAUACUUUGGGUGUUGAAGAGAUCAAGAAAUUUUGCAUUUUUAUCAGUUUGGCCAACAACCAUCUCAAGAUUCUUGAACAUGAAACUUCUUCCUAGUAGUUCACUUGUUUUCUUAAAUGAGGAAUGACUUCAAACACCCAAGCCUAGAAAAUAACGCCAAUAAAUCAAAACAAUUAUUGAGCAAAAAAAGUGAAUGAUAUCAUAAUAAAAGAAAGAAACAAAACAUUUACCAUUAAAGCCCAUGGAAAGCCAUAUAAGUUGACUAUCUUUGGCGCUAACGGAGUCAACAAAUAUUGGAUAGUCAUUUUGAAACUUUUAUAACCCCAAAGAUAGCUAUUAAAUGCCUCAAGAUCCUCGGAGAUCCUUAUUAAACCAACGCUUAUGUUGUUGUUAACAUAUCUUUCCCAAAGAAUAUUAUGUACAAACCAAACCAAGCACAAUGACUGCUUGUGCUUCUUGGAAAGUUCUUUAACUUUCAAUGCUUCUAUUAAAUUUUUAUUUUUGAAGCUUGGACCAACAAUAGACACUAGGUCAUCACGAUCACACGACUUGCCUUUGCCUUUUAUGGGUGUGUGGGGUGUUUUUUUUGGUUUAGAAUAGGUAUAAAUUGAGAAGAAGGAUACCAUUUUAGUCCAGUAACUAUGGCAAACUCCUUCCAACCAAAACAAACAGGCAUGCCACAGUAAUUUAUGCUUACCUCAUCAAUCUUAUCUUUGUUUUCAUACAUAAACCUACUUUUGAGAAGUUCAUAUUCCAUUUUCAUUUGGAAAUGAGCAUUGUCGUCCUCCGACAAAUCAAGAUAUUUCUCAAAGCAGCUGUCCUUGAAAUAAGCAUCCAAUUUUUUUCUCAAAGUAUUUUUCUGGAGUUGUUGAAAGAUUUUCCCGUGGAUAACUUAACCACAAAAUCACCCGUUAAAUCUGUGGUACCAUCGUACUGCAUUCUCACAUGAUAAUGAUGAAUGCUGAAGGUUUUGACCAACUCUUUGGUAGAAGGGCUAUUAGCAUUUGAAUCAUUACUUUUGAAACAUUCCUUCUCCCCGUGUUCAUCAUAUUCUACUCCUGAUUAAGAUAACGCUUGUAAAGCAAGAUCAUAAGUGGUGGAUGUAGCCUAGCUGCUUCACUUAUUCCUUUACUUAGAUUUGAUUCGACUUCUGUUCUUCUGGGAGCCAUAUUAUGUAAAAUUAACAAGAACAUGAAAAAUAUAUCAUAGUUGAUUAAUGCAUCGUUAAAAAAGGAUAACAGUAAAUCUAACAAGCAAAAUAGUAAAAUAAUAGUUCCAAUAGAUCACUUAUCUGUUGCAUCAGGUAGUAUAUCUAUUGCAGCAUAUAACAAACCUAUUGCAAUGGAUUAGCAAUCUGUUGCAACAAUGCAAAAUGUAUCACUCAUCUUUUAAGAUAGAUGAAUGGUCUGUACAACAGAUCAAACAUUGUUAUAACAUAAGUGAUAUAUUGGAAUAGUUAAAUAACCUGUUAUAAUGAAUUAGUAAUCUUUUGGAACAAUACAAAACAUAUCACUCAUCUAUUGAGAAAAAUAAAUGGUCUGUACAGUAGAUCAUAUAUCUGUUGUAACAUCAUCUAUUGCAACAUAUGAGUGAUCUAUUGGAACAGUUAAAUAACCUGUAGCAAUGGCUGAGUAAUCUGUUACGAUAAUACAAAAUAUAUCACUCAUCUGUUGAGAAAGAUGAAUAGUCUGUGCAACAAAUUACACAUCUGCUGCAACAUAUGAGCAAUCUGUCGGAACAAUUAACUAACCUGCAGCAACGGCUGAGUAAUCUAUUGCAACAAUACAAAACAUAUCACUCAUCCAUUGAGCAAGAUGAAUAGUAUGUGCAAUAGGUCACACAUUUAGUGCAAUACUUGAGUGAUCUAUUGGAACAAUUAUCAACGGUCAAUAUUGUUUAAAUUUCUUCCAACAUUGGGUCAUCUAUCAUGGCAGGUGAAUGAUCAGUUAGAAAAAAUCAUUUCUUGGACAUAUCCUAUUGGAAGAGUUGAUAGGAUUUUAUCCAACAGGAGGUUCAUCUACUGUAUUAGAUUGUUAAUCCGAUGGUUCUUCUGUUGCAUCAGAUGAUUAAUCAAUUGCAUCAAAUUUUUUUAUCCGAUGCUUAAUCUGUUGCAACAUAUAGUUAAUCUAUUGCAUCAUAUGAUAAAUCUGUUACAUUAUAAGAUUAAUUUGUUGUAUAAGAAUGGUAAUCUGAUUAUUCCUCUGGUGUAUCAGAUGGUUGAUCUGUUGCAUCAUCUGACAAAUAUGUUACAUCAUAUGAUUAAUAUGUUGCACUAAAUGGACAAUUUGUUGGAUUAAACAAAAAAUAGUAGCACGAUUUUGUUCAAUAGAAAAAUAAUAAUAUCACCAUUUUUACCAAGAACAAGAUAGAACAAAUCAACCCAAAUCAUUGUUUUGUUUUUAGAAACACAAACAACAAAAAUCAAACUUCAAAAAAAUGCAACAAAUAACAAAAAAUCAUAAUUCACUUCAAAAAGAGGAGAUGAAAUACCAGAAAUUAGAGUUUUAUUGAGAGCGCAUUUUAAAUUAAAGCAAUAAAUAUUGAAAUUGUUAACCAAUACUAUAAGAGAAGUUGGCUCAUGUUCCUUGUCUUCAUUAAAACUAAAAAGGCUAUAAAUUUUUACCUGCAAAAGAAGAAAUAGAAUGAUGAUGAAUUCGAAGCUAUUGUGGCCGGAGAGCAAGGUUGUCACAUCGAUUGAAGGUUGAAGUUGAAAAGGAACUCGAAGCCCACUAUUUAUCAUCGGAUGUUGAAGUCGCCAAGAAUUGAAAGGAGAAAUUUGUAGAACUAUUAGUUGUGAGAGAGUUGAGAGAAGCUAUCGAGAGAGAAGAGAGAGACUGGUUGAUUUGGAUUUAAGAGUGGUCGGGGUUGGGUUGAUUUGUAUUUUUGAAAAGAUUAGAAAGUUUUGAAAAUAUUAAUCAAGUCCAAAAUUAACUUAAUAAAGUUUCCUAAUGAUGUUUGACCCUUUAAGUUGGUCAAUGUCACCAAUCCUUCAUUCAAGACUUAAAAGACACCUUUCCUUCAAUUUUCUCAGCAUUAAUGAUCUACACGCGGGAUUUUAUUAUUAAGAUACUAUUCCCUAGUUCUCAUUCAAGUCCAACAUUUAUGAUCUAUAUGGGUAUCAAUUUGGCAUUGAAAACCUGAUAAGGACCGAUAAGACUUGGGUUAUGACAGGCAAGGAGCAUCAGGUACGCGUACUACGUAUUGGCUCGUAUUACACUUAUCUUAAGUUAAGUGUAAGGCAUGACACCACUUGGAACCAAGUAAGCUCUUGGCCUAAAUGAUCUAGUUGGUUCAUAUCUACAUCACAACAAACUAAAGUAUCAACUGCAAACAAUAAGUGAAAAAUCGACAUUAUCCCAACAUCCCCAAUCAUUGCAUUAAAACCCUUUAAAUAAACUCCCAUGACAGCUUUGUCCAUCAUCCUGCUCAAAGCUUCCAUAACUAGAAUGAAUAAGCUCGAACAUAAAGGAUUUCUUUAUAUCACGCCCCUGGAACUCGUAAAAACCUGCAAUGAUUGCCAUUCACUAAAACUAAAUAUCUCAUAGAAGAAAUGUAGAAUAUGAUCUAUGUACUCCAUUUUUACCCAGAUACGAUCUGAAUCAUGAUGAAAUCUAGGAAACUCCAACUUACAUGAUCAUAUUCCUUCUUAAGAUCAAGCUUGCACAACAUGGAUGUCACUUUUUGCUUUCUCCUUAAAUCUACCACUUCAUUUGCCGCCAGAGUUACAUCCAAAAUCUAUCUACUCUCCUAAAAAGCUUUUGAAAAGAUGACAGUCUUAUCUAGCACCUUCUUAAGUCUUAUAGAAAGCAUCUUAGAGAUAAUCUUGUAAAUAUUUUCCACUAGACUAAUAGGUCUAUAAUCCUUUAAGCCUAAAGCUCCCUCGUAUUUAGGGAUAAUGCUAGUAAACAAAACAUUCAAACUCUUUUUGAAUUCAUCCCUUUUCUAGAACUCAACAAUAGUAUCCAUCAUAUCAGUUUUGUGUAUUCCAACAGUGCUAGAAGAAAGCAAAGAGAAAUAAUCAUACCCUGGAGGUUCAUCACCCGCGCAACCCUCUACUGCCCUUUUCACUUUUUCCUUCUCGAUCGCCCUUCCUAUCCACUCACACUCCUCGUCUAUAUGACUAAAACAUAACCUCUCUCCCCAACUUAGGCCUACUGCCUAUUUCUUCCUUAAGAAAAACUUGUAAUAAUCUACAAUUGUCCCUUCUAUUUCCUCCUUCCUACAUGCACCACCCUAUUAACCUUCACUGGCUCUAUGAAAUUCCUUUUCCUACUAGCAACUACUACCCGCUAAAAAUAUUUUGUAUUAGAAUCCCCUUUCUCUAACCAUAACGCCCUCGAUUUUUGUCUCCAACUUAUCCCUUGAGAUAAAGCCAACUCCUUUAGCUCCCUUUCCACUUGCAUUUUUCUUUCCUUCUUCCACACUUCCAACUCCUUCCCCGCUUCAAGCCUCUCUAAUUUCCCUAAUUCAAUCAUCAUCUCCCCUAUUUUCACCUGUAUUCUACAAAACACUUCUUUAUUCCACUCCCUUAAGUCCUUGUUAAGCAAUUCCAGCUUUAUGGCAAGCAUAAAAGAAGGCCUCCCAUCCACAUAAUUUCUUCAUCAUUCGGCCACUCAAUUUUGAAAACAUUUAUUAUUAACCACAUGUUCUCAAAUUGGAUAGGAGACCUCAUAUGUCUUCCUUUUCUACAAGCCAACAACAUAGGAAAAUGAUUUGACACCAAUUUAGAAAAAGAAUUUAGAUCACAUUGGGUGUUAACUCUUCCCAAGAAGUGGACACAAGGAAUCUAUCUAGUCUUGAUCUAUAAAAAGAGUACUCUGACCUACACCAUGUAAAUUAGGUACCUUUCAAAGGAAAAUCAACAAAAAAAUAGUUAUCAAUAAACUUCAAGAACCCCUUCAUUGCUCUAUAGACCACCCUACCUCCCAUUCUUUCUUCUAGGAAUCUAAUUGUAUUUAAAACCCUACCUAGCACCCAAGGAAUAUCCUACCUCCCAAAUCAUCUCCUAAUUCUUUCCAAAAACUCUAAUUUGACCCCUCCCAACGAGGCUAUAGAUUCUCCCAAAACCCUACUAUAUUCCAGUACCAAUGUUUCUAAAUCGGGCCCCUAACAUAAAUUCCCCCAUGGUGACCUCCGUAUGUGCCACCUUUAUAUCAUACCAAAGAAAAAGUAUUCCAUGUGCACUUUUCCAAGCCAAAAUAUAACCAUACUUCACCCAUCUCCCCCCACAUUCCGCCAUUUUAUCAUCCAAAGCAAAAUAUUCCACAUGCACUUUCCCGAGCAAAAAUAUAAUCAUACUUCACCCAUCUCUCUCCACCACCCACACUUCCGAUAAAACUCUUUGUGAAAGUUUCCAUUUUUGUUCCUUGGAUACAUAUCACAUCUUCCCCUAUUCUCCAAACCUAACUUUGAUGGUGGCCCUCUUACUAGGUUUAUUUAAACCCCUCACAUCCUAUAAAGUAAUUUAAACUUCCAUAGACAAUAAAAUUAACUUCUUCUCCACCUCUCUUCUACCCUAAAACCCUAAUCCUUUCCUUGUUUCAUUCUCUCCUUUCAUAUACUACCAAUUUUUCUCUAAUAUUAUCCUUAUCCAUACACCCUUGUCUCCUGCCUCCCUUUCCUGAGACCGUCUUUCUCCUUUUCUCGAACCCUUCUAGUUUUUUUAAAUGUUUUAACUCAAGUCUAGUACCCUACCCUCCUUCCCUACAGAAAUUAAUUCCAAAAUUCAUCAAAUCUAAGCUGUUUAUCAACAACCUAUCUAGACAUGCCUUUUCCUACCUCCACAUGCAAAAGGCAGUGCAUUUACCCCUGAGCAUCACUUAAACCACCUUUAGAACUGUUAGAAUAUGAGUAGAAAUAGAAAUAGCAUACAAAAUCCUAUUUGGAAAAGGAUAGUGAUGUAGUGCCUAUAAAUAGGAUCUCAAUGUAAUAAUUUACACACAAUUCAAAUAAUAUUUUUCUCCAUUAUUUAUCACAUGGUAUCAGAGAAGGUUUGGUAAGAAAAUUACUAGAAAAAAACUCAAUCAAACAGUCGUCAUGCUUUGAUUUCUAGAACCUAUCAAGUAUUGUUUGAGCCCUAGUCUAUUUUACAAGUGUUGUGUGUGAAAACCAACACUACCACGAGGUGCGAAAUGCUCAGGCGAGAAAAUCCCGGUGACCACAUCUCAUCUCUGGUGUACCGUGCACCGCUGGAAGGUUCAGAUCUAGGUAUCACGUGCGUCACGCACUAGUACAUAUUGUUUAUUCCGGCCAGGUUUCUUUUUUAGUGAGGUCGCCUCUUAAUUCCAAGGCUGUACUGAUAGCUAUUUCUUGAUUUGGACAAUCAAAUUCAAUUUUUUUUCAGUGAUUGCCCCAAUUUUUUUUGGGUGAUUGACUUUUUUGCUCAAUGUAAUCCUAUGAUUAAAUCCGAACCCUUAAUGAGGAAAUCAAAACAUCAAACAUCUUAGUCUAUGAAGAAUCAAUGAGGGGGAGGUCGAUUUGGAAGAUCUCAACCUAGGUAUAGUUAUUGUAAAAGGAUUGGGCAUACUCGUGAUGUAUGCUAUUCUCGACCUACGUGUAGUUAUUCUAAUAAACUUGGACAUACUCAUGGAAUAUGUUAUUCUUUGUAUGGUCUACCACCUAAAAAUGUUCAUGUUGCUCAGUCUAACAUGACAGGUGAUCAACGAGUGUAUUUAUCUGACAAGGAAUAUAAUGAGUAUCUUCAAUAUCAAGCAAGUAAGCAUACAUCUCUAUCAAUAGUCUCAACUGCAUAAUCUCCUACCUUUGGAUCAUUGGUUGUGGACUCAGGUUCUUCUAAUCAUAUUUCUGGAAACAAGUAACUUUUGUCUAAUAUUGUUUAUUCACAGUCUCUUCUAGCUAUUACUUUAGCCAAUGGGGUUCAAACAAAACCAUAAGAAGUUGGAAAAGCCAAACCCCUAUCUUUUUUCACUCUGAACUCUAUUCCUUAUGUCCCUAGUUAUCUUCUUAAUCUUGCAUCUAUUAGUCAUUUGACACAUGCCCUUAAUUGUAGUAAAAUUUUUUUAUGAUUCUUUUCUAAUGCAACACCGCAGUAUGGGAUAGACGAUUGGCAUAGAACAUGAAUUACAAGGCCUUUACCCUCUUACCUCUUCACAUUCUUUCAUAUCAUGUCCCGUUACAGACCCUCCAAACCUUAUUCACAAAUAUUUAGGACAUCCGAGUCUAUCCAAGCUACAAAAGAUGGUCCCUAGUUUGUCUAGUUUAUCCACAUUAAUUGUGAGUCGUGUCAACUUGGGAAACACACUCGUGCUACAUUAUCACAUAGUAUUGAGAGUCAUUCAGAGUCUAUUUUCUCCUUAAUUCACUCUAAUAUUUGGGUUCCUAGUAAAGUCAGUUCACCCUUAUGAUUUCAUUAGUUUGUUAGUUUCAUUAAUGAUGUUUCAUGGUGCUCUUGGGUUUUCCUAAUGAAAGAUUAUUCUGAAUUAUUUUCUAUAUUCAAAAGUUUUUGUGUUGAAAUACAAAAUCAAUUUGGUUUCGAUACUCAUACUUUUUGUAGUGAUAAUUCCUUAGAAUACGUAUCCUCUUAGUUUUAGGAGUUUAUGUGUCACAACCUAAGUUGGGGCCCCAGCCGUGAUGAGCAUCCUGAACCAUGAAGACCCAGGUGCCCUUCUAUUUCUGGUAAUUAUACACAAUAAUUAAUAACAAAGAAAAUAAUAUGUAAAUAAAAUAAAUAAAAUCAUGGUCAUACUCUGAAUUCAAUUUAACAAUACUGGAAAGAAAUCUAUCAGCAUCUAAACAACAUCUAUUUAAGUCUGCGAAAUCUCUAGUACAUACGAAAACUAAUACAACUGUUUGAAACCUGGGACAAUUCCCCCAGUGGACCAAUACCAUAAUGAAGUAACAAUUCUCUAAGAAUGGCCUUACGAAGUAAGGGAGGCUCACCAACUGUACACUUCUGAUUGUCAAAUCUACGGUUUAGCAGGACCUCUAGACUGAGCCUCAGACCUUGAAAGAUAGGGGGUCAAUACAAUUGUACUGGUACGCAGAGAAAUCCAAAAUAAUGAAUUUAUAUAUACAAAAUAUGUGAGAGCAUUUCAUGUAACAUCAUGUGUGAUAUAGUUUAAACUACAUGGGCAAAUCUUUGAUAAUCAUAAAACAUUCUUGUCAAUGCAGUUCCAAUAUUUAUAUUACUUUUGAGUUAGGUGGUCUACCCUCCAAUUCUACAACCCCAUGGGCUAUAGGGAGUUCACCCUUAACUCACUAGCCAAGCCCCCAACCUAAGUUUGGAACAAAAGUUGGAGUUUCUAAUUCUAAUAUGCCACAGGACACUAGGUCAACGUAUAAUCCCUAUAGGGGACAUAAUAAUCCCGUAUUGGCAAAACACUAUUUUGGGAAAUGAGUUUUAUAGAGUCGUGCCUUCUUAGGGUAACCACCUAACAUCUCUUUAUGCCCAUUUUUAGCCUUUUCUGAACAUGUAUUAUUCUAAGUUCAAAAUCUAAAAAUUUGAACAAAAAUCCACAUUUUAUUCUGUUCUGUCCUACAAUGGCAUUAUCUGAAUUGGUAUCAUCAUACCAAGACUUGAAAGUCAUUUUUUGAGCCAUAAAAAUCAUAUCACAAUUUUCUAUUUCAAAACAUAAAGUUUAGAUCACCAUACUUGUAAUACCCCGAAAUAUCCAAACCAAUAUUAGAGCCAUGUACCAAGCACAUCCAUAGUACAUCAUGGUUAUUUUAUAGUUUUAUGAGUAGGUUAUAUGUAUAUUAAGGCUUCAAAUAACUCCCAGCUAUCAGAUGAAUCAAAACAUUCCUUACCGAUUGAAUUCUUGAGAAGGAUAUUGGUAUAAUCAACUUCAAACGAGCAUAUCUCUCAUUAUACUUGGAAUUUUUGAGCUCAUGACCUAUCAACAGAUAUAUAAUUGAAUUAGAUUUCUAACGAUACCAAUUUAUCCUAAAUACGAUAUCAGAGCAAAGAGUUAUUCCUAUUUUAGUCUAGCAUGUCAGGCUGGAAAUAGUGUGACGACAUUCGUGGUAGCUUACCACAUUUGUGACUCCCUAUCACGAAGGUCAUUAGCCUUAGGGAGAAACAGGAUCCUAAGUGAUGACAUUCGUGGUAGCUCACCAUAUUUGUGAUGCCUUAUCACGAAGGUCGUCAGCCUUACACAGAAACCAGCUCCUAAGUGAUGAUAUUCGUGGUAGCUUACCACAUUUGUGAUGCCCUAUCAUGAAGGUCGUUAGCCUUAGGCAGAAACUAGAUCCUAAGUGAAGACAUUCGUGGUAGCUUACCACAUUUGUGACGCCUUGUCAAAAAUAUCUCUAGCUAUGAUUUUUUAGCAACUGGGAAUUUAUUUCAUAAGGGUAUUUUAGUCAUUUUCUUUACCUUCCACGACUUAUAACCCUAAAAAGGCAUAAUGUUUCCCAUUGUAUUCUUCAGUUAGGCAUCUCAAAAACCCUCUCUUACGCUCUCAACAAUAAAAUUACAAUUUCCAUCAAAAUCAUCUCUCAAAAGCAAGAUUCAAGCCUUUUUCCAAUAUAAUUGAGAAUAAAGUUUCCCAAUCCAAGAACUCUCCAGCAAAUCAUCAAGGUUUCCUUUAUAAGGUAUGUGUAGUGUUCAUCUAUGGAUCUAAUCCAUUCAUAGAUCUCAAGAAACGUGUUUAAAAUAUUAUUUUGUAAACUUUUUGUGGUGAUAUGAGUAUGUACAUGUUGACGAUUGUUGUUUAAGUUUCAAUGUGAUUUCUAAAGGUGUUUUCAUGGAAUAUAUAUGUUUGUUAAUUGAAAACCAUGAACUUUAGGUGGUUUAAUAUGGUGCAAGUAUGAAACUCACCUAUGCCUUAAAGAAUGCAUGCAAGGUGUUUGAUAAAAUGCUUAGGAUGCUAUAAAUUCAUGUUUAUAUGGUUCUAUGAUGUCUAAAUGACAAGUCUAAGUUAGCUAUAUACUUCAAUAUGAAUCCCAUGCUUUUCAUGUGUUGCUAUUGUGGUGUUAUGAAGCAUGUAAGAUAAAGGAGAUAUACAAUAUGUACAUGAAGUAUAUCCAUGCAUUUUUCCUACAAUAUUUAAGAUGUUGAAAAACUAUAUAAAAUAUGAUAUCCCCUACUUAUGAUAAUAUGAAUUAUGGACUCAAAUCUUGUGAUCAAGUCAUGUCAUGUGUGUCAGUUUCCUUCUAUUGAGUCUUGGGGAUAUUCGUACCCAAAAAAUAGUUGUGUGCCUAGAGCCAUGUCAUGUUGUCAUGAUAAUCUCUGUCAAGCUAUAAUCUAUAGAACUCAGUCAGUCAUGUGACUCAGGAAAACCUCAGAAAUCUCAUUAUCUCAGUUAACUCUCAGAUAAUAGUACUACUCCAUCAGUCAAUGAAAUUCAGUUAAUCUGUCCAUGUACAGUCAGUUGAAUCAUGUUUAGUCUCUUUAGAUGGGAGUAGAAGUUAGCACCGAGUGAACCCAAGGAUGGGAACUCACCUUCCAGUUUAGGGUGUGAUUCUUAGUAGUCAUCCUUGUGUUCCAGAAUUACGUAGCCAGCGUAGGUUGAGACAUAUUAACCUGUCAGAUUAGGGUUGAUGAGGUGGCUUAACCUUUUAGUUUAGAGUCCCACCAUUCUCACUUUGAGUACCUGCCAAAUAAGGGUCACUCACAACUGUCCUUACCAGUGGCGCGGUAUUAACACCCCUCCAGUCGGGGCAAAGAUUGGACCCCAACUUAGCCAUAAUGGUAUAUAUGUGGCAUGUCGGUUAAAAAACUACCUCCCACAGAUUUAGUAUCGAUCUCACUAAACAGUUCUUCGGAUAUCAGUAUACUAGGUCUGUUAGAUAUAGUCAAAUUCAGUUAUAGCACGGGACUCAGGGAGUUCUACCAGAUUCAGGACUGUCAGACACAUUCACUCAUGUUAUCAAAACUACAGUUCUAAUCAUGUAUUAACAUACAUAUUUAGAUACCAUGUACUCAUGAUCUCAGUUUCUUAUGGCCUUAUGGCCUACAUAUUCAUGUUUUCCGCAUUAUUACAUUAUAUAUGCAGUGUACAGGUACAAAUAUCAGUCUUGGGUUAGCUUGUGGUCCCUCGGGGUUAUGAGCAUCGUGUAGUAUUUCGAUUUAGAAAAUCAGGGCGUUACAAACUUGUUGUCAGAGCCUAAGGUUCAAUAGAGUCCUAGGAAGUCUGAAAGCCGCAUCUAGUAGAGUCUUGUACAUGGGUGUGUGCGUACCAUAUUUAUGUAUAGGAGGCUAUGAGAUGUUUUAGGAAUAGUUCCCUUUCUUCAGUAUUCAUCUCGUGCUAGUAAGCAUAAUUUCACGUCAGUCUCUCAGUCUAAUCCAUAUCAGCAAAUUUAGUCGAGUUAGAGAUGACUGAUUUUGAUGUCAUUCUUGGAAUGGAUUGGCUUUAUUCCUGCUAUGCCACAGUCGACUGCAUAAAUAGGACAGUUCAAUUUUAGUUCCUAAAAAGGCCAUCCUAGAUUGGAAGGGUAGCACUUUGUCUUUUAGGGGUCAGCUUAUUUCCUACCUUCGGGCAAGGAAAAUAAUUUCUAAGGUGUGUGUGUAUCAUCUCGUGCAUGUUAAGGAUUCUAGUUCCGAAUCUCCCAGUCUCGAAUCAAUCCCAGUGGUUAAUGAAUAUUCAGAUGUCUUUUCCAAAGAUCUUCCAGGCAUUUCUCCCAAAAGGGAAAUAGACUUUGGCAUAGACCUUCUCCUAGAUACUCAUCCUAUUUCUAUUCUGCUAUAUAGAAUGGCACCAAUAGAACUCGAGGAACUGAAAGAUCAGUUGAAGGAUCUCUUAGAUAAGGGAUUCAUCAGGCCCACUGUAUCCCCAUGGGGUGUGCAAAAAAGACGGUUCUCUCAGAAUGUGUAUUAAUUACCGUUAGCUCAAUAAAGUCACAGUCAAGAACAGGUAUCUGCUGCCUAGGAUAGAUGACUUAUUUGACCAACUUUAGGGUGCCAGUUAUUUCUCUAAGAUAGACCUCAGAUCAGGCUAUCAUCAGCUCAGAGUUAGAGAAUGUGACAUUCCAAAGACAACUUUUCAUACUCGGUAUGGUCACUUUGAUUUUCUAGUCAUGUCCUUUGGUAUUACCAAUGCCCCUGCACCUUUCAUAAACUUGAUGAACCGGGUGUUGAAGUAGUACUUGGACACAUUCAUCAAAGUUUUCAUAGAUGAUAUUCUGGUCUAUUCUCGCAUAGAGCGUGAUCAUUCAGACCAUCUCAUAAUUGUUCUUCAGACUCUCAGGGAUCACCAAUUGUUCGCCAAGUUCAGUAAGUGCAAAUUUUUUCUAAGAUCAAUAGAAUUCCUUGGCCACAUUAUUUUUGGUGACGACAUUAGAGUAGAUCCUCAGAAAACCGAAGUAGUAAGAAAAUGGCCUCGCCCUGUCUCUCCAUCAGAUAUCAGGAGUUUCCUAGGUUUGGCUGGCUAUUACCGAUGGUUUUUUGAGGGAUUUUGUUCUAUUACAUAUCGUAUGUCCAGAUUGACUCAGAAGAAGGUCAAGUUUCAGUGGUCAGAACCUUGUGAGAAGAGUUUUCAGGAGUUUAAGACUCGACUUACCUCAUCUCUAAUUUUAGCACUUCCCAAUAAUUCCGAUGGAUUCGUAGUAUAUUGUGAUGCAUCCAGAGUAGGUUUAGGUUAUGUCCUCAUGCAGCAUGGUAAAGUCAUAGCCUACACCUCCAGAUAGUUAAAGACCCAUGAGAAGAAUUAUCCUACUCAUGACCUUGAGUUAGCAGCAGUUGUCUUUGCCUUAAAGAUUUGGAGGCAUUAUCUAUACGGUGUUCAUGUAUACAUCUUCACAGGUCAUAAGAGCCUUCAGUAUGGCUUUUCCUAGAAAGAUCUCAAUCUUCGUCAGAGAAGGUGGUUAGAGAUCUUGAAGAAUUAUGAUAUGAAUGUACUUUAUCAUCCUAGCAAGGCCAAUGUAGUGGCUGACGCACUCAGUAGACUGUCCAUGGGUAGUGUUUCCCAUGUUGAGGAUAGUAAGAAUAAAUUAGCUUAGGAGAUUUAUCAACUUGCUAGACUAGGUGUUCUCUUAGUUGAAUCUUCAGAAGGUGGUGUAUGUGUUCAGAGUAGUUCAUAGUCAUCUCUAGUUUCCGAGGUGAAAGAGAAGCAAGAUAGGGAUCCUAGCUUUGUCAAGAUAAAAGAGUCAGUUCAGUGUUAAGAAGUAGAGGUUUUCUCCCAAGGGGGAGAUAAUGUUCUUCAUUGUCAGGGUCGUCUGUGUGUUCCCGGUGUAGAUGACUAAAGAAAGAGAAUUCUCGUAGAAGUGCAUGGUGCGCAAUACUCUAUUCAUCUAGGGUCCACUAAGAUGUACCAUAAUUUAUGGGAGAUCUAUUGGUGGAGUAGGAUGAAGAGGGACGUUGCAGAAUUUGUGGCUAACUACUCUACAUGUCAGAAGGUUAAGAUAGAGCAUCAGAAACCUAGUGGUUCCAUGCAGGAGUUCACUAUUCCUACUUGGAAGUGGGAAGAAGUGAACAUGGACUUCGUGAUGGGUUUUCCUAGAGCACGUCAUUAGCAUGAUUCAGUUUGGGUCAUUGUAGACAGAAUGACCAAGUCAGCUCAUUUCCUUCUAGUUCGUACCUAUUACUCAGCCAAGGAUUAUGCCAAACUCUAUAUCAGGGAGUUGGUCAGAUUACAUGGUGUUCCACUAUCUAUCAUCUCAGACAGAGGUACCCAAUUCACCUUUCACUUCUAGAAAGUGUUCGAAAAGGGUCUUGGUACCCAAGUUUAUCUCAGUACAGCGUUUCAUCCUCAGACAGAUGGUCAAGCAGAAAGGACCAUUCAGACUCUAGAAAAUAUGCUAAGGAUGUGUGCAAUUGAUUUUAAGGGAAGAUAGUAUGACCACUUGUCUUUGAUUGAGUUUGCAUACAACAACAACUAUCACUCCAGUAUUUAAAUGGCUGCAUUUGAAGCUCUCUAUGGUAAGAGAUGUAGGUAUCUAAUUGGUUGGUUCGAAGUUAGUGAGACCACAUUCAUAGGGCCUGACUUAGUAUUCGAUGCCUUAGAGAAAGUUCAGUUGAUCAGAUAAAGACUCUGGGAUGCUCAGAGCCGACAGAAGUCUUAUGCAGAUGUUCAUAGAAAGGAUCUUGAAUUUGAGGUCAAUGACUAUGUCUAUAUAUAUAUCUCUCCCAUGAAGGGAGUGAAGAGAUUCGGCAAGAAGGGAAAUAUGAUGGUCCCUUCAGGAUUCUCUGUCGCUUCCGCAAGGUAGCUUAUGAGCUCGAAUUACCUUAAGAUCUAGCCUCAGUUCAUCCAGUCUUCCAUGUCUCUUUGCUCAAGAAGUGCAUAGGUGACCCAGUAGUUGUAGUCCUUAUUCAGAGUGUUGACAUUCAGAAUAGCCUCUCUUACAAAGAGAUUCCAGUCAAAAUCCUCGACUAUCAGACUCGCAGGCUGAGGAACAAAGAAGUCUCUCUAGUCAAGGUUCUUUGGCGGAAUCAGUCCAUAAAGGGAGCUACUUAAGAAGCAGAAGUAGACAUGCAAACCAAGUACCCUCAUCUUUUCUCUGGUAAUUCAGACUUAGCUCUAGGUAACCAUUUUCCUUAAGCUUAUUCAGUUACAUGUUCAAAAUUCAAGUAUAAAAUUGGUAUCAAGUAUUAGUGCAUAGCUUAUCAUGCAUUCAUGAGUCCAGCUAUCAGUCAUGCAUAAAGAUGUGCAUGUUCAGUUGGGCUAUAUUCACUUUAGAAUUCAAUUCAGUCCUAUAAUCAUGUGCCAGUUGAGCAUGAUCAGUGUAUGCGUCGUUUUAUCUUUUCUCCCCUCUCAAGCAGCCAUCAUUCGAGGACAAAUGUUUCCAAGAGGGAGAUAUUCUAAUACCCCAAAAAAUCCAAACCAAUAUUAGAGCCAUGUACCAAGAUCAUGCAUAGUACAUCAUGUUUUUUUAUAGUUUUAUGAUUAGGUUAGAUGUAUAUUAAGGCUUCAAAUAACUCCCAGCUCUCAGACGAAUCAAAACAUUCCUUAUCAAUUGAAUUCUUGAAAAGGAUAUUGGUAUAGUCAACUUCAAAUAAGCAUAUCUCUCAUUAUUCUUGGAAUUUUUUAGCUCAUGACCUAUCAACAGAUAUAUAAUUGAAUUAGAUUUCGAACGAUACCAAUUUCGCCUAAAUCCUAUAUCGGAGCAAAGAGUUAUUCCUAUUUUACUCCAGUUUGUCGGGCUGGAAACAGUGUGACAACAUUCGUGGUAGCUUACCACAUUUGUGACACCCUAUCACGAAGGUCGUCAGCCUUAGGUAGAAACCAGCUCCUAAGUGACGACAUUCGUGGUAACUUACCACAUUUGUGACGCCCUAUCACGAAGGUCGUCAGCCUUAGGAAGAAACUAGCUCCUAAGUGACGACAUUCGUGGUAGCUUACCACAUUUAUGACGCCCUAUCACGAAGGUCGUCAGCCUUAGGCAGAAACCAGCUCCUAAGUGACGACAUUCGUGGUAUCUUACCAUAUUUGUGAUGCCUUAUCAUAAAUGUCAUCAGCUAUGAUUUUUCAGCAACUGGAAAUUUAUUUCAUAAGGGUAUUUUGGUCAUUUUCCUCACCUUCCACGACUUAUAACCCUAAAGAGGCAUAAUUUUACCCAUUUUUUUCUUUAGUUAAGCAUCUCAAAAGCCCUUUCUUACGCUCUCAACCACAAGAUUAGGGUUUCCAUCAAACUCAUCUCUCAAAAGCAAGAUUCAAGCUUUUUUCCAAGAUAAUUUAGAAUUAAGUUUCCCAAUCCAAGAACUCUCCAGCAAAUCAUCAAGGUUUCCUUUCUAAGGAAUGCAUAGUGUGAUGUGUGAGCAAAACCUAACACAUUUAAUACUUUUUAACUCAAAAUAAUUGUGAAUUCUCAAGCAACUCUUUUUGUUUUGAUGUGUUUGCUCAUGAUAUUGCCGAAAAAGGCUGAAGAAAUGUGAAUAAACAAUAAUGGAGCAAAAGAGUUGAAAAUAUGAGCAAAAUAAAAGAAAACAUGGAUGAUGACCUCUGUGAUAAGUCUUCAGGCUUGUGAUAGCCUAUCAGUAUUAACGUCAGCCUUAACCAGGGAGUUACAGUUUGAGGAGCAUUUCUGAAGAUGCCGGUGAUAUGGCAUCAAAGUCAAGAUAAGGCGUCAAGAAUGGCGUCAGCCUUAAGUAGAAAGUUAGCAUGGGAAAAAGAUAUCUGACGACGUUGGUGAUACGCCUUCAGAUCCCUGACACAGUGUCAACUACAUCGCCAGCCUAAGAUAGAACCUGAAGGCAACUAAAGCCUCUUUGACGCCAUCUGUAAUAGGGCAUCAACUUCUUGAUGCGGCGUCAGCCUGGGCGUCACCUGUUUAAAACAAUUUUAUUAAUUUUGUUAUUUUAUUUUCUUAAUUAGGCUUUAGUAUAAAUAACAUAUUUUAGGGUUUUUGAAGAGGAGGAAUAAUUCAUCUAUCAAACAUCAACUCUAAGAAGCGAGACAUUAUUUUUGCUUUUUUUCAUAAAAUAUUCUUGUGUUUUCGUAUCAACUAUUUUUGGGGUUUCUACGUUGUGAUUAAAUCGGAGGAACUACUUUUGGUUUUCUAUCCAUUCGUAAUUUUAUCAAUAUAAUCAUGAAUUCAACUUGUUAUUUCGUUCAUCAAAUCAUGAGCGGCUAAUUUCAUUAGCCGAAAUUAUGGGAUCCAUGGAUUAGGGUUUGAUAUGAUACUAGGUGUUUAACGGAUUCAAAGAGUAGUAAAACAUCUUGAAAUUCUAUUGUUUCAACUAAAAUCUAGUGGUUGCAAACAUUAGGUUAUGCGUUAGGUUUUAUUUGCUUCUAACGGAGAAAUAGACUAGAGGACGUGAAUUAUCAACAUGGACUCGGAAGCUACCAACCUUCUGUUUAAUGAUUAAUGCUGUAACUGGAUUAAUUUACCUGAGAUAACAUCCUAUUGGAAAUAGAUAAGUUAUCUAAGUUUGAGAGAAUUAGAUAAUAAAUUUUCUGGUGAGAUCGAGAGAUAAGUCAGAUAGUAUAAUCGUCAGGGAUAUUCUGUUGUUCUACUCAUUCCGAGAAUCUCUAGCAUCACUUAGUAUCUGUCAAUUUCUGAAACCCUUGGUGAACAUAGCUCUGCUUUCCUAUUUAUCUCUUUUACAAACACUGAAGUAUUGAGAGUGAUAUUUAACACACCAUGAACUUAAACUCCCAUCCUUCAGAAAUAGUAAAUUACCAGUAAAAUCUUUUGUAAACAAAUUAAAGUUCACACCCUAUUCCCUGUGGGAUUCGACCCACAACAUUGUUGGGUUUUAUAUUGACAAUGAUCGCUUACACUCAUUCAAGGGUGUAAUUUGAGCAUUAUCAAAAAUGGCGCCGUUGCCGGGGAAUACGGUUGUAGACUGGAUAUUUUGUGUGCAAAAAUUUGCUGAUAGUUCAGUUUCCAUGAUUUACGUUUAUUUGUUGGUUUUGUUUAUUGUAGAUACUAUGUUGUUUAUGCCAAGCACGAGAAUUUCUGGAGAACCUCUAUUACCAAUCAAUCUAGAACCUCAACUAAUUAGAGGAAUGGCUGAACAACAAAAAGCAGAAAGACUAGCUGCUUUAGCCAGGGCUCAGGUGAAUGUGCAAAAUUUGGGUCAACAAGCACGUCACCAAAACCCUAAUGAUAAAUACUUAGGUGAUGAGGAAUUGCUGAUUCCUCAAAACCCAAGGAGAGCUGAGCAAGUUGCUGCACCAGUGCAGUGAAACGAUAAUAAAAAUCAUCCAGUCCGAGAAAGGUAUGGUCAACAUCCUAUGCAAUAUGAGGCUGAUGAAGAUGAUGAAGGAAUUGAUGGAGCUGGUGCAACGGGUGCUAUCAUUCCGCCACCAUUGUCACCUGGUACAAAGUUCAGCAUUACAAGUACCAUGAUCUAACUCCUGAAUCUAAAGGGGUUAUUUGGAGGCUUUCCUGGUGAUGAUCCGCAUAUGCAUUUGGUGAACUUCAUCACCAUUUGGAAAUCCUUUUACAAUCCAGGGGUGAGCCAGAAUGCGAUCAGGUUGAAAUUGUUUCCUUUGUCUCUGUCCGGGGAGACAACAAUAUGGCUUAAUGAGUUAGAGCCUGAUUCUAUAACCAACUAGAGAUAGUUGAAAGAUACGUUCCAAGAAUAGUUCUUUCCACCCUCUAGAAGGGUAUAGUUGAGGGACGAAAUUAGCAACUUCAGACAGUUUUCGACUGAAGCACUACACGAAACCUGAGAAAGUUUUAAGAAAAAACUUGCACAAUGUCUGAACCACAAUAUGAUGGACUUGCACUUGAUGGAUACUUUGUACAGAGCUUUCAACUCUGUGACAAAGCCUAUUAUGGACAAUGCUGCAGGCAGUUUGUUCAUUGAUCUCCCUUUUUGGAUGCUUCCGACAUGCUGAAUAGAAUGACCAAGCAGAGUCGAGCUUGGCAUACUAGGGAUUCUGUAGUGGCUAGCCUGAUUAUUGCUGGUGGUAUUAAUGUGAAGCAAUGUAUAAGGAUGAGGAACGAGAUCAGGACAUGGACUACUUGAAGACGCAGAUGGACUUGCUGGCUAAGCACUUGCUAUCCGGCAAGACUGAAAUGGUCAAGGCUGUAGAUUCUUAGGGUACUGUAUCUGCAGGUGCUGAUGCUGAGAAAAACUAUAUGAGUAAUUAGGGGGUUCCUGAGGCAAUAGCCAAGGGAACCAAGGUCGAAAUUUUUAUGACACGCCAGAUUAUAAAGAUAUGGAGCAGGAACAUUAAAGAAAUAAUAACGACAGGAGUGGUUUGUAUAUUCCUCCUGGAAGUUAAGAUGCUGCCAUAACUUAUUCUGGAAAGAUAUCCAUCGAGGACAUAAUGGAAAAUUUAUUGAAGGGAGUUGAGGCAACCAACUCGGGGGUAACUAAUAUGAAAAGUAAGUUUUCUACCCUCAGUUAGUUGGUUAGCUCACACUCUACGUCCAUUAAGCAGUUGGAGCAGCAGAUGAGCUAACUUUUGGCUACUCUGAACAAGAGAAAAGCUGGUACUUUACCUAGUGAUAUGGUUCAGAACCCACGGACUGAUGGCUCCUAUAUGGCGAUUACCACUCAAAGUGGUAAGGUGUUAUCUAGCCCUUCUACAGGCAAAGCUAUAGAGGACGUAAAUGUUAAUGAAUCAGAAGGAUGCAAUCCAGUGGAGUUUGAGAAGAUGGAUGGCGUUGUUGAUAUUUUAGAAAAAGAAUACAAAAAGAAAGGGGAAGUGGUAUUGAAACAAAUACCAAGACCACCACCUCUAUUUUCUCAGAUAUUGAAAAAGAAAGAAGAUAACAAGAAAUUUAGCAAGUUCAUGGCAAUACUGAAACAAUUGACAGUUACCAUCCCACUGAUGGAGGCACUUGAGAAAAUGGCAAACUAUGCUAAAUUUAUGAAGGAAUUGCUAACAAAGAAGCGGAAGGUAAGAUGUAAGCCGGUGGACAACAUCCACCACUGUAGUGCCGUUUCUUCACAAACCUUAGUGCAGAAAAAUCCGACCCUAGAACAUUUACUAUACCAUGCACAGUUGGGUCCAUGAAGUUUACCAAAUCUUUAUGUGACUUAGAAGCAAGUAUAAAUCUGAUGCCACUUGAUAUCUACAAAAAGCUUGGAUUGGGGGAGCUUACCCCUACAACGAUGCGUCUUGUUAUGACAGACAGAUUGGUGAAAUGACCAGUAGGUGUAUUGCAUGAUGUGCCCAUAAAAGUGGAUGACUUUAUUUUGCCUGCAUCUUUUGUGAUAUUGGAUUAUGAUGUUGAUUUUGAGGUACCCAUCAUUUUGGGUAGACCAUUAUUAGCCACGGGAAGAGUAUUGGUUAAAAUGGAGCUCAAUGAGCUCAAAUUUAGGUAUGGAAAAAAGAAGGCCAUAUUCAAAAUUCAACCUCCUAUGAAGCAGUUGGAGGAGAUAAAUAUCUUCUUGGUUGUGGAUGUAUUCCAGGAAUUUGGUAAUAAGGUAGUGAUACGGCAUCUUGACGAAGUCUGAGUAGUCAAGAUAACCAAGUCGUGCCGCGAUACUAAAUCAGGCGCUUUUGGGAGGCAACCCAAAAUUUUAUUUUCAUGCAUUUUGUUUUUAUUCAUUUAGGUAGUAAUAGGAAGGAACUGAAGAGGUACAAAAAGGUCAAGGUAAAAACUGAAGAAUGCAAGCCAAAUGGUCUUGACGACAUUAGUGAUAGGCUAUCACAACUGUGAUGGCUUAUCACCAAUGUCGUCAGAAAGACCAGCAAUGGAGACCUUUAUCUGUUAAGGCUGACGACCUCCAUGAUAGGCUAUCACAUUUGUGAUUGCUUAUCAUAAGUUGUCGUCAGCCAUCAUUUUGUUUUUGAAAAUCUGGGCCCAAAUGGACCUGAAUCCGACUCGGCCCAGAUCUAAACCCUUCAGGUUCCCACUUUAUUUUAUUUUCUUUUUUAAGUAUUAUUUUAUUUCCUUAGUAGGAUAUUUACUUCUUUUCAAAACACUCCCAAGUAUACAAGGAAACAUCCUUCCUGAUAGUUGUGGGAUUGCAAGGAAAAUCAGAGUCUAUCUCUCAUCUUUUCUUCUCUCUCGCAUAAUCACGUGGAGUCAACUCAUCAGGUAUGCUCAUAACUUUGUUCUCCUAUGAUUGAAGGGGUAAAGUUGUUGAAAACAUGAUUCUCUAAAGGAAGAAACUUGAGUUCAAGUUGUAAUAGCAUGGAAAUCGGAAAUUAGGGUUAACUUGUGCCUAAAUUGCAAAAAUUUGAAAACCUCAAGUACAAAAAUAAAAAUUCCAUGUGAUUAUAUGAAGAAUUUGGUCCCAAAAUUAUUAAUGCAAACUGAGUGGGGGAAAAAUUCUGAGCUGAGGACCUAUCGAUAGGCUAUCACAACUGUGACGCCUUAUUAGGAAUGUCGUCAUAAGUUUGAAAAAAUUAUGCCAGUUCUGUUUAAGGCUGAUGACAUAGUUGAUAGGUUAUCAGAAACAUGACACCUUAUCAGCCACAUCAUAUCAAGUUAGAUGAUAAUGCUAAGUGAAUUUGAAUAGCAUGUUUUGACUGUUAUACCUUGAUCAUUAACUUGUAUUUGUCUUAUGGUCUAGGAACAUUCUAAUGGCACCUAAAACCAAGAAUCCUAACACUCCAAAGAAAGCUGCCAAGCCUAAAGUGGUUCAAAAGCUUAUUGAUGAAGACUCUAAUUAUGAAGAUGAAGAACCACUGCUCAGGUGGAGGAGAAAUAAACCCAGUCCAAAGGAACCUCCUCCACCUAAACCCAUUACGGUAGAGGAUAGUGAUGAUACUGAGACUACCACCCUAGCUGAGAGUGAAUCUUUUAAGCAAGAAGGUUCUAAACAAACUGAGUCCGAACAACCUAUGUCUGACAAGGUUGAUUCUGAGGAAACAUCCUCUAAAUCUCCCACGACUAAUGUUCAAGCUGAGAAGAAACCCCCAGUUCGGGGAACUUUGAUAAAAUGCAAGAAUCCGGAGGUUCGAGAGAAUGCUAGAUGGAAAAUCCCCAAAGCAAAGGAAAUAUUCCUCAAAGGGUUGAUUAGAACAAAAAGAAGAUCUACCAGACGGCCGGUGUUUCCAGAGAAGAGAGUCAUCAUCACAGGAUUUCUUGGGUAUCCUGCAGUAAAGAAGAAAUUCAAAGAUUAUGGGUUGGGAUGGAAUGCUAAGAGAGGUAAACCAUACAGUAGUCCGGGAGUUCUAUGCGAACUACCAGGCUAGAUUAGAGAGCAUGUGCAAAAGUGGAGAGACCACAGCAGACCAUCCUUUACUGACCAGAGUUCUAUUUCAUGGGGUAAAUGUAGAUAUUUCUGAUACGACUAUCAACAGGUUUCUACAUGGACCCAACUUUAAUCCUUAGGUCACAAAUCUUGCAUUCUACCAUCGUCUGAAGAGUAAGGAUGACCAGCAUCCUUGGUUUGCUACACUUAUAGCUAAGGGAGACCCUUUAUGGCUGACCCGACCCAGUGAGCGUAUUUACAAGGCUUCUUUGACUCAAGAGGCAAAAUUCUGGUGGGGUGUUUUGUGCACCUAUUUGAUGCUGACCGAUGGAGAUAAUAUUCUAGGUGAUGAUCGAGUAAUAUUGGUUGCAUGUCUUGUGGCCAACCUUAAGCUGAAUUUUAGGGAGAUUAUUGCUGAAGAGAUCAAGAUUUGGGUAACGAGGUCUGACACAGCUUAUUCAUUCCCUUUUCUGAUUACCAGGCUAUGCACAGAGGUAGGGGUACCAUAUAUUGUUGGGAUUUAUGAGACUUUGUAUGCCACCAAGACCCACAACCCUAUUCGUUAUGAGAAAAAUCAGCCAAGGCUAACACUUGGUAGAGGGGUGAGGGUUGAGGUGAACCCAUCAGUUGCAGGCCCUAGUUCAAUACCUAAAGUUGAGGUGUAAGCUUCUAAAGAUGCUCCGGCAGGGUCAUUUCCUGAUGAUGAGUUAGGUUUAUCAGUUGCUACAGCAUCAGCAAAAGCUGCAUCCUAGUAUAUUAAUAUCAAAAAAGUGGCCAAACAGGCUAGAUGGUGUGAGAUGUAGCUACGUGCCUUUGCUGAGCAGUUUGCUACUGCUAUAGAUAAAAGAAUCAGGAAUGCUCUUGAGUCUUUUGCUACUUUUCCUACACGGGUUGCAGAUUUGGAUAACUAUUUUAAUGCAAAGGCAUAAGAGCUGAUCGGAGCAGAGCUUGCUGAAUUCAGAGUAGCCCUAGAAAAGGUAAAGCUGAGAUAGUGGUAGUACAAAAACACAAAUUUAUGAUGCCUGCAGGGCAGACAACUGAGGAAUCUGAGGAUGAACCUCCAAUCCUUGAUCUCACUGUAGAGCCAGUGAAAAAGAAAAAGAAGAAAGACAAAGAAGCUAAGAAAGUUAAGAGAAAGAGACAAGAAGAUGAUGAGAAUGAGAGAAAAGCCGAGAAAAAGGUAAAGAAGAAGAAGAAUGCAGAGAAGACACUGCAGGUAGAUGAUGAGUUGACAGAAUAGGAGAAAGCGGAUCUGGAAAGGGCAACGUAAGUGUCUCAAGAGGAUAACUAGAAAUGGGAAAAAGUACUGUGAGCGAGAGAUAUAGGAGCUUCAUCUAGCAGAACAGCUGAACCGGAGCAAAGAGAUGCUCCUGAUGAGGAUAACACUGAUCCAGAGCCGAGGACCCAUGAUUUGAGACUUGAUUGACUCCAGGUAUGCCCUAAAACUUAUUUUUAAUUUGUUUUGAUUUUAAGUUGAGGGUGUAGGGUAGAAUAUUAUUGUAGCAUAUUCUAUAAGUAACUAGGAGUAGUGCAAGUUCUGUAGGCGUUAACUGAUUUUGUGAUUUUGAACACCUCUCUGAAGGUUUGUUUUGCAUGACUGUAUGAAUUGCACCUUAGUGUGUUCACUGUGCAUCUAAUCUUGGCAUUAGUUUAGUUACUUGAUCAUCACUGCUGAACAAUUACAUGAACCAUAUAGGUAGUAGCCAGUGAUAUUGCUUGUGUGUCAUGUGUGUGUGAGACUAUACCGAGUUCUCUUUGUAGUGUCAAAUCUAGAACUUGCCCGAUUCGUCUUACCAUAGUUGAAAGAUAAGGGUUAGGAAAAGAUCACAGGCCAUUUUUGAAUUUAAGUCACUAUUUAGCCUAUAUAACUUUCCUCAAAUGCAUGAUAUCCCUUGAUCCCGGUUUGAGCCUUUAUUGACCAUUUUUCUUUCUAUGAUACCUAUCACCUUCUCUUUUUAAAUCAUAAUGAACCUGUUUUGGCCCUGGUCCUCCUUGGACAUUGUGCACCUUAACGUAAGCAAACAACCUAAGUUGAGGGUGGCUAUCAUAGGGGUGUGUGAUAUAAGUUGGGUAUGAAUAAGGGUGGAGUUGAAGAGAAAGAAUCAAAGAAAAAGAAUAAAAGGUUGGGUGUUGGUUAAAAAGAGCAAGAAAAGAAACUCUGCUUGAAUAAAAAGAAGUGUACCCAUCCUGAAAGUGUUAUUAAGAAAAUAGAAAAAGUGAAAAAAGGAUUAAAAAAAAAAAGAAAAGAAAAGAAAAAGAGAGAAAAAGAGGUUAAUAAGUGGACCCCACAAGUUAAGGUAGUGCCAAGGAGGUUAGUCACUCUAAAUGCAGUAUAAUAUAAUACCAGCCCUAGCCUACGUUACAAGCCGAAGAAAGACCUAUAGUGAUUGUAGCAUACCUAUCUGGAAACCUUGGUAAUGACGAUAAGGGCAAGCAUAUGGUAUUUGGCAUACACUGGUUUGAACUUCAUUCUAAGAGUGAGUGUUUUUGUGUUGAUCCAUGUGUUUAUAUUUUUGAUGUCUGACAUGAGAAAAAGAGGGGAAUUUCUUUGUUGUGAGGGCACACUAGUAUCUUGCUAAGUUACUUACUUGUUUGGGUAGUGUACAUUGAUAAAUGCAUGAUUGUUAGUACUUAGUUGAUGCCAUGGGUAGAAGCCUUUGUGUUACAUUGUUGCAUUUCAAUAAAUUGUGCAGUAAUUUUGAGUUGGUUGACCUUGGACAUGGUAAACUGAGUUUUGAGCUAAAUUGGUUGUUGAUUGCUAAAUGUUCAUUGUAUUCUCUUAGUUAGUUAUUGCUUGAGGACAAGCAAUUGUUUUAAGUUGAGGGUGUUGAUGUGUGAGAAAAACCUAACACAUUUAAUGUUUUUUAGCUCAAAAUAAUUGUGAAUUCUGAAGCAACUGUUUUUGUUUUGAUGUGUUUGCUCAUGAUAUUGCCGAAAAAGGCUGAAGAAAUGAGAUAAACAAUAAUGGAGCAAAAGAGUUGAAAAUAUGAGCAAAAUAGAAGAAAACAUGGCUGACGACCUCUGUGAUAAGUUGUCAGCCUUGUAAUAGCAUAUCAGCAUUGACAUCAACCUUAACUAGGGAGUUACAGUUUGAGGAGCAUUUCUGACGAUGCUGGUGAUGUGGCAUCAAAGUCGUGAAAAGGCAUCAAGAAUGGCGUCAGCCUUAAGUAGAAAGUUAGCAUGGCAAGAAGAUAUCUGACGACGUUGGUGAUACGCCAUCAGAUCCCUGACGUGGUGUCAACCACAUUGCCAGCCUAAUAUAGAACCUGAAGGCAACUAAAGCCUCUUUGACGCCAUCCGUAAUAGGGCAUCAACUUCUUGACGCGGCAUCAGCCUAGGCGUCACCUGUUUUGAACAAUUUUAUUAAUUUUGUUAUUUUAUUUCCUUAAUUAGGCUUUAGUAUAAAUAACAUCUUUUAGGGUUUUUGAAGAGGAGGAAUAAUUCAUCUAUCAGACAUCAACUCUAAGAAGCGAGACAUUAUUUUUGCUCUCUUUCAUAAAAUAUUCUUGUGUUUUCGUAUCAACUAUUUUUGGGGUUUCUACGUUGUAAUUAAAUCAGAGGAACUACUUGUGGUUUUCUAUCCAUUCGUAAUUUUAUCAAUAUAAUCAUGAAUUCAACUUGUUAUUUCGUUCAUCAAAUCAUGAGCGGCUAAUUUCAUUAGCCGAAAUUAUGGGAUCCAUGGAUUAGGGUUUGAUAUGAUACUAGGUGUUUAACGGAUUGAAAGAGUAGUAAAACAUCUUGAAAUUCUGUUGUUUCAACUAAAAUCUAGUGGUUGCAAACAUUAGGUUAUGCCUUAGGUUUUAUUUGCUUCUAACGGAGAAAUAGACUAGAGGACAUGAAUUAUCAACAGGGACUCGAAAGCUACCAACCUUCUAUUUAAUGAUUAAUGCUGUAACUGGAUUAAUCUACCUGAGAUAACAUCCUAUUGGAAAUAGAUAAGUUAUUUAAUUUCGAGAGAAUUAGAUACUAAAUUUUCUGGUGAGAUCGAGAGAUAAGUCAGAUAGUAUAAUCGUCAGGGAUAUUCUGUUGUUCUACUCAUUCCGAGAAUCACUAGUAUCACUUAGUAUCUAUCAAUUUUUGAAACCCUUGGUGAACAUAGCUCUAGUUUCCCAUUUAUCUUGAUUACAAACACUGAAGUAUUAAAAGUGAUAUUUAACACACCGUGAACUUAAACCCCCAUCUUUUGGAAACAAUAAACUACUAGUAAAAUCUUUCGUAAACAAAUCAAAGUUCACACCCUAUUCCCUGUGGGAUUCGACCCUAACCUAGUUUGGUUAUAUAUUGACAAUGAUCGCUUACACCCAUUCAGUGGUUUAAUAUGGUGCAAGUAUGAAACUCACCUAUGCCUUAAAGAAUGCAUGCAAGGUGUUUGAUAAAAUGCUUAGGAUGCUAGAAAUUCAGGUUUGUAAGGUUCUAUGAUGUCUAAAUGACAAGUCCAUGUUAGCUAUAUACUUCAAUAUGAAUCCCAUGCUUUUCAUGUGUUGCUAUUGUGGUGGUAUGAAACAUGUAAGAUAAUGGAGAUAUACAAUAUGUACACGAAAUAUAUCCAUACAUUCCCUACAAUGUUUAAGAUGUUGAAUAACUAUAUGAAAUAUGAUAUCCCCAACUUAUGAUAUUAUGAAUUGUGGACUCAAAUCUUGUAAUCAAGUCAUGUCAUGUGUGUCAGUUUCCUUCUAUCGAGUCCUGGGGUUAUUCGUACCCGAAAAAAAUAGUUGUGUGCCUAGAGCCAUGUCAUGUUGUCACAAUAAUCUCAUUCAACCUAUAAUCUAUAGAACUCAGUCAGUCAUGUGACUCAGGAAAAUCUCAGAAAUCUCAUGAUCUCAGUUAACUCUCAGAUAAUAGUACUACUCUGUCAGUCAACGAAAGUCAGUUAAUCUGUCCAUGUGCAGUCAGUUGAAUCAUGUUUAGUCUCUUCAGAUGGGAUUAGAAUUUAGCACCGAGUAAACCCAAGGAUGGGAACUCACCUGCCAGUUCAGGGUGUGAUUCUUAGCCGUCAUCCUUGUGUUCCAAAAAUAUGCAGCCAGCGUAGGUUAAAAUAUCUUAACCUAUCAGAUUAAGGUUGAUGAGGUGGAUUAACCUGUCAGUUUAGGGUCCCACCAUUCUCACUUUGAGUACCUUCCAGAUAAGGGUCAUUCACAACUGUCCUUACAAGUGGCCGAUAUUAACAUCCCUCCAGUCGGGGAAGAGAUUGGACCCCAGCUUAGCUGUAAUGGUAUACAUGGGGCAUGUCGGUUAAAUAACUACCUCACACAGUUUCAGUAUCAGUCUCAGUAAAAGAAAUCAGACAGUUCUUUAGAUAUCAGUAUACAAGACUGUUAGAUACAGUCAAAUUUAGUUAUAGCAUGGGACUUAGGGAGUUCUACCAGUUUCAGGACUGUCAGACACAGUCGCUCAUGUUAUCAGAACUACAGUUCCAGUCAUGUAUUAGCAUACAGAUUUAGCUACCAUGUACUCACAAUCUCAGUUAUUAUGUAUGUAUGUUUGUACUUUUACGUUCAUAUUAGUCAGUCAAUUAGCAUUAUUCAUGCAUGUAAACCCUUUGCAUUAGCCUACCUCACUCAUAUACUCAGUACUUUAGUUCUACUGAUGGAUUUGCGCUAUGGUGCUUUCUUUUUAUGUUACACCAUAGGUUCAGAGAUACGAGAUCCAGAUCAGUAGUAGCAGUAGCAUUUCCAGUCGUAGAGAUUCAGUGAGUCCUCUUUAUUCGAGGACAAUAUGAUUUGAUUUAUUCAUUAUUAUUUUAGCCAGUUAUCAGUUUACGGAGUUAGUUGGAGACAUGUUCCUUCAACUCCUUAUUCAGAUAGUUCUUACAGGCUUUCAAAUUCAGUAGUCAGACUUAUGUUCAGAUUUGAUUUAGUUUUCAGCUGUUUUGGGUGUCUUUCACCUAUUGGAUAUUAUGUUUUGAUAGAUUCUUUAUUCAGUUGAACCUUAUGGCCUACAUGUUCAUGUUUUCCGCAUUAUUACGUUAUAUAUGAAGUGUACAGGUAUAUAUAUUAUUCAUGGAUUAGCUUGUGGUCCCUCGGGGUCAUGAGCUCCGUGUAGCAUUCCGAUUCAAAAAAUCGGGGUGUUACAAUACUUCAAACAAUUCAAGAAGAUUCAUUCUUCAAAUACAUUUAUCAAAUCAUGCAAAGGUUAUUCCUUCGAAUCAUUUCAAAAAAUAUGUGGUGGUCAUGUAUUAUUGGUAAAUCAUACAAUUCUUUAAUUAUAUAUAUUAAAAAUUUAUCAACAUGCAAAACCCCUCUCAACAAUUUAAAGAUCAAUUUUAAAUCAUACAACAAUAGUCAAAAACAUUGAUAUCAUGCUUCUGAAUAACAUUCUAAAAUCAAAAGGUGUUGCAACAUGAGAGGGAGAGUAAAUAGUCAUGGUCUCAAUUAAAUUAUCAACUUCAAACACUCACACGCAUAUAUACGAUUACAAAUCAAUUUGGGGGAAAGGCCUCAAGACCAAAUCAAUAGCCUCAAAAGUUUUAAAUCAUGAAUCUAAUUAUAAAUCUCAAAUCCUCUUUGAAAUUUCAUGAUUUCUAAAUCUUUAACAUGAUUAAGAAGCAUUUACUAUGCCCAUGUAGUUUUAGGAAACCCCAUGUACCUUAGUUGCAAAGAAUUCGCGAAGAGAUUUCAAAAUGAUUGGACCUUUAGGAUUGAUUGUAAGAACCCUAGUUGUUUUAUCCCCUUGUGUUCUUGAAAGAUGAAUUUUAGGGAUUUUUGAGGAGUUAAAAUGUUACUAAUGACGUUAAUUUCAUUAAAGGAUGAUUAGGGAUAGUUUUGGAGUGUAAAAAGAUUUGGUUUCCCUUAAAAUGACUUAAAAAAUGAUAUUUUUAUGCCUUUGGGCCAUAGGGCAUGCGAUGCAUUGCCUAUGGCCUUAUCUAACCAAUGAUCACAUUUCCCAUUGCCCAAAAUAGGUUGGGCGACACAUAGCCCAUGGCACAACAAUUCCAGUAGCUUUAGGCGAUUUGCAAGGCGACACACUCAACUUUGCAAAGUCAUAACUUUUCACUCAAGUAUUAAAUUUAGGAAAAAUUAGUAUCAUUGGAAAGCUACUUUGAAAACCUUUCAUUUGAUAUAUAGUAGGCCCUAUAAUUUAUUAUAUACUAAAAUUUAUGGUCGAUUGAAUUUGACCCAAGCUUCAACGCUCACAAAAACUAAAAUGAUAAGAAAGCUACCAACUCGUACUUGGGUUAAGGGACCUCUAUGAUCUCAAUUCUUUCUUAACUAGAUUCCCACACUACACGAUUGAUCAACACACUAUAUUCGCAUUAGAUUUAUAACUUUUUGAACCUUUACGCGAAGGAAAUGACGAUUUACGUUCUAGCCAAAAAUGUGGGGUGUUACAUUUUCUCCCCCUUGGGAUCAUUCGUAUCCGAAUGAUGGUUAGGGAUGUAAUGCACCACAUUUUUGAUCUUGAAAUUAAAUCAUCGUUCUACGUGUGUAAGCUCUAAUUCUAUGGUUUAUUUUUAGAUUCAUGUGUCAUGAUCUCUUGCCUAAUAUAUGAAGUGAUUAUGAGCUGAAAAGCAUUCAUAGAAAUGGACUAAAGCAAAGUUAAGCUAAGAACCUUUCAUUCAUCCAAAAUUGGAUAUUCGAUUCUACAAAGGUCUACUUUGAACGUUGAUAACUCUUGAUACACAGAAUUUUUUAGCUCAAAACCCACAAAAUUGUAGAUAAUUGAAUUAGCUUCCAACUAUACCAAUAUUGCCAAUAUCUAAUAACCAAACAAAAACUUAUGGCUUUUUCUGUGUGAGGCAGUAAAUCGAUGGAUCAUGACGUGUUGCAUCAAGAUCACAUUAACACGAAACCAGAUGUGUAUCUAAGGCUGUUUUACGCAUUAUUUUAGAUUCUAAUGGGUCUAAGGGCACCAUGGUCAUUUACCCUAACCCAAAUUACGUCUAUAACAUUGAAUUUCAACCCCAAGAAGCCAAAAUAUCUUAUUUUUCACUUUUCCUCUAAAAAUCAAACCCUAACUCCUCCCCCAAAGAUUCAAGAACUCAUUCAUAAGGUCAAGAAUUCCAAGAAAUGGAUCAAGAUUCGUGUUCCACUCUUUCUCCUAAAUAAUCUAAGGUGCGUGGGAUUUUCCUAAAACUACUUGGGCAUAAAAAUAUUGUUCAACAACAUUUAAAUAUAGUGAAAUCAUGGAUUUUGAAGGGGUUUUAGAAUUUAUAUGACAAUGUUGCUUUAUAAAUAUUUUCAUGGCGCUAUUGUUUUUGCCUCGAGGCCUUUUCUCCAAAUUGAAUUGUACUCGUAUAUAUAUGUACGUAUGAAAAUUGGGUUUGAAAAUUUAAUUGAGAGCAUGGAUCAUAUAGUGUCUUGAUUAAUAUUAUGACUUGAAUAUGAUUUUUAAUUCAAAAGAGAGAGUUGUUCAUGUUGAUAAAUGUUUAAUAUAUAUAUAAUGAAAGAGUUGCAUGGUUUAUCAAAAAAAAUAUAUGACCACCACAUGUUUGAUGAAAGAAUGAGAAUCUUUGUAUAGUUUUGACAUGGGUUUCGGGACAUGAAAUAUUUUAUACUAUUUGCAUGUUUGGGUGGUUUGAAUUGUGUUUUAAUGAAAUAAUCAUGCAUGAUACAUUAUGGAUCAGAAAUAUGACUUGCAAGUCUUGGUGUGACGACACCCACUCAGAUAUUGCUAUGGUAAUUCAGAACAGAACAGAGUGCAUGUUGGCAAUCAGAUUUUUAGAUUUUGAAACUUAGAAUGAUGUAUGUUUAGAAAUGGUUAAAAAUGGGCUUAAAGAGAUGUUAGGUGGUUCCCCGAAGAAGGCACGAGUUCAGACUACUCAUUGUACACUGUGUUUUGUCGAUACGAGUUAUUUAAUCCCUUAGAAUGAGUUUACAUUGCCCUAGAGCCAUGUGGAAUAUCAGACUCAGACACUCUAACCCUUGCAGCAAACUCAGGUUGGGGGCUUCCCCGCCGAGUCAAUGGUGGAUUCCAUAUAGCCUGUGGAAUAUUAGACUUGUAGGGGAGUACCACCUAGCUCAGAAGUAAUACAGAGAUCAAAACUGCAUUGAGAAAGCUUGCUUUAAGAUUAUUUGAAAUUGCCUAUGUGCUUUAAAUUAUUUCAUGCAUACUGUUUUACAAAUUGCUCUCACUUAUGUUUUCUAAAAUUCAUUAUUUUGGAUUGCACUACACACCAGUACUUUGUACUGACCCCUAUAUUUCAUAGUCUGAGGCUCAUUCCGGAGUUCCUGCUAAGCCAUAGAAUUUGUCAGACAAAAGUGAGGAGUUGGUGAGCCUUCUUUAUUUCAGAAGGCCUUGUCUUUAGAACAUUAUUAUGUUACUUUGGUAUUGGGUCCGACUGGGGGCCUUGUCCCUGUUUUGUUCUAGACUUAUGAUUGAUCUUGUAAUGUUAAGAGAUUUCACAGACGUGUAUCAAAUAUUGUUAGAUGUUUAUGGGUUUCAUUCUGUACUAUUCAGUUGAAGCUAAAAAUGACCAUGAUUCCAUUUGUAUUAUUUUUCUCAUUUUUCUUAUUGUAUAUAAAUAUUGUGUAUGAUUAUCAGGUAUAGAAGUGCGCUCAUGCCUUCAUGGUUUGUGAUGCUCGUCAUGGCUAGGGCCUCAGUUUGUGUUGUGACAAACUUAGCAUCAGAGCGCAGUUCAUAGUCCUAGGAUGCCUGCGAAAUCGUGUCUAGUAGAGUCUUGCUUAUGGGUGUAUUUUGCACCACACUUAUAAUCAGGAGGCUAGUGGGCAUUUAGGAGUUUCUUCCUAUUCUUCAUACUCUAGUUCAUGCUAUAGAGUCGUGCACAUGAAAUUUAUCCAAGUUCAUUCCUCGUUCCAAUUUUAUGGGUCAUGCCUCAUUGUCGAGAUGAUACAAUUCUAAGAGUCUAGCUCCCCCAGCAAUAUGGUUGUCUCUGAUUGAGUUUCCCAUAAAGUUAUGGAUUUUGCAUAAGGACUUGAAAGGAGUCCAUGAGUGCUUUAAAGUGUGUUUAUUUAAGCAUAUACCCCAAUCUGCAUCAGUUGUGCGGUUUAGCCUGAGGUAUAUGGAGUGUAUCCAGUCUCCUUUAAUAAAAUUCUUGUUGGGGAUGUGAUGUAUAAGAGUAAUGAUGUGUAGUAGAAUGUUGAAACUAUAUUUCCACCUUAGUAGUAGUGUAUGUUAAUAUGUCAUGUCCUAUUGGUAGUGACAUGGUUUAGAAGUUGGUGACAUGUACUCACAAAGUUAACAGUCAGUAAGGGUGACAUUUGCGUAAAUAAAUAGUUUUAUUUGUAUAAUCAUGGGUUGAGGAGUGGGUUUCCAUUGUAUAAUGAUAGACUAAUGUGCGGCAAUAAUUGUAGACUGUACGGUAGUCUGUGAAGGAAGAUAUAGGAUAUGAUUAUUAUUUAUUCAGAAUAGGAAAGGAUCACAGAAUGAAUGGUCAUUGUGGUUGUAAAAAUCAUCUUUAGGCUAUGGAUAGAAAGGGGUAGAUUAGUUAAUAAGCUGUAAGUAAAGACUCAUUAGUGUUUAUUGAAUUUUCAAGAUCAUUGUGAUGUACGAUUAGGUAAGUAAGUAUGAUGUGAGAAUGUAGGGAGUGGAAUUUGAGGUGCAGUAGUAAUGUCAUGGAGGGGAUGUGAUGGCAGGUAGAAGCUAGGAGAACUAUAGUAUUUUGGGUUGGUUUCCCAAUUUGAUGGACUAGUAUAGCAUGUGGCAUGCUUCGUUGGUGGUAUAUGAUGGAUGCAAGACUAUAGACUUGAACAUGAGAUGUGAAGUAUGGUGGCAAGAAUAAUAGCUUAAGAUUAAUGAUGCAUGUUUUGUGGAGUAAUUAGCAGUCUUGAUGUGAUGUGCAAAAUGGCCUAGGUUGAUGAUUUAUAAAAGUUUAAGUGGUAAUCGUGAGAUAUAUGUGUACAUGAGAACUAGUGUUAAAGCAAUGAAUUAUGGUUGAAUCAUUAAGUGGAUAAGAACACGAGUUUAUAUGAAUAAGUUGACCUCAGGUAGCAGGUUGUUUGAAAAAGUUUUAUGCGUAUAAGUGUUUUGUGUACCUAGAUUUAGUUUUGAAUUUUGUAGUAUGGAGAAAUCUGGGAAGUUGUUGUAUGGUGCUCUUUAGAGUUGAAUUGAAGAAAAUUAGGUAGGCAAUGUGAGCCUUGGGUAUGGUUUUACAAAGUUUUGUUAAGCUGCAAGUUAUAUGAUUUUAGGGGUAAUGCAAGUAUUCUAAGGAAUUGAAGAUGGAGCAUUAAGUAUUUAGAAGCGUGGGUGUCUAUGCCCAUGAAAAUAUUUGUCGUAAGUUGAUGACUUUGGGGGUUAGGAGAAAUUAUGAUUAGUGUCCCUAGAGGGGGUAUCUUAGAAAGGAUUUUGUAUCUUUAUAUUUUUAUUAAGGGGAGUUUUUGUUCAUAUGUAUAUUGAUACCCCACUUUGUUAUAGGGAGUGUGGAUGCAUAUGCUCAAGAGAGUGGGAAUUGUAGAGUGAUCGCUAUAGAGGUUAGCGAAAGUUAAGAGCAGCAUAUUUCAAAAAGCAAGGCCUUCCAAGUAUAGUUCAUUAGGGAAAGUUUAGAGUUCAAGUUUAUGGUGAUGUCCCAUUUGCGUUGAGGUUGUGGCUACAGAUUUUUGUUGUGAGGUUAUUUCUGCAAGUCAAGGGGUGUGACUUUGAUCGAAGGGGGAUAUGGGGAAUUAAGUGAGUUUUCGAAUAUUCUCAAUCUGGCAAGUUGCGGGAAGGAACUAGGAUGAACCUAAUUCUACUCAAGCAUAAUCCUCCCACUUCAAUUUAGGAGAGUAUCCUGCUAAUGUCUUAUGUCAUCUCUUCAAUUCAUACCUAUGGUUCAAGUUCUGUAUGGACUUAGGUUUAUGAUCUAACCUCCAAACUAGAAGCAAUUAUGUCUCUCAGUAAUCCAGUCUUUCAUGUAUUCAGGCCAUAUGUUAUAUUGUUUGUGAUCCAUGAAAAUCUAUGUCUCUUUGUAUGCUUGGUCCUAAGAAAAUAUGUUUCUGUAUGUCACCGAUUCAUCCUAUUGAUGUGUGAGCAGAUGCUAACACAUUUGAGGGUAUUAACUGAGAAUAAUUGCGAAGUCUUAUGCAACUUUUAUCAUUUUUGAUUGUUUAACUUUGAUUUUACAGUGGAAGUCGAGGCAAGAGAACCAACAAUAAUGGAAGUAAAAGAGUUGAAAACUGAAGAAAAUAGAUGAGAAGUGUGGCUGACGACAUUCCUGAUAAGUCGUCAGCACUCUGAUAAGUUAUCAUCUUCAUCGUCAUCCAUAAACAGAGAAUGGGAUUAAGUUAGAAGAAGUGGCGAUGACAUAUGAUAAGCCAAAAACCUUGUGAUAAGCCAUCAGCCUUAGACAGAACAUGGGAGCUGAGGUGGAGAAGUGACGACAUUGUCUGAUAUGUCAUCACAGUUUUGAUAAGCUGUAAGGAUUCACCGUCAGCCUUAAGCUGAAAAUGUCAAAAUUAAAGAGGAGCUGAAAACAUCCGUGAUAAGUCAUCAGCCUCCUGAUAAGGCGUCACACAUGUCGUCACUUAAUCCAAGAAGAACACUAAACUAUGUGAUUUUGUUUUCAUAAUUAGGUUGAAGUAUUUAAAGUAUAGUUUAGGGUUUUCUAGGAGGAUUCUGAACCUAUUUUGGAACGGACAUAUUUUGUUAUUUUCUCUCUAGUUUCUUGGCUUGAACAAAACAAUUAACUUUGAAGAGAUUAUCAUCAAUAUUUUACGACUUCUACUUUGAUCUAAUCUGAGAAACACUCGUUACUAUUCAUCUUGCUGUGAGUUUAUCUUUCAAAUUAUGAAUUCAACUUGUUGUGUUGAUUAUUACAUUAUGAGUGGCUAUAUCCUUUUAACCCGAAUUAUGGGAUCUAUGGGUUAGGUGUUGGUAAGUUGCUAAGUGUUCAAGAUUCUAAAGGUAAUAGGAAUCCUUGAUAAUUUCGAGCUUUUAAUUAUCGUCUAUUGGUUAGAAACGAUUGAUAGCUCCUGCUUUGAUUUGAUUGAGAUAAGAAAUAAACUAUAGUAAGAAGUAAAUUAUUGACAGUGACUUGGAAGCUACCAACCUUCCAUUUAAUAAUUGACGUUGUAACAAGGUUAAUUAACCUGAGGUGAAGUCUGGUUAGUGAAUAAAAAUUCCCUAAGUCUGAGAGGAUUAGGUAAUUAAAUGCUUAAGUAGGUCGAGAGACAUUUAGGCAUAACUUCGAUAAAGACAAUCUGUUGUUCCUACCUAUCGUGAGAAUUUUGAAUCACUAUUAGCAUCUGUCAAGUACCAAAACCCAUAGUGAACAUAAUUCUGGUUUUUCAUAAACCCUUGAUUACAAACACUGAAACUAAAGUGACCAACAAUUAUUCGCUAAAUUCUCAUAACCCCCAAUUUACCAGAAACUACUAACUAUCAGUAGAUUAACUCACAUACAACUCAGAUUCACAUCAUAUCCCCUAUGGGAUUCGACCUCAACCUAGUUGGAUUAUAUAUUGGCAACGAUCAUUUACAUUCUCACAUGAGAGGUGUAGUUUGAGCGUUAUGAAAAAUGGCACCGUUGCCGGGGAAUAUGGUUGUAAAUUAAAGUUUGUGUGCGCUAAUUGACUGUUAGUCAACUUCCCUAGUUUUACCUUUAUUUGUUGUUUUUGUUUAUUGCAAGAUCUUUGUGGUGUAUGCCAAGAACCAAAAGUUCUGGAGAACCAUUAUUACAAUUUAAUCUGGAACCACAAUGAAUUGGAAGAAUGGCAGACCAUCUAGAGACUGAUAGGUUAGCAGCCUUAGCUAGAGCUUAGGUGAAUGUGCAGAAUGUCGGUCAACAAGUACGGCAUCCAAAUCCUGAGGAUGAAUAUUUGGAAGAUGAGGAGUUGCUAAACCCUGGUAACCCAAGGCGUGCAGAGCAAGUAGCUCCACCAGUACAACGUAAUGCUAAUAGGAACCAUCCGGUUUUAGUAAGGCAAGAUUACUUGCCGGUCCAGUAUGACCUCAAUGAUGAUCAUGAUGGAAUGGAUGGAGCAAGUACAAUGGGUGCAAUUAUUCCUCCACCAUUGGCAGGUGGAGAAAAAUUCAACAUUACGAGUACUAUAAUUCAACUCCUCAAUUUGAAGAGGUUGUUUGGUGGCCUUUCUGGGGAUGACCCGAAGUUGCAUCUGGUGAACUUUGUCACCAUCUGUAAAUAUUUUGAUAACCUAGGAAUGGGUCAUAAUGCUAUCCGUUUGAGAUUGUUUCCGUUGUCUCUGUAUGGGGAGGCAACAUUAUGGCUUAACGAGCUGACACCUGAUUCUAUAACCAACUGGAAGCAGUUGAAACAAGCUUUCCUAGAAAAGUUAUUUCCACCUUCCAAAAGGGUAUAGUUGAGGGAUGAGAUCAGCAACUUUAGACAACUCCCAACUGAAGCCCUGUAUGAAACCUGGGAGAGAUUAAAAAAGAAACUGACGCAGUGUCUGAACCACAAUAUGGCAGACAUAUACUUGAUGGAGACUUUGUACAGGUCUCUUAACUCUGUGACAAAACCAAUUGUAGAAAUUGCUGCUGGUGGUUCGUUUGUUGAUCUUACAUUCCCAGAGGCUUCAUAAAUGCUAAAGAGAAUGACCAAAUAGAGUUGGGAUUGGCAUACCAGAGACUCUGUGGUAGCAAGCCCCACUGUUUCUGUGGGUAUGACAGUGGAACAACACAGGAGAGACGAGAAGCGUGAUCAAAACAUGGCGCACCUAAAUAAGCAAAUGGACUUUCUAACCAAGCACUUGCUAUAAGGAAAAAUUUAGAAGGUGAAAGCUGUGGGAUCUCAAGAUAGAGUUGAUGCUGAUCCAGAAGAAGAGGCAAACUAUGUUAAUAAUCAAGGGGGUUUUUGAGGCAAUAUCCAAGGGAAUCAAGAUCAGAAUUAUUAUGAUAAGCCUGGUUAUAAAGAUAGGGAGCAAGAAAAUUGAAGGAGCAAUAAUGAUAGGAGUGGGCUAUAUGUCCCUUCUGGAAAUCGUGAGGCUACUACAACAAGUUCUAAAAAGAUGUCCAUAGAGGACAUGAUGGCUAAAUUUUUAAAUAAAGUGGAGGCUACCAACUAAAGAGUGACUACCAUGAUUACCAAUCUGUCAUCUAUUAGUCAGUUGGUAAACUCGCACUCCGCUUCAAUCAAGUAGUUGGAACAGCAAAUGAGCCAACUCUCCGCAGUGCUGAAUCAGAGGAAGAGUGGAACAUUACCUAGUGAUACAGUCUAGAAUCUGCAGAAUGAUGGAUCAUGUAUGGCGAUUACCACUAGAAGUGGUAAGAUAUUACUUGGCCGUUCUGUGGGCAAAAAUGUAAUUGAUGACGCAGUUGAUAAUGAACUGGAAGAAGGUGUUCCAGUGGAGUCUGAGAAGCUGGAUGGUUCUGAUGAUACUCCAGAAAAAGGGAAAGGGAAGGAGAAGUAGGAAAGAGAAGGAGAAGGAGGUAGUAGUAAAAAAUCUCCUAAGACCACCACCUCCCUUUUCUCAAUAAUUGCAGAGAAAAAUUAAUGAUACAAAGUUUGGAAAGUACAUGAAGAUGUUGAAGCACUUAACAAUAAAUGUGCCUUUGGUGGAGGUACUUGAGCAAAUGCCAGGAUACGCUAAGUUUAUGAAAGACCUUGUUACAAAGAAACGGAAGGUUAGCCAUAAGUUGGAGGAUAAUCCCCAUCAUUGUGGUGCUAUCUCCACAAGGUCUUUAGUGCAAAAAAGGCAGAUCCGGGAGCAUUUACCUCCUAUGAACUAUUAGGUCCCUAAAUUUUACAAAGGUUCUAUGUGAUUUGGUAGCCAGUAUAAACCUAACACCACUUAUUGUGUACAAGAAGAUGGGUUUGGGGGAUCCUACCCCGACAAACAUACAGUUGGUGAUAGCGGAUAGGUCUGUAAAAUGGCUAAUGGGCAUAUUACAUGAUGUAUUAGUAAAGGUGGCUGACUUUAUAUGGCCUGCUAAUUUUGUAGUCCUAGACUGUGAAGUGGACUUCGAAGUACCCAUCAUCCUUGGUAGACCAUUCCUUGAAACUGGGAGAGUGGUAGUGGACAUGAAGCUGAAUGGGCUGAAGUUCAAGCUUAAUGACAAAGAAGCAAGAUUCAAAAUACACUCAUCCAUGACCCAGCAAAAAGAGAUAAGUGUUUUCGUAAUCAUGGAUGUAUUCUAUGAAGAUGGUAAAGAGAUAUCAGCAGGUUGUCUUGACGAAGUCUGAGUAGUUAAGAUUACCAAGUCGUGCCGCGAUAUUAAAUCAGGCGUGAUAUGAGAGGCAACCCAUGAUCCCCAUGCUUGAUCUACUCCAAGUAUACCCGAACCCUUAAUUUAUUUUUUCUUUGAUUUUUUGUUGAGGGUGUAGGGUGAGUUGUUGUUGCAACAUUUUGUAGUUGACUAGGAGAAAUACAAGUACCUGAGGUAGUUAACAUGGUUUUGUUGUUUUGUGAACACCUCUCAAGUGGUCUAGUUCUUUAACUAUAUGAUUUGCAUCUAUUUGUGACCACUCUGCAUCUAUGUAUGGUAUUAGUUCUAGUGACUUGAUAACUAUUGCUAAAUAAUUGCAUGAACCGGAUAAGUAGUAACUUGUGAUAUACUUGUGUGCCAUGUGCGUGUGAGAUUCUACUUAGUCCCCUUUGUAUGUUGAAUUCAGAACUUGCUCGGAUAGUCUUACCUAGGUUGAAGGAUAUGGGUUAGGAAAGGAUCAUAGGCCAUUUUGAUAUUAGCUCACUUUAGCCUAAAUGACCUUGUCUGUAUGCAUAAUAUCCUUUGAUCCCUAUUUUGAGCCUGAAUAGCCUAUUUCUUUUUAUGAUACCUAUCACCGUCCCAUUUUUAUAUCAUAAUGAACCUAUUUUGGCCUAGUCCUCCUUGGAUAUUGUGCACCUUGACUAAGGAAAAUGGCCUAAGUUGAGGGUAGAUAUCAUAGGGGCGCGUGAUGUAAAAUGAGUAUGAAGAAAGGUAGAGUAAAAGAAAAGAAUAAAAAUCUGGGUGCGGUGGAAAAGGGCAAGAAAAGAAAAGUUGUGAAAAUAAGAAGUGGUUGUAGAAAACAACUGAACCCAUCCUGAAUAAGUGUGAUCAAGAAAAGAGAAGAAUAGAAAAAGGCUAAUUAGUGAAACCCCAAAAGCUAGUGUAGUGUCAAGGAGGCUUAGUCACUUUAAAUAUCAUGAGUAUCAUACCAACCCCUAGCCUACAUUACAAGCCAAAGAGAAGACCUAUAGUGAUCCUAGCUGACCUAUCUAAAGAUCUUGGUAAAAAAAAUAAGGGCAAACCUAUGGUAUUUGGCAUACAUUGAUUGGAAUUUCAUUCUGAGAGUGAGUGUCUUGUGAUUGUCCCCAUGGUUACAUAUGUGAUGUCUGAUAUAAUUCCAAUGAGACUUCUUUGUAGUGAAGGCACACUGGCUACGUUGCUAAUUGCUAACUUGUUUGGAUAGUGUAAUCUUAAUACAAUCACCGAGUAAGCUUUUUUGGAUUAAAUGGUAAUAAUGGUUCUCCAGAACUUCUGGUUCUUGGCAUACACCACAAAGAUCCUGCAGUAAAAAGCAACAACAAAUAAACGUAAAACUAGGAAACUUGACUAACAGUCAAUUAGCGCACACAAACUUUAAUUUACAACCGUAUUCCCGGCAACGGCAUCAUUUUUGAUAACGCUCAAACUACACCUCUCAUGUGAGAAUGUAAAUGAUGGUUGUCAAUAUAUAACCCAACUAGGUUGGGGUCGAAUCCCACAGGGAAUAUGGUGUGAAUCUGAGUUGUAUACGAGUUAAUCAACUGAUAGUUAGUAGUUUCCGAUAAAUUGGGGGUUAUGAGAAUUUAGCAAAUAAUUGUUGGUUACUUUAGUUUCAUUGUUUGUAAUCAAGAGUUUAUGAAAAACCAGAAUUAUGUUCACUAUGGGUUUUGGUACUUGACAGAUGCUAAUAGUGAUUUAAGAUUCUCAUGAUAGGUAGAAACAACAGAUUGUCUUUAUCGAAGUUAUGCCUAAAUGUCUCUCGACCUACUUAAGCAUUUAAUUACCUAAUCCAAUUUAUAUUCACUAGCCAGACUUCACCUCAGGUUAAUUAACCUUGUUACAGCGUCAAUUAUUAAACGAAAGGUUGGUAGCUUCCAAGUCCCUGUCAAUAAUUCACUUCCUACUAUAGUUGAUUUCUUAUCUCAAGCAAAUCAAAGCAGGUGCUAUCUAUCGUUUGCAACUAAUAGACAAUAAUUAAAAACUCGGAAUUAUCAAGGAGUCCUAUUACCUUUAGAAUCUUGAACACUUAGCAACUUACAAAGACCUAACAUAUAGAUACCAUAAUUCGGGUUUAAGGAAUUUAGCCACUCAUAAUGUAAUAAUCGAUACAACAAGUUAAAUUCAUAAUUUGAAAGUUGAACAUACAAAAAGGUGAAUAGCAACAAGUGUUUCUCAGAUUAGAUCAAAGUAGAAAUCCCAAAAUAUUGAUGAUAAUCUCUUCAAAGUUAAUUGUUAUGUUCAAGCCAAGAAACUAGAGAGAAAAUAACAAGAUACGUCCAUUCUAAAAUAGGUUCAUAAUCCUCCUAGAAAACCCUAAAUUAUGCUUUAAAUACUUCAUCCUAAUUAUGGAAACAAAAUCACAAAGUUCAGUUCUAUUCUCAGAUUAGGUGAUGACAUGCGUGACGCCUUAUUAGGAGGCUGACGACUUAUCACGGAUAUCGUCAGAUCCUCUUCAAUUUUGACAAUAUUUGCUUAAGGCUAAUGGUGAAUCCUGAAGGCUUAUCAAAACUGUGAUGACAUAUCAGACAAUGCGUCACUUCUCCACCUCAGCUCCCAUGUUCUGUCUAAGGCUGAUGGUAACUCUGAUGGCUUAUCAUAAGGCUAAUGCUUAUCACAUGUCAUCGUCACUUCUUCCAAUUGAAUCCCAUUAUCUAUUUAAUACUGAAGAUAAAGCUGAUAACCUAUUAGAGUGCUGACUACUUAUCAAGAAUAUUGUCAGUCGCACUUCUCUUUUAUUUGCUUCAGAUUUCAAAUAUUUUACUUCCAUCAUUGUUGGUUCUCUUGCCUCUUGACUUCCAUUGUAAAAUCAAAGAUAAAACAAUCAAAAUUUACAAUUAUUCUCAGUUAAAAGCCUUAAAUGUUUAGCAUCUUCUCACACAUCAACACCCUCAACUUAAAACAAUUGCUUGUCCUCAAGCAACUAAAACACAACCAAGAGAAUACAAAGUACAUUUAAUAGUCAACCAUCCAUAUUAUCUCAAAACAUCUUCACCAUCUCCAAGGUCAAUCAAUUUACAAACAACUGUGUAUGUUAUUGAAGAGCAACAACGUGACAUACAAGAAUCAAGAUAUGGCAUCAAAUCACAAAGUUAGAAACUAGCAUAACCAAGGGGUCACCAACCCAACUAGCAACUAGAAUGAUAAAUGUAUCGGAAAAGACUAACAUUGGGCAUAAAGAGAGCUUAGGUGGUUCCCCGAAGAAGGAACAAGUUCAGACAAAUCAUUGCCCAAAAUCAUGAUUUAUCGAUCUGGGUAUAUUAUAUUACCCUAGCCUAGUGCCCUGUGGCGUAUCAGACUCAGAUACUCCAACAGUUACGGCAUACUUGGGUUGGGGGCUUCUCCUCCGAGUCAAUGGUGGAUUCCAUAUAGCCCAUGGAAUAUCAGACUUGUAGGGGAGUGCCUGCACUGACAGAAAGGUUUUAUGAUUAUCAAAGAUGCCCAUGUGUUUUUGAAUUUAUAUCAUUAUGAUAUUUUAUGACUAGCUCUCAACUAUUUUAUUUAUAUUAAAAGCUUUAUUUUGGAUUGUUCUGCGUACCAGUACAUCACUAUUGACCCCCUACCUUUCAGGUUCUGAGGUACAAUCUAGGGGUCUUGAUAAGCAGUAGAGUUCUUCAGACAGAAGUGCAGAGCUCAAUCGGUGAACCUUCUAGAUUUUAGAAGGCCCAUUUAUUUUCAGACAUUUAUUGUUAGUCGUGGUUUUGGUCUACUGGGGGCCUUGUCCCAGAAUUUUCAAACAGUUGUUAUUACAUAUGUAGUAGACAUUUGCAGAUGGUUUUUCAGAUAUUAUUAGAGGGUUUGGAUUUCAUUUUACCAUUGUUGAAUUUGUAUUAAACUUAGGACCAUGAUUCUAUUUCAUUAUAUUUUUUCGCAUUUUCUUAUUGUGUAUGAAUAGUGUAUAUGAUUACAAGUUAGAAGAGCUCUCGUGUCUUGAUGGUUUGAGAUGUUUGUCAUAGCCAGGGCCUCAGUUUAGGUUGUGACAAAAUUGGUAUCAGAGAAUGGUUUAUGGUCCUAGGGUGUCUGUGAAAUUGCGUCGGGUAGAAUUUUAUUUAUGGGUGUGUAGCGCGCCACAUUUAUAAGAAGGAGGCUACUAGUAAUUUAGGAAUACUUCUAUUAUUUAUGGUUUAGUUCUUGAUUCAGAGUCUAAAUUGUCCCCUAAUCAAUGAUCUCUUAUGUUUCAAAAAAACAGUCAUGCCUCCCCAUCGUACUAUCGAUCAGAAUUCACAGACAGAUGAGGUCUGUCUUACUCAUGAGAUGAGGACCCAAAACAGAGCCCCAGCUCCAGAGAUUGAUGCUACUCUGGGAUUACCACCUACUCAUACCAGCCCACCCAGGGCACCUAGAGCUCCCCGAAUGGGGACUAACCGCACUCAACUUCACUAGAGAGAGGUAUCUAAUACAGAAUUCAGACAGCCAUUCACAUGCUUGCAUAGUUGGUAGCCACACAAACUCAAUGGUCUAAAUAUAUUGGGUAUGCAUCUGUUACGUCUGAGGCUACAAGAGUGGGCCAGUUCAUGAAGAUGAACCCACCUAAGUUUACUGGUACUAAGGUAGAAAAGGAUCCACAAGAGUUUGUGGGCGAUAUAGAAAGAUCUUUAAGAUGAUACAUGUAGAUGAGGUAGAGAGGGUUGAGUUAGCAACUUACCAACUGAAGGAUGUAGCAAACCAAUGGUAUAAUGAAUAGGAGGAUUCUAAGGGUGAGAGUGCUGAGCCUACGGUAUGGGACGAGUUCAUGGAAGCCUUUCUUGAUCGGUUCUUUCCUCUUGAGUUGAGGGAGGCCAAAGCUGCAGAGUUUAUGAACCUUAAGCAAGGAAAGAUGAGUGUCAAGGAGUACACUCUGAAGUUCAACCAAAUGGCUCGUAAUGCUCCAGAGAUGGCUGGUAAUAUGAGAGCCCAAAUGAGAAAAAUUGCAUCCGACCUUUCGAAUGACUUAGUGCUUAAAUGUAAGGGGGUUACGCUUAACAGGGACAUGGACUUCUCUAGGCUAUCAGUGCAUAUGCAGCAGGUAGAGGAGCAUAAGAAGAUGAUCGCAAAAUCUAGGGAGAAGGAUAGGCAAGCAAGGAGAGCUAGAAUAACAGAUCAGAACUACAGUCAGUCACAAAGUGGUAAUUAGGAAAAUAAAUGGAAGAAGAAGAAGAAUUGGAGUAAUACACAGUCUGUAGCCAGUGCCCCAAUGCCCAAACCUCCAGUAGACCGACGAACUUAGAGUUUCCAAACUAAUCAUGGAUCCAGAGCACAGGAUACCCAGCCACAGGGCAACGUAACUCAGCAGCGUCAUACGUUUCCACAGUGUGAGACCUGCGGUAAGCAUCAUCCAGGGAGGUGUCAGCUAGUUUCACUAUUAUGCUAUUUAUGUGGUCAGUCAGGUCACUUCCAGAGAGAUUGUCCUUCGGUUAGAAGGAGUAUUGGUGGUGCCAAAUCUCAGGCAAACUCUUCCAUACCACCACCACCUCAAAAGAGCACCACCUUAGCUAUCGAGAGUGGUCUCAACCCAUUAUAUACUUUUUCCAACUGCCAGGAGGUGAAUCCUCGCCAGACGUAGUCACCGGUAUGUUACAAAUCAUUUCCCGUGCUUGUAAUACAUUGUAUUUUUAUGCUAGAAUUAUAACCGUCUUCUAUGGUUCUAAGCUCUAAUCCAAGUGAUACUCACAUGAAUAUAAGUUUCAUGAUCAUUAUCCUAGUCUAUGGAGUAGUUUGGAGGUGGAAAAUGUUCAUAGCAAUGACAUAGAACAAAGUUGAGCUAAGAUCAAGUUUGUCAUUUGAUUCUACAAGGGUCUAUUUCAAAUGUGUAUAACUCCUUAUAUACAUGGAAUUUUUCAUUCCAACGCCUAUUAAAUUGUAUAUAAUUGAAUAAUCUUUCCGAUGAUACCAAUUUCGCAAAAAUCCGAUACCCGAGCGAAAAGUUAUGGCCAUUUUAGUGGUUGAGGCUGUAGCACCAUGCGAUAAGCAAGAGGCGCACGCUCUAUCUCUUGCUAAUAAUUUUCAGGUUCUGUUUCUGCAUUUUUAAGGGAAAAAGUGGUAUUUUCCAACACCUAUCCAUCUAUAACAUAGGAUUAAACUCCCAUAACACCAAAAUAAGUUUACUUUCUCUCAAAAUCACCAAGAACAUUCAAUAGGGUUUCAACCUAAAAAUCCUAAUAUCUCAAGAUUCAACCGUAGGUUUUCGAUAAUUUUUCAAGAUUCAGAUUCCCCAUUCCGAGGGCUAUUAGAAGCACCCAUUAAUCUAAAUAAUAGUAAUCCGAAGUUAAGAGUUCAUCCAAAGCUUAAAUUUCAAGGUAUGUGGGGUUUGAACAAGAACACCCUUUUGUUAUUGUGCCCAAAACUUAUUUUAGAUUAUAAAUUACUGAAUUAUUGAUUAUUUUUCAUGAAAUUCAAGUUGGGGUUUAUACCCAUGGUUGUUAAUUACAAGCUUAUAAGGUUCCCAAUGAUUUAGAAGUGUAAUUGUAUGACUAAUUUCACAUAUUUAUGCAAGUAAUGUGAUUUUCCAGAUUUUUCCAAGUGAGUUUAAGAAUUAUAUUGUGAUUCUUGAUGUCUCUAUUUUGAAAUUGUGGAAGUGUUUUUGAGAAGUAUAUCGAGUAUGAUGUUUUGCUAUGAUAUUACAUAAAUAUGUUCAUAUUUUCAUGCUUAUUGAUGAAUUUUCAUAUUUUGAGUUGAUUCAUCAAUAUUUACAUUAUCAAGCAUGAAUCAUUUGGUGUUUUAAUACGAGUUUGAUAUAUGGGUCACUAACCCCUAUUUAAAGAUUGUUAUUUUGAUAAUGAGUUAUUGAGGACUUUUAAAGAAUUACAAGAAGUAUGGUUAUAUUUUCAUUAUUAUGAGAUCUUUAAAGCUUUGAUGAUGAGUCUAUCAAUAUUUCAGGAAAGAGUUGGUUUUUGAACCCAAGUAAGAAAAGAAAUCCACAUUUGAUUGAUUUAAGAUAAAGGGGUAGCGUAUUGGCUCCCGAUGCAAAUUGUUGAAUUGUUUAUUGUGGAUUUUCUUUAAAGUUCUAAGCUAAGUCCGGGAGUAGUAUUUAGCACCGAGCGGGAAGUGUGGUACUUCUCUAGAACUAUGUGCCCCUAUAGGAUAUGAGCCUGAGGAUGAUAGAGUGAUCACUAAUGAAUUGAAAAGUUAACAUUCUAUCCGAUGGCAAGGAUAGAACAACUCUCCCCACUGUGGGUAAGACGUUGGACUCCAUGUAGCUCACAUGGUUUAUGUCGGUUAGAAGAAACUCCCAAACUAGUCCUCCACUCUAUCUAUGAUAAAGGUAUAUGUUUUUCGAAAGCUAUGAUUCCAAGAUUUCUAAGGUUCUCAAGUGUCAAAAUCUUUAAGUUUUCAAUGGAGUUCUUAGUUUUCAUGAGAUUAAAGUGUAUAUUCGGAAAGUUAUUGUUUUAAGACAUUAUCUAUGCUACAAGUUUGAGAACAAAGAAAGAAUGCAGAUUUAGAAUGAAGUGAAAUGACUCACUAGAUUUAUACUAAAUGUUUCAUUAUUCAUGAUUUAUGAGAUUUAUAUUUCAGAUAUUAUUCAAGCUAUGUGAGUAAUUUAUGUCAGCAUGCAUAAUUUUAUAAACUGUGAUGAUAUUGAGAUAUUAUUUUAUAUGUGCAUUGCACCCCUAUAUACUCAGUACAUCCUCAAAGUACUGAUCCACAUAUAUAUGUCUAUGUGUUACAUUGUCUCAUAAUGUAGGUACAAGUUUUAGUAUGCACAUCAGACUCAGACAGUUGCAGAUUUCAGCCAACAGAUGAUAUGUCCUCCUACUUUGGGGAUUUAAGUUAGAUGCUAUUAUAUAUUUUAUUUAUUUAUUUUUCUUAUAUAUUGAUUAGUGAUAGUUGAGGUCGCGUCCUAGCUAUCUAUAGUCAGUAUUAGCAGAGGCUUCAUAGUCAGUCAGUAGAGUCAUUGUAUUUAUCUUACUUUCUUUGUAAAAGUAGAGUUAUAAAUAUAUGAAUUCACUUUUGUAUUGAUCAGGUUCAGAAAAGAUGUAUCUUCCGCUUACUUUGUUCAGAUUUAUCUAUCUUAUUCUAUUGCUUAUGAGUUAUGCCAGUAGAAGGGAUAGCUUGGGGUCACUUGUUACCCUAGGCACCGUGUGACAUCUCGGGACCUAAUUUUAGGGCGUUACAAACUUGGUAUCAGAGCACAAAGUUCAAAUAUCCUAGGGUGUUUGUGAAGCCAUGUCUAGUAGAGUCUUGCAGAACGGUACGGAGACAUCUGUACUUUUCUUUGAGAGGCUACAAGGAAUUUAGGAAAUGUUUUUAUUCUUUUAAGUCUUAGAUUGUGCUAUAGAAAGGAUCUCUAAGAAACUCAUACAAAUUCUCAUCUUGCUCUAUUCAAGCCAUUUUUGUCUUAUUCCCAAGGUAUCAGAAAUAGUCAAGCUCAAAUCCUUACUGCUAGAGCUUUUUCAAACAGUCUCCAUAAAUAGUUAUGGCAUUUUAAAAGAGCUAGAAAGUAUCCCAUCAGUGCUUUUAAGUUUUGAAGAUUUAAGUGCUUUAUCAUGUUUGUAAAAAUCUUACACUAAGACUAAGUCAGAUGUGCUUUCAGAUUCAUCCUCAGAUUCCAUAAUGAUAAUCUAUACUUCUCUAUCUAUGUACUGUUCUUGAGGUAACAUAAUCGGCAAGUUCUAAUUUCCUCCCCUGAUAAUGCUCUCAGACUUGCUAGCAAGAAGUUUCAAAAGUUUCAUACAGUAUCUUGAGAGGAGCCUUCUAGUGUGUUAUAAGUCCCUCAAAUUUAAAGUUAUACCUCAUUCUUAUGAGUCAUUUCGUUAAGACAGAGCAAGAUAUGUAUUCUUAGAUCAUUGAAUAUUGUGUAUCAAGUUUCUAUACCUUGUAAUAUGUAAUCUUGUCGUCAUGGUGUUUUUGAAACUCAAAGUCUAGUGAAGCCUUGCGGGCCUUUUUCGAUUCACUAGCAUAGUAGCUUUGUUAUUCAUCUAAUUUUCUUGUUCAAAACACAAAAUCAAAGUCUAGUGAAGCUAUGUGGAGAUCUUUCGAUUCAAUAGCAUAGUUGCAUUGUUAUUUAUCUCGGUUUCUUAUUCAAAAGACAAAACCACAGUCUAGUGAAGUCGUGUGAGGCCUAUUUCGAUUCACUAGCAACUUGUUGUUUAUCUUGUUGUUCUUGUGUUAGUUGAAAGUGUGGGUUUAGAAGUGUAGUGACAAGAAAGGUGGUAAGGGAGAUUUAUUGAAUAUGUAUAGCUGAAUUUUCGCUUAUAAUUGAAUUAGUAAUGAAGUGAUAUACCCUUGUUUGUUAGUUUAGUGAAAGUUAAAGAAGGAGAUUAUUAGUUAAGGAGGAUUAUUGUUUUCUUGAGGUAAGAAAAGAGUUACUGCGCUAGAAAAGUAUAGGUUUUGAUAGAAGUACUUGGUGGAUGACUGUUGUUAAUUUAGGCUUUAUUGAGAUUGCAAGAGAAAGUUUAGUUGAAACUUAUAAAGCUAUGAAAGAGUUUAGAUGUAUAAGAAGGGUAAAUAGUAAUGAGUUGUAGAAGAAGGAGGUGCUAGCAAAUCACAAUAAGAUAGACCAUAGGAUUGUGAUUGAUCAUUAUUGUUAUGAGGUUUUAGCGUACUAGUAUUUUAGAAUGUUUGGUAGGUAAGAAUAGUUGUUAAGAUUGUGGUUAAUCAUAGCUAGAACGAGAUACUAAGUUUGAAUAGUAGAUGAUGAGCAAGGUGGGGAUAACGAUUGCUUGGUUAGUGAUGCUAGUUAUAUGGAGGUGAACCAAGAGUCUUUAAAUAGUGAAUGCAAGAAUUUAAGUUAAUUGAUUUGAAAUUAAGUAUGAUGUUGUAGGUAUGAGGUAAAGGCGUGCCCAAGGUGAUAUAAGGUUGCAUUAUUUUCUAAGUUUAUUAAGUAUUGUGUGUGGUUAGUAGUACCCUUGAGUUUUAAGUGGAAGAAGCAUAGUGUCUAGUACAUGGUACUAUGGAUAGCCAAGUUAAGGAUGAUAUAUGAAAGGGGGUUGUUCAAGAAUAAAUUCAGCAAGUUUGAAAUAUAGCUUAUGCGUGUGAGUGUAGCAUUUAAGUGUGGACCGUUAGAGCAAAGAUAUUCCGACUCACUCCUAGGAAUGUGAGAUAGAUCCAUAAGUUUAGAAGAUGGCUUUAAAUCUAAGGGGGAGAUAGUACAAGACCCUUUAAUAUUCUAGCUCUUUUCAGUUCCUUGUAGCAUGACAAAAUAGUUCCCAAAACUUAGAAAUUUUUCAGUUAAGUGCCAAGACUUAGUCUUUUCCAAAGCCUUCUAACUUUGAGGAUUUUUUUCAUGAACUUUCUGACCUCCGAAAGUUGAUUUUCAAGUUGAUUCAUGAACGGGGGAGUCAAUAGUACAUCUUGGGUGACUUUCAGAAUUUUUGGAAUCCGUUUAGGGCAUGUUUGGAAUUCAAAAUAGUGACAUCAUGAGAUUAGCGUGUGGUGCAUGCUCCAGUACACCCCUAGUACCAUGCGAUAGAGCAUGCGGCGUACGCUCUAUUCCGGUGCUCCAUAGCAUGCGACGCACGCUCACAGCAUGCCCCCUUGUUUAUCCAGCUCCUGUUUCAGCUAUCUAAGGGACAAUGUUUAUAUACUUAAUGUGUAUUUGAGUUCAUUCUCAACUUUUAGUAAGUAAGUAAUAGUUUCACUCUAUGAUUUGAGUUUUCCCUCAAAAAAAUGUAUGGACUCUAGUCUUAUGACUGAAUAGCUCAUGAUAAGUAUGAACUCAUGUUUCAGAGUAUGACCAGUUUUAGAACUCAUGAUACUAGUGAAGUUCGCAUUAUAUCAUUUAUGUCCUCAGCUUAGAUUUCUUUAAUGAAUCCAUGCCUUUGAUAUUUUAUUCCUCAGGCCUAGGAUAAGUGUUAAAGUUAUGUAUUGUAGUGUUUUGUGCUUUUGGUUCUUAUGUGUUAGCCCUUCGGUGACCUCUUCCUAUGUUAAGAUAAUAGCGAUGAUAGUGGAUAAGCAAUGGUUUAGAUGAGAAAGGGUUGAUGACCCUCAUUAAGAAAGAUUAUUUAUGCUAAGGCUAAAAUGUGAAGUAAGAUUGAGGCCAAGUCGUUGAUACAUGUCAUGGUUAGUUAAAAUUCAUGUGUAUGUUCUUAAGAAUAGUACAAGCAAAUUGUUAUUGAUAAAGGUUUAAAUAAUAUGUGAAGUAUGCAUUUAUGCAGUUUUGCCUUGAAGUUCAUACAUGAUUUUAAUGAUAGGCGUGAAUGUCAUGUUGGGUGUAAGAGGACGGAUAAAAUAUACUCUAGUGAAUCAAUAGUAAGUGUUUCGAGUUAGUCCUUGAAGUGGUGAGGCAUGUUAUGCUUAGGGUGUGAACUCUAAAAAGUUAUGGAAUAUUGAACCUUGUGGUUUAGACUAGUAUUAUGGUUUGGCAUGUUGUAUCUUGUGAUUUAAAGUUAGGCUUGACCUUGGUGAGAGGACUUAGUUUAGUUUUAACCUUGCAGAAAGAUUUAUCAGUGCCCAUGUGAGGAUUAUAAGUUGAAUCAAGAGAGUGUGAUAUUUGAGGGAAAUAUCAUAGUCAAGGAAGCAACUGAGAAAUGUUGCUAAACUUGAAAGUAAGAAUUAGCAUUUCUUAAGGCCUAGAAAUUCUACCCUAGCUUAUGAUUUAUGGGUCUAUGUUCCAGGCCACAGAGGGGUAGCAAUUUCUUAAUUCCUUAUUCAGAUGUUUUAUUUAGAUCAUGUCCAAAGUUCUUUACUCCCUAAUUGCAUUAAAAAUUUCUUAGAAAGGCAUUGAAGAAAUACUUUAUUUAGGUGUAAGCAUCCAGUAUGAUUCAGUCUAUAAGUAUCAUAUGUAUCAUCUCAAUCUUUUCCUGAUUUUUAAAUCAAACUAUUAUCAUUCGGGGACAAAUAAUCCCAAGAGGGGGAUGUUGUAAUACCCCGAGUUUUCAUGUCAUAAACCUCUCAUCUUUUUCUUAUGAGAUCAGAUCCAACGCAAUGUAAUGGUUACUCAUAAGUUGACACUCUCAUUUCUAUCUAAGCCAUACAGCUAUUUUCAUGAGAAUUCAUGCAUUUGCAGAUCAGUUCAGUGGCUCAUUAUGUUUGAGAUUCAGUGAUUCAGUUUAUAUCAGUUGUACAUGAUAGCUUAAAGAAUGAGAUUCUUCUGUGCUUCAGCUUACUUAUCCACAUUCGAGGACGAAUGUUCCCAAGGGGGAGAUAAUGUAAUACCCCAUAUUUUAUUCGUGCUGGAAUUCUAACCGUCGUUUCUAUGGGUCUAAGCUCUAAUCCAUGUGAUUCUCAUGUGAAUAUAAGUUGCAUGAUCAUUAUCCUAGUCUAUGGAGUAGUUUAGAGGUGGAAAAUGUUCAUAGCAAUGACCUAGAGCCAAGUUGAGCUAAGAUAAAUUGAUUCGUCCAAAGUUUGUCAUUCGAUUCUACAAGGGUUUACUUCAAAUGUCCAUAACUCUUUAUAUAUAUGGAAUUUUUUAUCCCAAUACCUAUCAAAUUUUAUAUAAUUGAAUUAUCUUUCCAACGAUACCAAUUUUACAAAAAUUCGAUACCGAGCGAAAAGUUAUGGCUAUUUUAGUGGUUGAGGCAGUAGUACCAUGUGAUGAACGUGCGACACACGCUCUAUCACACGCUAAUAAUUUUCAGGUUCUGUUUCCAUGUUUUUAAGGGAGAAAGUGGUAUUUUCCAACCCCUAUCCAGCUAUAACAUGGGAUUAAACUCCCAUAACACCAAAAUAAGUUUACUUUCUCUCAAAAUUACCAAGAACAUUCAUUCGGGUUUCAACCUUAAAAUCCAAAUAUCUAAAGAUUCAACCAUAGGUUUUUGAUAAUUUUUCAAGAUUCUUAUUCCCAUUCCGAGGUCUAUGAAAAGCACCUAUUAAUCUAAAGUAUAGCAAUCCGAAGUUAAGAGUUCAUCCAAAGCUUAAAUUUCAAGGUAUGUAGGGUUUGAAUAAGAACACCCUUUCGUUCUUGUGCCCAAAACUUAUUUUAGAUUAUAAAUUACUGAAUUUUUUAUUAUUUUCCAUGAAAUUCAAGUUGGGGUUUAUACACAUUGUUGUUAAUUAUAAGCUUAUAGGGUUCCCAAUGAUUUAGAAGUGUAAUUAUAUGACUAAUUUCACAUAUUUAUGCAAGUAAUGUGAUUUUCCAUAUUUUCCAAGUGAGUGUAAGCAUUAAAUUGUGAUUCUUGGUUUCUAUAUUUUGACAUUAUGGAAGUAUUUUCAAGAAGUAUAUUGAGUAUGAUGUUUUGCUAUGAUAUUACAUGAGUAUGUUUAUAUUUUCAUGCUUAUUGCUGAAAUUUUAAGAUUUUGAGUUGAUUCAUCAAUAUUUACGUUAUCAAGCAUGAAUAUUUUGGUGUUUUAAUACGGUUUGAUAUAUGGGUCAUUAACCCCUAUUUAAAGAUUGUUAUUUUGAGAAUGAGUUAUUGAGGACUUUUAAAGAAUUGCAAGAAGUAUUGUUAUAUUUUCAUUAUUAUGAGAUCUUUAAAGCUUUGAUGAUGAGUCUAUCAAUAUUUCAGGAAAGAGUUGGUUUUUGAACCCAAGUAAGAAAAGAAAUCCACAUUUGAUUGAUUUAUGAUAAAGGGGUAGCAUAUUGGUUCCCGAUACAAAUUGUUGAAUUAUUUAUUAUGGAUUUUCUUUAAAAUUCUGAGCUAAGUCUGAGAGUAGUAUUUAGCACCGAGCGGGAAGUGUGGUACUUUUCUAGAACUAUGUGCCCCCUUAGGAUGUGAGCUUGAGGCUGAUAGAGUGAUCACUAAUGAACUGAAAAGUUAAGGUUUUAUCUGAUGGCAAGGAUAGAACAGAUCUCUCCAAUGUGGGUAAGACGUUGGACUCCAUGUAGCUCAUAUGAUUUAUGUCGGUUAGAAGAAACUUCCAAAGUAGACCCCCACUCUAUUUAAGAUAAAGGUAUAUGUUUUUUGAAAGCUAUGAUUCCAAGAUUUCUAAGGUUCUCAAGUGUUAAAAUCUUUAAGUUUUCAAAGGAGUUCUUAGUUUUCAUGAGAUUAAAGUGUAUAUUCGGAAAGAUGUUUUUUUAAGACAUUAUCUAUACUACAAGUUUGAGAACUAAGAAAGAAUGCAUAUUUAGAAUGAAGUGAAAUGACUCACGAGAUUUAUAUUAAAUGUUUCAUUAUUCAUGAUUUAUGAGAUUUAUAUUUCAGAUAUUAUUCAAGCUAUGUCAGUCAUUUAUGUCAGCAUGCAUAAUUUUAUAAACUGUAAUGAUAUUGAGAUAUUAUUUUAUAUGUGAAUUGCACAUAUACUCAGUACAUCCUCAAAGUAGUGAUCCACAUAUACGUCUAUGUGCUACAUUGUCUCAUAAUGUAGAUACAAGUUUUAUUAUGCACAUCAGACUCAGAUAGUUGCAGAUUUCAGCUAGCGAAUGAUAUGUCUUCCUACUUCGAUGAUUUAAGUUAGAUGUCAUUAUAUAUUUUAUUUCUUUAUUUUUCUUAUAUAUUGAUUAGUGAUAGUCGGGGUCACGUCCUAGCAAUCUAUAGUCAGUAUUAGUAGAGGCUUCAUAGACAGUCAGUAGAGUCAUUGUAUUUAUCUCAGUUUCUUUGUAAAAGCAGAGUUGUAAUCAUGUGAAUUCACUUUUGUAUUGAUCAUAUUCAAAAAAGAUGUUUCUUCCACUUACUUUGUUCAGAUUUAUCUAUCUUAUUCAGUUGCUUAUGAGUUAUGCCAGUAGAAGGGUUAGCUUGGGGUCACUUGUUACCCUAGGCACCAUGUGACAUCUCGAGACCCAAUUUUGGGGCGUUACAGUGAUACUUAUGUAUUACUUGAUCCUGGGUCUACCUUUUCAUAUGUGACCCCUUAUGUGGCUAUUGGCUUUGGGUUUGAGCCCGACAUAAUUUCAGAACCUUUUUCUAUUUCUACUUCGGUGGGUGAUUCUGUUGUGGCUAGGAGGUUGUAUAGAAAUUGAGUGGUGACUGUUUGUGGCUGAGACACCAUGGUAGACCUUAUAGACCUAGACAUGAUUGAUUUUGAUGCUAUCCUAGGGAUGGACUGGCUUCAUUUAUGCUAUGCCACACUAAAUUGUAGAACCCAACGAGUUACUUUUUCUUUCUCGAAUGAACCAGUAGUAGAGUGGGAAGGACAUUCUUUAGCACCUAGAGGGAACUUUAUAUCCUACCUCAAAGCCCAUAAACUCAUUUCUAAGGGUUAUUUGUAUUAUCUUAUUUUGGUUAAAGAUUCGGGUAUCGAAAGCCCUUCUUUUCAGUCCAUCCCUAUGGUGAAUGGAUUCCCAGAAGUUUUUCCAGAUAAUCUCCCAGGAAUACUACCUGAUAGAGAGAUAGAUUUUGGUAUUGAUUUAUUGCCAGACACCCGUUCUAUUUCUAUUCCGCCAUAUAGAAUGUCUCCUACAGAACUGAAAGAGUUGAAAGAACAGCUAGCAAAUCUUCUAUACAAAGGUUUUAUCCGUCCUAGUGUUUCUCCCUGGGGUGCACCUAUACUUUUCGUGCGUAUGUGUAGGUCACUGUUAAAAAUAAAUAUCCUCUUCCUAUUAUUGAUGACCUUUUUUACCAGAUUCAGGGUGCUAGAUGUUUUUCAAGGAUACACCUUGGUUCGGGAUACCAUUAUUUGAAGGUUAGAGAGUCAGAUAUUCCCAAAACAGCCUUCUAAACCAGAUACGGUCAUUAUGAAUUCUUAGUCAUGUCCUUUUGGUUGACUAACGCCCUGCAACUUUCGUGGAUCUGAUGAAUAGAGUGUUCCAUCAGUUUCUAGACCUGUUUGUGAUAGUUUUCAUUGAUGAUAUUCUGAUAUAUUCCAAGAGUGAGAAGGACCAUUCCAAUCACCUCCGAAUCAUCCUUCAGACUCUUAAAGAUCACAAGUUGUAUGCAAAGUUUUCUAAGUGUGAAUUCUGGCUUAAUACUAUUGCUUUCUUGGGGCAUAUUAAGUCUAGUAAUGGGGUGAAGGUUGAUCUCCAAGAGGUUGAGGCAGUGAGAAAAUAGCCCAGACCCAUGACUCCAAAUGACAUUCGGAGCUUCUUGGGUUUAGUAGGGUAUUACAGACGGUUCAUAGAGAGUUUUUCUUCCAUAGCUACACCGCUCACUAAGUUGACGCAGAAGAAUGUGAAGUUUGUGUGGUCUGACUCCUGUGAGAAUAGUUUUGAGAAGUUAAAAGAUAAGUUUACAACUGCUCCUAUUUUGACUCUUUUGGAAGGUACGGAGGGGUUUGUUGUGUACUGUGAUGCAUCCCGUGUGGGACUUGGGUGUGUAAUUAUGUAGCAUGGUAAGGUGGUGGCCUAUGCAUCUAGGCAGUUGAAGGUGCAUGAGUGAAAUUAUCCCACCUAUGACUUGGAGUUAGCGGCUGUGGUGUUUACACUUAAAAUCUGGCGACAUUAUCUCUAUGGGGUACAUAUUGAUAUAUUUAUGGACCACAAAAGUUUACAAUAUGUUUUCUUGCAGAAAGAAUUAAACCUCAGGCAAAGACGAUGGUUGGAGCUUUUGAAGGAUUAUGACAUGAGCCUGAACUACCAUCCCGGCAAAGCAAAUGUGGUAGCUGACGCCCUCAGCAGGUUAUCUAUAGGCAGCCUUUCACAUAUUGAAAAGGGGAAGAGGGAGAUAGUGUAGGAUAUUCACCGACUUGCAAAUCUAGAAGUACGACUCUUGGAUUUCGAAGAUGGGGGUGUGGUUGUUCAUGAUGUAGCUAAAUUUUCCCUUUGUGCAGAAGUUAAAGAGAAGUAGUUUGAAGAUCCCAUCUUAAUGCAGAUUAAGAAAGAUGUGGGUCAUUAGAAGGUGAUGUCUUUCAAAAUUAGUGGUGCUGGAAGUUUGAGAUAUUAGUGUAGACUAUGUGUGCCAGAUGUAGAUGGGUUGCGAAAGAGGAUCCUUGAUGAAGCUCACACUUUGAGGUAUGUUGUUCACCCAACUCUACCAAGAUGUAUCAUGAUCUAAAAGCUAUAUAAUGGUGGAAUAAUAUGAAGCGUGAUGUGGCUAAUUUUGUUGCCAAGUGUUUAAAUUGUCAACAAGUUAAGGUAGAGCAUGAGACUAGGUGGUACAUCCCAAGAGAUAGCUUUUCCUUUGUGAAAGUGGUAGAUGAUCAAUAUACACUUUAUUAUGGGACUUUCAAGGUCUCGAAACCAGUAUGAUUCUAUUUGGGUAAUUGUAGACUGGCUGACCAAGUCAACUAACUUUUUGCCUGUGAGGACCAACUAUUCGGGAGAUGAUUAUGCCAAGCUUUACAUUGAGGAAAUAGUCCGCUCGCAUGGUGCACCUGUAUCCAUCAUAUCUGACUGAGGUACACAAUUCUCUUCUCAGUUUUAGAGAUCUUUUUAGAGGGGUUUAGGAACCCAAGUAAAUCUGAGUACUGUAUUCCACCCUCAGACUGAUGGGCAAGCUGAGCGCAGCAUUCAGACCCUUGAGGAUAUGUUGAGGUCUGCAUGAUUGACUACAAAGGUAUUUGGGUAGAUCACUUGUCAUUGAUAGAGUUCACUUACAAUAACUGCUACCAUGUAAGUAUUAAAAUGGCUUCGUUUGAGGCAUUAUAUGGGAAAAGAUGUAGGUCACCGAUAGGGUGGUAUAAUGUUGGUGAGACGCAACUGUUUGGGCCUGAUCUUGUUCAUUAAGAAAUGGAGGACAUGAAGAUUAUUAGAGAACGAGUUAAGAUAGCCCAGAGUAGAAAGAAAUCCUAUACCGAUGUUGGGAGAAGGGAUCUAGAAUUUGAAGUUAGUGAUUGGGUAUUUCUCAAGGUCUCCCCUAUGAAGGGAGUUAUGUGAUUCGGGAAGAAAGAUAAGCUGAGUCCUCGCUAUAUAGGGCCAUACCAGAUUUUGAGAAGGAUAGGUAGGGUUGCGUAUGAGUUAGAUUUGCCCGCAUGUUUGGGUUCUAUUCAUCCGGUAUUUCACAUAUCCAUAUUGAAGAAAUGUAUUGGAGACCAUUUAUUAGUGUUGCCUAUAGAGGAGGUCAAAGUGACAGACUCCUUAUCCUAUAAAGAAGAGCCUGUGGCAAUCUUGGAUCGCCAAGUUAGGAAAUUGAGGAGCAAAGAAAUAGCCUCGAUUAAAAUGUUGGGGAAAAAUAAAAAAAUUGAGAAAGCAACUUGGGAAUCAGAAGGUGAUAUGAGGGAUAGAUACCCAGACUUAUUUGAUUCGGUGAAUGAUGAAAUGAAAGGUACAAUCUUUGUCUUUUUCUUUAAUGGCCUUAGUAUGUUUGGAAUAGUGCUUAUUUGUGUUCUAUGUCAUCAUUUGGGGAUGAAUGAUCCCAAGGGGGGGAUAACAUAACACCCCGCAAAAAUCGUGCAUGUAUUAGCUCCUAGUAGCUUGCUCUUAGAGUUAAAAACUAGAAGAUAUUUUUUUAGUGUCAAAGAGACUUAGUCUCAUUUUUUUGACUUCCAAAGUGAGUAAAGUUUAAACCAUAUAUAAUUUUCCUAAUUUUGACUUUUCAUCACAAAGGAAAUUUGAUAAGCUUUCCGCUGAUUAAAGAUUCUCCCAAAUCUGAUACCUGGGCAAGAAAUUAUGCCUAUUUUAAGUCCUAGUCAUAAAAUACCGUCAUUUUGGUGCUUGGCGCGUCGCGGAGGGGAUCUAUUUAACAAUUGUCAAAUUCAAUUAACCUUGCGCGAUUGUGGUGCAUCACGCUGAAGUUCUAGGUCCCAACCAGUGGGAGAAUGUGAUGGCUCCGUGUCGCGGUGGCCCAAAGAAUCCCAUUCGUUAAUUUCCAGUGAGCCACCGCGAUUGUGGAGCAUCGCAGUGGCCUAUAAAAUCGGGCUUCCAGUUAUAUUUUAUUCAGUUUUAUUAAGGGUAUAUUAGGUAUUUUCCACCCCUCUUAUCAGCUUAAACACGGGAUUAUACUCCCAAGUGACCACAUUAUUCAUAUUUUCAUAAAAAAAUCACAAGAAACUCUCUAUAGGGUUUCAAACUAAAAACCCAAAUAACUCAAGAUUUAACCGUGGGUUUUCAAGAUUGAUUGAAGAUUUGGAAUCCCCAAAUCGUAGGCUUCAAGAAUCAUCCACUAAAUUCCUAAAUUGAGGUACGUGGGAUUUUCCUAAAAAAAUUCAUGGGCAAAGAAACAUACUUUAAUUCAUGCUAAAGAUUUAGAAAUCAUGAUUUUACGGAAAGGGUUUGAAUUUUACCAUUACUAGCAUGUUUUAGAAGCUUUAAUUGAUAUUGUUUGAUCUUUAGGCCUUCCCCCAAAGUGAUUUGAAAUCCUAUGUAUAUGUAUGUAUGUGGUUUUAAUGUGAUGUUUGAAUUGAGAGCAUGACUCACAUUAAAUCCCUCUUUUGAUAUGAUUUAUCCCAUUUUUCAUAUGAUAUGGAUUGUUUUGAAAUGCAUCUUCAAAAGCAUGAUAUGAAAUGUAUUGAUUUAUACUAUGGCAUCAAUAUGAUUUUUGAAUCAAAAGAGAGGGUUGUUUUUAUUGAUAAAUAUAGAAUUUAAAUAUCCAAGGAAAAGAGUUGCAUGGUUUGACAAAAAUUUUAGGACCACCACAUUGUUUUUGAAAGAAUGAUAAUCUUUGCAUAGUUUUGACUUGUGCUUUCAGAACAUGAAAUCUCUUAUACUAUUUGCAUGUUUUGGUGGCCUGAAUUGAGUUUUUGAUGAAAGAAUCAUGCAUGAUGUAUUAUGGCUUAGAAAUAGGACUUGCAAGUCUUGGUGUGACGACACCAACUCAGAUAAUGCCAUGUUAAUUCAGAACAGAAUAGAAUGCAUGUUUGAAAUCAGAUUUUUAGAUUUUUAAAAUAGAAUGAUGCAUGUAUCAGAACAGACUAAAAUUGGUCAUAAAGAGAGCUUAGGCGGUUUCCCGAAGAAGAAAUGAGCUCAGACAACUCAUUGCCCAAAACUGUGAUUUGCCGAUCCGGGUAUAUUAUAUUAUGUUGGCCUAGUGCCCUAUGGCAUAUCAGACUUAGAUACUACAACCCUUGUGGUACAGUCAAUGGUGGAUUCCAUAUAGCUUAUGGAAUAUCAGACUUGUAGGGGAGUGCCACCCAACCCAGAAGUAAUACAAAGAUCAGAGACUGCAUUGACAGAAAGGCUUUAUGAUUAUCAAAGAUGCCCAUGUUUUUUGGAAUUUAUAUCAUAUAUGAUGUUUUAUGACUAUCUCUCAAGUAUUUUAUUUACAUUAAAAGCUUUAUUUUGGAUUGCUCUGUGUACCAGUACAUCUGUAUUGACCCCAUACCUUCCAGGUUCUAACGUGUAAUCUAGGGGUCCUGAUAGGCAGUAGAGUUCUUCAGACAGAAGUGCAGAGUUUAGUUGUGAGCCUUCUAUAUUUUAGAAGGCCCAUUUAUUUUUAGACAUUUAUUGUUAGUCGUGGUUUUGGUCUACUAGGGGCUUUGUCCCAGAAUUUUCAGACCGUUGUUAUUAGUUAUGUAGUAGAGAUUUCGCAGAUGGUUUUUUAUAUGUUAUUAGAGGGUUUGGAUUUCAUUUUACCAUUGUCGAAUUUGUAUUAGACUUACGACCAUGAUUCGAUUUCAUUAUAUUUUUCUAUAUUUUCUUAUUGUAUAUGAAUGGUGUAUAUGAUUACAAGUUAGAAGGGCUCUCGAGCCUUGAUGGUUCGGGAUGUCUAUCACAGCCAGGGCCCCAGUCGGGUCAUGACAGAUAUCGAUGCACCACAUUGGUUAUCUCAUUUUCCAAACCAAUGUCUUGACACGAUCUUAACACAUCAUGUCGCCAAAUGCAUCGAGUACCAAGUUUGUCGUACUAAUUUUUGAGUCAAGGAGUGUAAUUCAGUCUCUUUCCUAUAUCUUAUCUUGAUAUAUGCAUCAAUGUUUCUCACUGUGCUCUAUCCUAAGAAUUCAUGUAGUAUUGUGUCUUCUGAAUGACUCUUUACUUAUGAUCCAAAGACUUGUUGUAUGGAGAACUUCGUGUUUAUUCUAUCAUAUCUUUAUUUCAUGUCCCUCCUUGAGUAGUGAAAUAAGUAUAAGUUAUGGCCUAAUAGUGUUACUUCUAUUCAUGACAUUUAUUCUUGUGUCACUUAAUGACUCUCCAUAUGAUAGUAUGAUGGUGGAUGUGGAAGCGUGGUGAUGUAUUAGAUAGGGGAGUAGAUAUUCUUGAAGGUGAAAAAAAAUGAUGUGAAUUCUCGAGCUAAGGCUAUAAGUGAAAGGGAAAGGAAGAAGAUGAACUUUUGUUGUGUGAAAUAGCUAAGAAGGGGAUGGACUUUUAUUAUGAGAAAUAGUUGGUAAUGAGAUAUAUGGAAAAAAUCUUUGUGAAUGUACUUGAAUUUACUGGGCUUAUGGGGAGAAAUCCAUGAAGUGCAUGUAAAAAUUAUAGGCUUGAAUGUUGUGAUUGAUGAAUACUCAACCCAUGUACUAUAUGGUUAGUAUUCCUUGAAUUAAAACCCGAGAGUGUUUGACGAUAGUGAUAAGGUGAGGCAAUGUUCUUAAUGGGGUGUAAAGUAUAGGGUCCUAUAGUUUAAGUUAUCCCUUUUUUACUCAGAGUUAGGCUUCAAAAUAGUAGUACUAAGUAGUAGGACUCAAAUUUUGGUGGCUAUACAGGUGAUUGGAGAAUUGUAAGUUGGCAAGUGUGACGUAUGCUAUUUAUUUUUUGGGCUGUAGGCUAUUAGUGCUCUAAGUUUAAGUCUAUUCGGCGGUACUUUGUAAGGUAGAGAAUGCUCCUAAUCCUAUCUUCCAUGAAAUAUUAUUUAAUUAUUAGUACCAAUAUCAAUCAAUCUAUGAUCAUCAAAUAAACUCCUACCUUGUGUUGUGAUGAUUAUGAUUCAUAUAACUCAUGUGCAAAAUCAUCCCUAUGUAAAGUAUCAUUAUCCCAUGUUUCGUGCUUUCACAUUUUACUCGGGGUUACCAUGAAACUCAUUUGAUGCCUUUGUAUGUUUUUUUGAGGAAAAUUAUUCAAUGAGAGAUUACGUUCUUUAUUCUAGACUUUUAGAUCCUCAAAAGUCCCUACCUAUCAUUUGGGGCCGAAUGAUCCCAAGGAGGAGAUAAUGUAAUGCCCUGCAUUUUUAAACUAGAAAUUAAAUCAUCGUUAUAUGUGUGUAAGCUCUAAUUCCAUGAUUUAUGUUUAUAUUCAUGUGUCAUGAUCUCUUUCCUAGUAUAUGAAGUGAUUAUGAGCUGAAAAACAUUCAUAAAAAUGGCCUAAAGCAAAGUUGAGCUAAGAGCCUUUCAUUCAUCCGAAAUUGGAUAUUCGAUUCUAUAAGGGUCUACUUUGAAUAUGGAUAACUCUUGAUACACAUAGAAUUUUUCAUAUAAAGACCCACCAAAUUAUAGAUAAUUGAAUUAGCUUUCCAACUAUACCAAUUUCUCCAAAAUCGGAUAACCGAGCGAAAAGUGAAGGCUUUUUCCAUAUAAGGCAGCAAGCCGACGCGAUCAUGAUGCGUCGCAUCAAGAUCGUGUCAACACGAAACCAAACGUGUAUCUAAGGCUGUUUUACAUAUUAUUUCAGUUUUUAAUGGGUCUAGGGGCACCAUGGUCAUUUUUCCUCACCCAUAAUACAUCUAUAACAUUGAACCCCAACCCCAAGAAGCCAAAAUAUCUUAUUUUUCAUUUUUCCUCCCUAAAUCAAAACCCUAACUCCUUCCCCAAAGAUUCAAGAACUCAUUCAUAAGGUAAACAAUUCCAAGAAACGGAUCAAGAUCCGGGUUCCGCUCUUUCUUCUAAAUAAUCUAAGGUGCGUGGGGUUUUCCUAAAACUACUUGGGCAUAGCAAAAUUGUUCAACAACAUUUAAAUAUGGUGAAAUCAUGAAUUUCAAAGGGGUUUUAGAAUUUAUAUUAUAAUGUUGCUUUAUGAAUGUUUUAAUGGCACUAUUGUUUUGGCCUUGAGGCCUUUUCCCCAAAUUGAAUUGCACUUAUAUAUAUAUGUAUGUAUGAAAAUUGGGUUUGAAUAUUUAAUUGAGAACAUGAAUCAUGUAGUGUCUUGAUUACUGUUAUGACUUGAAUAUGAUUUUGAAUUCAAAAGAGAGAGUUUUUCAUGUUGAUAAAUGUUGAAUACACAUAUAAUAAAAGAGUGCAUGGUUUUGCCAAAAGCACAUAACCACCAUAUGUUUGAAGAAUCCUUGCAUAGUUUUGACUUAUGUUUCGGAACAUGAAAUCUCUAAUACUAUUUGUCAUGUUGGGUGGUCUGAAUUGAGUUUUAAUGAAAGAAUUAUUCAUGAUACAUUAUGGAUCAGAAAAUAGGACUUGCAAGUCUUGGUGUGAUGACACCAAUUCAUAUUAUGCCAUUAUAAUUCAGAACAGAAUAGCAUGCAUGUUUGAAAUCAGACUUUUUAGAUGUUGAAACUAGAAAAAUACAUGAUUCAGAACAGGAUAAAAUUAGGCAUAAAGAGAGCUUAGGUGGUUCCCCGAAGAAGGCAUGAUUUUAGACAACUCAUUGCCCGAAAUCGUGAUUUGUCGAUCCGGGUAUAUUAUAUUAAGCUGGUCUAGUGCCCUGUGGCGUAUCAGAAUUAGAAACUCCAAUCCUUGCGGCACACUCGGGUUGGGGGCUUCCCUACCGAGUCAAUGGCGGAUUCCAUACAGCCCGUGAGAUUUUAAAAUUGUAAGGUUGUACCACCUAACUCAGAAGUAAUACAAAGAUCAGACAUUGCAUUGACAAGAAUGAUUUAUGAUUUCAGAAAAUACCCAUAUGUUUUGGAACUACUUUAUAAUGAUAUUUCGACAAAUUGCUCUCCAACUAUUUUAUAUGUAUACAAGCUUUAUUUUGGAUUAAUUUGCAUUCCAGUACAUCUGUAUUGACCCCCUCCCCUCCCUCCAGGUUUUGAGGCUCAGUCUAGGGGUCCAAAAAAGCAGUAGAUUUUAUCAGACAGAGCUACAGUGUCCAGUUGGUGAGCCUUCUUUAUUCCAGAAGGCCUAUUUACUUUCAGGCAACUAUAAUUAGAUAUGGUUUUGGUCUACUGGGGGCCUUGUCCCAGUUUUUAGAUUGUGUUAGUGAUGUAGUAGAGAUUUUGUAGACGGUUUUCAGAUGUUGUUAGAUGGUUUUGGAUUGUCCUUUCCUAUUAUCGAAUUUAUAUCAGAUUUAUGACCAUGAUUCCGUUUUGUUGAAAUUUUCCGCAAUUCCUUAUUUGUGUAUGAAUGGUGUAUAUGAUUUCAAGUUAGAANNNNNNNNNNNNNNNNNNNNNNNNNNNNNNNNNNNNNNNNNNNNNNNNNNNNNNNNNNNNNNNNNNNNNNNNNNNNNNNNNNNNNNNNNNNNNNNNNNNNNNNNNNNNNNNNNNNNNNNNNNNNNNNNNNNNNNNNNNNNNNNNNNNNNNNNNNNNNNNNNNNNNNNNNNNNNNNNNNNNNNNNNNNNNNNNNNNNNNNNNNNNNNNNNNNNNNNNNNNNNNNNNNNNNNNNNNNNNNNNNNNNNNNNNNNNNNNNNNNNNNNNNNNNNNNNNNNNNNNNNNNNNNNNNNNNNNNNNNNNNNNNNNNNNNNNNNNNNNNNNNNNNNNNNNNNNNNNNNNNNNNNNNNNNNNNNNNNNNNNNNNNNNNNNNNNNNNNNNNNNNNNNNNNNNNNNNNNNNNNNNNNNNNNNNNNNNNNNNNNNNNNNNNNNNNNNNNNNNNNNNNNNNNNNNNNNNNNNNNNNNNNNNNNNNNNNNNNNNNNNNNNNNNNNNNNNNNNNNNNNNNNNNNNNNNNNNNNNNNNNNNNNNNNNNNNNNNNNNNNNNNNNNNNNNNNNNNNNNNNNNNNNNNNNNNNNNNNNNNNNNNNNNNNNNNNNNNNNNNNNNNNNNNNNNNNNNNNNNNNNNNNNNNNNNNNNNNNNNNNNNNNNNNNNNNNNNNNNNNNNNNNNNNNNNNNNNNNNNNNNNNNNNNNNNNNNNNNNNNNNNNNNNNNNNNNNNNNNNNNNNNNNNNNNNNNNNNNNNNNNNNNNNNNNNNNNNNNNNNNNNNNNNNNNNNNNNNNNNNNNNNNNNNNNNNNNNNNNNNNNNNNNNNNNNNNNNNNNNNNNNNNNNNNNNNNNNNNNNNNNNNNNNNNNNNNNNNNNNNNNNNNNNNNNNNNNNNNNNNNNNNNNNNNNNNNNNNNNNNNNNNNNNNNNNNNNNNNNNNNNNNNNNNNNNNNNNNNNNNNNNNNNNNNNNNNNNNNNNNNNNNNNNNNNNNNNNNNNNNNNNNNNNNNNNNNNNNNNNNNNNNNNNNNNNNNNNNNNNNNNNNNNNNNNNNNNNNNNNNNNNNNNNNNNNNNNNNNNNNNNNNNNNNNNNNNNNNNNNNNNNNNNNNNNNNNNNNNNNNNNNNNNNNNNNNNNNNNNNNNNNNNNNNNNNNNNNNNNNNNNNNNNNNNNNNNNNNNNNNNNNNNNNNNNNNNNNNNNNNNNNNNNNNNNNNNNNNNNNNNNNNNNNNNNNNNNNNNNNNNNNNNNNNNNNNNNNNNNNNNNNNNNNNNNNNNNNNNNNNNNNNNNNNNNNNNNNNNNNNNNNNNNNNNNNNNNNNNNNNNNNNNNNNNNNNNNNNNNNNNNNNNNNNNNNNNNNNNNNNNNNNNNNNNNNNNNNNNNNNNNNNNNNNNNNNNNNNNNNNNNNNNNNNNNNNNNNNNNNNNNNNNNNNNNNNNNNNNNNNNNNNNNNNNNNNNNNNNNNNNNNNNNNNNNNNNNNNNNNNNNNNNNNNNNNNNNNNNNNNNNNNNNNNNNNNNNNNNNNNNNNNNNNNNNNNNNNNNNNNNNNNNNNNNNNNNNNNNNNNNNNNNNNNNNNNNNNNNNNNNNNNNNNNNNNNNNNNNNNNNNNNNNNNNNNNNNNNNNNNNNNNNNNNNNNNNNNNNNNNNNNNNNNNNNNNNNNNNNNNNNNNNNNNNNNNNNNNNNNNNNNNNNNNNNNNNNNNNNNNNNNNNNNNNNNNNNNNNNNNNNNNNNNNNNNNNNNNNNNNNNNNNNNNNNNNNNNNNNNNNNNNNNNNNNNNNNNNNNNNNNNNNNNNNNNNNNNNNNNNNNNNNNNNNNNNNNNNNNNNNNNNNNNNNNNNNNNNNNNNNNNNNNNNNNNNNNNNNNNNNNNNNNNNNNNNNNNNNNNNNNNNNNNNNNNNNNNNNNNNNNNNNNNNNNNNNNNNNNNNNNNNNNNNNNNNNNNNNNNNNNNNNNNNNNNNNNNNNNNNNNNNNNNNNNNNNNNNNNNNNNNNNNNNNNNNNNNNNNNNNNNNNNNNNNNNNNNNNNNNNNNNNNNNNNNNNNNNNNNNNNNNNNNNNNNNNNNNNNNNNNNNNNNNNNNNNNNNNNNNNNNNNNNNNNNNNNNNNNNNNNNNNNNNNNNNNNNNNNNNNNNNNNNNNNNNNNNNNNNNNNNNNNNNNNNNNNNNNNNNNNNNNNNNNNNNNNNNNNNNNNNNNNNNNNNNNNNNNNNNNNNNNNNNNNNNNNNNNNNNNNNNNNNNNNNNNNNNNNNNNNNNNNNNNNNNNNNNNNNNNNNNNNNNNNNNNNNNNNNNNNNNNNNNNNNNNNNNNNNNNNNNNNNNNNNNNNNNNNNNNNNNNNNNNNNNNNNNNNNNNNNNNNNNNNNNNNNNNNNNNNNNNNNNNNNNNNNNNNNNNNNNNNNNNNNNNNNNNNNNNNNNNNNNNNNNNNNNNNNNNNNNNNNNNNNNNNNNNNNNNNNNNNNNNNNNNNNNNNNNNNNNNNNNNNNNNNNNNNNNNNNNNNNNNNNNNNNNNNNNNNNNNNNNNNNNNNNNNNNNNNNNNNNNNNNNNNNNNNNNNNNNNNNNNNNNNNNNNNNNNNNNNNNNNNNNNNNNNNNNNNNNNNNNNNNNNNNNNNNNNNNNNNNNNNNNNNNNNNNNNNNNNNNNNNNNNNNNNNNNNNNNNNNNNNNNNNNNNNNNNNNNNNNNNNNNNNNNNNNNNNNNNNNNNNNNNNNNNNNNNNNNNNNNNNNNNNNNNNNNNNNNNNNNNNNNNNNNNNNNNNNNNNNNNNNNNNNNNNNNNNNNNNNNNNNNNNNNNNNNNNNNNNNNNNNNNNNNNNNNNNNNNNNNNNNNNNNNNNNNNNNNNNNNNNNNNNNNNNNNNNNNNNNNNNNNNNNNNNNNNNNNNNNNNNNNNNNNNNNNNNNNNNNNNNNNNNNNNNNNNNNNNNNNNNNNNNNNNNNNNNNNNNNNNNNNNNNNNNNNNNNNNNNNNNNNNNNNNNNNNNNNNNNNNNNNNNNNNNNNNNNNNNNNNNNNNNNNNNNNNNNNNNNNNNNNNNNNNNNNNNNNNNNNNNNNNNNNNNNNNNNNNNNNNNNNNNNNNNNNNNNNNNNNNNNNNNNNNNNNNNNNNNNNNNNNNNNNNNNNNNNNNNNNNNNNNNNNNNNNNNNNNNNNNNNNNNNNNNNNNNNNNNNNNNNNNNNNNNNNNNNNNNNNNNNNNNNNNNNNNNNNNNNNNNNNNNNNNNNNNNNNNNNNNNNNNNNNNNNNNNNNNNNNNNNNNNNNNNNNNNNNNNNNNNNNNNNNNNNNNNNNNNNNNNNNNNNNNNNNNNNNNNNNNNNNNNNNNNNNNNNNNNNNNNNNNNNNNNNNNNNNNNNNNNNNNNNNNNNNNNNNNNNNNNNNNNNNNNNNNNNNNNNNNNNNNNNNNNNNNNNNNNNNNNNNNNNNNNNNNNNNNNNNNNNNNNNNNNNNNNNNNNNNNNNNNNNNNNNNNNNNNNNNNNNNNNNNNNNNNNNNNNNNNNNNNNNNNNNNNNNNNNNNNNNNNNNNNNNNNNNNNNNNNNNNNNNNNNNNNNNNNNNNNNNNNNNNNNNNNNNNNNNNNNNNNNNNNNNNNNNNNNNNNNNNNNNNNNNNNNNNNNNNNNNNNNNNNNNNNNNNNNNNNNNNNNNNNNNNNNNNNNNNNNNNNNNNNNNNNNNNNNUUAUAUAUAUAUAUAUAAUGAAAGAGUUGCAUGGUUUGUCAAAAAAAAUACAUGACCACCAUAUGUUUGAUGAAAGAAUGAGAAUCUUUGCAUAGUUUUGCCUUGUGUUUCAGGACAUGAAAUAUCUUAUACUAUUUGCAUGUUUGGGUGGUCUGAAUUGUGUUUUAAUGAAAGAAUCAUGCAUGAUACAUUAUGGAUAAUAAAUAUGACUUGCAAGUCUUGGUGUGACGACACCAAUUCAGAUAUUGCCAUGGUAAUUCAGAGCAGAACAGAAUGCAUGUUUGCGAUCAGAUUUUCAGAUUUUGAAACUUAGAAUGAUGCAUGUUUAGAAAUGGUUAAAAAUGGGCAUAAAAAGAUGUUAGGUGGUUCCCCGAAGAAGGCACGAGUUCAGACUACUCAUUGUAGGAAACUGUGUUUUGCCGAUACGAGUUAUUUAAUCCCCUAGAGGGAUUUUACGCUGGCCUAGAGCCCUGUGCGUAUCAGACUCAGACACUCUAACCCUUGUAGAAAACUCUGGUUGGGGGCUUCCCCGCCGAGUCAAUGGUAAAUUCCAUAUAGCCCGUAGAAUAUCAGACUUGUAGGGGAGUGCCACCUAGCUCAGAAGUAAUACAGAGAUCAGAACUGCAUUGAGAAAACUUGCUUUAAGAUUAUUUGAAAUUGUCCAUGUGCUUUAAAUUAUGUCAUGCAUACUGUUUUACAAAUUUCUCUCAAUUAUGUUUUAUAAAAUUCAUUAUUUUGGAUUGCACUGCGCACCAGUACUUUGUAUUGACCCCUAUAUUUCAGGGUCUGAGGCUCAGUGCAAAGUUCCUGCUAAGCCGUAGAAUCUAUCAGACAAAAGUGAGCAGUUGGUGAGCCUUCUUUAUUACGGAAGGCCUUGUCUUUAGAACAUUAUUAUGUUAUUUUUGUAUUGGGUCCGACUGGGGGCCUUGUCCCAGCUUUGUUCUAGACUUAUGAUUGAUCUGAUAAUGUUAGAGAUUUCGCGGACGAGUAUCAGAUAUUGUUAGAUGUUUAUGGGUUUCAUUAUGUACUGUUCAGUUGAAGCUAGAAAUGACCAUGAUUUUUUGCAUUAUUUUUCACAUUUUCCCUAUUGUAUAUGAAUAUUGUGCAUGAUUAUCAGGUAUAGAAUGGCGCCCGGGCCUUCAUGGUUUGGGAUGCUCAUCACGGCUAGGGCCUCGGUUCAUGUCGUGACAAGGGACUUCUUGAAUCUCUAAAAGUGUAUAAUAAAGAAUGUAAUAUUGAUUCAAACAAUUUUCCUCAACAAAAAAUAUGCAACGGAAUCAUACGAUCUUUAUGAUAACCCCUAGGGAAAUGGGUAAGCACGAAACCUGAGAUAGCGAAACUUGACAUCGACAUGAAUCUUGGCAUAUGUUUUAUGGAACAUGAUCAAAACAUUGUAAGACAUAAAUUUUCCUAAGAGUCCUCUGAUUAAGAUUGGUACAAGAGAUGAGAUAAGCUUCCCACGGAACAUAUGAAUAUUAGCAUUCUCUAUCUGACAAGAUACAAUGAAAAGACUUAAACUUAGACACACUACUUGUAUAUACCCCAACAUCAAUCACAUACUUCAUAAUUUCCAACUCACAAUUCUCCCGUAGCACAUCUUACCUCAGAAUUUGUGUCCUACCGUAUAAUACUUGUAGGUUGAAGCCCAGCUCAGAGGAGAGAGGUGCUAACUUAAACUACGGGACCCCAUACUCUACAUCACAAAAAGAAAUCACCUCACCUCAUCACUAUAAUUCAACAACCACAAGACUUAAUUCAAAGAUACUAACACAUGGCACAUUGGUUCGUGUUUUCAUCAAUGGCAAAAUUCAAGCCUACCACUACUACACCACACUUCAUGGAUCUCUCCAGUAAGGCUAGAAAAUUCAAUCAUUCUCACAAAGAUUUUUUCCAUAUACUUCCCUCCUAACUAUUUCACAUAAAGAAUAUUCAUCUCCUUCCUCCCCCCUGCUCCUAUAACCGUAGUUCAAGAAAUCACAUUGAAAAUUUUCACCUACACUGACAUCUACUCCCCUACCUGAAACAUUACUCCGCUCCCCUAACCACCAUCAUACUGACAUACGGAGGGUCAUUAGGGGACCCGAGCAUAAACAUCAUGAAUGGAAGUAACACUAUUAAACCAUAACUUAUACUUAUUACACUACUCAAGGAGGGACAUUAAAUGAAGAUACGAUAGAAUCAUAGAGUGCUUCAUAUAUCAAGUGUUUGGAUCACAAGUAAAGGGUUGUUCGGCAUAACCACAACACAACAUGAUUUCUUGGGGCAUACUACAGCGAGAAACAUGGGUACACAUAUCUCAUGACUUGUAUAACAUAAGGUAGGAAUUCUUAAAGUCAAUGAUUGAGACAAAGAUUGAUACUUGAAGUUAUUGCAUCUCAUUUUCAGAGGUAAGAUAGUCAUAAGUUCGUACAACUUUAUCGCUUUGGCUAAUUCCAGCAUAAAAUGAUUCAGUGACAUACAAAAACACGUUUUCUUAGGACCAAGCAUGUUGUGAGACAUAGGUGUAGAUCAUGAACAACAUAACAUAUGGCUUGGAUACUUGGAAUAUUGGAUCACUGAAGGAAAUUAUUGCUUCUAGUUUGGAAGUCAGAACAUGAAAUGAGUUACAUGGAGAGCUCAAACCUUAGACAUAGGCCGGUUUGACUAUAUAAGACAUUGGUAGAAUGAACUCCUAAACUGAAGUAGGAGGGACAUGCUUGAAUAGAUAUAGGUUUAUCAUGACUCUUCCCUAACUUGUCACAAUAAGAAAAUUCGGAAACUACCUUAAUGUACCAACUCCCCCUUAGAUCAAAGUCACAAUCCUAGACUUGAGAACAUAAACUCUCAUCAAUCUAUAACCACAAUUCGCAAUACAAUAGGAGGGGUAUCUGUAUACACAUGAACACAAACUUCCCUCAAUAAUUUAACAUAAGGACUCUAAAUUCUUUCUAGGACAUCUCCCCAAGGAUACUAAUCAUAACUUCCUCUACCCCCAAAGUCAUCCACUCAUGACUAACAUUAUUAUGGGCAUGGACAUUCAUGCUUAUAAAUACUUAAUACUCCAUCUUCAACUCCUUAGAGUACUCGCAUUACACCUCUAAUCACAAAACAUACAACUUAACAAAAUUUGUAAAAUCAUACCCAAGGCUCAUAUAGCCUACCAAUAUUUCCUCAAUUCAACUCUAACGAACACCGUACAACAACUCACUAGACUUCUCCAUACUAUAAUUUCAAGAACACAAACUAGUUAUGCAAAACACCUAUACACAUAAAUGCUAAACUUUCCCUUUUUAAUCAUACUCUAAAGGCAUUGCUUUUCGAGAAUGCUACUCUUAAUUUUUGCUAUCUUCUAUCAUCAUCUACUUACAACUCCCAGUCCAUGAUCAUACACAACCUCACUCCUUAUCACAUAAAAAUCCAGUACUUAACCUUCUAACAUUAGAUCGUUAAUGACAUAACUUAUAUCAUAAAAUCUUACCUAAGGCCAUACUAAAAAGAGGGUGCAACUUAUUCUUAUAUACUUACGGCCUUAUCCACUUAAUGACUCACCUACCAUUCAUCAUUUUAAGACUAGUCCGGAUAUACACAUAUACCUCACAAUUACAACUUAAACUUUUCAUAAGUUAUCAAUAUAGGCUCUUUCACAAUUCACAUCAAGCCUACUAAUUCAUUCCUGCAAAAGAUACAUCAUUAAUCUUAAGCUACUAUUCUUACCACCACAUUCUACAAUAAAGUUCAAGCCUAUAGUGUAGCAAAAAUCACGUAUCACCAGUGAAACAUGCAACAUAUUAUACUAGUCCAUCAAAUUGGGAAAUUAACUCAAAAUGCUCAUUUAAAUUUAACUACUACCUACAAUCGCAACCCCUCCCUGACAUCACUAUUACAUCUCAAAAUUCACUACAUACCUUCUCAUAAGUAGUACUAGUUUACAACCACUAAAGAAAAGAAGGUCAAGGGGGUAAAGUCACAUAAUAGACAUAGUCAACCUUAAUUUUAUAGUAUAGCCUAAUACGAUCUUAUCUACAUAUUCUACUUUCUCACAUCAUACUUACUUACCCAAGCAUACCUUUAGACUACCCUCAAAUUCCACAACAACAAUGAGUAUAUAGUUAUAACUUAUUGGCUAAUCUAACCGUUUCCAUUCAUAGCCUAUAAGAGCUUUCUAUAAUGACCAUAACUAUCCACUCUAGGCUCCUUUCCUAUUUUUUGAAUAAAUAAUAAUCAAAGCCAAACACUCCCCUUGUGGAAUACCAUACAAUUUACAAUUAUUACUACCACAUUAGUCUAUCACUACAAAAUGGAAAACCACUCCUCAAUCCACAGUUAUGCAACUAAACUAACUUCUGUAUGCAAAAGUCCCCCUAAUUUAGACUCUUAAGCUUGAGACUUCAUAUCACUAAUUUCUGGAUCAUCUCACUACCAAUAGGUCAUGACAAUUUAACAUACACUACUACUCAGGCAAAAAUACAAUUCUAACAUUCCACUAUACAUCAUUCCCCUUAUGCAUGACAUUUGCAAUAAGAAUCUUGAAAGGGACUGAAUACACUUCACACCUCAGGAUCGAACACACGAUUGAUGUAGAUAAAGUUAUAAGCUUGAAUCAAUACACUUUAUAGCACUCAUAGGCUCCCCUCAAGUCCUUGUGCAAUUUCAUAAUCAUUUAUGACUAAAUCAGAAAAGGACCACAUCAUUACUUGAAUCACCUCAACAAUAAGACAUAUCUAAGAACAUCAGAGUAAGGAAAGAAUUGGGAUAACUUUACUUUCGUAUGGAAGACACCAUAGCAUGAACUAGAGUAUGAAAGAGAAACAUUCUAGCUCCAUAACAUGAACUAGAACAUGAAAAAGAGAAAUAUUCCUAAACUCCUUGUAGCCUCCUACUUAUAAGUGUGGCGUGCUACACACCCAUAAACAAGACUCUACUCUACAAUAUUCAUUAAUAAAGAAAAGAAUGCAAAAAUAAAAUAAAUGGAAUCAUGGUCAUACUUUGAAUUCAAUUUAGCAAUACUGGAAAGAAAUCCAUCAACAUCUAAACAACAUCUAUUUCGGUCUGCGAAAUCUCUAGUACAUACGAAAACCAAUGUAACUGUCUGAAAUCUGGGACAAGGCCCCCAAUGGACCAAUACAAUAAUGAAAUAACAAUACCCUAAGAAUGGCCUUCCGAAGUAAGGGAGGCUUACCAAUUGCACACUUCUGACUGUCAACUCUACGAUUUAGCAGGACCUCUAGACUGAGCCUUAGACCCUGAAAGAUAGGGGUCAAUAAAAUUGUACCGGUACGUAGAGAAAUCCAAAAUAUUGAAUUUAUAUAAAUAAAAUAGGUGAGAGCAGGUCAUGUAACAUCACAUUGAUAUAGUUUAAAAUACAUGGGCAAAUCUUUGAUAAUCAUAAAACAUUCUUGUCAAUGCAUUUCUAAUUGUUGUUUUACUUCUGAGUUAGGUGGUACACCCUACAAUGCUACACCCCACGAGCUAUAUAGAGUCCUCGCUAAAAUCGGUAGCAAAGCCCCCAACCAAGGUUUGUCACAAGAGUUGGAGUUUUUGAUUCUGAUACGCCAUAGGGAACUAGUCCAGCAUAUAAUCCCUCUAAGGGACAUAAUAAUCCUGUAUCGGCAAAAUAUGAUAUUGAGCAAUUAGUUUUCUGGACUCGUGCCUUAUUCGGGUAACCACCUAACAUCUCUUUAUGCCCAUUUUUAGCCUUUUCUAAACAUGUAUCAUUCUAAGUUCAAAAUCUGAAAAUCUGAAGGAAAAUCCACAUUUUGUUCUGUUCUGUGCUACUAUGGAAUUAUCUGAAUUGGUAUUGUCAUACCAAGACUUGCAAGUUAUGUUUUUGUGCCAUAAAAAUCAUAUCACAAUUUUAUGUUUCAAAACAUAAAGUUUAGACCACUAUACUUCGAACAAUUCAAGAAGAUUCAUUCUUCAAAUACAUUUAUCAAAUCAUGCAAAGGUCAUUCCUUUCAAUGAUUUCAACAAACAUGUUGUGGUCAUGUAUUAUUGGCAAACCAUGCAAUUCUUUAAAUGUAUAUAUAUAUAUAUAUAUAUAUAUAUAUAUAUAUAUUCAAUAUAUAUAAAUAAAAAAAAUCCCUCUCAACACUCUCAACAAUUUAAAUAUCAAUUUUAAAUCAUUCAACAAUAGUCAAGAAUAUUAAUAUCAUGCUUCUGAAUAACAUUCUAAAAUCAAAAGGUGUUGCAACAUGAGAGGGAGCGUAAAUAGUCAUACUCUCAAUUAAAUUAUCAACUUCAAACACUUGCAUGCAUAUAUACAAUUACAAAUCAAUUUGGGGGAAAGGCCUCAAGACCAAAUCAAUAUCCUCAAAAGUUCUAAAACAUGAAUCUAAUUAUAAAUCUCAAAUCCUUUCUGAAAUUUCAUGAUUUCUAAACCUUUAACAUGAUUAAGAAGAAUUUAAUAUGCCCAUGUAGUUUUGGGAAACCCCAUGUACCUUAGUUACGAAGAAUGCACGAAGAAAUUUUGAAAAAUUGGACGUUUAGGCUUGAUUGUCCAAACCCUAGUUGUUUUCUCCCCUUGUGUUCUUGAAAGAUGAAUUUUAGGGUUUUUUAAGGAGUUAAAAUGUUACUAAUGACCUUAAUUUCAUUAAAGGAUGAUUAGGGAUGGUUUUGGAGUGUAAAAAGACUUGGUUGCCCUUAAAAUAACUUUAAAAUGACAUUUUUAUGUCCUUGGGCCAUAGGGCAUGCGACGCAUUGCCUAUGGCCUAAUCUAGGAAAUGCCACGCAUUGUUUAUCACCCAAAAUAGGUUGGGAGUCGCAUUACCCAUCACCCAAAGUGGGUUGGGCGACGCAUUGCCCAUGGCACAACAAUUCCAGUAGCCUUAGGCGAUUUGCUAGGCAAUGCACUCCAAUUUGCAAAGUCAUAACUUUUCACUCGGGUAUCAGAUUUAGGCAAAACUGGUAUCGUUGGAAAGCUACUUUGAAAACCUUUCAUUUGAUAUAUAGUAAGCCCUCUAAUUCAUUAUAUACAAAAUGUUAUGGUCAAUUAAAGUUGACCUAUGUUUUGAUGCUCACUAAAAUGAAAACUAUAGGAAAGCUUCCAACUCGUCCUUGGGUUAAGGGACCUCUAUGAUCUCAAUUCAUGCUCAACCAGAUUAUCAUACUACAUGAUUGAUCAACACACUAUAUUUGCAUUGGAUUUAUGGCUUUUGAAACCUUUGCACGAAGGAAACGACGGUUUACGUUCUAGCCCGAAAUGUGGGGUGUUACAUUAUGACUCACCAAGGAAUUAUUAACCACACAUCAUGCCCAUACACCCCUCAGCAGAAAGGAAAAAUAGGCAUCCCAUUAAAACUGCUCAUAUUCUUCUUAUUGAAUCCCAUGUUUCACUAUGUUUUGGGGGUGAUGCAGUCCUCGCAUCUUGUUAUCUCAUUAAUAGAAUGCCAUCAUCUUCGAUUCAUAAUCACAUUUCCCAUUCCAUAAUAUUUCCUUAGUCAUAUCUCUAUUAUAUCCCCUCCUUGUGUUUUUUGGGAGCAUGUGUUUUGUUCAAAACUUAGCCCCAGUAAAAGAGAAAUUAGCCCUUCGUGCUCUCAAAUGUGUCUUCUUUGGUUACUCUAGAGUUCAAAAAGGGUAUCGAUGCUAGUCACCUGAUCCAGGUCGCUACCUUAUGUUCGCCGAUUUCACAUUUUUUGAAACUCAACCUUACUAUAUAUCUUCUGAUCAUCUUAAUAUCUCUACGGUCUUACUCGUACCUCCAUUCUUACCCACACUAACCUUUGAGGAAUCUACAAUUACUUCUAAAUCUUCAGCUGCAAUGCUACCACUUUUGACUUAUCAUCGCCGCCCACGUCCAUUAUUAGUUCUAGAUAAUUCGUGCCAUGCACCUGAAGUUUCCCCUACUGCGAACUUGUCUCCUACUAGCUAAUCAGUUGCACUUGAAAAUUGUAUAAGAUCUACUCGUAAUGCUAACCCACAUUAUACUUUCUUGAGUUAUCAUCGUUUAUCAUCACCCCAUUAUGCUUUUGUAUCAUCUUUGUCCUCUAUUUCUAUCCCUAAGACUACAGGUGAAGCACUUUUCCAUUCAAGUUAGAAUCAGGCUAUGAUUGAUGAGAUGUCUGUUUUACAUGUGAGUAGUACUUAGGAUUUUGUUGUAAAUCUAUUAUUGGUUGCCAUUGGGUUUAUGUAGUCAAAGUUUGUCCAAAUGGUCAGGUUGAUAGGCUUAAGGCUUGCUUUAUUGGAAAAGGAUACACAAAUAUUCGGGCUUGAUUAUAGUGACACUUUCUCUCCUGUGGCUAAAAUAGCAUAUGUCUGUCUUCUUCUAUCUAUGGUUGUCAUUCGUUAUUGGCCCCUUUAUCAUUUAGACAUUAAGAAUGCUUUUCUGCAUGGUGAUCUUGAGGAGGAAGUCUAUAUUGAGCAACUACCUGGUUUUGUUGCUCAAGGGGAAUCUAGUAACCUUGUUGUCGAUUGCGCAGGCCAAUCUAUAGUUUGAAAUAGUCCCCUCGAGCGUGGUUCAAAAAGCUUAGCACAUUAAUUCAGGAGUUUGGCAUGAUUCAUAGUGAAGCUGAUCAUUCAGUAUUUUAUCGCCAUUCUAAAUCAAAUUUUUUUAUUUAUGUAGUCGUUUAUGUUGACGAUAGCAUUAUCACCAGCAAUUAUCAAGAUGGUAUCAUUAAUUUGAAGCAUCAUCUCGUUUAGCAUCUCCAGACUAAAGACCUCGACAAACUGAAACUCCCAUGGAUCUAAAUGCUAAACUUUUACCAGGACAGGGAGAGUCACUAAGUGAUACUGGAAGGUAUAGAUGGUUGGUUGGAAAGUUGAAUUAUCUCACAAUGACUAGAUCUGACAUCUCUUUUCUCGUGAGCGUUGUAAGUCAGUUUAUGACUUCCCCCUUUGAUAGUCAUUGGGACAUAGUUUUUCGUAUUUUGUGAUAUAUAAAGUCAUCUCCAAGUAAAGGACUACUCUUCGAGGAUCGAGGCCAUGAGCAUAUUAUUGGAUGUACAGAUGUUGAUUAGGCUGGGUCACCCUCUAAUAGACGAUAUUGUGUUUUAGUAGGAGGUAAUUUGGUGUUCUGGAAGAGUAAGAAACAGAGUGUGGUUGCUCAAUCUAGUGUUGAAGCAAAAUAUCGAGCAAUGAUUGCAACAACUUGUGAGCUAGUUUUGAUCAAACAAUUGCUAAGAGAACUAAAAUUUGGAGAAACUGGUAAGAUGGAACUCGUAUGUGAUAAUCAAGCAGCCCUUCUAUUGCAGCUAAUCCAGUGUUCCAUGAGAGAACUAAGCACAUAGAGAUUGAUUGUCACUUAGUCAGAGAAAAGAUACUGUCCGGAGACAUUGUUACAAAAUUUGUGAAGUCAAGUGAUCAACUUGCAGAUAUCUUCACCAAGUUGCUCACUAGUCCUCGUAUAAAUUAUAUUUGUAACAAGCUAGGUACAUAUGACUUGUAUGCACUAGCUUGAGAGGAGUGUUAGAAUAUGAGUAGGAACGAGAAUAGUAUACAAAAUCCUACAUGGAAAAGGAUAGUGAUGUAGUGUCUAUAAAUAGGAUCUCAAUGUAAUAAUUUACACACAAUUCAAAUAAUAUUUUUCUCCAUUUUUUCUCACGACAACCAACAGAUAACUUAACAGAAUGUAAAGCAGCCUUUUUACCCAAGUUUAAAUAGAAAUUGGAGUUACUACAGCUCCUCCGAAAGCCUUUUUGAACCAGUCCUGCGAACAAAUAGUCACCAAAAUAGAAGUUCCGAUGCUACAGAAGAACCUUCAGAGAUUGCUCUUCAUCCACAAAAUGAAAUAGGAAUUGGGUAUCAUUCAACUGUUAAUCUUCAUCCCCUCUACUACAUCCCAUCCCACUAUUCGGCUGCCAAAUUCUUGAACGCUUCUGGAGAUCCAAUCCAUUUGACGAAGGAUCCAACCAAACAUGAUUUCAGAAAACUUUUUCUCUUCAAAAUGUAGUCCUCUGACAGCAAGAAGCUAGGUUCUUUUGAAGACUCUAUUCUUUGACAUCUACCACCUAAAUCAAGAGAUGGCCAAGCUAAGCUUCUAUGAAAGACAUGUUCUCCCUCUUCAUAUAGUUUAGAGAGAAGUAGGAGCUGCUCUCGCUAGACAUCUCUUAUUAGCUACUAGAUUAUGAAAAUGAAAUAAUAAAAAUUAGCUAAGUACUAGAAUUAGCGCUAUGAUGAUCUCAAAUGUUAACAGUGUUCUAAGUAAAAUGAUUUUAUUGGAAGUAGACAGCUGCUGAGACAUUGUGUCUUAAUAUUUUUCUCCUGUGGAUAGAUGGCACUAGCAAAGAAUGCUAAGGUAUACUAGCAUUAGAUGAAAAGAAACUGAAAAGAAGUCAUCUCAAGAUGCAACUCUGAAUAAAGUACUGGUUUUCUGAUUUAACUAGAAAUGUCCUUUGUUCAUCACCAGAGAGAUGAGGAAUCAAACUAAUAAACCAUCAUUUGCUUAAGGAUUUAACUCCAGAAGUCAGACAGUUCAAAAUGCCAUCUUUAAAGGCAUCUUUGCAAAAUAAAUGGCUUCGGCUUAUGCUUCAACUAUAUCUGUUAAGCCUCCAUUUGGGACAUUCUUUGCAAAACUCAGUAACUUGUUCCUUAAGACAGAUUACUGUUCUUUAGAACUGGGAAUUCUUCCCAUCUCAUGCUCUUUUCCCUGGACCAACAUACAUAUCUCCAAACAAAAACUCCUAAUGAUAUAGAAUCUAUGCAAGUGUACCAAAAAGGCAAUAACUAACCAACUUUGACCCCAAUUAGUUGGGGUGUUACAUAUAUGGAUACUUUGCUUUCGCGUAUUCUAUUCUUGGUUGAGUUCCUCAUGGAUUCUAACCAAGAAACUGUAAACAACUUCACUCCAUGUCAUCUUACGCAUACUUCAUCGCAUUACUACUUUUAAUCACCAGCGUCACACAUGCAACAACAGACGUGUUCGGAUGUCUACAUGGGACAUAAAACCAUCUCACACAACCUUCAAUUAUUGUAUACCCCGAAAGUACUUCAUACACCUUCCAUUAGAUGCAUUCAUCUCUAAUAUUCUUUAACCUUGUAUGAACGCAUAUCCAUCCUAACAUGCAUUCCUAGGAUGCUCAACGUGUGGAUAUGUUGAGCGUCUAAAUUCUAUGCUACUCAUAUUUGUAGAUAAGUUGGGCCUAAGAGACCAAACAGUCAAUUUCAUGUAACAUUACUAGUUCCAGAACUGUUCAUGGAGCCAACUCCCCCCAGAAUUCAAAAGCAAGUUCGAUGAAAAUGAACAUUACAAAAGCCCUUUACCUCGCUCCUCAAACACUUUUUCCCGUUUCUAUCAUAUAUCUUCAUAGCUGAAAAAUGCUGCACUGUCUUUCAUUUCACUUACCAUUCAAGCCAACUGUAACAAGAAUGGAUAAUUCUGUGCUUUGACCUGCGAGAGUAAAAAAGACAAAAGAAAACGCCAAAGACAUUAAGUUGUCAACAUAAGAAACUUAAGUACACUUUCCUGAUUGACUUGCCCAAUGCACAAACCUUAAGUACUUUUUUCGGAGAUGGAUAUAUUACUUACAUUAUCAACAGGGGAAUAUGACUUCAUGUAGUAAUAGAAUUCUUCCUUACGUGGAUCACCCCAUUCCUGUAGCAAAUGAAGAGAUUAAACAUAAGCCACAAACUUCAAAAUAUUCAAUCUUCCAGGUCCCUCAAAUAUUAAUUAGAGCCAAGGCAUCACAAUCUGAUUCUCACAACUCCUCAAAUAUACCUUAAGCCCAUUUGGAUCCAUGUUCCAAAAAUAUUUUACUAGUACAGCUUAUCACUGGAAAACCUGUGGCAUAAAUCCCAACGCCAUUACCACAAAAGCGUGCCCUCAGAUACAUUCUUGUAACAUAUCCUCAUAUUGAUCAUCUAAAUGAUUUAAAAUGGAGAAUCCGCAACAAUGAAUGUCAUGCCACUUAAAUUUCUCAAUAAAGUAAGUCACACACGGAUUUAAAUUAAAGAGGUCUAACCUCCCACUCUGAAGUUGUUAAAGGAAUAGUUGAAUCAAGCAUUGUAGUUACAAAAUCUACAAAAGGAACCCCAGCCACAGCGGCUUUAAACAAAUCAGGCCGCAUGUUAACAACAGCACCAAUCAGCAAUCCACCUGCACUUCUUCCAUUGAUACAAAGUUUUUCCUUGCAACAGUACUUGUCUAUUAAAUACUCUGCACAAGUAAUGAAAUCUGUGAAAGUAUUUUUCUUUCUCAACAGUUUCCCAUUUUCAUACCACUGUCUCCCCAUUUAGCCACCUCCACGAAUGUGAGCAAUAGCAUAAAUGAAACCCCUGUCUAACAGAGACAAACGUGAUGCCUUGAAAGUGGGAUCAAUACAUACCUGUUAGGAAUAAGGCAUUUGCAGAGUCAGCAAAAAAUGACCAAGCUAUAAGUUCUAACCAACCGAUUAAUGACUGUGACCUUGCACAAAAUAUCAAUCUCAGGAAUUCCACACUUGAUAGACUGAAGACUUUACAUCAAUUCAAGUAGAAAGCCGUCUGUUGGUGAAUUUUCAUUUAUACCGAGGACAACGUGUACAUUUCUUGUAUUCUCCAUUAAAAAAGAAACAACAAAAGGAUUCAUUUGAUAGUAAAUCAUAGAUGAUCAAAUUAAAACUAUACGCGAAUACCCACUGGCUACACACAAGCCAUUCUUUAAAAAUUUUGACAGUUUGACUACCGAAAUCACAUGAAUAUCAGAUCUUUUCAUACAACAUCGCAUUUUUGACCGGCAGUAUUUUCUACAAAGAGUAGGCUUCAUAAGCUUUUGUACCAUUUACACAAAUGCCCAUCAGUAUAAAAAGCGACAUGUCACAUAAAUUUUCCAUCUAAGAUCUGUGAAAUUUCAUAAAACACAGUGUUCAGAAACAAUCAGAUGCUACCAUAAUGCGCUUAGCCUAACCAUAACAAAGAGAUAUUGACCUUCUUCCUUCUUCCUUCAGAUAAACAAGAAAAGGAAGGACAAACAGAUAGUAGUACUCCACAUUUAGUUACUCAAUUAUUAACUGUAUUAGCAAGUAAAUCACCUCAUAGGAUCCAUAACCAUAAAGAAGCAAUGGAUCUGAACUAUCAAGUUUUACAAGAUUCUCAUGAUAGAUUAUUGAUAUAGGUAUCUGUGUGCCAUCUGAAGCAGUAGCCCAUUGCCUCUCAGUCACAUAAUUUGAUGCAUCAAAGACUCCCAGAACCUAAAUAAGAUAAUGAAACGAACCAUUACAACUAAUAACCGAAGUUCAAUAACCACUAAUUGCUGUCAGAGAAUGUGAAGAUGUUCCAAAAAUGCCAAGAACCAUCAGAAUAGUCAUAUAAGACUGCUAUUCAUACUUCUAGUACGAUACUUCAAAAGUUGACCAAGAUGUUCUUUCUUUGAGAUGAGCGAAAAAUUCUGAAAGGCAGAAGCAUGUAAUCAGUAUGCAAUGACUGCUUAUCUCAUCAGUAAAUAAGAUACAUGUGAGAAUUUCUUAAAAUUCAAAAAGAUAAGACUAGAAUGAGAAGACCAAAAUACAUGUGUAUUUAUUUCUAUAUAUAAAAUAGAUUAUCUAUUUCUGUAUAUGAAAAAGUAAUAGUUUCCAAGGCAAGGAGAUGAGUUCUGAAACUACUACUCCUCUCCGUCUCAUUUUAUGUGAUACUUUUUUCUUUUUAGUCUUCCUAAAAAUAAAAUUAAACCUAUAUAUAUUUAGAAACAAUUCAACUUUAGACUUGUUAUUACCCUUAGUGAGAUAAUUGUCAAACAAAUGUGUAUGACUUGUUUUAGACAAGAAGUUUCAAAAGUGUGUUUUUCUUUCUUAACCCAUGUGCCCACAGUCAAAUACCAUCACAUACAAUGGAAUAGAAAGAGUUUUGUCAUGCAAUCAUUCAAUUUGAUGCAUGUUAGAAUAUGAGUAGGAAUAGGAAUAGGAAUAAGAAUAGCAUAUAGAAUCCUACUUGGAAAAAGAUUAUAAAGUAGUGUCCUAUUAGGAAAUGGAUUUGAAUGUAGUGUCUAUAAAUAAGACCUCAAUUUAAUAAUGUAGUUACAACAAUUCAAUAAUAUUUUUCUCUUAUAUUCUCACAUGGUAUCAGAGCUUCCACAAUCUUUAUAAAGAAUCAAAGAUUCCGCUGCCGGCGGGCAGCUAUAAUUCAUAUAUGCUGCCCGUCUGGCCAAUGAUUAUGUUUGCAAAAGUUGGAUCACCGUGUAUCUUUCUGGUGACUCUUUUAUCACAUAUGAUUUGCGUAGCAUAAUGCAUCUAUCCGGUGACUGCUUUCUCAUAUCAGAUUUGCGUAUUAUCGUGCAUUCUUUGGGCUACUUCUCAUAUUUAAUUUGCAUUGUACCGUGCAACUUUUUGGACUACUUUCUCAUAUCUGAGUUGAAUAGUACCAUGCGUUUUUUCGGUGACUCCUGAGAUCUGAUUUGCGUAGUCCCAUGCAUAUUUAUAGUGACUCCUCAGAUCUGAUUUGCGUAGGGUCGUGCCAUCAUUCUAGUCCUACCUAUAUAAUUUCUUUUUUUCAUUAGGGUCAUGUCGUCAUUCUAACUCUACCCAUAUAUUUUUUCUUUUUCUAGUACGGUCGUACCAUUAUUCCGACCCUAUCCAUAUAAUUUCUACUUCUCAGUAGUGUCGUGCCAUCAUUACGAGCCUACCCAUAUAAUUCUCUUUCUUAGUAGGGUCGUGUCAUUAUUCCGACCAUACCCAUAUAAUUUUUUCUCAGAAUGUGCCCACUUUUCAUCCAUCAAAUCUAAUUAUCCAACAUGCAAGCAUGUUUCAACUAGUUCUUCAUUGACUUUUUUGUUCAAGAUCUACUCAUCUCUUGAUUUCGAGAUGAACCAUAUAGUUUAUACCAGAUUUCAGCAAUUUUUCAUUGAUAGAUCGACUUUCCAGCAAUGUUUAUGGCACGACCCGAACUAGGGCCUAGCCGUAACGGACAUCCCGAACCACGAAGGCCCGAAACGCCCUUCUCUAUCUGAUAAUCAUGCACAACAUUCAUAUAAAUAAAGAAGAUGCGAAAACAUAAGCAGCUACGGAAACAUGGUCAAAUUCUAAUUUCAACAUAAGUGCAGAAACUGUACUGCAACUACAUCUAAAUAACAUCUGACUCAGUCUGUGAAAUCUCUACUACAUAAAAAUUUGACAACUAUCUGAAAACUGGGACAAGGCCCCCAGUAGACCAAUAAGUGACAUAAUUUGAAAAGAUAGGCCUUUUGGGAUAGAGAAGGCUCACCAACUGGACAAAUCAACUCUGUUUGAAAUAAUCUACUGCCUUUCUGGACCCCUAGACUGAGCCUCAGAACCUGGAGGGAGGAGGAAGGCCAAUACAAAUGUACUGGUAUGCAAAGUAUUCCAAAAUAAAGCUUUUAUAUAAAUAAAAUAGUUGGAGAGAAAUUUGUCAUAUACCAUUCAUAAAAUAGUUCUAAAACACAUGGGUACUUUCUGUAAAUCACAAAUCAUUCUUGUCAAUGCAAUGUCUGAUCUAUGUAUAAAUUCUGAGUUAGGUGGGACUCCCCUACAAUUUUGAUAUUCCACGGGCGAUAUGGAAUCCGCCAUUUUCUCGGUGGGGAAGCCCCCAACCUGAGUGUGCCACAAGGGUUGGAGUUUCUGAUUCUGAUACACCACACGGAACUAGACCAGCAUAAUAUAAUAUACCCAGAUCGGUAAAUUACGAUUUUGGGCAAUGAGUUUUUUGAACUCAUGCCUUCUUUGGGGAACCACCUAAGCUCUCUUCAUGCCUAUUUUUAUCCUAUUCUGAAUCGUGCAUUUUCUAGUUUCAACAUCUGAAAAGUCUGAUUUCAAACAUGCAUUCUAUUCUGUUCUGAAAUUAUCAUGGCAUAAUCUGAACUGGUGUCGUCACACCAAGACUUGCAAGUCCUAUUUCUGAGCCAUAUGCAUUAUAUGUAUAAGAGAUUUCAUGCUCCGAAAACAUAAGUCAAAGCUAUGCAAGAACUCUUCAAACAUAAGGUGGUCAUAUGCUUUUGGCAAAAUCCAUGCACUCUUUCAUUAUAUGUAUUUUAAACAUUUUUUCAAUACAAACAACCCUCUCUUUGGAAAUCAAGAUUCAUAAUCAAAUCAUUCAUAAAUUAAGACACUUAGUAACAUGCUUUUCAAGAUACAUUUAAAAACAAUCUAUGUCAUAUGAUAAGUAAGGAAAAAUCAAUAGAAGAGAGGGAUUUUCACAUGAAUCAUGCUCUUAAUUCAAUCAUCAACAUUAACCAUGUGUAUAUAUAUAUAUAUAUAUAUAUAUAUAUAUAUAUAUUUCAAUUCAAAUAAAUUCGGGGAAGGCCUAAAGAACAAAACAAUACCAUCAAAACUUCUAAAACAUCAAUUUAUUCACAAAUCCGAAACCCUUUUCGUAAAAAUAUGAUUUCUAUUCCCAUGAGAUUUUAGGAAAACCUUGCGUACCUUAACCUUAAAAGAUAAUAGGUAAUUCUCGAAGCUUUUAGAUUGGGAUUCUUGUUUGAAACCCUAGAGAGCGUUCUUGAUGAAUUUUGGUGAAAGUAUGUAUAUUUAGGUGUAUUUGGGAUUAAAUCCCGUGUUUGGAUGGGUUUGGGGCAAUGGGAAAUGUCUAGUUUGACCUUGGAAUUUAAAAUCCGGGACUGGAACGCCGUAAAAAGAUUCACCGUGAUGCGCUGGAAAUUGCGGUGAGCUACUGGAAUUGACAAUUGUCAAUUUAAGGCUCAUCACGAUGCGGUGGCCAGUCAAUGGGGAACGCUGACACUAAAAAUGCUCUAACUUCUUCGUUGAGUGUCCGUUUUAGGCGAAUUUGGUAUCGAUGGAAAGCUAAUUUGAAGAUGUUUCAUUUGAUAUAUAGUAGGCCACCCAUUUCAUUAUAUACAAGGAUCUAUGGUCGAUUGAAGUUGACUCAAGUUUUGAUGCUCACUAAAACUCGAACGAUAGGAAAGUUUUCAACUUGAACCUGAGUUAGGGGACCUUUAUGAUCUCAAUUCAUGUUCAAAUUGGUUACUAAACUACAUGAUUGAUUAACAUGGAAAAUUUUCAUAGGAUUUAUGGAUUUUGGAUCAUCUACGCAUAAAAAUGACGGUUUUUAUUCUAGUCCAAAACACGGGGCGUUACAAUAUCUCCCCGUAGGACCAUUCAUCCCCGAAUGAUAGGUAGGAAUGUUGAAGCUUAUAGGUAUAGAAUAACGUGGAGCUAAUGUGUCUUCUAAGAAAGGAUAUAACUGAUCUGAAAUAUUUAAACUUCUAUUAUGAAACUGAAUUCUGAGCUGACUUGACUUCACUUACUUCAAGGGGUUGAUUCAUGCAGAGAGUUUAAGAUUCCAUUGAAGUGUUCAUGAUCAAAUCAUACAUAUUGACUAGGAAUUGAUAACUUAUGCAAGUAAAAAUCAUGAGACAAUAUGUCUAAGAUCGCACCAGGUUACUGUACUGCCUGAGCUAAAAGACUUGGAAACAUUUGAAAUUAUGCUCUGCAUUAUUAUGAACCGAGUCAUGACUAAGUAGCUGAAUUUGAAACAUAAUGCUUUGACUGAAAUGAAUUUGCAACUUACAUGGAUGAAAUAGAUUAUCUCUUGGGAUGGUCAUACGCUUGAGGCUUUGGAUAGUAGGACUGGGUGAAAGGUAGAAAACCACAGUAACUUGUCUAUCCAACUGUUCAAAUGAAUUACUGUCUAUACAGACUGAAUUAUGCUGGACCCUCAUACUUAACUAGAAUAUCUCAUUCAACACUCUUACUAAAGAAGUUAUAGCAGCAUUAGGGAGCAAAGAAUCCUGGGCACUAGUUACACAAGACAUCCAACUAAGGAAUCACCACAAUGACAUUACUCUAUAGCAUGGAAUAUAGAUAUAUAACUUAUAAACUAGGAUAAAACUACCAGGCCUUAGGCAAUGCACUUCUUACUUUCAAGCUGAGCGCACUUCUCGAAUACUCCCUUAACUAUAUUAUUCCCUUUAAAUACCAUACUCGUUGAUUCAAAUUGUAAUCCUCAUAUGGUCAUUCAUAAAUCUUUCUACUAAUGCCUAAAGUAACAUAAGCCCUCUCACCAUGAUCAAGCCUAACUUCAAAUCACAAAACACAACAUGCCACACCACGAUAAUGGUCCAAACCAUAUGAUUCAAUCUUCUAUACCCUUUUUAGAGAUCGCACCCUAAAAAUAAUGUGCCUUACUACUUCAAUGACUAACUCUGAUAUCUUACUAUGGAUUCACUAGCGCAUAUUGCGUUCCUCCACUUAAAUCUCAACACGUCAUUCCAGCCUAUCUUUAUAACCACAUAUAAAAUCCAAGGCAAACACCCAUAAGGACAUACUUCACAUAUUCUCUAAUCCACUAUCAACAUAACUCCCACACACUACCCUAAGAACAUACACACACAAAUUUCCACUAACCAUCAUAUCUAUCAAAGACUUGGCCCCAGAUCUUACUUCACACUUAUGGCCUUAUCCAAAAUAAGAAUACUAUGAUCUUUCAUUGAAAAGAAAUAUUUACUCAUCACCACCAUCUUCACAUAUGGAGGAGUCACUAAUAGGUUAGAACAUAAGACCUUGAAACAUGGGAGGAUAUUAUGCGAGACUUGACACUUAACUGAGGCCGAAGGAAUAGCAAAUCAACAUAAGGGAUUUAUCAAAGUGAUCUAAAUUAGGGUAUACAUAACUAUAACAUGAAUCUCGUCAAUCAUAAAAACUUUAGCAUGGAUUAUGGGAACUGAGCACACUAUAAAGAGUGAGUACAUGAGUCAUGAGCUGCAUGACCUCAAUUUGAAGUUCAUAACAUAUGAAAUGUGAUUCCGACUACGGAAUGAACUGGAACUCCUUAGUCUAGAACUGGAAGAGCACAUGAUUCUCUAUCAUAUACAUGAACGAGAGCGAACUAUGAUCAUGGAACUAAAACAUAAAGCAUGAGUAAGUAUUGGGAUAACUGAAAAAUAUUGAGAUAAGAAUGGGUUGAGCCUCACCCUCACUUCCUGAUGUUCUAUAUCAUACUGACAUCACUACAAGAAUCUGAGAGCCUAUCUUGGUCAUUUGUUCUAUAAUCUCUCUUUUAGCUUAAAGCCAUCAUCUUAUGUUCAUGAGACCCCUUACUAGACUCUAAACUGAACUACACUCUCUACACUUUGUGGUCUGGAAUACGACGAUACACGUAUUUAAUAGAACUUAACACAAAUAACUACACUUGGAAGUGGAAAACCCACUGCUAAUACCACCUUCUGAGACACGCUCUAUCAUUCUAUAGACCUAAUAGUCCUCACAUAAUACUGGAACACUUACUUCAGAUCUUCAUAAGUAUCCCUAUAGUUGGAGUGUACACCCUCCAGCGCUUCAACUCUUAUUUCUAUUAGCUCAAUCUUCAAGAACUCAAACUUAGAUUCUAACACUUAUCACCAAGCCUCUGAUGAACCAUACUACUUCCAUCAUAGCAUAUCAAUAUCGCAACUCUGACUUAUAUCUCUCCACUAUGAAAAUUCAAGAUCAUAUCAAAAGGCCCAACACUAUCAAUCAGAACUCCUUUACAUGGCUAUUUAGAACACGAUAUACCAUCUAGAAACUCAACAUUCCUACUAGUCACACACAAAAUGUAAUAGCCUUAGAAAAAUUAACGCAACCUCAUAUCACCUUGGGCAUACUUCCAUAUCAUACAUACAACAUCAUACUUCAUUACGAAUCAAAUAAGCUUAGGCUCUGGCAUACACUGUUCAAGCCUAUUAGAUCACUUCCAUAAAACUAGUAUUAUUAACCAAGAAAUCAUCACAUCCGCCGUCAUGGCCAUCAACUGUUCAAACAUAAUUUCUAGUGCUAAAUAUGAUUUACAACCCAACCUUACACACAAUUUUCAUAAAACAUUCAUCCUUAAUCUUAAGCCACUAUUCUUACAUCCACAUUCUAUAUUAAAUUCAAACCUAUAGUCUAACAUCAAUCGUUUACCACCAAUGAAGAAUGCAACAUAAUAUAUUAGUUCAUCAAAUUGGGACAUUCUACCCAAAUACCUCAAAAAAAAUCUACUACAUACUUUCUCACAAGUAGUACUAGUUUACAACUACCAACAAAAAGAAGGUUAAGAGGGGUAAAGUCACAUAAUAGACAUGGUCAACCUUAAUCUUACAUCAUAACCCCAUACAAUCUUAUCUACUUAUACGGUUUUCUAACAUCACACCUACUUACCCAAGCAUACAUUUAGACUACUUUCAAAUUCCACAAACAACCAUGAGUCUAUAAUCCUAACUUACUGGCUAAUCUAGCCAUUUUCAUACUUCAAGAAAACAAUAAUUCACCUUGACUAAUAACUCCUUCUUUACCUUCUACUAAACUAACACAUAAGGACGUAUCACUUCAUUACCAACGUUAUACAUAUAUUCAAUAAAUUUCCCUCACCACCUUUCUUGCCAUUUCGCCUCUAAACCCCCAGUUCCAACCAACACAAGAACAACAAGAUGAACAAAAAAUUGCUAGUGAAUCAAAAUAGGCCUCCCACGGCUUCACUAGACUUUGAUUUUUUGUGUUUUGAAUAAGAAAAUGAAAUGAAUAACAAAGCAACUAUGCUAGUGAAUCGAAAGAUCCCCACAGACUACCAUACAAUCCACAUAUGUUACUAGCUACCACAUUAGUCUAUCACUAUAAAAGGGGUAAAUAAUCCUCAAGCAUCGGUUAUUCAACUAAAAUAUUUAUCUACACAAAAACCGUUCUUACUCUGAUUUCUAACCUUGUGACUUCAUAUCACCAACUUCUUGGUCUAAUCUCACUACCAAUAGGUCGUGGAACCGACACUUUAACUUAUACUACUACUCAAGUGGAAAUACAAUUCCAAUAUUCUGCUACACAUUGUUCUCUCUUAACCAUGACAUUUGCAAUAUAAAUUCUGAAAAAAAUGGAAUACUCUUAAUACUGUAGGACAAAAAGCACGAUUUCAUUGAAAUCAAAGUUCACACUAAAAUCAAUACACUCUGAGGCACUAAUGGACUCUUCUCAAGUCCUUGCACAAAUUAUAAACUCUUAUGUGGCUCAACCAUAAAGAACCAUACCAUUUAAACUAUAAAAUUCUGCACUUGAAUCACCCCAAUAAUGAGACAUAUCUAGGCAUAUGAAAGUAAGGAAAGAAUUGGGAUGACUUUACUUUCAUAUGGGGACACCUUAGCACGAAUUAGAGUAUGGAAAAGGAAGAUUCUGGAUCAAAAGCACGAACUAGAAUAUGAAGAAAGAAAAACAUUCCUAAAUGCCUAGUAUCCUCCUGCUUAUAAGUGUGGCACGCUACAUACUCAUAAAUAAGACUCUACCCGACAUGAUUUUGCAGACACCCUGGGACCAUGAACCGUGCUUUGAUACCAAGUUUAUCAUGACCCAAACUAGGGCCUGGCCGUGAUGGACAUCCCAAACCAUGAAGGCUCGGAACGCCCUACCCUAUUUGGUAAUCAUGCACAACAUUCAUAUAAGUAAAACAUAUGUGGAAACAUAAUCAGCUACGAAAACAUGGUCAAAUUCUAAUUUCAACAUAAGUAUAGAAAAUGUAGUGCAACUAUAUCUAAAUAACAUCUAACUCAGUCUGUGAAAUCUCUACUACAUAAAAAUCUGACAACCAACUGAAAACUGGGACAAGGCCCCCAGUAGACCAAAACUAUUAUAAGUGACAUAAUCUAAAAGGAUAGGCCUUCUGGGAUAGAGAAGGCUCACCAACUAGACACAACAAGUCUGUUUGAAAUAAUCUACUAUUUUUUUGGACCCCUAGACUGAGCCUCAGAACCUGGAGGAAAGAGGGGGGUCAAUACAAAUGUACUGGUAUGCAAAGUAUUCAAAAAUAAAGCUUUUAUAUUGAUAAAAUUGUUGGAGAGAAAUUUGUCAAAUACUAUUCAUGAAAUAGUUCUAAAACACAUGGGCACUUUCUAUAAAUCACAAAUCAUUCUUGUCAAUGCAAUGUCUGAUCUUUUUAUAAAUUCUGAGUUAGGUGGCACUCCCCUACAAUUCUGAUAUUCCACGGGCAGUAUGGAAUUUACCAUUGUCUCAGUGGGAAAGCCCCCAACCCGAGUGUGCCGCAAGAGUUAGAGUUUCUGAUUCUGAUACGCCACACAACACUAGACCAGCAUAAUAUAAUACACCCGGAUCGGCAAAUUAUGGUUUCAGGCAAUGAGUUAUCUGAACUCAUGCCUUCUUCGGGGAACCACCUAAGCUCUCUUUAUGCCCAUUGUUAUCCUGUUCUGAAUCAUGCAUUUUUUAGUUUCAACAUCUGAAAAGUCUGAUUUCAAACAUGCAUUCUAUUCUGUUCUGAAAUUAUCAUGGCAUAAUCUUAACUGGUGUUGUCACACUAAGACUUGUAAGUCCUAUUUCUGAUCUAUAUGCAUUAAGCAUGAUCUUUCAUUUAAAACAUAGUUCAGACCACCCAAAUAUGCAAGCAGUAUAAGAGAUUUCAUGCUCCAAAAGCAUAAGUCAAAGCUAUGAAAGAACUCUUCAAACAUAAGGUGGUUAUAUUCUUUUGGCAAAAUCCAUGCACUCUUUCAAUAUAUGUAUUUUCAACAUUUUUUCAAUACAAACAACCCUCUCUUUGGAAUUCAAGAUUCAUAACCACAUCAUUCAUAAAUUAAACACUUCAUAACAUGCUUUUCAAGAUAUAUUUCAAAACAAUCUAUGUCAUAUGAUAAGUAAGUAAAAAUCAUAAAAAGAGAGGGAUUUUCUCAUGAAUCAUGCUCUCAAUUCAAUCAUCAACAUUAAACAUGUACAUAUAUGCAUAUAUCAAUUCAAAUAAAUUUGGGGAAGGUCUAAAGACCAAAACAAUACCAUCAAAACUUCUAAAACAUAAAUUUAUUCACAAAUCCAAAACACUUUUAUUAAAAACAUGAUUUCUAUGCCCCUGAGAUUUUAGGAAAACCCUGCAUACCUUAACCUCGAAAGAUAAUAGGUAAUUCUCAAAGCUUGCGGAUUGGGGAUUCCAAAUCUUCAUCACUUUUGAAAAUCCACGGUUGAAUCUUGAGUUAUUUGAGAUUCUUUUUUGAAAUCCUAGAAAGCGUUCUUGAUGGAUUUUGGUGAAAGUGUAUGUAUUUAGGUGUAUUUGGGAUUCAAUCCCAUAUUUGGAUGGGUUUGGGGCCAUGGUAAAUGUCUAGUUUGACCUUGGAAUUUAAAAUCCAGGACUGGAAUGCCGUAAAAAGCUUCACCGCUAUGUGCUAGAAAUCGUGGUGAGCUACUGCAAUUGAUAGUUGUCAAUUUAAGGCUCAUUGUGACGCGGUGGCCAGUCAAUCAGGAAUGCUGACACUAAAAUGCUCUAAAUUCUUCACUGAGUGUCUGUUUUAGGCACAUUUGGUAUCGAUGGUAAGCUAAUUUGAAGAUUUUUCAUUUGAUAUAUAGUAGGCCACCCAGUUCUUUAUAUACAAGAAGCUAUCGUCGAUUGAAGUUGACUCAAGUUUCGAUGCUCACUAAAACUAGAACUAUAGGAAAGAUUUCAACUUGACCCUGAGUUAGGGGACCUUUAUGAUCUCAAUUCAUGCUCAAAUAGGUUACCAUACUACAUACUUGAUUAACAUGGAAAAUUUGCAUAGGAUUUAUGGCUUUUGGACCAUCUACGCAUAGAAAUGAUGGUUUUUAUUCUAACCAGAAACACAGGGCGUUAUAGUUUACUACUUUUCAAUUGAGGUCUCCUAGAUGUCCAGAGCAAUUCAUAUUAGUUUUCUUGCAGAUAUCUUCACCAAGUCCUUCACCAAUCCUCGUAUUAAUUACAUUCAUGACAAGCUUGGUAAUGUGUAUUCUAUGCUCUAGCUUGAGGGGGAGGGUUAGAAUAUGAGUAGGAAUAGGAAUUUCAUAUAGAAUACUACUUGAAAAAAGAAUUAUAAUGUAAUGUCUUAUUAGGAAAAGGAUUGAAAUGUAUUGUCUAUAAAUAUGGCCUCAAUGUAAUAAUGUAGUUACAACAAUUCAAUAAUAUUUUUCUCUUAUAUUCUGACAAUGCACAAAAUUUUUUUACUUGUUUGAAACCAUAUAAGGCUUUCUUUACUGCAACUCAUUUCGAUAAGGGAAACUCAUGGGGUCAAAUUCAGCAGCUCAACCUAUAUGGUUCUUUUGGGACUAUUUUACAACUCCGUUCUUAUAGAGCCUUGUACAAUAUUUGCUCCACUCGGGUUCAAUGCUGAACACAAUCUUUUAUUUUCUUAUACUCGAACAAUUAGAAUUUCCUAGAGUGGAAGUAUCAAGAACUACAAGUUUUGGGAAGUUAUUUGGCCUUCUUUAAGAAGAUGUCUCAGAACAUUUAAAAACAAUAUGAAAAAUGGAGCAAUAAUGAAGGAAAAGAAGAAGAGAGCAAAUCAUAGCAGAAUAUUGCAAGUGUUCCCUGGAACUUCAGAAUGCAUCUGAAGCAUUAAGUAUGAGACCACAAACAAUUAAGGUUUUUAUUCCUCAGUGGAGGUCAUACAGGAUAUUAAAACCUUAGCUAGAACAAAAGUUUGCCUCGUAAGUCCUUAAAAUUUAGCAUUCUGAAAUUCUGUCGAAACUUUAUUUUUACCAAGGCUUGCUAUAGGAUUGAGCUACAAGACCUGGUACAUGCCUUCAUGUUACCAACUUUUGUAUUUUGAAAUUCUGCCGAAACUUUAUUUUUACCAAGGCUUGCUAUCUAGAAGCCCUGGUACAUGCCUUCAUGUUACGAUAGCUAAGAAUGUAGCUUUUGAGACCUUGUAUACGGGAUUAUAGGAGAGGCAGGGAGAAGAGGUUGUAUAGGCUUGAUAAGGCUAGGGAGCAAAGGGCCAGUAUCCUUGACUAAGUGAAGUGUAUCAAGGGAGGCAAAGUAUUGGUGGAUUACGUGAACAUUAAGAAAAGGUGGCAAUUGUAUUUUCUAGACUCUUAAAUGACAAGGGGGACAAGGACAUUGAUUUAGGGGAGCUGCAGAACUCAGAGGGGUUUCGUAGUUUCGAUUAUUGUAGACGAAUUAAGGUUGAAGAGUUAUUUGAGGCUACUAGUAGGAUACGUAGGGGUAGGGUGACGAAGCCGUGGCAUUUUGGAAGUAUUUAAGCGGGGCAGAUUUGAGGACUAGGAAGAUGACCGAAGCUUAGAGAUGGCGUAUAAUUAUUCCUCUAUACAAAAACAAGGGUGAUAUUCAAGGUUGCAACAACUACAGGGGUAUCAAGUUAUUGAGUCGCUCUAUGAAGAUUGGGGAAAAAGUGGUCAAGCGGAGGUUGAGGAGGAUCAUGUCUAUUUUAGAGAAUCAAUUUGGUUUUAUUCCCGGUCACUCGACAACAGAGGCAACUAACCUUGUGCGAAGACUAGUGGGGAGAUAUAUAGGGACAGGAAGAGAGACUUACACAUAGUGUUCAUCGACCUAGAGAAGGCAUAUGCUAAACUUCCCACGGAGAUUCUUCGGAGAUGCUUAGAGGUUAGAGCAGUCCCGGAGGUGUACAUCAGAAUGAUUAAGGACAUGUAUGAUGGAGCAAAGACUCGAGUGAGGACAGUGGGAGGGGAUUAAGAGCAUUUCCUUAUUUUGAAAGGGCUGCACCAGGGAUCAACUCUUAAUCCGUUUCUUUUCACCUAAGUGAUAGAUAUUUUGAUGUGGCAUAUUCAAGGUGAGAUGCCUUGGUGUAUGCUGUUUAUGGAUGAUGUAGUUUUUAUUGCUGAGACUCUAAGAGAUAUUAAUGAUGAAUUGGAGGUUUGGAGACAAACCCUGGAGUCUAAAGGGUUUAAGUUGAGUAAAACUAAGACGGAGUACUUGGAAUACAGGUUCAGUGACGCGUCUCAAGAGGACGAGGUGGUAGUGAAGUUAGACUCUCAGGCUAUUUGUAAGAGUGAUAGUUUGAAGUAUCUUAGGUAUAUGAUUCAGGGAAAUAGAGAGAUUGAUGAGGAUGUCACGCACCAUAUAAGGGCGGAGUGGAUUAAAUGGAGGCUCGCUUCGAGAUUUUUGUGUGAUAAGAAGGUACCCCCCAAGCUUAAUGAAAAUUUCUAUAGAGUGGAUGUCUGUUAGGCUAUAAUGUAUGGAGCGGAGUGCUGGCUAGUCAAGAACUUCCACAUCUAAAAGUUGAAAAUGACGAAAAUGAGAAUGUUGUGGUAGAUGUAUGGACUUAUUAAGGGUGAGAGGGUUAGGAAUGGGACUAUUCGGGUAAAGGUGGGAGUGGCCUUGAUGGAGGACAAGUCGUAAGAAGUGCGGUUGAGAUAGUUUGGGCAUGUGAUAGGGAGGAGCAUGGAUGCUCCAGUUCGGAGGUAUGAGAGAUUAACUUUGGAUGGUUUCAGGAGGGGUAGAGGUAGGCCGAAUAAGUAAUGGAGGAAGGUGAUUAGACAUGACAUGGACCAAUUACAGCUUACCGAGGACAUGACCCUAAAUAGAAAGGUAUGGAUAGCGCGAAUUAGGAUAGAAGGUUAGUGUGUAUAGGUCAGUUGUAGCCUAUAGGUAGUUGUGCCUUGGGGUAAUCUUGCUAGUAUUCAUAUAACUUUGCACAUUGGGUGGAGCCUUUAGUUAGGAGGUCCGAGAAAAGAGGGAGGAGGGCUUGCGGUUUGCUAGUUUAUAGUACUGCUUUGUGGGUGCCGUAUUUUCUGUUAUUUCUUGUCUAACAUUUAUUAUGACUGUAUCUACUAUCCUUUUGUCUUGAGUCAGGGGUCUAUUGAAAACAACAUUCCUACUUGUUCGGAGGUAGUGGUAUGGUUGCGUACAUUUUAUCAUCCCCAGACCCCACUAGGUGGGAUUACACUGGGUAUGUUGUUGUUGUAUUCUGAAAUUGUGUCGAAACUUCAUUUUUACCAAGGAUUGCUAUAGUCUUGAGCUACAAACCCUGGUACAUGACUUCAUGUUACCUACUUUUGUUUUGUCUUUAAUUUCUUAUUGCAAUUGGUUAUCCCCAACCUGAACCUCUUCCAAUCGGUUCCUUGUGCAUUUCCACAAGUUCAAAGACAUGGUUAAAUAGAUAACUUGUGCUCCUUGAUAGCUUAAGUUUUUUAUGAGAUGGUCGCAGGAAAAGUCCUAGGAUCGAGUCCCACCCCCACCAAAUAUGAUAAAGAAUUUCCAAAUCACAUGAGAAAAGAAUCAAGCCACACAUAAAGGGUGUGUAGAAAGACAUAAUUAAAUAAAUAAAUAAAAGUGUUAGAGUUACCUAAGAUAUCUAUGUCAUAUUACAUGUCUGCACCCCCACCUACAAAUGGUAUCAAAGCCCAGUAAUUCAAAAAAUACGGAAGUGAGAUAUAUGUUAGAGUUAUUAGAAUUUACCUAUAAAUUAAUAAAUUAAUUAUGCGAAGACCAUUUAAAAAUAGAGAAGCUUUUAGAAAAAUUAAAGAAUCUUUAAUUAGUAAUUAUUCAGAAUAUAUAAGUCUAAUUAAAACAAAAGAAAACCCACAAAGAUUAACCUACUUAAUUACAUUAAUAUCUAGUAUUGAAUCAAAAUUAAUAAUCCAUUUAAAAUCUAGAAGAAUGAAAUACAUAUCACCUAAUUAUGAUAAAAUUAGAUUUAGAUAUCCGCCAAAGAUACUAUAAAUAUAAUUUAAAAUGAACAAAGAAGAAUUUAUAAUAGAUGAAAAAAUAUAUGAAAACCACGAAGGAUCAAAAAUAAAAAUAGUAUUUUCUAAUCUAGGAAGAAGAUAUAAGAAAAUAGGUGAACAUUUAUAUCUAAUGUCAGAAAAAGAAGAAUUAAAAUUAGAAGAUAAAUUAACAGCAAUGGUAAGAAUAGAAAAAGAAAAUGAAGAAAUAGAUCUCAGAAAGGAUCUCAAAUUCUAGAUUGGUGACUAUGUCUACCUAAUAAUAUCUCCCAUGAAAAGAAUAAAGAGGUUCAGCAAGAUGGCAAAUCUUAGUCCCCGAUAUGUCGGUCCCUUAAAAAUUCAUAGUCGCUUCAGCAAAGUAGAUUAUGAGCUCGAAUUGCCUUCAGAUCAAGUUGCAAUACAUCCAGUCUUUCAUGUAUCUUUGACCAAGAAGUGUAUAGGUGACCCAGUAGUUGUAGUCCCUAUUCAGAGUGUAGAUGUUAAGAACAGCCUCUCUUCUGAAGAGAUUCUACUUGAAAUCCUAGACUAUCAGACUCGUAGACUGAAGAAUAAAGAAGUCCCUCUAGUCAAAGUUCUUUGGCGGAAUCUGUCUGUUGCGGGAGCUACUUGAGAAGUAGAACCAUACAUGUGUACCAAGUAUCCUCAUCUUUUCUCUGCCAACUCAGAUUAAGCUUAAGGUAAUAGUUCUCCUUAAGCUUACUCUGUUUCAUGUUCAGUGAUAAUCACAAACUUGGUAUCAUGUACCAUUGAAUAUUCAGUCAUGAAUUAAUGUAUUAGUUCAUUUUUAUAAUUAUGCAUUAAACAUUUAUUUUCAUUGUGAGAAACUUAGUUCCUUAGAACACUCAUUCAUGCAUUCAUGAAUCAGUUAUGCAUGCAUUAUGUAUGCGUGCCCAGUAUGAUAUACUCAAUUAUCAUUCAUGUUAGUAAUGAGAUCAUGUUUCAGUUAUUCAUGUUUCAGUAUGUAUGUCAGUUUAUGUUCUUUGCCUCACUCUCAGUUUCAUUCAAGGAUAAAUGUUCUCAUGGGGGAGAUAUUGUAAUACCCCAUUCUCUUUCCUAGCUUGAAUCAUCUCAAAAAUAUUUGAAGCUUUGUUUUAACAAUUAAUCCACUUUUAUACAUGUAUUAUUUUAAAUAUUUUCACUUUCUGUCAUAUGGAAAAUUAAAUAAGCGUUCAUCGAUAUAUGAUUCGCUUAAAUCUGAUAAUUGGGUAAGAAGUUAUGGCUCUUUCAAUUUCCUAUCGUAAAAUAAUGUCAUAUUGGUCAGUGACGCGCCGCACCACAAACUAUAAUGGCAAUUGUCCUUUUCCAUUGACUCAGCAUGAUUUCCCCCGUGUCGCGCCAAACUUCUAGGUCAUAAAGGCAGUGGCAACGCAAUGGCUUUAUGUCACGCCAUUCCUCAGUAUCCCAAUUGUGAAAUUCAAGUGACACGGCGCGAUAGCACCGUGUUGCGCCAGGGGUCCAUUUCGGGAAAAUUUUACUGAAAUUAUAAGAUUCUUCUAGGGCUAAAAGGGUCUAUUUCCCACCCCUAUUUAAUCUCUUUAACAUGAGAUUCAGCUAUUAGGAACCCAAAAUAUACUUAUUUCUCUCAAAAACCUCUCAAGAACAACCUAGGACUUUUCAUAGAAGAUUCAAAAUUAAGAAUUUUCUCCGUUAAUCUUCGUGUAUUUACGAACCAAGGUAUACAAAAGGUUCGUUCAUUGAUUCCUUCCAUCAAUGAAGCUUGAGAACCUUGUUUUAUCUAUAAAUCAUGGUAUUUAGGUUGUGGGUUAUUUGUAAUCAUGUUGUUGACGUUGAUUGAUUUCAAAAUUGGAAUAUUUAUGUGUGUUUUUUUAUGAUAUUAUGUUAACAUGCAAGAUAAAAUCCAUGAAUUUAGUUGCUUAUGAUGUGUAAUCUGAUAAUUUCUUCUAUGACCUAAAUUGUGCAUGCAAGGUGUUUGAUAAAAUGCUUGGAAGAGUAGAAAUCAUGCCUUAUAACCCAAAAUGAGGAUUAUCAGAUAUAGCCAAUCAGUCUUAGUAAUAUAACUCUGAUAGUUCUAUAGAAUUCAGGACUAUCAAAUACUGUCAACUCAGAUUCAGUACAAAACUUAGCUAGUUCCAUCAGAUUCAGGACUAUCAGAUACAGUCACUCAUGUUAUCAGUUAUAUCAGUUAUCAGAACUCAUUCAUUAGUCAUGUUAUUUAUCAGUAAACUCACGUUAUCACAAUUUCAAUUAUAGUUACUAUGUAUGUAUGCAUGUAUUCUCAUGCUCAUAUUAGUUAGUUAGUCAGUAUUGUUCAUGCAUAUGAAACCCAUGCAUUCAACCUACCUCACAUAAAUAUAAGUACAUUCAAAGUGCUGACGUAUUUGCGCUAUGCUGUCUUACACCAUAGGUUCAGAGACACGAGCUCCAAAGCAUCAGUAGCAUUCCAGUCUCAGCAGUCAGAGUUAGAAGUGAUUCCUUAUCUUUCGAGGACAUGAUCAUUACUUAUCUAUGUCAUUAAUUAAUUUAUUAGUUGGAGUUAUUUAGGGACAUGUCCCAUCAACUCCUUAUUAAAACAAUCAAGUUUUAUAGGCUUUUCAGAGUACAAUAUGUUCAGAUAGCUUAUUUUAGCUUUGUUUUGGGUAUUCCAUAUCCCAUCUAUAUGUUAUGAUUUAUUAAAUCUUAUGUUACAGAUUUGAACCUAAUGGCCUUCCAGUUCAUGUUUCUGUAUUAUAUGGUAUGUUAUACAGUAUGCAGGUACAAAUAUCAGUCAUGGGUUAGCUUCUGGUCCUUCAGGGUCAUGAGCACCGUGUAGCAUUCCGGGUACCAGAUUUGGGGCAUUACAAAAAUAUUUUAAACUAGCAAAAUAAGCCCAUAUAACAACACUGGGGUGCAUAAAUCCACCUCAGAUGAGGACCACAUUACACUAUGAGUUCCUCACCCUCAAAAAGAAUAUCCAAAAUAGAAGCCGAUGUAAGGAACUGCUGGAUCUUAUGAAGGCUUGACUCACACUCAUCAAACCAUCAAAAAACAACCUCCUUUCGAGUUAAUCUGGUCAUUGGUGCUUAAAUAGUAGCAAAAACCUUAAGGAAUUUUUUAUAAUAACCAGCCAACCUAGUAACGCUACAAACCUCAGUUAGAGAUGAGGGCCUAUCCCAAUCACAAAUAGCCUCAAUAUUUAUCGAGUGUAUCAUAAUCCCAUAUUUACACACCACCUUCCAAAGGAAUGUCAUCGACUCAAGCCAAAACUCUCUCUUAGACAACUUAGCAAAAAAUGCAUGAUCUCUAAAAUUUGGAGCACGAUCCUUAAAUGUUUGGCAUGGUCCUCUCUACUUCUUGAAUACACAAGGAUUCCAUUGAUGAACACAAUCAAGAAGAAAUAAAAAUAAUGCCUGAAUGCUCGAUUCAUCAAAUCCAUGAAUGCGGUUGGGGCCUUAGUCGACCCAAAUGACAUCCCAAGGAACUCAUAAUGACCAUAACGGGUCCUAAAGGCUGUCUUUGGGAUAUCCUCAGCUCAGAUCCUCAAUUAACCGUAGCCAGAACUCAAAUCCAUCUUAAAAAACAUUGUUUCACCUUGAAGCUAGCCGAACAAAUCAUUAAUAUAGGUCAUAGGAUAAUAGUUCAUCACUGUCACCUUAUUAAGCUACCUAUAAUUAGUACAUAUGCACAUGAAGCCAUCUUUCUUCUUUACAAACAAUAUAGGAGAUAUUCAAGGAAAUAGACUCUGUCUAAUGAAAGCCCUACCAGAAAGAGUUAAAAGCUGAGAAUUUAGCUUCUUAAGGUCGAUAAAAGCCCUACAAUAAGGUGCCAUAGAAAUAGGUCAGGUGUCACGCUCAAGGUCAAUAACAAAAUCAAUAUCCUAGGAAUGAGGAAGGCCAGGCAGAUCGAUAAGGAAAACAUUAAGAAACUUACAGACUACAGGAAUAGAGUCAAGCGAUGGACUCUCGACUAACAUCAUGAUUAUAAGUGAGAUAAGACUCACAACCUAUUGAGAUUAAUCUCCUAUCAUACAUAAAAUAAAUAAUCCCCGUCGGCUCGUAGCUAAUAGAUCCCUACUAUAUAAUUGGGGGUAUGAUGGGCAUGGGUAAGGUGAUGGUCAUAGUAAAAUAAUCUAUAACUGCAUAAUAGUGGACUAACUAGUCUUGCCUAAUAUCACAUCAAAAUCUACCAUGUCCAAUAUAAUGAGAUCAACAUCAGUAUCAAUAUCUCUCACAGUCACCACACAUGAUCUGAACACCUGAUCCACUAGUAAAGAAUUACCUAUGGAGUAGGUAUACAUAAAGUCACAAAUAAUAAAUCCCAAGAUAACUCUAACUACAAGGCAUAAUAAGAAAAUACAUAAAAUUAAGUGGAUUCUGGAUCAAAUAAAGCAAAGGCCAACGAUGGCACAAUAGAAUCAUACCUAUGAUAACAACACCCAAAGAUUCAGACUCGAGUCUAGAAGGUACCACAUAUAACUAACCAUGACCGCUGCCUUGCUGGGCUCCUGACCAAUGUCCAAUCCUACCAGCUAGAGAAAUUUAUCGAGUACCUUGGGAACCAUACCUUUGAAUUACUCUAAUAGGGGGAAAGCUCUGAACUGUAGUAAUAAUCAGUCCAUGACAAUAGAACUCUCGCAAGGAAUGGCCAAAAGCUCUAUAACCAUAGUAUGUCACAUGGGAUAAACCUAAAAAAGAAGAUCAGGUGGACCCUAAAUAACCACGUCGACUUGAAUAAUCAGAAGACGAGCCCCUUGAUGAAUAUCCACCACCCUAACUAGGGAAAUCACUAGCAUAAUACUGACCUCUAUUAGUAAUUUAAGGUACUUCCAAAAUAGGUGUACUAAGUUGGAAAUAAGGAUGAAUGGAUAAUGCAGAGGUUAACUACCAUAAGAACUGCCAACAACGAAUAAUAAGCUACAACAAAUUUGACUAAAAAUAACAUAAUACAAAGACCUCUUAUCACUUCCCCUUAGGCCUCAUAAUGCAUUUUUGCCAUUACCUAGGCAUGAUCAGAAACCCCCCGCAACCAAACUCUAAGAAGAACUAUUGUAAUACCACAUAUAUUUCUAAGCUAGAAAAUAAACCAUUGUUCCUAUGCAUGAAACCUCCUUUUUUGUGAUUCAUGUUUGAUUACAUGAAUUAGUAUGAGUAUCCUAGUGAUAAUAGAGCUUAUGAUGUGUUAAAUAUGUUCAUAAAAGUCACUUCGAGUAAGCCAAGCUAAGAACUUUUGAAUCCUUCAAAUUUUUGUGUCUGAUUUCACAUAGUUCAUUUUUGAGCGAGAAUAACUUGGUUUAUAGGUGGUAUUUUUGCAGAUUUAUACCCUCCAAAUUGUAGAUAAUUCAAUAAGCUUUCUGUCGAUACUAAAUUUGCCUAAAGUAGACACUCGGUGAAGAUGUUAUGGUGAUUAAGUUUUAGCAGUGUCAUUUCAGUCAGUGGCACAUCGCGCCAUAAGCAAAAAUGACGUUUGUAAAUUACCUGUGUCUCUCCUCGAUUCCACUGCAUCGUGGUGAGUUUCCAAGUCGUAAAAAAGAGGCAACGUGAUGUCUCUGCAUCAUGCCAGGGGCUAAAAUCGGGAAAUUUUUACAAAAAUUAAAAGGCGCAUCUAGAGGGGUAUUUGGGUCAUCUUCCCACCCCUAUAUAUUCUCCCAAAACAUACUCUUUUUCAUCAAAAUCCUCUUAAUAACACAUUAGGGAUUCAAUUGGGGGAUUCAAGUUCAAGCAAAUUCUACCAUCAAACCAAGAAUCUCUCUGUCAAUCUUUACUAAAUCAAGAACUAAGGUAUGCGUGUCUUCAUUGAUGGACUCCUUUCAUCCAUGAAGUCCAAUAACCCUAUUUUAACCAGAUCACCAAUGUUCAAGAUGUAAUGGAGAAGAUAACAUUAUUCCAGAAGUACAUCUAGAAUAAAAGAAGACAAAAUGCCAGCCGGAAAGAUAGGAUAAGAAGCAAUAAUGGAGAUAUAGCAGAUACGACAAGAUCAACAGAGACAAGAUAUUGAAUUAUUGCACAAAGUCUUUAGACUUUACGCAAAAGUUGUAAUUAUUGUAGAUUUUUAGGCUUGUAGGUUUGUAGAAAAUUUAAAGGCUAGGUAGUAGCCUCCUUUUUUGCCUUUUUUAGUAGUUGUUUUACAUUUUAAAAAAAAAAAUGUGUGAAGAUUGUAAAGUUUUUUCAUUCUAUAAAUGAAGGCAACUGAAGGCAUUGCAAAGCAAGCCUUCAUGCAUUGAAGCAAAUACUCUCUCCAUUCCACAACAAAUAUUUUACUCAGUUAAUUAAAUAGAUAUAUUUCAAUGGAAAAUGCUAUGGAGGAACAAACUUCAGAAAUAUCAAAACUACCNNNNNNNNNNNNNNNNNNNNNNNNNNNNNNNNNNNNNNNNNNNNNNNNNNNNNNNNNNNNNNNNNNNNNNNNNNNNNNNNNNNNNNNNNNNNNNNNNNNNNNNNNNNNNNNNNNNNNNNNNNNNNNNNNNNNNNNNNNNNNNNNNNNNNNNNNNNNNNNNNNNNNNNNNNNNNNNNNNNNNNNNNNNNNNNNNNNNNNNNNNNNNNNNNNNNNNNNNNNNNNNNNNNNNNNNNNNNNNNNNNNNNNNNNNNNNNNNNNNNNNNNNNNNNNNNNNNNNNNNNNNNNNNNNNNNNNNNNNNNNNNNNNNNNNNNNNNNNNNNNNNNNNNNNNNNNNNNNNNNNNNNNNNNNNNNNNNNNNNNNNNNNNNNNNNNNNNNNNNNNNNNNNNNNNNNNNNNNNNNNNNNNNNNNNNNNNNNNNNNNNNNNNNNNNNNNNNNNNNNNNNNNNNNNNNNNNNNNNNNNNNNNNNNNNNNNNNNNNNNNNNNNNNNNNNNNNNNNNNNNNNNNNNNNNNNNNNNNNNNNNNNNNNNNNNNNNNNNNNNNNNNNNNNNNNNNNNNNNNNNNNNNNNNNNNNNNNNNNNNNNNNNNNNNNNNNNNNNNNNNNNNNNNNNNNNNNNNNNNNNNNNNNNNNNNNNNNNNNNNNNNNNNNNNNNNNNNNNNNNNNNNNNNNNNNNNNNNNNNNNNNNNNNNNNNNNNNNNNNNNNNNNNNNNNNNNNNNNNNNNNNNNNNNNNNNNNNNNNNNNNNNNNNNNNNNNNNNNNNNNNNNNNNNNNNNNNNNNNNNNNNNNNNNNNNNNNNNNNNNNNNNNGAUAUUAUACAGAUUAAGAGAUGUUAGAAUAUAUUAGAAAAACUAGAGAAAAUCAAGAUAACCUAAAUAAUGAGAUUAAUUAUAGAAACCGAAUUAGGAAAAUAAUGGAAAAUCUAAAAGAAAAAUUAAUAUGGAUAGAAAAAACCUUAGAAAAUUUAGAAAAAAGUACAUGUGAUAGUUUAUAUAAUUUAAAAAACUCAUUACGAGAAGAACAACACAAGAUAAUAAAUAACAUUGAAAAUCUAGAAUUAGAUAUACAUUACAGUACAGUUAGGAUAAACUAUUAUACAGAAAUUUGUAACUCUGCAAUUACUACAGGAUAAAAUAAUAAACAAAUUAAUGAAUAUAUCUUACGAAAAAAGUAAAUCAUUAAAAAAUAUCCACGCACAAAGAAAAAUAGAUUUAUUAGAUACCUAAUAUAUCUAUGUCAUAUUACAUGUCCGCACCCCCACCUAAUAAUGUAGUUACAACAAUUCAAUAAUAUUCUUCUCUUAUAUUUCUCACAAAGUAUCUUCAAUAAUAUUCUUGUCUUAUAUUUCUCACGAAGUAUCAGGGCAUUUACGAUCUUGGUAGGGAAUCAAAAAGCUUCCAAUCCAUCCAAUCAAAAAUCCUCUACGUUAUUACAUUGAGACCCUAUUUCCAAUCCUUUUCCAAGUAGGACUCGUUGUAUCAUUUCUUCUCGUACUCAUAUUCUAUCAAAAAGUGUGUUCUUUAAUAGCUUAGACUUCUAGAUUAUAUGGUCACACUUCAACACCCGAUAGACUAAGGCCCUCAUUACCCUCGUGUGGGUUCACAUAUCAUUCAAUGCUAGCUUGUUACUCUUAUCUUAAACUCAUUUUUAGCACCAAUUACGAGAAUUUACAAGGCUUUACAGAGAUCCUUGUAAGCUUCUUUCUCAAGUAUCAAUAGCAGAACAUUCGGAGAAUAGGGGAAGGUUUUGAUAAGACACAGGCAAGUUUGCAAAGUGGAAUUUUUCUCGAUCCAUUUUAUUCACUUCAGUGUGAACAAAACAGUUUUGAGUCAGAAGAAAAGUUAUUAUAACAUCUUCCAUCUGACCUUUCCAGGCCAUGCUUCCGCCGAUCAAAAGCUACAAAAAGACUAAGCAAGUGUAAGGAGAGGUUAAAUAAUUUAGUAUAACAUUUAUUAUUGACUGUCGCUGCCUGAUUGACACAAAAAUCUAAUAGUAUUUCUAUUCUGUCGCUGAACCUUCUUUAUAAUUAUUUUUGAUAAGGUAAUUGCAUUGAUGAAGCACGACACUAAGGAAGUACGGUACAUAUACAAAAUGCAGAAAUUGGCAAGUGAUCCUAUUAUAUCUGUAGAGAAACCAAGGAAAUCCAGCAGCACAUAGCAUCCUGAUGAAACUCAGUGGUACAACAAAAUUUUUAAGUUCAGAAUACAUUUAUUUUUAGGUAAUACUAUGCUUUCUUAUUUCAUUCCCUUCAAAACAUUUAUAAUUCCUUUAAGCAGGCCACAGAAUGCAAAGAGGGAUGGUCGUCCAAAUGUUUUUCUGCUCCUUCCUCAUCCUCUGAUGUUGCCAAAAACACUAAGUUCGCUUUAGAAUGGCCAAUUGAAUUCCAUAUACAUUAAGGAACAUAUCCCUAAUUUUUCAUACAAAAUUUCAAUGAGUAACAGAUGAUUGAUUGUUCUCCAUCUUUUCUGCAAAUAUAACUCAAGGUAUGCUUCUCCUUAGCAAUUUAAUAACGGGCAGAGGUACGCCGAAGAAAUACUGGGAGAGGUAACUAGACAGGAUAUGGCGCAGCUUCAGUUUACCAAGGACAUGAGCUUAGAUGAGAGUGCAUGGAAGUCGUGAAUUAGGGUCAAAGGUUAGAAGGUGGUGUAGAUUGUCUCGCUUGCCUGGGAUUAGGCUGGGUGGUAUAACCAACUCUGCUGCUUAACUUUGAGAUAUAUAUGUAUAAUAUUAAGGAGUAUUGAGAUUGACUCAUAUGUAAUAUUUUUAAACUCAAUUGGGAGCCAAAUGGUUUUUGUCAAAUUUAUUCAACAGGUGGAGUCAAUCUUAACUGUUCAAAAUAAUGGAUGGCUUGAUUUGAGUGAAUAGCAAGGAAAAAAUGUUGCGAUGACUUGGCAUAAACUUUUACAAACAUUGGUGAUUAAUUUGUGUUUUUUCUCGACGGUCUGUUUUUUUGUACAGGGUGCUGUAUGAUAAGAAGGUGCCGCCCAAGCUUAAAGGCAAAUUCUACAGGGUGGUAGUCCGUCCGGCCAUGUUGUAUGGAGCAGAGUGUUGGCCAGUCAAGAACUCCCACACCCAAAAAAUGAAGGUGGCAGAAAUGCGGAUGUUGCGCUAGAUGUGUGGGCUGACUAGAAGGGAUAGAGUUCGGAAUGAGACUAUCCGGGAGAAGGUUGGUAUGACUCCAGUGGAGUGCAAGAUGCGGGAAACCCGAUUGAGAUGGUUCGGACACAUGAAGAGGAGGGGCAUGGAUGCCCCGGGCUGUAGGUGUGAGAGGCUAGCGUUGAAUUACUUGGUGGGGGUUUUAUGCCCGUUAUGAUUUCGUGUUCCAUGUUUUAUUACGAAUCUGUGUGCUUUUCUCUGUUUUAUAUUACUUAUGGGUGCCAUAUUUAUGUUAUGUAAUCUUGUGUUGUGCUUUACUAUGUGUUUGUGUGGUAUCUCGUGCCUUGAGCCGGGGGUCUAUCAGAAACAGCCUUUCUACUUCUUUAGAGGUAGAGGUAUGGACUACGUACAUCUUACCCCCCCCAGACCCCACUAGGUGGGAAUAUACUGGGUUUGUUGUUGUUGUUGUUGGUCUAUUUUUUUGUAAUAUAUGGGGGACAACAGAAUCUAAUUUGCAGUAGGAUUUAAGUCUUACAACAUAACCAGGCUUGCAGCUAGAGCUGAAGUUUGUUUGAAUGGAUUGAAAUAAGUCGGAAUAUGUUGCGCAGGACAACUUUCAGCAAGAAAACCAUGGAAUGGCUAGUGUUUGUACUCCAAAAAGCUUCAAAAGAUUCUGGCACACACAUGAGGUGGAAGUUAAAUGAGCAGUACUACAAUUUCUUUUCUUCCAGGAAAACUAACAAGUUUGGGAGAGUUAUAAGCAUUGUGACAGUACAAGGAAGAAAUGGAUCCAUCAUAAUUAUUCCAGAAUUAACAUUAAAUGCGGGAUGGGGAGACGUUGCAUUUAAUAUUGAUAAUUUCAUCAAAGAACAAAACUGCGCUUUUAUUUCAUACAGUUGCAAGAAGGCAGAUCCAAAGAUCCCUUACGAAGAUUCAGUCGGGACUAGAAAGUGGCAAUCAAAGGAGGCAUCGAAAUCCCUAGUCAGAAACAAAACAACUCUAUCUCCAGUCUCUGGUGGUGAUGCUAAUCAGGAAAAUGGUUUGGUCAGAAGAUGUAUAGUUAGGAACCUCAGCAGGGAUGAGGAAGAGAAACCAACUCUCACAGAUAUCAGAAAGUGAGCGGUGAGUACUUCGAAAAAUGCUUUUGGCAUCAAUGUAUACGAAAUAUAGGGGCGCUCUUUCCUCUUUGAGUUUCCCAACAAACAAAUGACAGAGCACAUUUUUCAUGGAUAGUGGACGUGGAAGCACCUGAAGAUCCAUCUCGACUGGUGGAUGCGGAAAGUCGGAUGUUGUACUCAUCGAGAGAAUUCAACAUGGCUAAGAGAGAUAGGCCUUCCUCUUCAGUUGGACAGAAAAAACAUUUAAAGCCAUCAGAAAUCAAUGCGGGGAUUGGCUGGAAACUGAGGAGGAGACGUCUUUGAAGAAUCAUCAUAUGAAAUAGGCGAUACUAAGAGUCAAAGGAGAUGGAGGAGAAGAUCCAAAAGAGGUAAAGAUAGUCAAAAAUGGUCUUAUGUAACACCCCACACAUUCAGGCUAAAGUUUAAACUAUCGUUCCUACGUGUAUAGACCCGAACUCAUUGAUUCUUUGUUAAUAAAUGUGUGAUGAUCAAUCUUAUAGGUUGUUAAUACCUUUGAAUGUGAAUUGAGGUCACCAAAAUCCCCUAGCUCAGAGACGAGUUGAAAACUUUCCUAUCGCUUAAGUUUUAGUGAACGUCUAAACUUGGGUCAAGUUUCAUUGAUCAUAAAUUCUUGUAUAUAUUGAUUUAGAGAUCCUACUAUAUAUCUAAUGAAAGGUCUUUGAGUCCUCUUUCCAACGCCACUAGUUUUGUAUUAAUCCAAUAUCCGAGUAGAAAGUUAUGCCUAUUUUACUGAGAGGUGUCAUUUCAGGCUGAAACACGCAAAAAAGUGCAUUUUUAGCGGGGUAUUUUGGUACUUUCCCUUCCUAAAAACCUCCCCAACGAAAUUAUAUCAUACCCUAAGCAUCAUAAUCCUUAUUUUAUCAGUUUUCAAUAUCUCAUUCCUCUCAACUCUCAACAACAAGAUGGAAACUAGGGUUCCUUCAAGAGCAAGAAUCAAACUCUUUAAGUCCAAGAUUUCCAAGAAACAAAUCAAGAUCCGUGUUCUACUCUUUAAUCCAAGUAAUCUAAGGUACGUGGGGUUUUCCUAAAAUACAUGGGCAUGGUGAAUUCAUUUUGAUAAUGUUUUAAUGUUGAGAAAUCAUCAAUUUGCAAAGGGGUUUUGAAGUUGCAUUUACAAUUGUGCAUUGUGAAAUCUUUUUUAUGUUUUGGCCUUAAGGCCUUCCCCUAAAUUAGAUCUGUACUCGUAUAUUAGUAUGUAUGCAUUUUUGAGUUCUAAUAUUGAAUUGAGAGGAUGAACAAUUAAAAUCCCUCUCUUGUUUUAAAGCCUCUUGUUUUCAUGUGUUAACAAUUAUUCAAUUGCAUAUUGAGAAUCAUGAUUCAAAUAGUUUUACUACUAUUUUAGCCUUGAUUUUGGAUAUGAAUUUAAGAGAGGGUGAUUCUUGAAAAUAUAAAUGAAAAGUGAUGUUUCAAAGAGAUUGCAUGGUUUGUUACAAAAUACUUGAUCACCACAUGUUUGUUCAAAUGUUUAAAUGAGAGAGUCUUUGCAUAAUUUUACAUAUGAUUGAAAUAUAGAUUCUCUUGAAAUUUUUGAAUGAUAUAAUGGUCCAAACUUUAUGUUUUGAAUGAAGAGGUUGUAACAUGAUAUUUUAUGGCUCAGAAAUAUGACUUGCAAGUCUUGGUAUGACGAUACCAAUAUAGAUAAUGUCAUGGUAACAUAGAACAGAACAAAAUGCAGAUUUUCACUCAGAUUUUCAAAUUUUGAACUUAGAAUGAUGCAUGUUUAGAAAAGGCUAAAAUUGGGCUUAAAGAGAGUUAGGUGGUUCCCCAAAAAAGGCACGAUUUCAGAAAACUCUCUGCCCGAAAUCGUGUUUUGCCGAUACGGGUUUAUUAUAUUCCCAAAAAGAAACUAUACGCUGGCCUAGUGCCCUAUGGCAUAUCAGAAUAGAAACUCCAACCCUUGUGGAAAACUUGGGUUGGGGGCUUGGAUUCUGAGUUAAGGGCGCAUUGCAUAUAGCCCAUAGACUGUUAGACUUGUAGGGUGGACCACCUAGCUCAGAAGUAAAAUAAAGAAUGGUAUUGCAUCUAAAGAAUUGUUUGAAUGAUCAUUUGAAGUUGCCCAUGUGUUUUAAAUUAUUUUAUGCAUAACAUUUUAUGAAAUUCUCUCACUUAUGUUAUAUAUAAAAGUACAUUAUUUUGGAUUGCUCUGCGUACCAGUACAUCUAUAUUGACCACCUAUAUUUUAGGAUUCUGAGACAUAGUCCUGGGUCCCGUUAAGCAGUAGAAUGACUUGUCAGAAGUUUGUAGUUGGGAGCCUCCCUUACUUCGAAAGGCCUGGUUAUGAAUCUUGUCCCAGAUUUCAGACAAAUGUCCUUUCCAGUUAGUAGAGAUUUCGCAGACUAGUGUUAGAUGUUGUUGAUCUUUAUGCACUCAUUGCAGUAUUGAGUAGUUUGAAAUGAAAGUUUACCAUGGUUCCUUUUUGUUAUGUAUUUUCGCAUUUCAUCCUUGUUUAUGAAUGGUAUAUAUGAUUGCAGGUUAGAAGGGCUCUUGAGCCUUCAUGGUUCAGCAUGCCCGUUAUGGCCAAGGACCCGGUUCGGAUCGUGACAUCUUACCUUUCACAUCCCCAUCUGAUGCGACUCAAAAACCUUGGUAAAAAAACCUUAUAGGGUUAAAGACAGUAGUCCGCACAAAGAAGUAAAUAGGCACGUAGAUGCCUCUGUACAAGCAUUUAUUUCAAAUAAUAAUAUAGCUGGUGAGGGCCCAGUGACAAGUGGGACAUGGAACAGAUGAGGGGCUUAUGUUUUAAAAUUGUGAUUUUUGUUUGGGCCAAGCGAAUAGAGAAGCAGUUUUUGGAAAAGGCCCGGUUCUAUUUAAUGAGGCCCAUACGACAAACCCAAGACACUCUAAUGGCACGUGCUCAACAAUGAUUGAUUUUUUACUUGUGGAAAAAAAAGAAAACCACAAUAAUGACUCUUUCUUCAACAUCAGCUUAGGAGAUCUGGUGAUAAAAUUAUGAGAGAAAGACUGGCCAACCUCUCUAAUGAAAAGACCAAUUAUAGAAGAAGGGGAAGAUUAUGAAGAUGCAGCAUCAAACAUUGAAGAUGUUGAGACACAAUCAGAAAACAAUAGAUUUUAGCAAGACAUGCAAUUGGUUGAUUGCAUUGAUAAUCAAAAUUGGAACAUAAAAGAGGUUGAACCUCUAAAUUUUGAAUAUGCAGAGGGGGGAAAGUCACAAAGAGAUGGACAUUUCAAUUUGCGUUCAUCAAAAUAUAAUCAAGAUAAGAAAGGAGUUAUGAUACCAAACGGUAUCUACAAGAGCACAAAACAGUCCGUAAAAUCACAAAAAACAGUCCACACGUACAAGACAUCAAACGAGAACAACAAACACACUAACUGCACGUACAAGACAUCAAACGAGAACAACAAACACACUAGCUAGAAAAAUAAGGAGAUAGAUAACUUGACACAAAGAUAACUUAUUAGGUAGAAACUAAAGAGUGUAUCAAACUCUAAAACCUCUACAAAACAAGUUAACAAGCACCAAGUUCUUACGGGAACACAAGAGGAACACGGUUCUCUCAAGCACUCCUAUUUUUAGCCGCUUCACAACACAAGUGGAACCUUUCACUUGUGAAAUUCAAAUGUUUGGUGGUCUACUCUCUUAUUGAGAGGAAAUAUGAUGUUCAAUAUUACAAGUGUUUUCAAGAAUGAACUAACUCGGGAACCAAUCUAAAGAAACACCUUAAAUAGUCUUUACAAAAAAGAUGGCAAAAGAACCCCUUUGCCCUUAAUGAAGGGGUGGCAUGUGUGAGCUAUUUGGGGAAGACUUGGGGUGUAUUUUUGAUAACCUAAGGUCAGCCCCCAUAUGUAAAUACGUACACUCCCUUGGGCGAGUUCGCAACAAGCUCAACCACGUCCAUUUUCAUAAACACACCUUGAAGUCUUUGUAGUUCACGAGCUUGACUUCUAGUAAAUAGGCUCGAGCUCAUGACACCCAUAUCAUCCUCUCAAUCUUGAGAGGAUUUUGACCUCAAAAUCAUGGUUUCCUCAUCUUCAAUGGUAUCAAUUUGUGAGAGAUCACACACGUUGAAUAUGAUAUGCACUUGGUAUUCCGGUGGGAAAUCGAUCUUGUAAGCAUUAUCGUUGAUUGUUUCAAGAACUUGGAAUGGACCGUCACCUCUUGGCAGCAACGUGCCCUUUAUUUGGUUGGGAAACCAAUCUUUCAGUAGGUAUAUCCACACCCAAUCUCUCGGCUCAAGAACAAGAUACCUUCUCCCUUUGUUGACUCAUUUGGCCACCUCUUGCUUCUUCUUCUCAAGCCGCAACCUCACUGUCUCAUGCAAUAUUUUCAUGGAUUCAUCCCUCUUUGUUUCCAUCUAAGUUAACAAAAACAUCACUUGGCAAAGGAGUUAGAUCCAAGGGGGUUAAGGGAUUGAAGUCGUAGACACAUUCAAAAGGCGUGAUGCCCGUACUCAAAUGGAUCACCCGAUUGUAAGAAAAUUCUAUGAGAGGUAGGUAAUCUUCCCAAGAUGUCAACUUACCUUUAACCAUGGAACAUAGCAUGGAACCCAAGGUUCAAUUUACUACUUCCGUUUGGCCAUCGGUUUGUUGGUGGCAAGACAUAGAAAAUAAUAAUUUAGUUCCGAGCCUACACCACAUUGACUUCCAAAAGUGGCUAAGGAACUUAGAAUUCCGAUCACUUAUAAUGGUCCUUGGGAUACCGUGUAACUUAACAGCAUUUUCAAUAAACAAAGAAGCUACACUAGCCGCAUCUUCACUAUUUUUGCAAGGAAUAAAGUGUGCCAUUUUGGAGAAACGAUCAACGACAACAAAGAUGAUAUCCCUACCCCUUUGAGUUCAUGGCAGCCCCAACACAAAAUCCAUAGAAAUAUUAAGCCAUGGGUGUGAUGGAGUGGGAAGCGGGGUGUAUAACCUGUGAGGAAGGAUCCUAGACUUAGCACUCCUACAAUCCAUGUAUUAGCCGCAAAUUUUGACAACAUCUUUGCACAUCCUUGGCCAAUAGAAUUGCUCCUCCAAUAUUCUGAGAGUCUUAUCAAUUCCAAAGUGACCCAUGAGACUGCCAUCGUGUGCCUCCCUCACAAACAAAUCUUUUCAAGAGCUAUAAGGUACACAUAACCAUCUCCCCCAAAACAAAAACCCAUCAAACACGACAUAAUGACUAGAAUCUGAGGGCCUCCUUUACAUACACACGGCUUUACUUUCCCUAAAGAUAGGAGCGAAUUAAGGGUCCUGGGGAUACAAAGUCAUGAGGCUCUCAAACCCUAUUAGCUUGGACAACAAAGUGGACACAAGAACAUGCUUUCUAGAUAAUGCAUCGGCAACCAAAUUAUCCUUCCCCUUUUUGUAUUGAAUCACAUAGGGAAAGUAUUCAAGAAAUUCAAUCCAUUUGGCAUUCCAUUUGUUAAGUUUAUCUUGUGCCCGAAGGUUCUUCUAGGAUUCAUGAUCCAUUCGGAUUAUGAAUUCCUUGGGCCAAAUAUAGUGUUGCCAAUUGCCUAAUGCUCUAACCAAGGUAUACACCUCCAAAUAAUACAUAGAGUAGUUUAGAGUUGCUCCUUAGAGAUUUUCACUAAAGUAAGCAAUGGGCUUUAAAUCUUGCAUCAAAACAGCCCCUAUGCCUACUUUACUAGCAUCACACUCAACUUCGAAUGUCUUAUCAAAGUUAGGCAAUUGCAACAAUGGUACCGAAAUGAGCAUAUCUUUCAAGGUCCUAAAGGCCUUAGAUUGCUCUUCACCCCACUUGAAAGGUUGGUCCUUCCAGAUGAUUUCGGUCAAGGGGGAAGCAAGGGUACUAAAUCCUUUGACAAACCUCCUAUAAAAACUUGCCAACCCAUGGAAGCUCCGAACUUCCCCCAUGGUUUUUGGGGUUGGCCAAUCUUUAAUGGCGGUUAUCUUGGAUUCGUAUACCUCCACUCCCCUCGAUAUUACAACAAAUCCUAAAAACACAACUUUAUCAACACCAAAGGAGCAUUUUUCAAUAUUAGCAUUCAACUUUUCUUUCUGAAGAAAAUCAAACACACUCCUUAGAUGUAAAAUAUGUUCAUUAAGGGACUUACUAUAAAUUAAAACAUCAUCAAAGUACACAACCACAAACUUUCCAAUAAACGGCUUCAUCACAUGAUUCAUUAUCCUCAUAAAGGUAAUAGGAGCAUUGGUAAGACCGAAUGGCAUGACCAUCCACUCAUAUAGACCAAACAUAGUCUUGAAUGCGGUCAUCCAUUCAUCACCCAGUUGUAUACGAAUUUGAUGAUAUCCACUCCUAAGAUCAACCUUAGAAAACACACAAGAUCCAUUGAGUUCAUCAAGCAUAUCAUCUAGCCGAGGAAUAGGAUGAUGAUACUUUACCGUAAUUUUAUUUAUGGAUCGGCAGUCCAUGCACAUUCUCUAUGUCCCAUACUUCUUCGGUAUAAGCAACACCAGGAUCACGUAUGGACUCAUGCUUUCCUUGAUGUAUCCUUUAUUGAGGAGGUCCUCAACUUGCCGUUGGAGUUCCUUUGUAUCCGUGGGGUUGCUCCUAUAAGCUGGCUUGUUUGGUAAUUGCGACGUUAUAACAAAGUUGAUUUGGUGCUCAAUUCCUCAAAGUGGAUGAAGUCCUUGUGGCAACUCACUUACAAAUACAUCAUCAAAUUCCUGCAAAACAUUAGAAAUAAAAAAACAGGAUAGGGGAAGUGGGCGGGUUAGAAUUUAAAACAUUAGCCAAAAGUAGCAUAGGAGUAGUAUUAUCAUACUCUUUGAAGAGGUCCCCCUUUCAAUCCUACAUUACCAUCGAAUCCCUACACCUCAAUGCCAAAACUCCCUUCUUACUCUCACCCUUCCUCAUCUCAAGUUCCUCCUCCUUACCCAUGGGUUCCUUCUCCCUUUUUCCCUUUCCUUGCAAACUCUUCAUUUGUCGAUGUGCCUCGCACACUUGUGAUGGUGAUAAUGGUCGGAGGCUAUACUUCUGACCCUUGAACUCAAAGGAAUAUUAUUUGGUUCAGCCAUCAUUCUUGGUUGACCUAUCAUAUUGCCAUGGCCGACCCAACAAAAGAUUACAAGCUUGCAUAGGAAUGAUGUCGCAAAGUACCUCAUCCUCAUAAUUUCCAAUUUUGAACUGAAUCACCAAUUGAUGGUCCACCUUUAAUUCUCCACAAUCAUUCAACCAUUGGAGUCUAUACGGACUCUCAUGUGGAUUAUUCGGCAAUUUCAAGUGAUCCACCAUCGAGGCACUAGCUACAUUAGCACAACUUCCGCUAUUAAUAAUCAAGGAGCACACACUCCCCUUAAUGAGGCACUUAGUGUGAAAGAGGUUUUUCCGUUGGCUAGGAUCAUCCAAUGCUUUGCUAAUCAUAACUCUCCGUACCACAUAAUUAGGUACUUCAAGUUCACCUUCUUGAGGACAAACCUCCUCUUUAUCAUAAUCACUAGGCCUCUCGGCCUUCCCUCUCUCUCUAUCUUGAGAUACUUCCUCAUUUUCAACCAUUUCAAGUCCCAAUUCUUCUCCCAAUAAAUACAAUUUCCCUUUACUCUAUCAUAUUUCUCUAAUUAGGACACUCAUUAGCCUUGUGUCCCCAUCCAUGGCAUUUGAAGCAUUGGAAUCCCUUGACAUUGGAAGAAAUAUUCGGUUUGCCCUCAAACCGUAGAGGAGGUGGUUGAGCACUCUUGCUCAUGGAUGGAGGGGUAUUGACUGGUUGUUGCUUGAAUUUGUUCCACCCUAAAGACGAUGGAACCACUUCUUUCCCAUUGUUCCAACCCGAGGACCCUUGGUAGGCAUUGAUUUUGUAUACCGACCUUUCCGUGUUCUCUCAUUCAAUCUCUAAAGCCACUUUAAAAUCCCUUCAAUAGUUUCAAACUUAUGAAGUGUCAUGUACGUAGAGAUUUCCUUGUUUAGGCCGACCUUGAUCAGAUGAUGUCGCUACUCACUUGCUCUCCUCCAUGAUCAGUUUUCAAGAUAAGUUUUUGAAACUCAUCACAGUAGGCUGCCACACUUUUGUUUCCUUGCUUCAAGUUGUACAAUUUUGCAAGAAGUUCAUGUUGAUAUCUUUCUGGAAGGUACCUUUGCCUCAUAAGAUACCUUAACCAAAACCAAGGAGGGGAUUUCCCCUCAAUGAAUACAUUACCAAAAUGUUUGACAUACUCCCACCACGUGGUAGCAUAUCCCUCAACAUGAGCAAUGGCAUAGCAGCUCUUCUUCUCAUCCGUGAGAUCAUUCACUUGAAAGACUCUCUGCCAUGUGGAUUCCCAUGCGAGAAACUCUUCCGAAUCACUUGCUCCCUUAAAGAUUGGGAGCACCAUUUUUAUGGUGUUGAGGCCAACAUUCCUUUCCUGAGCACCUUGGCUGCCUCUACCUUCAAGCCCUUAGUUCUCCGUAUUCUCUACCCUUCUACCUCUCGUCCUAUCUUCCAUCAAAUAAGAAUCAUCGUACAUUCCAUACCCUCCCCUUCGGUUCUCCCUCACAAAUCCCUCUUCUCACAUUGGUGGGUUUUGGACAUUUGGAAUUUGGUAUGGCAAAUUGGCAUUUAGUGGUGUAGGUCUUUGGAUUGGUUGAUUUUGGUUUGGAGAAGUUGGAUAUAAGGGUGGAAUUUGGGUUCCAAAUCCAUCAUGUGGGACUUGGGGAUGUGGAGAAUGGCUAGGUCCUUCAACGCUUCGGCCUUGUGAAUAAUAGUUGGCUUGAGGUAUGGCAUUUGGUAGGUACAUUCUUUGGUGUGUGUCUUUGGGGGUAAUGGUUGGGGAUGUGUUUUGGGGAGUUGAGGGUCGAGAACACCAUUGACUAUCUACCCUUUCCAUUCGCCACUAAUAGAGGCCACUUCCACUCCCAACUUCUCAACCGUAGCAUUCACUCUAGCCACAUCCCGAGAUAAGGACUCAAGACUAGAUACAAGGGAAUUCAUAACAUUAUGAUCCACAUUUUGUGCAUUGGACGUUUUAGGUUCCAUGUGUGGUGGUUCCAUUUGUAAAUGUACCUACAAAACGAGCAAACGUUAGCUGAAAAUACUCUCACACACUUUUUUUACUCGGCUUACCCACUUGGCCCUUCAAAUGUUGUAAGCCGGCUAUCAAUCCUUGAGUACUUAGGAAUACGUCUACUCUUGAGUUAGAAUGGAUUUCAGUUUUCAAGACUCAAGGAAGUUUCGUACGCACUUGAACCAAGAACAACUACGAAUUGUAAACGAGCAAAGCACCACAAAGAACGUUGACACGAAAGACGUUCUCGAUAACUAGUUCACAACUUAGUAGGUUGUUAUUUAGUUGCCAACUAGUAUAGGAGACAAAUAGAAAGAAACUAGUAGAGACAAGUAAAGAAACUUAGAAGGUCCUAUGACUUAAGUUUUGUUGUUGAUGUGGCCCACACUUUUUAUUUUUGUCCGUUAGUGUUGUUGUUUUGUUGAAGUUUGAUGUUGUCCAACUUAAAUGAUUCAAUUUUGUUGAUUUGGUGAGGCUUUUUUGAUUUUUGGAGUGAAAAGGAAAGACUUGGAACUCUCUUUCCAAAGGUCAAGGUGUCAAUCAACUUUCCACCAACUUGCACCAAAAUGGCAAAACACCUUUUUGGCUUUGGUUUGUUCCUUUCCUGUUUUGAUUCUUUUUUAAAAAAGGUUUGACCUUUUGGUAAGUAAGCUUUUUUUGAGGUACCUUGUCUAUUUUCCUCUUUGUUGUUGGCUUGAAACUACUUCCAAGACAAACACAAGACUUUCACCUCUCUCUUCCUCUUUCAAAUCAAACGCACCUUUUGUUGAACAUUCACCCCAAGAACAUCAUCAGCAACAAUAAGAACACUUUAGAACAACAACAAUAUUCAAGCUGUCUAACCUUCAACAACACUAAAAAAGGCUAAAUUCUUGGACCUUAGAAUCAAGUGUGCUAGGUAAACAACAAAAUAACACACAAAACUACUAAGACAAGCAAAAUAACACCUAAAUCUAGACACUUCUCGGCCAACACAAGUCACCAGAUAACACCCACUUUUUUUUUCCAACUAGAAGAGCCCAAGAUUGGUGGUGUAAGAACAUGACCAGCCUUCGCUCUGAUACCAAAUGAUACCAAACGGUAUUUACAAGAUCACAAAAUAGUCCACAAACUCACAAAGAACAGUCCACGCGUACAAGACAUCAAACAAGAACAACAAACACACUAACUUGAAAAAUAAGGAGAUAAAUAACUUGACACAAAGAAAACUUAUUAGGUAGAAACUAAAGAGUGUAUCAAACUCUAAAACCUCUACAAAAUAAGUUAAGAAGCACCAAGUUCUUACGGGAACACAAGAGGAACACGGUUCUCUCAAGCACUCCUGUUUUUAGCCAUUUCACAACACAAGUGGAACCUUUCACUUGUGAAAUUCAAAUAUUUGGUGGUCUACUCUCUUCUUGGGAGGAUAUAUGAUGUUCAAUAUUACCAGUUUUUCAAGAAUUAACUAACUCAGGAACCAAUCUAAAGAAACACCUUAAAUAGUCUUUACAGAAAGGAUGGCAAAAGGACACCUUUUCCCUUAAUGAAGGGGAGGCGGGUGUGGGCUGUUUGGGGCAGCCUUGGGGUGUAUUUUUGAGAACCUAAGGUCAGCCCCCACAUGUCAACACUUACACUCCCUUGGGCGAGUUCGUAACAAGCUCAACCACAUCCAUUUUCAUAAACACGCCUAGUCUUUGUAGUUCACGAGCUUGACUUCUAGUAAAUGGUCUCAAGCUUGUGAUACCCGUAUCAAGUUAGGGGUAGAAUUCCUGUAUUGUAGAAAGGAAGCGUUAGCCCUAUUCAAGAUGAUUGUUAGCAAACAACAAGUGAUCAUGAAAGAACCAUUGACAAGAAUCAUGAAAACUCCAAAAAUUAAAGGUUCACAGAAGCUAAAAGGACUAGCCAUUGACAUUAAGUUCCAAAGUACAGGGGCAAGAACUAAUGGAAAUUCUAUUGUACUAUGUUGGAGAUCAUAAUAAUUUCUUGGAAUGUGAGGGGGUUAAAUUGUAGAGAUAAAAAGAGGGUAAUAAAUAUUUUAAUUCAAAAGUGAAAGAAGAUGUCAUUUGACUCUAGAAAACUAAAUUGGAGGGAGAUAUAGGGAAUUUAGUUCAUCAGACAUGGGAAAUAGGGGGGUUAUAUAUAGAUAGCUGGAGUCAAGUGGUACUAGGGGUGGUGUAUUGAUAUUAUGGGAUAGCAAGGUUUGGGAAGGGGAAAUUAUGGAAAUUGACUCUUAUGCUUUGACGUGUAGCUUCAAGUCCAAGACCAAUGAUUUUGGCUGGCACAUGAAAGGGGUUUAUGCACCAACCUACAAUAGGAAAGACAAGAAGCACAGUAGGAAAUAAGAGCUAGUAGGGGUCUAUUCACAGGGCCAUGGGUAGUUGGGGGAGAUUUCAACAUAGUCAUAUAUGCUUUUGGAUACAUGACUAAGUUCUCUGAUUUUAUUGAGGAUAUGGAGUUGAUUGAUCCAAAAUUGCAUGGGAGAAAUUAUACCUGGACCAGAGGGAACAAUCUGAAAACCUCCUCCAGAAUUGACAGGAUUUUAUACUUUGACGAGUGGGGAGAAAUUUUUUAAAAUGUCAAUCAAGAGAUUCUCGCCUGUAGUUCGAGUGGCAGUUGAGAGUAUACAAAAUCCUAUUUCAAGUUUAAAGCAUUGUGGCUGGAAACUAAAGGCCUCAAUGACAAAGUAAAGGUUUGGUGCGGCUCUUUUGAAAUAGUAGGCAAGCCUGACUUUAUCCUUGCAACAAAAUUAAAAGCUCUGAAGACCAAGUUGAAAGAAUGGAGUUCAAGUAAUUUUGGGAGCUUAGAGAAAAAAAAAGAUUUAAUCCUGAGCUAGAUUGCAGUUAUCGAUAGUAUUCAACAGACCAGAUCCUUAGGCCAUCCAAAGAGUUGAUCUAUACAUGAAAUUUGAGGAUUUUUCAAAAAAGAAGAGAUAGAACAAAGGCAAAUGUCAAGAACAUUGUAGAUCAAACAGGGAGAUAAAAAUACAAAGUUUUUCCAUAUACUUGCCAAUGCUCACAAGAGGAAUAAUCAUAUUGAUCAGCUGCUAGUGGAAGGAGAAGUAAUUAAGGAGGCAAAGACUAUCAAAAAAGAGAUCAUAUCCUUCCUUCAGAAAAUUUAUUCUGAAACUAAGAAGUGGAAACCCUUGUAUAACACAAACCAAUGUCCCAGUAUCAACAUAGAAGACCAACAGGAACUGCAAAGACCUUUCAAGGAAAAAAAAGUUUUGGAAGGGCUUAAGUCAUGUGCAGUAGAUAAAGCUCUCCAGACCCAAAUGGAUACACUAUGGGAUUCUUUGUCCAAUAUUGGGAGGUCCUAAAGGGUGAUGUGAUGGCUACAAUACAGAACUUUCAUUCUUAGGAAGUUUUUGAGAAGAGUUUCAGUGCAACUUAUAUGGCCCUUAUUCCUAAAAAAAAUGGGGCAAAGGAAUUAAGAGACUUCAGACCUAUCACCUUGAUGGAGAGCAUAUACACAAUAAUAUCCAAGAUUCUCACAGAAAGCUGAAGAAAAUGAUGCAUAAACUAGUGGAUACACAAUGAUAACAUUUUCCAAAGGCAUACAGGUUACUGAUGCAGUUUUGAUUGCUAAUGAAUGUAUAGGUUCCAGACAUAAAGAUAAGACUCAAGGGAUCAUAUGAAAAUUGGAUAUUGAAAAGGUAUAUGACCACGUAACUAGAAAUUUUUACUUGGAAUUCUGCAGAGAUGAGGUUUGGUGGGAAGUCAAUUAGGUAGAUGAUAUUUUGUAUUCACACUGUCAGAUUCUCGAUGUUGAUAAAUGGUUCACCUGAAGGUUUUUACCUUCACAAAGAGGUUUGAGAUAAGGUGAUCCAUUGUCACCUUUUAUUUUUAUUCUGUUAAUAGAGGGACUUAACAAUAUGGUGAAGAUUGCGCACCACAAUGGGUGGAUAAGGGCUUCAAUGUAGCAAAGGGACAAAAUGAGGAAGUGUAAAUAAUGCACCUUCAAUAUGCAUACGAUACUCUCAUUUUCUGUGAUACAGAGGAGAGCCAGUUGAAGUAUUUGAGGACUAUCCUUAUUCUGUUUGAGGCCACUUCAGGUCUCUACAUUAAUCGGAAAAAAACAACCAUAUUUUUCCAAUCAAUGAGGUGACAAGGAUUCAAAUUUUGGUUGAUACUUGGGCAGUGAGAUAGAUAAGAUCCCAACAGUUCCCUUAGGUAUGCCCUUAGGAUCAAAAAGUAAAUCCAAGAUGAUUUGGAAUGUUGUUCUGGAAAGAUGUGAAAGGAGAUUAACUAGAUGGAAAACUCAUUACUUAUCAAUGGGAGGAAGAUUUGUGUUGAUCAACUCUGUCUUAGAUGCUAUACCUACCUAUUUGAUGUCAUUAUUUUCUCUUCCUAACAAUAUGGAAGAAAUAAUUAAUUCUCUUAGAAGAAACUUUUUGUGGCAUGGCAACAAGGAGAAAAAAGGUUACCAUUUGGUCAAAUGGAAAACCUUAUUGUUCGACAAGAAUCAUUGAGAUUUGGGUUUCAGAAUUCUGAGAAAGCAAAUCAGAAGUCUUUUAAUGAAAUGGCUUUGGAGACUACCCAAGGAAAAACAAACUUCAUGGGGCACUGUGAUUACAACAAAGUAUGAAAAUGAUGGGUUUUGGAAGACUAAAGAAGUGAACACUUAUGGAACCAACUUGUGGAGAUACAUUAGGAUCUUAUGGCGUGGAUUCUCUAAAAGAAUUGAUUUUAAUGUGAAAGAUGGCAAGAGGAUUCUAUUCAGGGAGGAAAAACGGUUAGGGAGUGGUACUCUAAAGGCAAUGUUUCCUAACAUUUUCUUACUAAACCAGCAGCAAGGAUCUACUCUAAAUGAAGUAUGGUCUAAUCAAGGUGGUAACUUAAACCUAAAGCAGACUGAUGCAAGACUAGGAAAUUGAAAGAUGGGCCAGCAUUUACGGCACGUUAGACCAGUGCAAAAGCUACAUAUAGGGAAAAACACCUUACGAUGGAAAUGUCACAGUAAGGGCAUUUUCACUGUAAGUUCUGCAUACAAGGACAUGAACUAGAUGGGUUCUCAGAUUAAUUUUAUACCCAGGAAACUUAUAUGGAAAACCAAAAUUCCACACAAAGUAGUUAUUUUUACUUGGCUGGUUGUGAAAGAAGCUGCUUUAUCACAAGAGAACCUACAGAAGAGGGGCAUACAUUUGUGCUCCCGAUUUUUUUUUUUUUUGUGAAAAAAACGCAGAGACAAUUAACCAUCUUUUCUUUCAUUGUAAAGCGGUGAGCCAGCAGGCAUUAGAUGGACCAUGCCAGGAAGAACAGACGAGGCAUUAUUAAGAUAGAAUACCAAGGGGGAAGGCAGCACCAACAAAACCAGAUGGAGAAUUGUCCCAGCAGUAAUAUGGUGGACAGUAUGGGAGGAGAGAAAUUCUAGGAGCUUUGAAGACAACAGUAGCUCUAUACAAAAGUUAAAAAUGAAUUGCAUUAUAAGUAUUUGCUAUUAGUGUAGUUCAGAGUAUAUAGAUGAUCCAAUUUCUAUAGUAGACAUCUUAGGAUACUUGUAAGAAGAGAUAGGAUCUAGAGGAAGUGUAUGUUUUUACUCUUUUGACUGUUGGAUCAUUGAUGUAAAUUUUGGCUUCCUGCAUGUGCUGGUGAUUUACACACAAAAUCUAUUGCCUUCUAAAAAAAGCAAGGAUAAAAUGUUCUCAGUUAAGAAUAGCUAAAAUUUGUUGCUAGACCUUAGGGUCAGGGAACCUAAUUGAACCCUGAACCCUAAGAUUAUUAUUAAAACUAUAGCUCACGUUGAAGCUGUCUGUUUUGGAUGGAUUAUCACUUGGGAGGCUUUGUUUAACUCAGAAUAAUCCAUAGAAGAGAGGUUCUGCGCCUGUGUGAAGAAGAUCUGUUCUUGGAAUAUUUGUUCUUGGAUUGCAAUCUCCAAGAACACUGAGAGUUGCUUCUUAAUGCGACUGGUGUUUCAGGUUAAGUUGUGCCAACUCUUCAUUUUUUAUGCCGCACCCGUGUCGGAUUCUUCAAAAAUACACUAAUUUUGACGAAUCCGAUACGCACCCAUAGACAUUUUUGACGAGUCUGAGCAACAUAGGUUUUAGGGAUAAUGCCUCUAAAGAUAUCAAGAGGUUUUCUGGAAAGCUAGCUAAGUCAAAGGAUGUCUAAAAGCUUGAAGCAGAUUUGGAGAACAAUUUUCAUGUGCAUUUUCUGGACUAAAUGGCUGGAAAGAACAAGGGUUGAUUUGAAGGAAAAAGGAUGCAUAUUUCUAGAAUUAAAAUACUUGUUUGCAUAAUUUAUAUUUUUGGCGUAACAGUAAUAUAUUAGAUAGUCUAGGGAUGUUGUUGUUUCAUGUACUUUUCUGUAGCAACAAGGUACUAAGUUAAUAAAACUGGUCCUCAUCAAAAAAAGUGUACAGUUGUUCGAAUUUGAGUGCAGAUCUGGAGGUUGGAUUCAUCAUCAAAUAAAUAUUAGGAUUCCAGACUACAGGGGUGCUGGUAUACCGCCAAUUACUGUCACAUAUAUAUGUAUAAUAUAUUUCUAUUUUUAAAGUUAUUGGACUAAAACUAAUACAAUUUAAUUCUUUAUAAACACCUAAUAUUCUACUCACAAGAUAUCUUUUGUAAUAAAGAAGUGCUCGGAUGCUUUAUCUACUUAUAUAUAUAUGAUAUAAACCCAAGAAAUAAACAAACUACCCAAUUAUUUUUAUUUUUUCUUGAUCAUAGAUGUAGUCAAAACACUCCAAGUAAGUUGAAAAAAUCCGGUGUGGAUCCCGCAACCACUACCAGAUAAUGCCGGAUCAACAUUGGUUUAGAGGGGAUUUUGAAGGUCCAAGCAACAUAGGUUCCGCCUCAGAAUUCUCAAAUCUUGACUGCAUACAACUUUUCUCCUUAUAUCUCCACGCUUUAGGCAUUGCUGUAUGUGACCCUAUGACUUCUUCUAGUUAAGAUGAAUUAUACUUACUUUACCAUAUUACCAUUGCUUUUAAAUGUGAUAAACCUCAUGCGAUCCUUCGUUCGGAAGGUGUUAGCUAAAACUAAACCAUGCUAUAUAAGCACACGAUAUCAGAUUGAAUUCAUGACAAAUGAGUUAAAACUGAAAUAAACUUGCUUCCAUAAUAUGAUUUAGAUGUUAGAAGUUCAUUUUAAAUUCACUUCAUAAUCCAAAUUGCCUAAUACUAGAAAACACUAGUAUUUAGGCCAAAUUUCAUUUUUUGGGACUUUCAAAAGUGAAAUAUGUUUCCCAAAUAUUAUGGUCAAACACAUGGUGAAACUUCAUCCAAAUCUUCACAUCUAUGUCCAAAAGCUAGCUAAGGAAAUGGCUAAAAUACAUGAUUGGGGAAAAGGGAAAAAGCGAGGAGCUAAAGAGAUAGUAAGGCUUGUUUAAUGUUAAGAAAAGUAAGAGCAUGUGUUUGACGUAAGAAGUGUACUCAGACACCAAAACAAAAUCAGCAAGUUUUUAAUGAGUCAAUGCACUAGACUCAUAAUAAAACCAACUCAAUUACCAUCAUAAGUAAAACCUCAUGUUACUCACGGUCUCAAUCUUCUUCAACACCGAAACCCCUGUGUCCAUAUCAUAAUCAUAUACAGAAGGUGGGGUUCUCAUUGAGCUAUAAGAAAACCUGAGUACACUGGAUUCAAAUUCUGAUUCUAACGGAUCCACUGAGUAGACAGGAUCGACAAAAUAAACAGCACGACCACCUUGAAGUCUUUCUAGUGGCUCUCCAACAGCAGGAAGACGAUAUACAGUUAUUCUGGGUAGACCAUUUUCACGUUCAUGAACAGCAAGAUGAUCAGUAAAAAGUUGUUUGUCCUGGAGCUUGACACGGCACAAAAACCAAAUUUAAUGAGCCAUAAUCAUGAAAUAGCUCCAUAAUAUUUCGUACUCACAAAAUAGAUUAGAAGAGGAAUAGCUCUCUAAAUCCCUUUGCUCAUUUCUUAUAGUUUUUCCAAAAAUUCACAGGACUUUACACAGGUAUAGUUAAGUUGGGGAAAAUUUAAGUUCAAGAGAUAUCAAAAGACUUUUGGGGUGUUUUGGUUAGUCGGGACUGUGGCUAAAUUAGGCAUCAGGUUGUAACGAUGAAAAGGUAGAUAGAACUAUCGAAUGAAAAACCUCUUGAGAUUGCUAGCAAACUGAAGGUACAUGAUGAUACUUUAGCUCCAAGACCUUAUUCCAUACCAUGAGGAAAACAAGGAAAGCAAUUAGCUUAUGCACCGCUUCUAAAGGUUAUAAUUACAAUAUUAUAGAUAGUGUGAGAAGGAAGAGAAAUUGAGAGAAAACACUGCUUGAUUAUUCCCUCAAUCGAUUGGGGUUUAACCAGCUAUGUUUGCAUUUCUAAGAAAGGAAAGAGAAUUGAAAUACAUAAUCACAGGAGAAAUCAAGAAUCGAGCUAUAAUAUAUUUACGAGAUCCUAGGGUGUGGCCUACUGGUCAAUUAAGUGGGUUAAACACCUGAGAUAAUAGUGCAAAUCCCAGUAGAGGAAACAAAUAUUAGGUAGCUUCUAACCAUUUUUGUCACACCCCGUACUUUCGAUCUAGAAUUAGACCGUCGUUCCUACGAGUAAAGAGCCGAACUAAGUGAUUUCAUGUUAAUAUAUCUGUGGUGAUCACUCCUAUAGUGUGGGCAUACCUUUGAAUAUGAAUUGAGGUCACAAGAAUUCCCUAAGUCUAAGAUGAGUUGAAAACAUUUCUAUCGAUUAAGUUUUAGUGGACGUUUCAACGUGGGUCAACUUCCAUCGACUAUUAAUCCUAGAAUAUGACGAGUUAUAGGGCCUACUAUAUGUCAAAUGAAAGUUCUUUGAGUCUUCUUUCCAAUGAUACUAAUUUCGCGUCAAUCCGAUACCGAAGCGAAAAGUUAUGACUUUGCAAAGUGGAGUGUGUCGCCUAGCAAUCGCCUAAGGCUACUGGAAAUGUUAUGCCACGGAAAAUGUGCUGUCCAGCCUAGCUUAGGUGAUGGAAAAUAUGACGCCCAGACUAUUUUAGGUGAUGGGCAAUGCACGGCACAGACUAGCUUAGGCUAUAGGCAAUGCCCCGCAUGCCCUAUGGCCCAAUGGCGUAAAUACUUCGUUUUAAAGUCAUUUUAAGGGCAACAAAGUCUUUUUACAUUCCAAAACCAUCCCUAAUCAUCCUUACAUAAAUUAAGGUUAUUAGUAACAUUUUAAAUCUCUUAAAAUUCCUAAUCCAUCUUCCAAGAACACCAUAAGAGAAAAAAAAAAUAACUUAGGGCAAAUAUUCAAGCUCAAGGGAUCAACUUUUCCGCGAAUUCUUCAUUGAUUAAGGUACGUGGGACUAUCCUAAACCUCAUGGGCAUGGAUUUAGUUGUUUCAAACAAGAUAUAUAUAUAUAUACAUACAUACAUACAUAUAUAUAUAUACAUACAUACAUAUAUAUAUGCAUCUGAAAUUGGUUUUAAAGGUAUUGAUGAACAAGUAUUGAAAAUCCCUUAUAUUGAUGAAAUUUUGUAGAACUUGUGGUAUGAAACCCUAAGGCUGAGAUCAUGUAAUACCAAAAUUGUAAAGAUAAAUGAGAGCAUGACGAUGCAAAUCCCUCUAUUACUUUGAAAUCCAUUGUUUUCACAAGUUGUGGCUUUGAUUUUACAGAUUGCUAAAAGCUUGAGUUGAAGGGUUACUAACACAUGUACAUAGUUCAGUUUUGAUUGAUUAAAUGAGAGGGUGUUUUACUUGGUUUAUAAGCAUUCAUGUUUCCAAUUGAAUGUUAGCAAAUGUUUAAUAAAAGAAGAUGACCACUGCAGAGAAAGUGUUCAAGAGAGAAUGUUUUGUUUUCAUAUGCUUUCAAGUAUGAAUUUAUGCAUGAUUUUUAAAUAUUUUGGGUGGUAAAUGAUAUCUUUUGAAAUAAGAAAAAGGGCAGUAGACAUGUUGUAACAUGACUUGUAAGUCUGGGUAUGAUGAUACCCUAUUUUGAUGUGCCUCAAUGAUAUUAAGAAAGAAAGAACUUUUCAAAGAAGCUAUUGUUUAAAGAAUCUAAAACUGAGCUUAAGAGAGUUAGAUGGUUACCCCAAGAAUGCAAGAGUCAAAUGACUCAUUGUCGAAAACCGUAAUUUUUCGACACGGAUUUAUGAUACUCGAAAGAGAAGUUGUAUGCUGGCGAUGGCCCAAUGGCGUAGUAGAGAAGCAGAAACUCCAACCCUUGCGUCAAAAUUGGGUUGGGGACUUACCCGCCGAGUCAAUGGCGGAUUCCAUAUAGCUCAGAAGUAAGACAAAGAAUAAGUUAUGAUUUCAAAGAAUUGUUCAAAGUCUUUUAAAGUAUGUCCAUGUGUUUUCAUAUAUUAUAUCUAAAAUGUUUUAUGAAUUGCUGUCACUUAUGUUAAAUAUAGAUACAUUAUUUUGGAUUUCUCUACGUACCAGUACAUUUGUAUUGACCGCCCUAUAUUUCAGGAUCUGAGGCUCAGUCUCGAGGUCCCGCUAAGUAGUAGAUCAUUGUUAGAUGAUUGGAGUUGGUGAGCCUCCCUUAAUUCGGAAGGCCUUGUCUUAUGUGAUAAUUUUCAUUAUUUUUAGUUCAUGUUCUGACUGGGGGCCUUGUCCUGAUUUUAGACAGAAGUUGUUGCCAUGUUGUUAGAGAUUUUGUAGACUGGUGUCAUGUAUUUUGAAUGUUAUGAGUCUCAAUUCAUAUUGUUCAGUUGAAUUUUAAAAGUGACCAUGUUUCAGUUUAUUAAUCUUCCGCAUUCUUUUUACAUUGUGUAUGAUUGGUAGAUAAAAUAGGGGCGCUCGAGACUUCAUGGUUUAAGAUGCCCAUCAUGGCCAGGGUCUCGGCUUGGGUCGUGAUAAUUUUUCUAACUUUGGCCAACACAGUUACCAGGAACCUGUGUUAGUGGGAGGAAGUAUGAAUGUUGUGGAAUUAGUCUAGGUGCAUACAAUAAAUCCCGAUGAUUAUUAUUUUUUUAAAAAAAACAUGUGGUAUUCUAACAACUCACCCUCAAUUUUUUAUCAGGUAAACGUGUUUUCAUUUAGAAACAUGGCCAAAAAAAUUGGUUGUAUACAAUGGGUAUACCAAAAGGCAAGAAUAUAUGAUUCUAUACAAACUCCACCCAAUCUCCCAUACAACUUGGAAUCCUAUGGGUGCACUAAAAAAAUACGAAACCGGAGGCUACUCCUCAACUGAGAAAUUCUAUCUUCUACCCCCUCAAAAGCUCUCCUAUUUCUCUCUCUCCAUACCACCCACAACAACGCGAGAGGAACCACAUUCCAUGCCCUGUGUCUUCUCCUCCUCCUGUACCUGCAGCAAGAAAUCAAUUCUUUCAUAGUUUUUGGCAUUGCUAUGAAGUAUCAAACCACGUAAACAUAUCCCACCAUAACCUUAAUGGUAAAAUCACAAUAAAGAAGAAGAUGGUUGUAACACCUCGAAUCUGGUACCCAAAACGCUACACGAUGCUCAUGACCACGAAGGACCACAAGCUAACCCAUGACUGAUAUCUGUACCUGAGACUGCAUAAUAUACUAUAUGAAUAAGGAAUAAAAGGCUGAAAGGCCAUAAGGUUCAAACAUCUGAUAAAACAUAACAUCUUAAAAAUACAGUAUUUUCAUACCAAAACUGAAAUAACUAUAUAAACAUGCUAGUCUGAAAGCCUCUAAACUGUCUGAAUAAGGAGUUGAUGGGACAUUUCCCCAAAUAACUCCAUUUACUAAAAUAAAUUAAUUAAUGAAAUAAUAAAGUAAUGAUAAUGUCCUCGAAGGAUGAGGACUCACUACUAAAUUUGGUUGACGAAAUCUGGAAUGCUACUGAGGCUCUGGAGCUCGUGCUUCUGAACCUGUGGUAUAACACCAUAGUGCAAAUGUAUCAGUAUGAUUGAAUGUACUGGUAUGAAAGUGAGGUAGGCUGAAUGCAAGGGGUUUAUAUGUAUUAACAGUACUAACUGACUGAAUAUCAUGAACGUGAGAAUGCAUGCAUGAACACGUGAACUGUGACUGAGAUCAUGACAUCACUGGAUCUGAAUACUGAUAACAUAAGUUUCAUAUUUCUGAUAUCUAUUAUUUAAAUGACUAUGUCUAAUAGUCCUGUUGUAGAUGGAACUAGUUGAGUUUCAUACUAAACUAGGUGACUGUAUCUGACAGUCCUAAAUUUUGUAGAACUAUCUUAGUUUUAUUACUGAGACUGAGAUUGUAACUAUAGGAAGUAGUCAUCUAACAGACAUGCCCCAAAUAAAGAAAUAUAGCAGAGUUGGGGUCCAAUCUGUAACCCUAAUUGGAAGGGUGUCAAUACUGUGCCACUGGUAAGGCAAGCUGUAAGUAAUCCCUCAUCUAAUAGGUUACUCUAAGGAGAAUAGUGGGACCCUCAUCUAAUCGGUUAAACCACCUCAUCAACCCUCAUCUAACAGGUUAGAUGUAUCAACCUAUGCUAGCUACGUAGUUCUGGAGUACAAGGAUUGCUUCUAAGAAUCCCACCCUCUACUCGCAGGUGAGUUCCCAUCCUUGGGCUCACUCAGUGCUGAAUCCUACACCCAUCUGAUUAGACACUGAAUUAAUUAUACUGAACUGAUUGGACUGAGUUUACUAAGUUUUCCUGAGUCAUGAGAUUGACUGAAUUCUACUAAACAUGAACUAUCCAUUGAACAAUUUCAAUGCAUAACAAUAACAUGAAAGUUAUUUUGAACAUAAUGGUAAAGCAUAGGUUCAUCAAUUUGGUCAUAAUUGAGUCCUAAAGCAUAAGUCUUGUUCUUUAGGCAUUUUAUCAAACACAUUGCAUGCAUAUACUUACGCUUAGGCAUGACUAUUGAAAUAGUACAUAAUGGCAACAUUUUAUACUUCCAAUGCAAGAACUUAAGCCACAUGCUAACAUACUUUCAUGAUAAUCAUGAAAUACUUCAACUGGGAAAUCAAACAACAACAUAAACAUGGAUAUAUUUCAACUCAUACCAUGAAAUCCAAAGUUUAUAUUUCAAAUAAGGUUUCUUAUGCUUCAUGGGUUCCUACCUGGGUGGAUGAUUUCUUGAAUAUUGGUGGAGGAAAGCUUGAAUUUUUGACGUGGUAUUAAGCACCUUGGGUGAUCUUCGAGGGAAACACUAAUUGGAUAAUGUGAAUAAAUAAUUGAGUUAUGAUCUAUGGUCUGGUAUAAUUAGGGGUUAAAACAGGUGGGAAAAGACCCAAAUACCCCUUAAAAAUGGCUUAAAAUUUUCUGAAUAGGAUCUGCAAUGGCUCAUGCUAUGGUCCAUCGCUGGCUCGAUGGUCUGUCGCUGGCUCGACGGUCCAUCGGCCUGACCAUUGCACUUGGACCAGAAUAAGGACUUACUUCCUUAGUAUCGAUAGCUUGGGCAAUAGUUCGUCGUAAGCUUAACGGUCCAUUAAUCCAUCCAUCGUACCUUUGCCAGAAGAUUGACUUAGUACCUCGCCUGCGAAGGUUUGGGCGACGGUCCAUCGGCCUAACCGUCGUUUAUGAGGAGUUCCAAUAGUUCUUUGUAAAACAGACAUAACUUUUUACUCCGAUACCGGAUUUAGACAAAACUGGUAUCGUUAGAAAGCUAAUUCAAUUUUUCACAUGAUAAAAAGUCAAAAUUUUUGAAAUUCUAUCUGAUUUAAAUAUUAAUUAUUUAGGAAGUCAUCUCUAAAUCUUUUAGAAACUUGAUUUGACUUAAAGAAAGUUUGGAGUAUUACAAUAUCUCCCCCGUGGAAACAUUCAUCCUCGAAUGAGACUGACUGAGAGAGGGGGGAAAUGGUAGAUUGAAGCACAUCCUGAACAUGAAUGACUAAAACAUGACUCCAUGCCUAACAUGACUGAUAAGCUAAAUAUAUAUCAUACUGAACAUGCAUAUCUAAUGCAUGAGUAACUAAUUCAUGAAUGCAUGACUAAGUGUUCUGAGGAACUAAGUUUCUCACAAUGAGAAUGCAUAUCUGAUGCAUAAUUACUUGACUAAACUGAUACAUGAAUACAUAACUGAAUAUGAAAUGGUAUUUAAUACCAAGUUUAUAAUGGAAUUCUGAACAUAAAAUGGAUACGAAACUUGUAGCUGAAACCUGAACAUGCAACUAAAAAUCUUAAGGAGAACUAUUACCUUGAGCUAGAUCUGAGUUAGCGAAGAAAAGGUGAGGAUAAUUGGUAUGCAUGUCUGCUUCUGCUUCCCAAGUAGCUCCCUCAAUGGACUGAUUCUGCCAAAGAACUUUGACUAGAGAGACUUCUUUGUUCCUCAGUCUACGCAUCUGGUAGUCAAGAAUUUCGGCUGGAAUCUCUUUAUAAGAGAGGUUGUUUUAAACAUCUAUACUCUGAAUAGGGACUACAACUGCCGGGUCACCUAUGCACUUUGUAACGCCUCGAUUUUUCUGAGUUGAAAUGCUACACGGUGCCCAUAACCCCGAAGGACCACAAGCUAACCCAUGACUGAUAUCUGUACCUAACACUACAUAAUAUUCUGUAUAAAUGUGGACACAUUUACUGAAAGGCCAUAAGGUUCAAACUGGAUAAAUAGUUGAUAAAACAAUGUCUAAAAGUGGUAUAACAAUACCAAAAAAAUUAAAAUAACUGUCUAACAUGCUAUAGUUUGAAAGCCUCUAAAUUGUCUGAAUAAGGAGUUGAUAGGAUAUAUCCCCAACUAACUUCGACUACUGAAAUAAUCUGAAAACUAAAAUAAUAAUGUAAUCAUCAUGUCCUUGAAGGAUGAGGACUCACUGCUAACUCUGAUCGCUGAACUGGGAAAUACUAGUUCUUUGGAGAUUGUGCUUCUAAACCUAUGGUAUAAAAGACCAUAGUGCAAAUGCGUCAGUACUUUGAAUAUACUGGUAUGCAAGUGAGGUAGGAUGAAUGCAAAUGGUUUAUAUGCAUGAACAAUACUAACUGACUGACUAACAUGAACGUGAAAAUAUAUGCAUGACUACAAAACUGUAACUGAGAUCGUGAUAGGACUAAAUACUGAUUCUACUGAUACUGACCCCUGAGUCACUGAUAAGUGAGAAAGACUGAUACUGUAUUACUGAAUAUUGAGGGACUGAUAGUAUGUUACUGAUACAUGAAUAAUUAUUUCUGAUUGUUCUGAUAAUGAAGAACCGAUUUGGUUGACUAUAUCUGAAAGUCCUGAAGCUGAAUACUGAUAACAUGAGUUUGGAGAACUGAUAUAACUAAUAACAUGAGUGACUAUAUUUGAUAGUCCUAAAUCUGACGGAACUAGAUGAGUUUCGUACUGUAUCUAAAUUUGACUGUAUUAGAUAGUCUUGAACUUUGAAGAACUAUCUGAGUUCUUUUACUGAAACUGAGACUGAGACUGUGACUAAAACUGAGACUGUGACUGUGGGAGGUAAUCAUCUAACUGACAUGCCCCAGAACUGAACUGGUGGGGUCCAACCUAUAACCCCAGCUGGAAGGAUAUCAAUACCGUGCCAUGGGUAAAGACCUGCUGUGAGUAUACCCUCGCUAAUAGGGAGUUCUUCCAUCAACCCCUCCUAGUAGGUUACCCAAAUGAGAUGUAUAUAUAUAUAUAUCACUAAAUACGUAGGGUGCAUCUCAACCUACACUGGCUACGUAGUUCUGAAACUUAGGGAUUGCUUCUAUGGAUCUCAGUCCUAUCUAGUGGGUGAGUCCCCAUCCCUAGGCUCGCUCGGUGCUGAAUCUUACUCCCAUCUGAAAGACACUAAACUAAUUAACUGAGUUGAACUAAUACUAGUGGUAUUAUUUAGCAGAGCUAAACUAAACUGAAUUUACUGAGUUCCAUUGACUGACGAAAUGUACUGAGUUCUGAAGACUGAUUGAUAAGACUAAAGUUACUGAAACUUACUAGGAAUACUGAGAUUACUGAGUACUGAGAUCACUGAGAUUACUGAACUGCUGAGAUUACUUAGAUUACUGAUAUAUUCUGAGUCACAUAACUGACUAAGUUCUAUGAAUCAUAUCUUGACUGAGAGUAUUGUGGAAACAUGACAUGGCUCUAGGCACAUAGCUAAAUUUUAGGGUACUAGUACCCCCAGGACUCGAUGAGAAGAAACUAACAUAGCAUGGCUUACUUGAACACAUGACCAACAACACAAUUCAUAAUUCAUAUAUUGAAUCACUUCAUCAAACAUUUGAUAUGCAUAAGCUUGUACAUACAUGGGGAUUUCAUGAUAUCAUACUAGUUGGCCAUUGUUCCUUCAUCUAGGCAUUUAAUCAAACACAUGGUAGGCAUAACACAUGUAGACAACAUUAUACAAUAAUUAAUCAUCAUGAUUCAUCUCUAAUUUCAUCAUCUAGGUUUUAUUCAUAGAUUCACAUGAAUAUACAUCUAUACAAAUCGAUUCCAUAUAAAUUGAUCACCUAACAUGGAUUUGAAUUCAAUUAAUCAUCCUCAACAAAAACAAAACAAACCCAACAUGAAAUUCAUAAAGAAAUCCAUAGACUUAAACUUAGAAAAGAGAUUCUUGGGCGUCAUGGAUGAAAGGAGUCCAUGAAUGAACACUACGCAUACCUUAGUUUGUGAUUCUAUGAAGAUUGACAGAGAGAUUCUUGAAAUUUGACGGUGAAUUCCCUUGUAAUUGAACUUUCUAUGAAAACCCUAGGGCUUGUUCUUGAGAGUGUUUUAGAGUAAUUGAGUAUAAGCUGCUGAAUUAUGGCCAAAUCUCGUGUUAUAAGGCUUAUAUAGGGUGGGAAAUUGACCCUUUUAACCCUAGUACAAGUAUUUAAUUUUUGAGAAAAUUUCCCAAUUUUCAUGCUUGGCACGACGCGCCACAAUCGCGCUAAGUCACUAGAAUUGGACAAUUGGGAAUCUGCAUGGUGGCUGAUGUGGAUCUAUCGCGUUUCCACCUUGUCUGCGACCUGGAAGUUUGGCGCGACACUCCACUAUCAUGGAGCAACAUUGGAAAUUGACAAUUACCAUUUGAGCUAUCUCCGCGAUGCGCUGAAGGCUCAGGUGAUAAAUUGUCUCACUAAAAAGGCUCUAACUCUUUGCCCAGGUAUCGUAUUUGGGCAAAUUUAGUAUCGAUGGAAAGAUUAUUGAAUUUACCACAUGACAAAAAGUGAAAAUCUUAGAAAUUCCACUUCUAUCAAAGUGGAUUCAUCUUUCAAAGAAAGAUUCUAACAUUCUUGGGGAAAACUUUAAGCUAGGAAAAGUACGGGGUAUUACAUACUUCUUGAGAAAAGAUACAUGAAAUACUAGAUGAACUAAGGCUAGGUUUGAAGGAAAUUUGAGCUCAUAAGAUAUCUUACUGAAGCAGCUGAGAAUUUUGAAGAGACCGACAUAUCGGGGACUGAGCUUUUUUUUUGCCUAAUCUCUUCACUCCCUUCAUAGGAGAGAUCUUUAGAUAGACAUAGUCACCAAUCUUGAACUCAAGAUCCCUUCUGUGCACAUCAGCAUAAGACUUCUAUCGGCUCUGAGUGUCCUGGAGUCUUUCUCUAAUCAACUAGACUUUCUAUAAAGCAUUGAAUACUAAGUCAAGCCCUAUCACUAAGGCCUCACUAACUUCAAACCAACCGACUGGAGAUCUGCAUCUCCUACUAUAAAGAGCUUCAAAUGGAUCCAUCCGAAUGUUGGAAUGAUAAAUAUUAUUUUAUGCAAACUCAAUCAAAGGCAAGUGGUCAUCCCAACUACCCUUGAAAUAAAUUGCACAUGCCCUUAGCAUAUCCUCCAAAGUCUGAAUGGUCCUUUCUACUUAACCAUCUAUUUGAGGAUGAAAGGUUGUACUAAGAUAAACUUGGGUACCAAGACCCUUUUGGAAUGCUUUCCAAAAAUGAGAGGUGAACUGGGUACCUCUGUCUGAUAUAAUAGAUAAUGAAACACCGUGCAAUCUGACCAAAUCUUUAACGUAGAGUUUGGCGUAAUCCUCGGCUAAAUAAGAGGUAUGGACUGAAAGGAAAUGAGAUGAUUUAGUCAUCCUAUCUACAAUGACCAAAACUAAAUCAUACUGGCAACGAGUAUGAGAAAAACCUAUCACAAAGUCCAUGUUCACUUCUUCCCACUUCCAAGUAGGAAUACUAAACUCCUGCAUGGACCCACUAGGCUUCUGAUGCUCUAUCUUAACCUACUAACAUGCAGAGCAUUUAACCACGAACUCUGCAAUAUCUCUCUUUAUCCCACUCCACCAAUAAAUCUCCCACAAAUUAUGGUACAUCUUAGUGUCCCCUGGAUGAAUCGAGUAGCACGCAUCAUGCGCUUCUGCUAGAGUUUGUUGCCUCAAGUAAUCUACACCUGGAAUACAUAGAUGACCCUGACAAUGCAAAUAACCAUCUCCCCCUUGGGAAAAAACCUUUACUUUUUGAUCCUUGACUGACUCUUUCAACUUAACAAGACUGGGAUAUCUAUCUUGCUUUUCUUUCACCUCAGAAACUAGAGAUGAUUUUUAACUAGUCCAAACCCAUAUGUCACCCUCUUCUGUAUCGACUAAGCGAAUACCUAGAAUGACAAGUUGAUGAACUUCCUGAGCUAAAUUCUUUUUACUAUCCUCAACAUGAGCAACACUACCUAUAGAAAGUCUACUGAGAGCGUCGGCCACUAUAUUGGCCUUCAUUGGAUGAUAAAGAACACUCAAGUCAUAAUCUUUCAAGACCUCUAACCACCUUCUCUGACGAAGAUUGAGAUCUUUUUGAGAGAAUACAUACUAAAGAAUUUUAUAGUCUAUGAACACAUCUACAUAAAAUCCAUAUAGAUAAUGCCUCCAAAUCAUCAAGGUAAAGAUUAUGGCUUCUAACUCAAGAUCAUGAGUAGGAUAAUUCUUCUCAUGGGGUUUAAGCUAUCUGGAGGCGUAGGCUAUGACCUUACUAUGCUGUAGGAGAAAAUAACCCAAACCUACUCUGGAUGCAUCAUAAUACACUACGAACCCCUCUAAACCAUCUGGAAGAGACAAAACUGGAGCUGAGGUAAGUCAGGUCUUCAACUCCUGAAAACUCUUCCCAUAAGGAUCUAAUCACUAAAACUUGAUUUUCUUCUGAGUCAAUCUAGACAUAGGGGAUGCAAUAGAAGAAAAUCCCUCAAAAAACCAUCUGUAAUAGCCAGCCAAAACUAAGAAACUCUUGAUAUCUAAUGGAGAUAUAGGGCGAGGCCAGUUUCUUACUGCUUCAAUCUUUUGAGGAUCAACCCUAAUUCCAUCACUGGGAAUAAUAUGACCAAGGAAUGUUGCUGACCUUAGCCAAAACUCGCACUUAUUGAGUUUGGUGAAUAGCUGAUGAUCUCUGAGAUUCUGCAAUACUAUUCUGAGAUGGUCUGCAUGAUCACGCUCACUGCGGGAAUAAACAAGAACAUCAUCUAUGAAGACUAUGACAAACAUGUCCAAGUAUUGCUUGAACACACUGUUCAUCAAGUCCAUGAAAUCUUCUGGGGCAUUGGUAAGACCAAAGGAUAUAACUAAGAAUUCAAAGUAACCAUACCAAGUACGAAAGGUUGUUUUCGAAAUGUCACAUUCUCUGGCCCUGAGCUGAUGAUAGCCUAAUCUGAGGUCUAUCUUAGAGAAAUAGCUGGCACCCUGAAGUUGGUCAAACAAAUCUAUUCUGGGAAGUGGAUAUUUGUUCUUGACUAUGAAUUUAUUAAGCUGACGAUAGUCUAUACAUAUUCUAAGAGAACAGUCUUUCUUGCAUAUGAAUAAGACUGGUGCACCCCAUGGGGACAUACUGGGUCUGAUGAAUCCCUUGUCUAAGAUAUCCUUCAACUGCUCUUUUAAUUCUCUGAGUUUUGGUGGUGCCAUUUUAUAUGGCGAAAUAGAUAUAGGCUGAGUAUCUGGAAGAAUAUCAAUGCCAAAAUCUAUUUCCUGUUCGAGAAGAAUUCCUAGAAGAUCUUCGAGAAAGACAUCUGAAUAUUUAUUCAGGACUGGGACUGAUUCAAGACUGGGAGUUUUAGAACUAGUGUCCUUAACUCGAACAAGAUGACAGACACAUUCUUUAGAUAUUAUUUUCCUUGCCCGAAGGUAGGAAAUAAGCUGACCUCUAAAAGCCAAAAUGCUACCCCUCCACUCUAGGAAAGGUUCAUUUAGAAACUAACACUGGACUAUUCUGUUUCUGUGAUUGACUAUGGCAUAGCAGGAAUAAAGUCAAUCCAUGCUGAGAAUGACAUCAAAAUCAGUCACCUCUAAUUUUACUAAAUCUGCUGAGGUAACUUUCUAAAAUAUCAUAAUCGGACAAUUCCUGUAUACCCAUCGGGCUAUGAUGAGUUUACUCACUGGGGUAGAUACUGAGAAAGGCUUUCCUCAUUCACAAAUUGAAAAGAGAAUUGUGAAUCUCCUACCUAAGAGAUCUUUAUGCCACUUUGUACACCUUCCUACACUGCCCAAUUUCUAAUAGCCUUCGAAGAGCCCACCUAUUUUGAGAAUGUCCUUACCAAACAAGAUUUAAAAAAGACCUUUCUUCCCUAUGUAUGUUCAUUUGAAAUAGAGAAACAAUGGUCUUUACCAAAUUCUAGCUUCCGACAUCUUUCCAACCCAAUGGCUGGCCAAAAGAGUCUCAUUGUAUGACUUGAGAUCAGCUUUCUCAAAUUCUAGAAAGAAGUAGGAGCUUCUUUAUCUAGCCAUUUUUGAAUUUUCUAAAAAGUAACCUCAAGUUAGUACAUAUAAAUGAUAUGUACAGAACUUGUUACAAAUGUAGCUGAUACAAAAAUCAAUGAAGGGGGACUUGGAGUAACUAGUAAAGUUUCUUCCAUGUGACCAGAAGGUCACGGGUUCAAGCCUUAAAAACAGGCUCUGCCAAAAAUGCAAGGUAAGGCUGCAUACAAUACACCUUUAUGGGUGGGGCCCUUCCCCGUACCCUGUGCAUAGCGGGAGCUUAAGUGCAUUGGGCUGCCCCUUUUAAUGAGGGAUUUGAUGAAAAUAUAUGCAAGUUGAUUAUUUGACCUCAUGAAUCUUAACAAUGCCCACCAAAGAGCUUUUUUUUUUCAAAAAUGAAGUUAAAAUCGAUCUCAAUGUGCUAAAUUCAACCGUGAAACACCACAUAUAUUAAGAGUAGCUUCAUUAUCACAAACAUUUAAUCUAACUGAUUUCUCCAAAUUUCAAAUCUCUGAGUAAAUGUUUAAUCCAAAUUAGUUUGUGAGUUUUCACAACCAUUGCUCGGUAUUCAGUUUUUACACUAGAUCAAGCAACCAUAUUUUGUUUUUUACUUUUCCAAGGAACCAAAUUACCUCCUGCAGAAACCAAUUUCCAUAUGAAGAAUAUCUUUUGGAAUGUUAUCUCACCCAAUCAACUCUAUAUCCAACAGUCUGUUCAUGACCUAGAUCCUUAAAAACUUUAUUACCCUAGACUGGUUUUAUGUAUAGAAGACCAUUACUGUCAAAGGUACACAUAAAGCGUGAUUAAGACCCUAAAUAAGGGUCAAAAUGUAUUUCGAGCUUCAUAUCACUUAAUUAAAGUUUUUGUGUUGUCAUCAAGGCGAUAAAGGCAUACUUUUCCUUGACAAUGAACCUUUUCUGAAGAGGGGGGCACUAAACAAUUUAUAUUUCAAAUUAUAGUAAUUUUUUCAAUUUUCUUGACCAUAUAUUUGUCAUUCAUACUUUUAAUUAUUAAUCUUGGACUAAACAUAUAUUUGUACUUUUUCUCCUUUUGUGCUUUUUUUCAUUAAGUCCCACACUUAAUUUGAGCUUAAAACCCUAACAGAAUUAUGAUAUUUAGUGUUGAAUCUUCAGAAUUACACCAAUUGGCAAGGAAAAGUAUGUUAUUGUGAAUAUACAUGAUAGUUGAGAUCUUAAAAAUCCCUACAAAGUCAUUAUCAUGUAUUUCACUAGAUAUCUUUUACGUAAAUAUUUUUUUCUAUUUUGAUUUAUAUAUAUCUUAUUCCUUUUUUGGUGACAUUUAGGAGUGCAAUAAUUAUAAGGGUAUCAAGUUGAAAAACUACACUAUGAAGGCUUGGGGGAGGCUGGUGAGAUGAGGUUAUGAAGGAUUGUUGCUAUUUCUGAGAAUCAGUUCAAAUUUAUGUCAGGAUGCUCGACUACAAAAGACAUCCAUCUCGUUAGGAGACUAGUGAAGCAGUAUAGUGAGAGGAAUAACAUACACGUAGUGUUUAUUGACUUAGAGAAGGCCUACAGUAGAGUUCCUAGGGAGGUUUUAUGGAUGUGAUUGGAGGCCAGAGGCUUACUUAUGGUGUAUUCUAGGGCGAUUAAGGAUAUAUACGAUGGAGACAAGACUUGGGUUAGGACUAUGGGAGGGGACUCAGAGCACUUUCCCAUCUUGAUGGGGUUACCCAAUGAUCUACUCUUAGCCGUAUUUGCCUUGGUGAUGGAUGUUUUGCGUUGCAAAUUCAAGGUGAGGUGCCUUGGUGUUUGCUUUUUACAGAUGGUGUAGUCUUCAUUGAUGAUACCUGUGGUGGAGUUAAUACUAAAACAGAGGUUUGGAUGCAUACCUUAGAGUCUAUAGGUUUUAGGUUAAGUGGGUCCAACAUGGAAUAUUUGGAGCGUAAGUUCUGCAAGGUGUCGCAUGAGUCUGAUGUGGUUGUAAAACUUGAUCCUUGGUCUAUCUUGAAGAGACAUAAUUGUAAGUAUCUGGAAACUCGGUUGUCACUCAUCGAAUUGAGAUAGGGUGGAUGAAAUAGAGGCUCACUUUCAGAAUCUUGUGUGACAAAAAGGUGCCUCCUAAACUCGAAGGAAAGUUCUAUAGAAAGUGGUUAGAUCGGCUAUGUUGUAUGGGCAGAGUGUUGUCAAGAAAUCUCACAUCCAAAAGAUGAAAGUGGCGGAGAGGAGAAUGCUAUAAUAGAUGUGUGUGUACUAGGAAAGAUAGGAUUAGUAAUAAGGUUAUUCGAGACAAGGUGGGAGUGUCUUCGGUGAAAGCCAAGAUACAGAAAGCGAGGUUGAGAUGGUUCGGGCAUGUGAUUAGAAGGGGCACAGAUGCCCUAGUACAAAGGCGUGAGAGGUUGGCUAAGGAUGGAUUCAGGUGAGGUAGAGGUAGACCAAAUCAAUAUUGGAGGGAGGUGAUUCGACAUGACAUGGAGCAGCUUCAGCUUAUCGAGGACAUGACCCUAGAUAGAAAGGUGUGGGAGGAAACUUAGGGUAGAAGAUUAGUAGGAACGAGUGUGUCAAUGCUAGUAGGUAGGAGGACUUUGUUGUCUGUGUUAGUAGCUAUAGUAUUAGUAUUAUUUCAGAGUAUUGCAUUGUUUACUGUAUUACUUGGUGAGUUUUGUUUAUUAUAGUAUUGGGUGUGGCAAUUUCUAUUGUAUCUUAUUCUUUUACUAUUUCUUUUUUAGAUUGUUUUAUCUUGAGUCGAUGGUCUAUCGGAAACAUCCUCUCUAUCUCACCUCUAAGGUCGUUAUGGACUGUGUAUACUUAUCCUUCCCAGACCCACUUGGUGAGAUAUAUUGGGUAUGUUGUUGUUAAUGAUGCUUUUUUCUUUUUUUUAAAAAAAAUACAUAUUUUUACUUAUUAGAUAUUUUCUAAUUUCAAUAUUUUACCGAGUGAUAUAUUUAAGAUUAAAAUGUUCAAAUACCAUUGCAAUGUAUUAUACAAGCAUUUUAUUUAAUUUUGUAAGAUUUAAAAGUCUCUUAUUUUUAAGAAUUUUUACGUAGCUUUAAGGAGCAUAUAAGAUGACACAAACCUAAUCCGAAAACAAGGAUCAAAUCAACGUGAAAACUAAAUAAUGAGAUUUAUUGUGUAUGUGAUUCAUGAUGUCAUGUAUAUUCACAACAAAGGAAUAGUAUUGUAUAUAUAUUCACAAAAUACAUGUAUAUAUAUUAACAAAAUACAUGGAUGUCAUGUAUAUUCACAACAAAGAUGGAGUAUUUUCUCUAUCUUGUUACAUUUAUUCCCCUUUAGAUUUUUUAAACUUUGUCAGCUUUCUCAGUUGACGGAAAAAGUAAGGCGGAUCAUUGUUGCUGCCUCACAAGGCAUGAUAAUGCUCCUGCCUUACCUUUAACCAUUUAACUCACCCGUACCCCCUUUGUCCCUUUGGCAUAUUUCAACCUUUCCAUUGCCUCUUCGGAAUUUUGGAUGAAAAGAAUUUCCCUUUAGGCUCCGGGCUCGAAUCUAUUGAGUGAGGCAAAGCACUCAACAUGUUUUGCACCUCGAGGCUUAAUUGCGCUUUGAACACACCUUUGACAACAUUGCCUCUUGCAUUCAGUGUGUGGCCGCUCUGAUAAGGACAUGAAUUCUAGGGUUUUCCUCACAGGAGUUCCCGAUACCGUCUGUGGUGUUGAUUGUAGUGCAGUACUCAAGAAAGGUAAAGUAAGGAUGGACAAUUGUCGGAAAAUUUAAAAACAAAGACAAUUUCUCUUUUUCCUGAGGUCACUGGUAAAAUUCACAAUGACGACCUCGCAAAUGUUCUAAUACCAUGUGAAAAGGAAGAGAAAUUGAGAUAGAACACAAUCAAUAAUUCCCUCGAGCUUUACAUAUUCUCUUACCUUUCUUAGAAUAUGUACACUUAAAAAAAAUACAUAUUUUUACUUAUUAGAUAUUUUCUAAAUAUCUACAUUUACAAGAUCCUAAAUAUUCUAGCAUCAAGGAUAACGAAGCUUUACAAGUCUGCUAGGAAAAAUUAACAAAAUAGCCGAAACCUCAAGAUACCAGAAAAUCUUUCAAUCUGAAUUUUGAAGAGUAAGAACUUAAAACUAGAAGGACUACUGCAAGGUAAAAAUUUAUGCCCCAUCCAGACUGAAGGAAGCACCAACUUUAGAACUUACUUUAAUAUUCCCGACUAUACCAAUCAGGUUCAGCCAGUGAAUCGACAGUUGAACAUUACUAAUCCAAAUAUACCUUUGUCGGUCAAAGCUUCUCCAAUACGGAAUUACGAGGAAAAGUUAUCCAACUAGCACUGUGAAUUACCAAAUAACAUUGGCAUUUUGAUUCAAUUGUUAAGCAACAAUAUUAGAAAACAUUUAUAGUAUCUCCACACUUCGGAAUUCCUCUUAAGUUCACUAAGCUUAUCUCAUAAUCAUGGUAAGAAAAAAAGACACACAAAUUGACAAUUAGAAGACAAAGUAAUUCCUGGAAAGUUUUUCUGAAAUGUCAAUAAAUCGGUCAUCUUUUUAAUAAUACCUUGGACGGUGAGGAAGGAGAACAGUGGUAGCAGAUAUAUUUUCCACCGGGCACACAAGUAUUUCUGAAUUGAAACAUUCAUCACUUCUCCUCUUGACGAAGAAAUGAUUUCCACGAUGACUAGUCGAUGUGUCAAUGCCAGUAAUACGUGAUGUUAGUACCAGCAAUCCAUUUUCAGGUUUAGAAGUGUCUAGAUAAAAGAGAAAUCUUGUAAUUUUACUCUCAGAUGCAAUAAAUAAAUAUUUCUUGCUCUCGGAUGCUUGAAGACCCAAAGAAAAUGUUUCAUCCUUUUCAUGAUAAAGGCAAGAGUCAUCUAACUGGUUAGUUCCCAAUUUAUGCAACCAAACCUGUCAAAACUUAGAUAAAUCAAGAGAAAGAAUACCUGGAUAAACAAAAGUAAGAUGAAUUUCAACCAGAUGAAUCCAUAAAACUAGUUAUAAAACCAAGAGAGAUGAUUUAGCGAGUACAACACACAUGUAGGUAGAGGUACUUAUUAUUGGCAAACACAGAAAACAUAAGUUGUAUGUCUCACCACGAUAAGCAAGUCAAAAAAACAAUAUACUCAAUGAUUUCAACAAGGCAACUACUUUAUUAGAUCUUUUCAAUCAACUUUCUCUACUAAGAAUCCCUUUUUGGAUGGAGGAUUACCUUCUAUUUUAACACCACUUGACAUUAUUAUUAGCCCAAGACAUUUAACCAAACUGAAUAACAAUUAUGGAGCAUAAACAAUAUCAUUAUCAAAACAAGCCAAAAGUUGGACACUGGAUGCUACAGAAGGAAAAUAAAUCACUUAUAUCCAAUGGCUACAUGAAAUCCAAACCUUGUCUGGUCAAAGGAUCUCAUCCAUUGUGACGUAAACCAAUGCUUCAUCACCUGCCCAUUCAAGAUGUGAUGUAAUGGCACCAACCAGAGGUUUCCCAACCAGCAUUCCAGACUCUGCAUCAAUAACAUAAACAGUGUAUACUUCAUCCCCUUUUUUAUCCUCUGCAUAUGCAACUAACUUGUUAUUUGGGCUGACCUGAAGAGGGGAGAAUUACAAUGAAAUAAGAUAAGCUACUAUAACACCCCGCAAAAAUAGUCCAUGCAUUUGCUCGUGGUAAUAUGCUCUUAGAGUUAAAUGACUAGAAUUGUGUCAAAGAAACUUAGUCGCAUUUUUUAUUUCCAAAGUGAGUAAAGUUUAAACCAUAUUUAGUUUCCCUAAUUUUGAAUUUUUAUCAUGUGGGAAAUUGAAUGAGCUUUCCGUCGAUAUAAGAUUUGCCCAAAUCCGAUACCCGGGCAAAAAAUUAUGGGUAAUUUAAGUUCUAGUCGUAAAACACCGUCACAUUGGUGCUUGGCGAGUCGCGGAGGGGGCCUAUUUAGAAAUUGUCAAAUUCCAGUAGCAUAGCGCGAUUGUGGCGCAUCGCGCUGAAGUUUCAGGUCCUAAUCAGUGGGACAACGCGAUGGCUCCGCGUCGCGGUGGCCUUAAGAAUCCCACUCGUCAAUUUCCAGUGAGCCACCGCGAUCGUGGCGCAUUGUGGUGGCCUAUGAAAUCAGGCUCCCAGUUAUAUUUUUACUCUGUCUCAUUAAGGAUAUAUUGGGUAUUUUCCACCCCUUAUCAGCCUAAAUACGGGAUUUAAUCCCAAAUGACCUCAUUAUUGUUAUUUUCAACAAAAACCAUCAAGAACACUCCUUAGGUUUUCAAAUAAGAAAACCAAAAUAACUCAAGAUUUAAUCAUGGGUUUUCAAAAAUUAAUGAAGAUUUAGAAUCCCCAAAUCGUAGGCUUCAAGAAUCAUCCAUCAAAUUUCUGUAUUGAGGUAUGUGGGGUUUAUCCUAAAAACUACAUGAGCUUGUAAACACUAGAACAUGAUUUAAAGAUUAUCAAGUAUGAAUUUAGAAAGGGGUUUUUGAAAUACAUGAUUUAUUAUAAAUGUUUAAUUUUAUUGUUGAUUUUGUCUUUAGGUCUUUCCCCCUUAAAUUGAUUUACAUGUAUAUGUAUAUGUAUGAAAAUUUAGAUUUAAGAUUGUUUGAGAGCACAACUUAUGAAAUCCCUCUCUUGAUGACUUUAAGUUUAUGAUCUUACUGUGAAGGAUUUGAAAUGCAUGAUUGAUGGUAUGAAACUUGUUUACUCAAAUACCAUAGUAUUUUGAGCAUGAUUUAGAGAUUUAAGAGAGGGAGUUUCUUGAUGUACAUAUAUUUUGUUAAGAGAAAGAUUUGCAUAAGAUUAAGAGAUUGACAUGACCACUUGCAUCAUUGAAAUUUUGCUAAAGAGAGUUGCAUACAUGUGUUUACAUGAGUUUUAGAGAAAAAGUUCUUUGAAAUAAUUUAUUGAUAUGGUGGUCCUGAAUUUAUGUUUUGAAAACAGAGUUGUAAUAUGUUAAUAAUGGAUCAGAGAUGUGAUUUACAAGUCAAUGGUAUGACGAUACCAUAAGUAUGUAUGCCAUAACAGAGUAUGUAUUCAGAAUAUGUUUUCAGAGAAUGCAUGUUUUAAAGAGUUAAAAAUGGACUUAAAGAGGGUUAGGUGGCUACCUGAAGAAGGCUUGAGUUCAAGUAACUCUUAGCCUAAAAUCAUGAUUUGCCGAUCCGGAUAUAUUAUUUUUACGCUGGCGACGGCUGUGUGGUGUAGCAGAGUCAGAGACUCCAACCCUUGCAGCACACUUGGGCUGGAGGUUUCCCCGCAGAGUCAAUGGCGGAUUCCAUAUAGCCCAAAUUUUAGAGUUGUAAGGUAUACCACCUAGCGCAAAAGUAAAACUAAGAGCAUCUCAGAUUUCAGAUGAUUUUUUAGAGUCUUUCAAAAAUGGCCAUGAGAUUUUUGUCACGACCCAAACCGGGGCCCUGGCCGUGAUGGACAUCCCAAACCAUGAAGGUCCGAGAGCCCUUCUAACUUAUAAUCAUACACACCAUUCAUAUACAAAUAGGAAGUGAAGAAAAUAAAUACUAAAAUAGAAUCAUGGUCAUAAGUUUGAACUCAAUUUAUAAUGUGAAAGUAAGGCCCAACAACAACUAUUCAAUGUCUGAAUCAGUCUACAAAAUCUCUACUAUAUCUGAAAAUAACAAUUGUCUGAAACUGGGAAAAGGCCCCCAGUGGACCUAAACCAAAAUAAAUACAUAAUCUGAAAAACAUAGACCUUCUGAAAUAAAGAAGGCUCACCAAUUUCACACAUCACUGUUGUCUGAAAACUCUACGACUUAGUAGGGCUUCUGAACUGAGCUUUAGACCCUGGAGGUAGGGGUUCAAUAUAAUUGUACUGGUAUGUAGAGCAAUCCAAAAUAAAGCUUUAAUAUAGAUAAAAUAGUUGAGAGUUAGUCAUAAAUAUCAUGAAAGGUAUAAUUUCUUAACACAUGGGCAAUUUUGAAAACAUAAAACAUUUCUGUCAAUGCAGUUUCUAUCUUUGUAUUACUUCUGAGUUAGGUUGCAUUCCCCUACAAUUCUAAUAUUCUACGGGCUAUAUGGAAUCCGUCAUUGACUCGCCAGGGAAGCGCCCAACCCAAGUAUGCCGCAAGGGUUGGAGUAUCUGAGUCUGAUACGCCACAGGGAACUAGGCCAAGUAUAAUAAUAUACCUGAAUCGGUAAAUCACGGUUUUGGGCAAUGAGUUGUCUGAACUCGUGCCUUCUUCAGGGAAUCACCAAAUCUCUCUUUAUGCCCAAUUUUAGUCUGUUCUGAAACAUGCAUCAUUCUAGUUUCAAAAUCUAAAAAUCUGAUUUCAAACAUGCAUUCUAUUCUAUUCUGAAUUACAAUGGCAUUAUCUGAGUUGGUAUCAUCACAUCAAGACUUGAAAGUCCUAUUUCUGAGCCAUAAUGCAUCAUGCAUGAUUCUUUCAUCAAAAACACAAUUCAGACCACCCAAACAUUCAAAUAGUGUAAGAGAUUUCAUGUUCCGAAAGCAUAAGUCAAACUAUGCAACGAUUAUCAUUCUUUCGAUAACAAUGUGGUGUUCAUGUAAUAUUUAACAAACCACGCAACUCUUUUCAUUAUAUGAUUAUGUUCAACAUUCAUCAACAUAAACAACCCUCUCUUUUGAAAUCAAAAUCUUAAUCCAAAUAUAACAUUACUCAAGACAUUUCAUAUCAUGCUUCUCAAGAUGCAUUCAAAAUAAUUCCUACCAUAUCAUAAGUAAAGGAAAAUCAUAACAAGAGAGGAAUUUUUCAUGAGUUAUUCUCUCAAUUCAAUCAUCAACCUUAAAAUACAUGCUUACAUAUAUAAGAAGGCCUAAAUAAAAAAAAAUCAUCAAGGCUUCUAAAACAUGUUUAUAAUCAUAAAUCCAAAACCCUUUUCUUAAAAUCAUGAUUUCUAAACCCUUUGCAUAAUUAAAAGAAGAUUUCUAUGCCCAUGAGAUUUUAGGAAAACCUCACGUACCUUAAAUUAGAAGUUUUUGAAUGAACUCUAGCUUUUGGGAUGCUAUACGUAUGAUUGAUGGGUGUUUCUUGUAGCCCUCAUAAUGGGGAUUCCGAAUCUUGAAGAAUUAAGAAAAUACCCACGGCUAAAUCUUGAGAUAUAUUGAUCUUUGGGUUGAAACCCUAAGGAGUGUUCUUGGUGAUUUUGAGAGAAAACAAUGUUAUUUUGGUGUUUGGAGCAUUUAAUCCCGUGUUACGGAUCAAUAGGGGGUGGAAAAUACCACUUUUGCCCUUAAAAAUACGAAAACAACACCUAGAAAUUGGGUACAUGCGUCGCACGCUAAUCGCGCGAUGCUACUGUCUCAGUCACAAAAAUGUCCAUAACUUUUCGGUUGGAAAGCUAAUCAGAAGAGAUUUCAUUUCAUAUAUAGAAGGACCUCUAAUUCGUUAUAUACAAAGAGUUAUGGUCAAUUAAAGUUGACCCAAGUUUCGACGCUCACUCAAACUCGAACGAUAGGAAAGAUUUCUACUCUACUUUGAGUUUGGGGACCUAUAUGAUCUUAAUUCAUGCUCAAAUAGGUUCCCAGACUAAAUAAUUGAUUAACAUGCCAAAUUUGUAUAGGAUUUAUGGCUUUUGGAUCAUCUACGCAUAGAAACGAUGGUUUUUGUUCUAGCCCGAAAUAUGGGGUGUUACAUUAGCUCCCCCCUGGGAUCAUUCGUCCCCGAAUAAUGGGUAGGAAUGUUGAAAUCUUAAAGGUAUGUAAUAAUGUGUACAUGAUAUGUCUUCUAAGAAGGUAUAUAACCUAGCUGAAACAUUUAAACUUCUAUCAUGAAACUAAAUUCUGAGCUGACUUGACUUUACUUGCUUUAAGGAGCUGAUUCAUGCUGAGAGUUUAGGAUUCCCUUGAAGUUUUCAAGAUCAAAUCAUACAUAUUAAAUUGAAAAGUGAUAACUUAUGCAGGUAUGAAUCAUAAGACAAAUGGACUUAGAUCGUAUCAGGGUAUUACAUUGUCUGAGCUAAAAUACUUAGAAAAUUUGAGAUUAUGCCCUAAACUGUUAUGAACUGAGUCACGACUAAAUAGUUGAAUCUGAAACAUGAUUCUUUGACAGAAAUGAAUUUGCAAUUUAUAUGGAUGGAAUAGAUUAUCUCUUGGCAUGGUCAUACACCUGAGACUUCAGAUAUUAGGACUGGGUGAAAAGGUGAAAAACCACCAUAAGUUGUCUGCCUGACUGUUAAACUGAAUUAUAUUGGACAUUUAUACUUAAUUGGAGUAUCUCUUCAACACUCAUUCUAAAGAAGUCCUAGUAGCAUUAGGGAGCAAAGAAUCUCUGACAUGGGUUACAAAAGACAUACAACUAAGGAAUCACGACAAUGAUACUACUCUAUAGCAUGGAAUAUAGAUAUAUAACUCAUAAACUAGGAUAGAAUUACCAGGCCUUAGGCAAUACGACUUCUUACUUUCAAGCUUAGCACACCUCUCGAAUAUCCCUUAACUAUACUAUUCUCCUUAAAUACCAUACUCAUUUGACUCAACUUAUUUUUCUCACAUGGCCGCUGAUAUUUCCAUCUAGUAAUGUCUAAACUACACUAAAUCCCCAUACCAUCUUCAAGCCUAACUCAAAAUCACAAAAUGCACCACAUAAUACUGUAGUACUAGUUUGAAUAAUGAAUUCAGUACACCCUGCAUUUCACAAUUCCUCAUCUCCUGUAUAAUUCUUAUUGCCACUCCAUUAAUCACCUUCAACUUCAUAUUAGACAUUCACAAAGACUCAAAGCAUCCAUCCGCAUGUAUAGAAACUGGCAUUCAAGCCUAUCUUUAUGCCCACAUAUGCACUUCUAAACAAACACUCAUAAAGCGUCUUUCUCAUAUUCUCUAAUACGUCUAUCCAUAACAACUCCCCCGCACUAUUCAAAUGAUACACAUAAAAUAUCCUCAACUAACCAAGCAAUACACGAAACCUCAUCUCAAAAUUCUUUCAACUUAUAGACUUACAUAAAACAAGCACACAAUAAUUUUCCCAAAUAUAACACAUAAAACUUCAACUAACCUUGACAUGUAUCAAAUACUUGGCCUCAAUCUUACUCCACAAUCACUGCCUUAACUCAAAUGAGCACACAACCAUCUUUCAUCAACAAGAAAUGUUUAAUCUUUCCUAUCUAGAUAACUGUUCAUCAUCACUAUCUCCACCUAAGGGAAAAGGUCACUGAAAAAUUGGAAAAUUGGGAUCCGAAACAUGAGGGGAGUACUAAGAAUAACUUGAUACCCUACUGAGGCAUGAGAAAUAGGGCACUCAUGACAUGGACUCAUUGAAGAGAUCUAAUCUGAGGAUGUAUCUGAUAUAAAUAUGAAUUUCCACUUAUCGUUAACAGUAUCACAUGUGCACAAGAGUCAUGAACUGCAUGACCUGAAUUUUUGGAAUUCAUAACUUAUGGAAAGUGAUUCUGACUGUUGAACAAACUGGGAACUCAUCAUACUAGAAACUAGGAGAGUACAUGAUUCCUUAUCAUAUACAUAAACACGAGCUAUGAUCAUGAAGCUGAAAAUAAAGCAUGAGUAUGUAUCGGAAUAGCUGAAGUAAACUACUGAAAUAAGAAUAGAUUGAGCAUCAUUCUUUCUCACAUCUAAUUCCACAACAUUACUUGCACAUCUAUUAGCAUCUGAAAACUUGACUUGGUUACUCAUUCUAUCAUCUCCCCCUUUCUUUAAGCCAUUACUCUAAGUCUGUGAACCACUAUAUACACUCUGGUAUAAACUGAAAUCAGUUUACUCUAGAUUCGGGUAUAUAACAAUACAGAUAAAACUAAACUUACCCUGUAAAAAAGUAUCUUCAUGUACAACAAUCAAUGCUAGUACCUCCUACUAAGAUUCAACCCUUAGGUUUCUAUAGCCCCAAAAGUCAUCAUAUAACAGCUUAAACAUUCACCAACUUAAAUUCCUCUAACACUAAACAUGGAUAUCUCCAAACCUUUGACGGACCAUACUAUUUCGGUCAUAGUCCACCAGCAUCAUGCCUGCAAACUUAUAUUUCUAAACCAUGAGAAUCAAGAUUAUACAAAAAAGCUCAACAUCAUUAAUCACAACUCCAUAACUUAGCUAUAAAUAACAUCACAUAUUAUUUAACUAGUCUUUCUCUACCUAGCAACUCAAUGGUACUACUAACCACACAAUAUGCAAUGAUCUUUGAAAAUAAUGCAGCCCCAUAGCACCUUGGGCGUACUUCUACAUCAUACUUACCCCACCAAAAUUGAUUACGAAUCAAAUAAACUUAAGCUCUUGUAUACAUUGUUCAAGCCUACUAGAUCACUUUUACACAACUAACACCUACCACAUCAAUUCAUCAUAUCUAUCUUGAUCACAAUCUACUAUUCCAACUUAGUGUCUACUUCUAGCUAUGAUGAACCACAACUUCACACAAUUUUCUUACAUGCCAAACAUCUAAAAACAUUAAUUCGCCAAAACUUCAUAACAGUAAGGAUCAAUCACAAUCCUAUGAUCCAUCUUAUUUAAAAUCCAUUAACACACCCUCUUUCUACACAUCAUUACUAUCUACCCCUUUCAUAUAGCUAAACUUAGUUCAUAGCUCUAUAAGUCCCAACUAAACUCCCUUUUACAACCUCAGGGACAUCUAUAUUAACACCACUCAUCCACUAAGUACCUUCAUCAAUAACCUAUAAUUUUCUUGCAGGACAAACACCGUCAACAACUCUUUUUACACUUUAAGUACAAUAAUUCACUUUAACUAAUAACUCCUUCUCUACCUUACCUUCUACUAAUCCAUCACAAAGGGAUGUAUCACUUCAUUUCCAACUCAAUCUCAUGCAAAAAGAUUCAGCCAAACAUAUAUUUAAUAAAUUGCCCUUACCACUUUUCUUGCCAUUACGCCACUAAACCCUAGUUCCAACCAACACAAGAAAGUCAAGAUGAACAACAAGUGGCUAGUGAAUCAAAAUAGGCCCCACACAGCUCCACUAGACAUUGAUUUUGUGUUUUGAAUAAGAAAUGGGAUGAAUGACAAGGCAACUAUGCUAGUGAAUCGAAAGAGCCCCACACGGCUUUACUAGACUUUCAGUUUCAACAACACAAUAAUAACAAGAUUACAAGAGAUAGAAACUUGACACACAAAAUUCAAUGAUCUAAGAAUACCCAUCUUACUCUAUAUAAAUAAAAAAAAAUCUGAGUCUAAUACUUCUCCCACAGACUACGAUACAAUCCACACAUGCUACUAACUACUACAUUAGUCUAUCACUAUAAAAUGGUAAAUCAUUUUCAAACAUCAAUUAUUCAACUAAACAUAUUUAUCUACACAAAAGUAACCCUCACUCUGAUUUCUAACCUUGCAACUUUACAUCCCAACUUGCUCCAAUAUCACUACCAAUAGGUCAUGACACUGUCACUUUAACUUAUACUACUACUCGGGUGGAAAUACAGUUCCAACAUUCGGCUACAUAUCAUUCCCCUUGAAGCAUGAUGUCUGCAACAUAAAUUUUGAAAAGGACUGAAUACACUUAAUACUGCAGCUGAAAAGCACAAUUUCAUCAGUAUCAAAGUUCACACUAGAAUCAAUACACCUUAGAGUGCUAACGGACUCUUCUCAAGUCCUUGCACAAAUUUUAAACUCUUAUAUGGCUUAAUCAGAAAGGACCAUACCAUUUAGACUCUAAACUUCUGCACUUGAAUUAGCCUAAUAAUAAGACAUAUCUGAGCACAUCAAAGUAAGAAAAGAAUGGGGAUGACUUUACUCCCAUAUGGGCGACACCAUAGCAUAAAUUAGAGUAUGUAAGAGGAACAUUUUGACUCCAUAUCACAAACUAGAACAUGAAGAAAGAGAGACAUUCAUAAAUUCCUAGUAGCCUCUAGCCUAUAAGUGUGGUGCGUUACACACCCACAAACAAGACUCUACUCAAUGUGAUUUCGCAGACACCCUGGGACCAUGAACCGUGCUUUGAUACUAAGUUUUUCAUGACCCAAAUCGGGGCCCUUGCCAUGACGGACAUCCCGAACCAUGAAGGCCCGAGAGCUCUUCUAACUUUUAAUCAUACACACCAUUUAUAUACAAAUAGGAAGUGCAGAAAAUACAUACUAAAAUGGAAUCAUGGUCAUAAAUCCAAACUCAAUUUAUAAUGUGAAAGUAAAUCCCAACAACAACUAGACAAUGUCAGAACCAGUCUACAAAAUCUCUACUACAUCUAAAAAUGACAAUUGUCUGAAAAUGGGACAAGGCCCCAGUGAACCUAAACCAAAGUAAGCAACAUAAUCUGAAAGACAUAAACCUGCUGGAAUAAAGAAGGCUCACCAAUUGCACACAUUACUGUUGUUUGAAAACUCUACAGCUUAGUAGGGCUUCUAAACUGAGUUUUACACCCUGGAGGUAAGGGUCAAUACAAAUGUACUGGUACGUAGAGAAAUCUAAAAUAAAGCAUUUAUAUAAAUAAAAUAGUUGGGAGCUAGUCAUAAACAUAAUGAAAGAUAUAAUUUCUAAACACAUGGGCAUUUUUGAAAACAUAAAAUCUUUCUGUCAUUGCAAUUUCUGAUCUUUGUAUUACUUCUGAGUUAGGUGGAACUCCCCUACAAGUCUGAUAUUCCAUGGUCUAUAUGGAAUCCUUCAUUGACUCGGCGGGGAAGCCCGCAACCCUAAUGAGCCGCAAGGGUUGGAGUGUCUGAGUUUGAUAUGCCAUAGGGCACUAGGCCAACAUAUAAUAAUAUACCUAGAUCGACAAAUCACGAUUUUGGGUGAUGAGUUGUCUGAACUCGUGCCUUCUUUGGGGAAUCACCUAAGCUCUCUUUAUGCCUAAUUUUGGUCUAUUCUAAAACAUGCAUCAUUCUAUUUUCAAAAUCUAAAAAUCUGAUUUCAAACAUGCAUUCUAUUCUAUUCUGAAUUACCAUGGCAUUAUCUGAGUUAGUGUUGUCACACCAAGACUUGCAAGUCCUAUUUCUGAGCCAUAAUGCAUCAUGCAUGAUUCUUUCAUCAAAAACUCAAUUCAGACCACCCAAACAUGCAAAUAGUGUACGAGAUUUCAUAUUCUGAAAGCAUAAGUCAAAGUUAUGCAAGGAUUAUCAUUCUUUCAAUAACAAUGUGGUGGUCUUGUAAUAUUUAACAAACCAUGCAACUCUUUUCAUUAUAUGAUUAUGUUCAACAUUCAUCAACAUAAACAACCAAAUAUAACAUUAAUCGAGAUAUUUCAUAUCAUGCUUUCAAGAUGCAUUUAAAAUAAUUCCUAGCAUAUCAUAAGUAAAGAAAAAUCAUAACAAGAGAAGAAUUUUUCAUUAGUCAUGCUCUCAAUUCAAUCAUGAACCUUAAAACACAUGCUUACAUAUAUAUAUAAUUUCAAACUAUUUGGGGAAGGCCUAAAGACCAAAACAAAAUCAUCAAGGCUUCUAAAACAUAUUUAUAACCAUAAAUCCAAAACCCUUUUCUUAAAAUCAUGAUUUCUAAACCUUUUGUAUAAUUAAAAGAAGAUUUCUAUGCCCAUGAGAUUUUAGGAAAACCCCACGUACCUUAAAUUUAAAACUUUUGAAUGAACUCUAACUUUUAGGAUGCUAUACGUACGAUUGAUGGGUGCUUCUUGUAGCCCUCAAAAUGGAAAUUCCAAAUCUUGAAAAAUUAAGAAAAACUCAUGGUUAAAUCUUGAGAUAUAUUGAUAUUUGAGUUGAAACCCUAAGGAGUGUUCUUGGUGAUUUUGAUAGAAAAUAAUGUCAUUUUGGUGUUUUGAGGAUUUAAUCCUGUGUUAUGGAUGAAUAGGGGGUGGAAAAUAUCACUUUUGCCCUUAAAAAAGUGAAAACAGCACCUGUAAAAUUAGGUGCAUGCGUCGCAUGCUAAUCGUAUGAUGGUACUGUCUAUUCACAAAAAUGGCCAUAACUUUUUGUUCGGGUAUUGAAUUUUGGCAAAAUUUGUAUUGUUGGAAAGCUAAUACAAAGAUAUUUCAUUUCAUAUAUACAAAUCCCUCUUAUUCAUUAGAUAUAAAGAGUUAUGAUUGACUGAAGUUGACCCAAGUUUUGAUGCUCACUCAAACUCAAAUGAUAGGAAAGCUUUUAACUCGUCCUUGAGUUUGGGGACCUCUAUGAUCUGAACUCAUGCUCAAAUAGGUUCCCACACUAUAUAAUUGAUUAAAAUUCCAAUUUUUCAUAGGAUUUAUUGGUUUUGGAUCAGCUACGCAUAGAAACAAUAAUUUUCGUUCUAGCCCGAAAUGCGGAGUGUUACAAUUUCUUACUAUCUGAUAUGUUUAUGAACUAUUUUAAAUUUUUCUCAUAUAUGUUAAAUAUAAACUAGUAUUUUGGAUUUGCUCUGCAUACGAGUACAUCUGUAUUGACCACCUACCUCCCAGGUUCGAAGGCUCAGUCCAAGGGUCCAGCUAGUCAGUAGAUUAUUCCAGAGAGAAGUGAUCUGUUCAGUGGUGAGCCUUCUUUAUUACAGAAGGCCUGUUAUUUGAGAUUAUGUUAUUCAUUUGGUUUGGUCUACUGGGGGCCUUGUCCCAUUUUUCAGAACAGCUUUGAGAUAUAGUAGAGAUUUCUCAGAAUGAGUAAGAUCUUAUUCAGAUGUUUUGAAUUGUAGUUUUCUUUCUUAUGUCUUGAAACCCAGAGUUAAUGACCAUCUUUUUGUAUCAGAUUAUAUUUUUGUAUUUUUUUUAUGAUAUGAACUUUGUGCACGAUUAUCGAAUCAGAUAGAGUAGGAUGCUGGACCUUUAUGGUUUGAGAUGUCCAUCAUAGCCAGGCCCUAGUUUGGGUCGAGAUAGCUACAAAGCAACAAAGGACAUAAAAUCGCAAUAAGCAUCCACACAAAAGAUAUGUUCUUACUUUCAAAGCACCACUGCUAUAGUAUAUAUGUUCUAGAGCUUUCACAUUCUCAUCCAAGAUAAUAUGCUCUCAAGGAUCAUGAGGUCCAGUUGGCAUUGUAUCAUAAACAGAUAUUGGAGAUCCACUUGCAGGUAUAUAGCAUCUACAAUGUUGGACAUACUCUUUACCCUCCAAGUUCUUGUUGUAGUAGUAGUAUGAUCCUCUUCGCAUGGGUGCAGAUAUAUCAUCCUCUUUAAUUUUUCCUCUUAUCUUGGUAUAAAUAUGAUCCUCUAAUUGUUUUGUCCCUAGUAAAGUGACCAGACAGUUUAUAAUCCUUCAGCCAAGCAAUUGAGAAUAAUUGAUGAAAGCUUUGUCUUUAAAAGUUCAAACAAUAUCUAAUCAUCUUAACUUUGAAAAAUAAGUUUUUAUACAAUGAUUUACAUUGAUCCAACAACAACAACAACAACAUGCCCCUGAAUAUUCCCGCAAAAGUGGGUUCUGGGAGGGUAAAAUGUACGUAAUCUGUAUCUCUAUCUUAAAGGUUGAUACGGGUGUUCCAAGCUGUCCAACAAGUUCUACAAGUUGUCCAACAAGUUCACGACCAUUCACACGUAUCCAAGCUCGGGAGUUACAAAUACUCCAAGUUAUGCUAAUGCAAAUGACCGUGUGUGAGUUGGUACUUGAGCCUUCCAAUGGAUUAAAUGUUUUUAAGUGUGAAGAGGAGCCUUGAAGUGUAAUUAACUUACACUCCAAGGCCACUCCUUGGCAAGGGUAGGAUGGUCAUUUGUUAUCUUCCUUUGUGGAAUAAUAUAAAUAGAUAGUGUUAGAGUUAUUUUUGAGUUAGUUCAUUCAUAUUUUGGAAGGCAACAAACACUUUGUAAUAUUUUGGAACUUCUCUAUUCCAUUGGAGAAGCCUCAAUUCUGAAAACUCACUAGUAGAGUGAUACUAGUGUUGUCUCUUGGCUAGAAACUAGGGUCUUGAGUUCUUUGAGUUCUUCUUGGUCCAAGUAAGAGUUUGGUAUUAAUAUUCAUUAAUAUUAGGGUCCUUUCUCUUGUUAGGGCUCUUAGAUCAUUGAAUAUUGUGUGUCAAGUUACUAUCCCUCUUGUAAUCUUGUUAAUCUUGUGCUGUUGGAAUCUUGAAGUCUAGUGAAGCAGUGUGAGGCUCUUUCGAUUCAUUAGAAUUAUUAUUGACUUGCUUGUUCUUGUUGUUAAUAUCAUCUUCUUAUUCUAAAAACUUGACUCUUGAAGACUAGUGAAGCCGUGUGUGGCCUAUUUUGAUUCACUGGCACUUGUUGUUCAUCUUAUUUUUCUUGUUGUUGUUUGUUUCUUAUGUUGUGAACUUGGUCUCAUAUCAUUUGAUAUCAAAUCUUGUGGUUGAUUUUUUUCCAACAAAUCAAUCUUGGGUUUGGUAGUUGAAAAAUACCAAAAAAAAAAAAAAGAAAAAAAAAGGUUGCUGAAAUCUGAAAAUUCAGAAAAAAAAAAAAAAAGAGAAAUCUGUCCAUCUCUAUUCUUGGCCGAGAAAAUUGUGUUGUGUUGUUGUCUUGGACAAGAUUGGUGUUUGUGUUUUUACAUAUAGAUGUUCUUUUGUUUGUAUAGUUUGUUUCUUGAGUUUAUUUCUUUCUCAUCAACACAAAAGGUGUCCAAAGCUAAGUUGAGCUUAAUAUAUUGACAUUGCUAUAGUGGACUUGAAGUGGUAGUAUGAUGAACUUGAAGUAGGCUGAUUUUGUGUGUUUUUGCUUGACUUUAAAGUGGGAUAUUGUUGGUGAAUUGUGGUUGUGUUCUUGAAUUAUUGUUGUGGUGUUCAUCUUGAUCUUCUCAUCAUCUCAUAUCUUGACCACUAUAAAGACUAAAAUAGAUCCAAAAGGGUUGUAAGACAAGGUUGUAAAGUUGUUUGUGAAAAGACUUGUCAACAUCACUUCCUUGACUUAACAACCACUUUUUUCCUUAAAACAAGGAGCCUUGUCUUGUGGAACUAGUAAAGUGAAGCCUCAUCUUUUUGGGUUGGAAAAAGUUGAAAACUUACACGACUUUCCUUUCCCUCCAAAAGCAAAGUCAUCCAUUACAAAAUUGUGAAGAUUAAGGCUUCAAGUUGUUCAACAAAAUGUAUGGACCCGUGACCAAUUUCAUGCUGCGACAUCACCUUAAUCACUAUUCAUGUUAUUAAUUAAGCUCAAUUUGGAUAUUCUAGUUUCUAAUUAUUGAUUCUUAGUUUCUUCUAAUUGACUCGAGAACUAAUUAGCAAGCUAGGACAUUCCUACUAGGUUGUCAAUUAGUCCUUUGAAGCCUUGUAUUCAUAUCAUCAUUUGUUUGUGUGCUUUUGUCGUUUGAAUAUGUUGUAACUCCUUGAAUCUAGUCUGACAAGAAUUCUUUGAGUUUCAAAAAAGAAUCUACUCCGGAAAAGAGUAUACCCAAACCUUAAGGAUUCAUGGGUUACUAGCCAAUCUACAACACUUGUAGAGCUCGAGUGUGAGUGAUCCGAGAGUGUGUGAGUGAGGAGAGGUUUUAAACUAACUUGUUUGUUUCUUGUGUAGGUGAUAUCUUUACAAUAGAGGGAACCACAUCUCAAACCAUGGAUUUUAAUGAAAUGGAGAAUAUGAGGGUCACUCUUGAGGCUAUGACCCGAUCUCUUGAACGGUUGAGUACGGAAGUGGGAGCCAUAAGGGGAGAAGUGACGACUAUUAGUGGGAGGUUAGAACAAUUGGAGAUUCAAAGGAACUCUCAUCCUUCUACUCCUCGACAUGUUUUGUCAAGUGGACAUGAUAGAAAUUCCUCCGCCACCGUUACUCCCGAAACAUGGCAACAAUUAUCAAAUCUUUCACUAGCUCCACUAAAUGCCACAAGACAAACCACUCAUAACCCCCUAAACCGAGACUCCAAUAGACAAACCCAUUCCCAAACUCUUUAAGUUCCGCAAGAGGGACUCAGACGUCAAAUGCCUCCACAAAAUUCGAACCCUUCCUUCCAAGCUCAACUAAACCAUAGACCACCACCUCCAUAAAAUCCAAUCCCUACAAAUCAAGUUCCAAACGUCCAAAACCGUACCAUCCACUUUGAGCAAUAUGGUAGAGUGUAUUAUGAAGGGUAUGGAGCCUUUGACGAUGCUUAUAUAAGGGAAAAAGAGAUGAAAGAGGGACUGUAGAUCUAAUAAGAUACCGAGGGUAUGGAGAAAGGGGAAACCGACACCAAGAGAGACGUAGGCAUCAAUACCAUCAAAUUGAGCCUACCUAUCUUUAAGGGUGAAAGUGACCCCGAGGUGUAUCUUGCUUCGAAGUCGGCGUGUGAUAAAGUGUUUCAAGUGAAUGAUAUAUUGGAGGAGAAGAAGAGUAGUUAUGCCAUAGCUCACUUUGAAGGCUAUGCUAACAUAUGGUAGGAAUAUGUCAAAUGGUUUAGUAAUGAGUUGAUUGAUGGACAACCACCACCAUGGUUUUAGUUGAGUUAUCUAAUGAGGCAACGGUAUCUUCCUAAAAGUUAUCAUCAUGAGUUGCUUACUAGUUUGUACUAUUUGUGAUAGGGGAGUCGAAGUAUGAUGGCAUAUUAUGAUGAAUUUUAACAACUCAUGUUAAAGCUUGAUCAUCGUGGAGAACAAAUUGUCCAUGAUAUCAUUUGGUUCAAAUAUGGGUUGGACAAAGAGAUCUCCACUAAUUUGAUGCUUCAUAUGUUUGAUACCGUAGAAGGAAUUUUCCGAGCGUCUCUUGAGAUUGAUAGGGAGCUUAAAAAGAGGUCUUCGUCAAGGCAAAGGGACCAUCAACCUCGGGUUGGCUGAGGAGCAAAUAUAUGGUUCAACCAUCUUCGGUUUGGCCCAAAAACAAGGACCAACCCGCCCCUAUAAGUCUGCCCAAUCCUAAAAUAGUCCACAAAUUUCCUCCCCGACAAGAAGCUCACAAGUAUCCUAAUCCUAAAGGGUACCAAUGUUUCAAGUGCUAAGGUUGGGGACAUAAAGCCAAUGAAUGUCCAAAUCGACGUAUUUUGAUCCUAAGGGAAUGGAUAUUGUAUUACCUUGGUAACGAAGUGGGUCUUGAAAAAAAAAAGAAUAAGGCUGAGCCUCAAGAUAGAGAAGAAGCCGAAAAUGAGCCACAUAAUGAUGAUGAUGAUGAUUGUGAGGAUGCUUAUCCACAAGAAGGGGACUGCGUAGUUCCAAACUUUUUAGUAAGGCAUUCCAUGAUUAGUAAGGCGAUAGAUGAUCCUAGACAAUGGGAGAAUCUAUUUGAUACUAAAUGCCUUGUGAAGGGAAGUGUGUGCACUUUGGUGAUAGAUAGUAGUAGUUGUGUAAAUGUUGUUAGUAUUGCUAUGGUUAACUUCUUAAAUUUGCCAACUACACUUCAUACUAGCCCUUACAAGUGGCAAUGGUUGAAUUAAUAUGGAGAAUUGAAAGUUAUAAGGCAAUGUGUGAUACGGUUUAAGGUAGGAAACUACCACGACGAAGUGCUUUGUAACGUAAUACCAAUACAAGUAUGUCACUUGUUGUUAGGUAGACCUUGACAAUAUGAUAGGUAUACCAAACAUGAUGGGAGAUCUAAUAAAUAUACACUUGAGAAGGAUGGACUAAAGUUCACACUUCAGCCACUUUUACCUUCACAAGUGAAUGAGUUGCAUCAAAGGAUGAGAGAAUUGAAAGAAAAGGGGAAUCAAAAAAUGAAGAAAAAAGGGGGAACCUUCAAUACCCCAAAAAAUCCAACUCAAUAUUAGCUCCAUGUUUCAAGAUCAUGCAUAGUAAAUCAUGGUUCCUUGGUAUUUUCAUGAUCAAGGUUGAUGUGAAUUAAGGUCUCGAAUAUGUCCUAGCUAUUGUGCGAAUCAAAACAUUCCUUACCGAUUGAAUUCUUGAGAAUGAUAUUGGUAUCAUAAACUUCAAAUGAGCACAUCUCUCAUUAUACUAUGAACUUUUGAUCCCAUGACAUUCCAAGGGAUAUAUAAUUUAAUAAUCUUUCCGUCGAUACCAAAUUUGCCUAAAACGAACACCCGGUGAAGAAGUUAUGGCUAUUUUAAGUUUCUUCUGUAAGACAAGUACCAUUUCAGAGCAUGGCGCGUCGUGCUGGAGGAAAAAAUGGCACUCGUCAAUUUCUAUAAAGCCUCUGUGAUAGCCCCUCUUCGCGCCAAGCUUCCAGGUCGCAAUAAUUGGCAUUUUAGCAAGCUCCGCGUCGCACCGGGGCCCUAAAUUGGGAUAUAUUUUGCGUUGUUUUCAGUUUUCAUUUUAAACUCCUCAAGGGCAAUAUGGUAACUUCCCAAAACCCUAUAUAUACUACUUAAACAUGGGAUUGAAGCCCCAAAGCAUCCCUUUUCAUUAAUUUUAUCAAAAUUCACUCAAGAAUAGUCAAGAACAUGUCUAGGGUUUCCAUUGGGGUUUCAACCUUCUAGCAAAUUCAAUCGUAGAUUCCACGAAUUCUUAAUCUAAUGUAUGCGUAGUGUUCAUCUAUGGAUCCAAUCCAUUCAUAGAGCUCAAGAAUCAUGUUUUUAAAUGUUAUUUUGUAAACUUUUUGUGUUGAUAUAAUCAUGUACAUGUUGAUGAUUGUUGUUUAAGUUUCAAAAUGAUAUCUAAAGAUGUUUUCAUGAAAUAUAUGUGGUUGUUAGUUGAAAAACAUGAACUUUAGGUGGUUUGAUGUGAUGCAAGUAUGAAAUCCACCUAUGCUUUAAAGAAUGCAUGCAAGGUGUUUGACGAAAUUCCUAGGAUACUAGAAACGCAUAAUUUCAUGAUUCCAUGAUAUCUGAAUGACAAGUCGAUAUUAGCUAUACACUUCCAUAUGAAUUUCCAUGCUAUUUAUGUGUUGUUGUUGUUGUGGAAUGAAGCAUGUGUGAUAAUGAAAAUAUGAAUUAUAUACACGAAAUGUAUCCAUGAUCUCCCUACCAUGUUGAAAUGUGAAUAAAUACAUGAAGUAUACUAUCCCCUACUUAUAAUAUUGUGAAUUGUGGACUCUAAUCUUAUGAUCAAUUUAUGUCAUGUGUGCUAGUUCCCUUCUAUCAAGUGCUGGGGGUAUUUGUACCCAAAAAAUAUAGCUAUGUUCCUAGAUCCAUGUAAUGUGCCACGAUAAAUCUCAGUCAAGCUAUACUCUAUAGAACGAAGCUAGUCAUGUGACUCAGGAAACAUCAGAAAUCUCAUGAUCUCAGUUAACUCUCAGAUAAUAGUACUAAUCCAUCAGUCAACGGAUGUCAAUUAUUUAGUCCAUUUACAUCCAGUUGAAUCAUGUUCAGUCCCUUCAGAUGGGAGUAGAAGUUAGCACCGAGUGAACCCAGGGAUGGGAACUCACCUUCCAGUUCAGGGUGUGAUUCUUAGCAGUCAUCAUUGUACUCCAAAACUACGUAGCCAGCGUAGGUUGAAACAUCUUAACCUGUUAGAUUAGGAAUGAUGAGGUGGAUUAACCUAUUAGUUUAGGGUCCUACCAUUCUCACUUUGCGUACCUUCCAGGUAAGGGACACUCACAACUGUCCUUACCAGUGGCGCAGUGUUGACACCUCUCCAGUUGGGGCAGAGAUUGGACCCUAGCUUAGCUAUAAUGGUAUACAUGGGGCAUGUCGGUUAAAAAAAUGCCUCCCAUAGUUUUAGUAUCAGUCUUAGUAAAAAAACUCAGACAGUUCUUCAAAUAUCAGUAUACCAGGACUGUUAGAUAUAGUCAAAUUCAUUUAUAGCACGGGACUCAGAGAGUUCUACAAGAUUUAGGACUGUCAAACACAGUCGCUCAUGUAUCAGAACUACAGUUCCAUUCAUGUAUUAGCAUACAGAUUUAGCUACCACGUAGUCACGAUCUCAGUUACUAUGUAUGUAUGUUUGUACUCUUACAUUCAUAUCAGUCAGCCAGUUAGCAUUAUUCAUGCAUGUAUACCCUUUGCAUUAGCCUACCUCACUCGUAUACUCAGUACUCUAGUUGUACUAACUCAUUUUCACUAUGGUGCUUUCUUUUCAUCUUACACCAUAGGUCCAGAGCCGUGAGUUCCAGACCAGCAGUAGCUUUCCAUUCGCAGUGUUGCAGGGAGUCCUCCUCUAUUUAAGGAUAAUAUAAUUUAAUUUAUUCAUUUAUUACUUCACUUUAGUUUUACGGAGUUAGUUGGAAACAUGUUCCUUCAACUCCUUAUUCAGACAGUACUUAGAGGCUUUCAGAUUUAGUUAGACUAAGCUAUCAGAUUCAGUAUUCAGUUUUAUAUUCAGUUGUUUUGGGUAUUCAUUACCCCAUAGAUGUUACUAUAUCUCUUUAGUUGAAACUUAUAGCCUACAUGUUCAGUUUUUCCACGUAUUAUAUGUAUAUUAUGCAGUGUACAGGUACAGAUCUUAGUCAUGGGUUAGCUUGUGGUCCCUCAAGGUCAUAAGGACCGUGUAGCAUUCCGAUUUAGAAAAUCGAGGCAUUACAAACUUGGUAUCAGAGCCUAAGGUUCAAUAGAGUCCUAGGAAUUCUAAAAGCCGCAUCUAGUAGAGUCUUGUGCAUAGGUGUGUUACGCGCCACAUUUAUGUAUAAGAGGAUAUAAGAUGUUUUAGGAACAGUUUCCCUUCUUUAAGUAUUCAUGUCGUGCUAGUGAGCAUAAUUUCAAGUUAAACUCCCAGUCUAAUUCGUUCUUGUCUUAUUUCAGAAUAUGACCUUAGCUAGACUCAUGACCCAUGCUCAGUAGAUAGAGGAGCAAAAGGUUAGGACUAGAGUGAGGCAGAAUAAGAGAGCAAAAUUAGGCAGUUUCAAUUUUUCUUAGCCCAAAUCAGAGGGUGGGAACCAUUCACAGUUUCAUCCUAAGUCAGCAGCUCCAGCUCCUUCCUCCGCUAGUGCCUCAGUGCUGAAAUUCAGAUACGGUAGCAGAGACAAAGCGCCAGGCUCUAAAUCUCAAGGUAGUGUUAGCAGUGCCCAAAAAAAAUACCCUUUGUCAGGCUUGUGGUAAGAACCACAAGGGUAUAUGUAGAACCAGUAGUGAUAUCUGUUUUGGUUAUGGCAAGCCAGGCCACAGGAUUAGAGAGUGUCCGCAGUCAGGUCUUCAGGGUCAGCAAACUUGUUCGCUAGCUCAGUCCGAUCGCCUGAGCCAACAGGGUGCUACUUCCAGUGCUACUAGUGGACAACACCCAAAUAUACUCUAUUCUCUUUAGACCCAACAAGAUCAGGAAAAUUCUCCUGAUGUCGUUACUGGUACGUUACAAAUUUUCCAUGUUCAUGCUUAUGCUUUGCUAGACCCAGGUGCAUCCUUGUCUUUUUUUACUCCAUACAUAGCAGGCAAUUUCAGAAUCAGUCCCGAGAUUUUAGCAGAGCCUUUUUAAGUUUCUACCCCAGUGGACAACACCAUCAUAGCCCAAUGGGUAUACAGGAACUUCCCGAUUAUGAUAUCUCAUAAAUCCACGUCAGCAGAUUUAGUUGAGUUAGAGAUAUUGGACUUUGAUGUCAUUCUCAGCAUGGAGUGGCUUCAUUUAUGCUAUGCCACAGUCUACAGCAAAAAUAGAAUAGUUCAGUUUCAGUUCCUGAAUGAGCCCACCUUAGAAUAGAAGGUAGUGUUUCAGCGUUUAGGGGUCAGCUUGUUUCCUACCUCCGGGCAAGGAAAAUAAUUUCUAAGGGGUGUGUAAAUCAUCUCAUGCAUGUUAAAGAUUCUAUUUCUGAAUCUCCCAGUCUCGAAUCAGUCCCAGUGGUUAGUGAAUAUUCAGAUGUCUUUCCCGAAGAUCUUCCAGACAUUCCUCCUGAAAGGGAAUUAGACUUCGGCAUAGACCUUCUCCUAGAUACUCAGCCUAUCUCUAUCCCGCCAUACAGAAUAGAACCAGAAGAACUUAAGGAACUAAAAGAUCAGUUGAAGGAUCUCUUAGAUAAGGGAUUUAUCAGGCCCAGUGUAUCCUCAUGAGGUGCGCCAGUCUUAUUCAUGUGCAAGAAAGACGGUUCUCUCAAGAAGUGUAUUGGUUACUGUCAGCUCAACAAAGUUAUGGUCAAGAAUAGGUAUCCACUUCCCAGAAUAGAUGAGCAAUUCGACAAACUUCAGGGUGCCAGUUAUUUCUUCAAGAUAGACCUCAGAUCAGGCUAACAUCAUCUCAGAGUUAGAGAAUGUGACAUCCUGAAGACAGCUUUUUGUACUCGGUAUGGUCACUUCAAAUUUCUAGUUAUGUCAUUUGGUCUAACCAAUGCCCCUGCAUCUUUUAUGGACUUGAUUAACCAUGUGUUCAAGCAGUACUUGGACAUAUUUAUCAUAGUCUUUAUAGAUGAUAUUCUGGUCUAUUCUUGCACUGAGCGUGAUCAUUCAGACCAUCUCAUAAUUGUUCUUUAGACCCUCAGAAAUCAUCAUUUAUUCGCCAAGUUCAGUAAGUGCGAGUUUUGGCUAAGAUCAGUAGCAUUACUUGGUCAUGUUGUUUCCUAUGAGGGCAUUAGAUUAGAUCCUCAGAAAACUGAAGCGGUAAAAAACUGGCCCAUACCCAUAUCUCUAAUAGAUAUCAGGAGUUUCUUGGAUUUAGAUGGCUAUUACAGAUGGUUUGUCGAGGGAUUUUCUACUAUUAUGUCUCCUAUAUCCAGAUUGACUCAGAAAAAUGUCAAGUUUAUGUGGUCAAAUUCAUGAGAGAAGAGUUUUCAGGAAUUGAAGACUCAACUAACUACAACUCCAAUUCUAGCUCUUCCAGAUGGUUCAAAUGGGUUUGUAGUAUAUUGUGAUGCAUCCAGAGUGGGUUUACGUUGUUUUCUCAUGCAGCAUGGUAAGGUCAUAACCUACUUCUCCAGACAAUUAAAGCCCCAUAAGAAGAAUUAUCCUACUCAUGAUCUUGAGUUAGCAGCCGUAGUUUUUUCCUUGAAGAUUUGGAGGCAUUAUCUUUACGGAGUUCAUGUAGAAGUCUUCACAGGUCAUAAGAGUCUCCAGUAUGUCUUUUCUCAAAAAGAUCUCAAUCUUCAUCAGAGAAGGUGGUUAGAGCUCUUGAAGGACUAUGACAUAAGUGUCCUUUAUCAUCCGGGAAAGGCCAACAUUGUGGCCGAUGCUCUCAGCAGACUCUCCAUGGGCAAUAUUUCUCACGUUAAGGAUAGCAAGAAAAAGAUAGCUCAGGAAAUCCAUUAGCUUACCAGACUAGGCGUUCUCUUAGUUGACUCUUUAGAGAGUGGUGUAUAUGUUUAGAUUAGUUUAGAGUCAUCUCUAGUUUCCGAGGUGAAAGAAAAGUAAGACAUGGAUCCUAGCCUUGUCAAGCUGAAAGAGUUAGUUCAGAAUUAGAAAGUUCGCGUUUUCUCCCAAGGGGGAGAUGGUGUUCUUCAUUGUCAGGGUUGUUUGUGCGUUCCGGGUGUAUAUGACAUGCAACGAAUUGUGGCUAAGUGCUCUACAUGUCAUCAGGUUAAGAUAGAACAUCAGAAACCUAGUGGUUCCAUGCAGGAGUUCACCAUUCCUACUUGGAAAUGGGAAGAAGUGAACAAGGACUUUGUGAUGGGUUUGCCUAGAACUCGUCAUCAGCUUGAUUCAUUUUAGGUCAUUGUAGAUAGAAUGACCAAAGCCUAUUUCCUUCUAGUUCAUACCUCUUAUUCAGCCAAGGAUUACGCCAAACUCUACAUCAAGGAGUUGGUCAGAUUACACGGUGUUCCCUCAGCUGUUAUCUCAGAUAGAGGUACCCAGUUCACCUCUUACUUCUAAAAAGCAUUCAUAAAGGGUCUUGGUACCUAAGUUCAUCUCAGUACAGCAUUUCAUCCUCAAACAGAUGGUCAAUAAGAAAGGACCAUUCAGACUCUCAAAGAUAUGCUAAGGGCGUGUGUAAUUGAUUUCAAGGGAAGUUGGGAUGAACACUUGGCCUUGAUUGAGUUUGCAUACAACAAUAGCUAUCAUUUUAGUAUCCAGAUAGCUCCCUUCAAAGCUCUCUAUGGUAGGAUAUGUAGAUCUCUGAUCAGUUGUUUCAAAGUUAGUGAGGCCUCAGUCAUAGGUCCUGACUUAGUAUUCGAUGCCUUAAAGAAAGUUUAGUUGAUCAGAGAGAGACUCCGGGAUGCUUAGAGCCGAUAGAAGUCUUAUGCAGAUAUUUGUAGGAAAGAUCUCGAGGUCGAGGUCAACAACUAUGUCUAUCUUAAGAUCUCUCCCAUGAAGGGAGUAAAGAGGUUCGACAAGAAAGCAAAACUCAGUCCCCAAUAUGUCGGUCCCUUCAGGAUUCUCUGUCACUUUGACAAGGUAGUUUAUAAGCUAGAAUUGCCUUCAGAUCUAGCCUCAGUUUAUCCAGUCUUCCAUGUCUCUUUUCUCAAGAAGUGCAUAGGUGACCCAGCAGUUGUAGUCCCUGUUCAGAGUAUUGACAUUCAGAACAGCCUCUCUUAUGAAGAGAUUCGAGUCAAAAUCUUAGACUAUCAGACUCGUCGAUUGAGGUACAAAGAAUUCCCUCUAGUUAAGGUUCUUUAGCGAAAUCAGUCUCAUGAGAGAGCUACUUAGGAAAUAUAAAUAGAUAUGCGUACCAAGUAUACUCACCUCUUCCCUACAAAUUCAGAUCAAGCUCAAGGCAAUAGUUCUCCUUAAGCUUAUUCAGUUUCAUGUUCAUGUCCCCAGUUUAAAAUUGGUAUCUAUUAUCAUUAAAUACUUAGUCACGCAUUAAUGUAUCACUUCAAUUAUAAGGUCAUGCAUCAGAUAUGCAUUCUCAUCUUGAGAAGCUCAGUUUAUCAGAUUGCUCAGUUACGCAUCCAUGUACCAGUUAUCCAUGCAUCAGAUAUGCAUGAGUUCAAUAUGUUUAGCACGUCAGUCAUGAGAUCAUGUUUUAGUCCUUCAUGUUCAGUUCAUGUUCGGCUUGUCUUAUUCUUCCCUCUCAGUUAAGUGCCAUUCGAGGAUAAAUGUUCCCAAGCAGAAGAUAUUGUAAUACCCCAAAAAAUCCAAAUCAAUAUUUGCUCCAUGUUUCAAGAUCAUUCAUAGAACAUCAUGUUUCCUUGGUAGUUUCAUGAUCAAGGUUGAUGUGAAUUAAGGUAUCGAAUAUGUCCUAGCUAUUGUGCGAAUCAAACAUUCCUUACCGAUUGAAUUCUUGAGAACGAUAUUGGUAUCAUCAAAUUCAAAUGAGCAUAUCUCUCAUUAUACUACGAAUUUUUGAUCCCAUGACAUACCAAGGGAUAGAUAAUUUAAUAAUCUUUCCGUCAAUACGAAAUUCGCCUAAAACGGACACCCGGUGAAGAAGUUAUGGCUAUUUUAAGUUUUUGAUGUAAGACUAAUGCCAUUUCAAUGCAUGGCACGUCACGCCGGAGGACAAAAUGGAACUCGUCAAUUUCCAUAAAGCCUCCGCGAUAGCCCCGCUUCGCUCCAAGCUUCCAGGUCAUAAUAAUUGGCAUUUUACCAAGCUCCGCAUCGCGCUGGGGCCCUAAAUCGGGAUAAAUUUUGCGUAGUUUACAGUUUUCAUUUUAAACUCCUCAAGGGCAAUAUGGUAAUUUCCCAAAACCCUAGAUAUACUAUUUAAAUAUGGGAUUAAAUCCCCAAAGCAUCCCUUUUCAUUAAUUUUAUCAAAAUUCACUCAAGAACAGUCAAGAACAAGUCUAGGGUUUCCAUUGGGGUUUCAACCUUCUAGCAAAUUCAAUCGUAGAUUCCACAAAUUCUUAAUCUAAGGUAUGCGUAGUGUUCAUAUAUGGAUCCAAUCCAUUCAUAGAGCUCAAGAACCAUGUUUUUAAAUGUUAUUUUUUAAACUUUUUGUGGUGAUAUAAGCAUGUACAUGUUGAUGAUUGUUGUUUAAGUUUCAAAAUGAUAUCUAAAGAUGUUUUCAUGAAAUAUAUGUGGUUGUUAGUUGAAAAACAUGAACUUUAGGUGGUUUGAUGUGAUGCAAGUAUGAAAUCCACCUAUGCUUUAAAGAAUGCAUGCAAGGUGUCUGAUGAAAUUCCUAGGAAGCUAGAAACCCAUAAUUACAUGAUUCCAUGAUAUCUAAAUGACAAAUCCAUAUUAGCUAUACACUUCCAUAUGAAUUUCCAUGCUAUUUAUGUAUUGUUGUUGUUGUGGAAUGAAGCAUGUGUGAUGAUGAAAAUAUGAAUUAUAUACACGAAAUGUAUCCAUGAUCUCCCUACCAUGUUGAGACUUGAAUAAAUACUUGAAGUAUACUAUCCCCUACUUAUAAUAUUGUGAAUUAUGGACUCUAAUCUUAUGAUCAAGUCAUGUCAUGUGUGCUAGUUUCCUUCUAUCGAGUCCUGGGGGUAUUCGUACCCGAAAAAUAUAGCUGUGUGCCUAGAGCCAUGUCAUGUGCCACAAUAAAUCUCAGUCAAGCUAUAAUCUAUAGAACUUAGUCAGUCAUAUGACUCAGGAAACAUCAGAAAUCUCAUGAUCUCAGUUAACUCUCAGAUAAUAGUACUACUCCGUCAGUCAAUGGAUGUCAGUUAUUCAGUCCACGUACAGCCGGUUGAAUCAUGUUCAGUCCCUUCAGAUAAGAGUAGAAGUUAGCAUCGAGUAAACCCAAGAAUGGGAACUCACUUGCCAGUUCAGGGUGUGAUUCUUAGCAGUCAUCCUUGUGUUCUAGAAAUAUGUAGCCAGUGUAGGUUGAGACAUCUUAACCUGUCUGAUUAGGGUUGAUAAGGUGGCUUAACCUGUCAGUUUAGGGUCCCACCAUUCUCACUUUGAGUACCUGCCAGAUAAGGGUCACUCACAACUGUCCUUACCAGUGGUGCGGUAUUGAUACCCCUCUAUUUUGGGAAGAGCUUGGACCCCAGCUUAGCCAUAAUGGUAUAUAUGGGGCAUGUCGGUUAAAAAACUACCUCCCAUAGUUUCAGUAUCAAUCUCAGUAAAAAAACUCAAACAGUUCUUCAGAUAUCAGUAUAGCAGGACUGUUAGAUACAGUUAAAUUCAAUUUUAGCAUGGGACUCAGAGAGUUCUACCAGAUUCAAGACUGUCAGACACAGUCGCUCAGGUAUCAGAACUACAGUUCCAGUAUGUAUUAGCGUAUAAAUUUAGCUACCACGUACUCACGAUCUCAGUUACUAUGUAUGUAUGUUUGUACUCUUACGUUUAUAUCAGUCAGUCAGUUAGCAUUAUUCAUGCAUGUAAACUCUUUACAUUAGCCUACCUCACUCGUAUUCUCAGUACUCUAGUUAUACUGAUGCAUUUGCGCUAUGGUGCUUUCUUUUCAUGUUACACCAUAGGUCCAGAGCCACGAGUUCCAAACCAGAAAUAGCUUUCCAGUCACAGUGUUUCGUGGAGUCCUCAUCCAUUCGAGGAUAAUAUGAUUUGAUUUAUUCAUUUAUUACUUUAGUUUAGUUUUACGAAGUUAGUUGGAUACAUAUUCCUUUAACUCCUUAUUUAGACAGUACUUAGAGGCUUUCAGAUUUAGUCAGAUUGAGCUAUCAAAUUCAGUAUUCAGUUGUUUUGGGUAUUCAUUACCCUAUGGAUGUUACUAUAUCUCUUCAGUUGAACCUUAUGUCCUAUAUUUUCAGGUUUUUCGUGUAUUAUAUGUAUAUUAUGCAGUGUAUAGGUACAGAUAUCAGUCAUGGGUUAGCUUGUGGUCCCUCAGGGUCAUGAGCAUCGUGUAGCAUUCUGAUUCAAAAAAUCAGGGCGUUACGGAACCCGUAGGUAGGGUAGUGGGGAUAUCCGGGGCUGCCUCAAUAUCAAAGGGAAAAUAAAACAUGGUGAUGUUUGUUAGAAAGAAGGAUCUCUUCAUGGAUCAUGAUAAGGAGACCCUCAUGCUUAUUUUGGCACAUUGUUUUAACACUAACCCCACUAAUUAUUCUAUUUCUCCUUUGAUUUUUUGUGUGUUGCAGGAUUAUGAAGAUGUUUUUCCCAAAGAACUUAAACAAGGUAUGUCCCCUCUUUGGGGAAUUGAGCACCAAAUAUAUUUUAUGCCGGGAUCAUAAUUACCCAACAAAUCGGCUUAUAGGAGCAACCCGACGGAUACCAAGGAAUUGCAACACCAAGUUGAGGAACUCCUCAACAAAGGGUAUAUCAAGGAGAGUAUGAGCCCUUACGGGUCCCGGUGCUACUAGUUCCCAAGAAAGAUGAGACUUGGCGUACAUGCAUUGAUUGCUGAGCCAUCAAUAAGAUAACGGUAAAAUAUUGUCACCCUAUUCCUAGGAUAGAUGAUAUGCUUGAUUAAUUGAGUGGUUCAUGUUUGUUUUCUAAAAUUGAUUUGAGGAGUGGCUAUCACCAAAUCCAUAUGCAACUAGGUGAUGAAUGGAAAACCGCCUUUAAGACCAAAUUCGAUCUCGAUGAAUGGAUGGUUAUGCCAUUCAUCCUAACAAAUGGCAUGUAAAACAUAUAAAAUAUUUACAAUGUGUGUUUUUUGUCUAUGUUGAUGAUGUGUUGGUGUAUAGUAGGUCCUUAGAUGAGCAUGUAAAACAUUUACAAUAUAUGUUUAUGACCUCCGAAAAGAGAAGUUAUAUGCGAAUUUAGAAAAGUGUUCUUUUGGUGUCCAAGAAGUUGUAUUUCUUUGUUUUGUGGUGAGCUUAAGAGGGGUCGGAGUAGAUGAAUCUAAGAUUGACGCUAUCAAAAAUUGGAAACUUUCAAAACCAUAGGUGAAGUGAGAAGCUUCCAUGGGUUGGAUAGUUUUAAUAGAUGUUUUGUCAAAGGAUUUAGCACCAUUGCCGCCCCCUUGACCGAAGUGAUUAAAAAGGAUCGGCCUUUCAAGUGGGGAGAUGAACAAGCUAAGGCCUUCAAGGACUUGAAAUCUAUGCUCAUCUCAACCCUUUUUUUAUAAUUGCCGAACUCUGACAAGACUUUUGAGGUUGAAUGUAAUGCUAGCAAAGUUGGUAUAGGCGCGGUUUUAAUGCAAGAAUUGAAGCAUAUUGCCUACUUUAGCAAAAAUCUCAAAGGAGCAACUCCAAACUACUCUAAGUAUGAUUUAGAGUUGUAUUCCUUGAUUAUACCCUUGGCCACUUGGUAACAUUAUUUAUGGCCUAAAGAAUUCAUGAUCCGAACGGACUAUGAGUCCUUGAAGCAUCUUCGGGCACAAGAUAAGCUUAACAAAUGGCAUGCCAAGUGGAUUGAGUUUCUUGAAACUUUUACUUAUGUUAUUCAUUACAAAAAGGUUAAGGACAAUGUGGUUGCCGAUGCUUUGUCUCAAAAGCACGUUCUUGUGUCUACUUCAUCUUCAAAAUUGAUGGGCUUUGAGAUCUGAAAGGAAUUGUAUCCCCAGGACCCUUACUUUGCUCCUAUCUAUAGGGAAUACAAAGAAUGGGGUAGGGAUAAGUGGGAUUCGAUUAGGGAUUCAAAUCCUUAUUCCAAGUUUGACGGUUACUUGUUUAAAGGUAGGCGAUUGUGUGUAUCCUCUAGCACUUGGAGAGAGUUAUUUGUGAGAGAAGCACACAAUGUCGGUCUAAUGGGUCACUUUGGGGUUGAAAAGACCCUUGGAAUAUUGGAGUAGCAAUUCUAUUGGCCAAAAAUACACAAGGAUGUAUGUAGGAUUUGCGGCCAAUGUGUAGAUUGCAAAGGAGCCAAAUCUCGGUUCCAACCUCAUGGGUUGUACACCCCGCUACCCACCCUUUUACAUCCUUGGCUUGAUAUAUCUAUGGAUUUUUUGUUAGGGUUUCCAAGGAAUAUAAGAGGUCGGGAUAGUAUCUUUGUUAUGGUUGAUCGGUUUUCUAAGAUGGCACACUUUAUCCCAUGCUCUAAAUGUGAUGAUGCACCUAGUGUGGCCUCUUUGUUUGUUGAUAAUGUUGUCAAGUUGCAUGGUGUUUUAAGGACCAUUAUGAGUGAUAGGGACUCUAAGUUCCUAAGUCACUUUUGGAAGUCCAUGUGGGGCAGGCUUGGUACCAAGUUGUUGUUCUCUACUUCUUGCUACCCACAAACCAAUGGCUAAACGGAAGUAGUAAAUAGAACUUUGGGUGCUAUGCUACAUUCCAUGAUUAAGGGAAAAUUGACUUCUUGGGAGGAACACCUACCAUUAAUUGAGUUUGCCUAUAAUCGUGUCAUACACUCAAGUACGGGAAUGACUCCCUUUGAGUGUGUAUACGGCCUCAACCCCCUUACCCCUUUGGAUUUAACUCCUUUGCCAAGUGAUUUUAUGAUUAGCCUAGAUGGAAGAAAGUGGUCAGAUUUUAUGAAAAAGUUGCAUGAGAAGGUGCAUCUUCGACUUGAGAAGAAAAAUCAAGAGAUUGCAAAGCGGGCAAACAAAGGAAUAAAGAAAGUGAUUGCAAAGCGGGCAAACAAAGAAAUAAAGAAACUCAUUCUUGAACCGGGAGAUUGGGUGUGGGUGUACCUUAGGAAGGAUAAGUUUCCAUAUCAAAGGAAGAUCAAAUUGAUUCCAAGGGGUGAUGGUCCAUUCCAAGUACUUGAAAGAAUCAAUGAUAAUGCCUACAAGAUUGACCUUCCCUUGGAAUACCAAGUGCACAACACUUUCAGUGUGUGUGAUCUUUCUCUAGUGGAUGCUGUUGAGGAUGACCAAAUGUCAAAUUUGAGGUCAAAUUCCUCUCAAGAUAGAGAGGAUGAUACUGGUGUACCAAGCUGUCCAACAAGUUCUACAAGCUGUCCAGCAAGUUCACAACCAUUUACACGUAGCCAAGCUCAGGAGUUACAAAAACUCCAAGUUAUGUUCAUGAAAAUUGCCAUGUGUGAGUUGGUACUUGAUCUUUCCAACGUAAUAAAUAUUUUUAAGUGUGAAAAGGAGCCUUGAAGUGUAAUAAACUUAAACUCCAAGGCCACCCCUUGGCAAGGGUAGGAUGGUCAUUUGUUAUCUCCCUUUGUGGACUAAUAUAAAUAGAUAGUGUUAAGGUUAUUUUUGAGUUAUUUCAUUCAUAUUUUGGAAGACAACAAACAGUUUGUAAUAUUUUGGAACUUCUCUUUUCCAUUGGAGAAGCCCCAAUUCCAAAAACUCACCAGUAGAGUGAUACUAGUGUUGUCUCUUGGCUAGAAACUAGGGUCUUGGGGUUUUUGAGUUCCUCUUGGUCUAAGUAAGAGCUUGGUAUUAAUAUUCAUUAAUCUUAGGGUCCUUUCUCUUGUUAGGGUUCUUAGAUCAUUGAAUAUUAUGUGUCAAGUUACUAUCCCUCUUGUAAUCUUGUUAAUCUUGUGUUGUUGGAAUCUUGAAGUCUAGUGAAGCCGUGUGAGGAUCUUUUGAUUAACUAGAAUUAUUAUUAACUUGUCUGUUCUUGUUGUUAAUAUCAUCUUCUUAUUCUAAAAAUGUGACUCUUGAAGACUAGUGAAGCCGUGUGUGGCCUAUUUCGAUUCACUGGCACUUGUUGUUCAUAUUGUUGUUCUUGUUGUUGUUUGUUUCUUGUGUUGUGCACUUGGUCUCAUAUCAGAGGUGAGGUGGAGAGGUUGUUUCCUAUAAAAACCCCGGCUCAUAUGAUCCACAUUGAUCUAUCAUAGAAAUAUACUAUAUGUUAUUCUUUCGUGUAAAAUUAUUUAACUAAAGCUUUGUUUUACAACGCACUAAUACUAUUUUAUAAAAUCAUGUAUAACGUAGUUGAGCAUGCUUGUACAACGCACGUGUCGAGUAACUAGCAUCCAAAGAAGUGCAAAGCAUUUAGUCCUAUGAAUAUGAAAUACCAACACUAAGUCCGUCCAUCCAAAGACAUUUUAGUAUAUGGGAAGUGGAACUAAAUUCCAAUAUGAAAAAAUAUUAUGAAUAAUGAAUCAAAGAAUAAUUCAAAAAAUAAAGUCAAAGAACGGUGUCAGCUACCAUUCUGGCAGUUAUUAACUAACAAAGUAUACCUAUACGAAAUGAGUAACCUGUGUUUAGGAAUGCACUCACAUCAUCGCAUAAUGCGAUGAUGCAAAGCAAUGCCAUCCCUUCUUAUUUUGUUUGGCUGAUGCUAACCAACCUUACAGAAGCGGGCUCAUCACAUGGUUAUGCAACAUGCAAGCCAAUGCAAGUGCAUCAUGUUUAUUUUAUUUUUAGGGUCAAUUUUUAAUAAAAAAGAGUUAUUUCAUGUUGAUUUUAUAUUUAGGGUCAAUUUUAUAUUGUAUUAAAAAAGAGUCUACUACUUCAACUACCAGUGGUGCAAUUUUCUAUAAUUAACUUUGAAGUCCACUAUUGUGACUUCCUCUUCUUCACUGUGACUACCACUGCGUGCGACUUCUUUUUCUUCACUACUUUAGAAGAACAGGAAUUAAAUGUUGAAACAUUAUUAAUUUAGAUUUGGUAUUUCUUCUUUUUCCUGGUUUGUUUUACUAUUUUGUUAAACGAUUUUAUAAUUAUUGCUUGUGUUGUUGCAGCAGGUGUUUCGGUGAUCAAACCUGUGAUUCUGGUAUUUAAUUUAAACUUUGCUUAUAUAUAUUAUUUUUAUUGUUGAUUAUAUGGUUGUUUUGCCCUUUUCAGCUCUGUCUUACUGUUUCGAUGCUCUAUUAGUCUUUUUUCUUUUAAAUUACGCUGAGGAUGUGUAUUGAUUAUCAGCAAUUGAAUAAGGUGACUAUUAAGAAUAAAUAUCCUCUCCCAAGAAUUGAUGAUUUAUUUGAUCAGUUACAGGGCGCCAAGUGCUUUUCUAAGAUUGAUUUGAGGUCAGGUUACCACCAAGUGAGGGUCAAAGAGAAGGAUAUACCCAAGACAGAUUUUUGAACACUGUAUGGUCAUUACGAGUUUCUAGUUAUGUCAUUUGGUCUAACAAAUGCACCCUCAACUUUUAUGGAUUUGAUGAAUAGGGUGUUUAAGCCAUUCCUGGAUGUAUUUGUGAUAGUUUUUAUAGAUGAUAUUCUAGUUUAAUCUAGAUCAGAAGAGGACCAUGCCAAUCAUUUACGACAGGCAUUGCAGACUCUUCAUGAUUGUAAGCUUUAUGCAAAGUUCUCUAAAUGUGAGUUUUGGUUAAAGUCGGUGGCAUUUUUGGGUCAUAUUGUAUCUAGUGAAGGGAUAAAGGUUGAUGCUCAAAAGAUAGAAGCUGUGAAGAACUGGCCAAGGCCCACAACGCCUACAGAGAUUCAUAGUUUUCUCGGAUUGGCUGGUUAUUAUAGAAGGUCUGUUGAAGGCUUUUCUUCCAUUUUAGCACCCUUAACCAAGCUAACCCAUAAAGCAUCCAAAUUCCAAUGGAAUGAUGCCUGUGAGAAGAGUUUUCAAGAUUUAAAGAACAAGUUGAUUUCUACACCCGUGUUGGUACUUCCAGAAGGCACCGAAGGGUAUACAGUGUAUUGUGAUGCUUCCAGAAUUGGUUUAGGAUGUGUAUUGAUGCAGCAUGGUAAGGUAAUAGCAUAUGCUUCUAGACAAUUGCGGCCACAUGAGAAAAAUUAUCCUACACACGAUCUUGAGUUGGCAGCAGUUAUUUUUGCUUUAAAGAUAUGGCGCCACUACUUAUAUGGGGUUCAUGUUGAUAUAUAUACUGACCAUAAGAGCUUGCAAUAUAUUUUUAAUCAGAAGGAUCUAAAUUUAAGGCAGCGGAGAUGGCUUGAACUAUUAAAGGACUACGAUGUUGAUAUCUUGUCUUCUUGAAACUCUGAAUAAAGAGCUUAUCGUACAUAAUGCUGUGGAAUCUUCAUUAGUAGCUAAAGUGAAUGAGAAGCAAUAUGCAAAUCCUAUUUUAUUACAGAUUAAGGAGAACAUUCUGAGUGGUGUGACCAAGGCACAUUGUUCAAGGUAUUCCAUUCAUCCAGGAUCAACCAAAAUGUAUCAAGAUUUGAAAGAUAUGUAUUAGUGGAAUGACAUGAAGAAGAGCAUUGCAGAAUUUGUAGUUGAAUGUCCAAAUUUUCAAAGAUUUAAAGUUGAGCACCAAAAACUCGAAGGUUAUAUGCAAUGCAUUGAUCUUUCAAGCUGGAAGUGGGACAUGAUCAACAUGGAUUUCGUUAUUAGUUUGCAUCGUACAUCCCGGAAGUUUGAUUCUAUAUGGGUGAUUGUUGAUAGGCUUACCAAAUCCACACAUUUCCUACCAGUUAGGACCACUUACACAGUUGAAGAGUAUGCGAAGCUGUACAUUAAAGAGAUAGUCCAAUUACAUAGAGUGCUAAUCUCUAUUAUAUCAGAUCGGGGAACCCAAUUUGAGGACUAAUUUCCUAAAGGGGGGGAGGAUGUAAAACCCCGUAUUCAAGUACGUGUAUUGGCAUAUUCAAGUACCUGUAUUGGUCUUAUUUAUAUGGAAUUAAUUUUUUAUUUUAUUUAUACCAGAAUUUGCCCGUCGAUAGUUCCAUGUGAAGGUUAUUGAAUAAGCUUUCCAACGAUAUAAAGAUUUCUAAAAACGGAUAGGUUUUGGAUAUAAUCGAGCACGUUCGAAACUAUAAAACGGUGGCCGGGAUAUUUAGGAAUAGUAAAUGUGCAGGAAAAUUUCCUGCACACAAACUACUGAGGUUAGCCGAAUUUUUGGGUCAACUUCGAAUGAUCAAACUCCCUUAAUAUAAUGAACGGGGAGAGUUGGGACCUAUGAAAAGAAAGAUCAUUGAGUAUUCUUUCCAAUUCAAUUGGUUUCAUCCGAAUCCAACGUAUGAGUAAGGAGUUAUACUCGUUUUACUUCAGCCUAUCAAAAUAGAUUUUUAGGGACAACUUCAAAUGACCAUAACACCUUGUAAAGGAUGAACUGGGUGGCCUACUUUAUAUGAAAUGAAAACCCUUUGAAUUAUCCUUCCAACGAUACCAAUUUCACCCAAAUCCGAUAUCGGAGCAAAGAGUUAUGGUCGAUCUACUUUAGCUUAUCAAAACAGUCCACCAAAGGACAGAUUUGACAUUAUUUAAAUUUUAAAGGCAUUUUGGUCAUUUCCUAUUAUAUUAUGGACAGGAAUAUGUGUAUAUAUACAUGUAUAUGAGUUUAAAAACUCAUUUUCAUCAUCAAUCAUUGAGAAAGAACAAACCCUAGCCAAAUUUGACCUUUAAAUUACUUUUGAUUCAACCAUAGAAAUUCAAAAGUAAUCCGAUAACUGCGUUUGUCAUCUUGAGAGCUCCGAACGGCACCUAUUAUUUGUGCAAACAAUAUUGCAUAAUAAAGAGGUGAAUUCUAAGGUAUGAAUAUUGUUUGCCUUUGUUCUUUUCCAUAUGUAUAUGUGUGAUAGAGGAUUAUAUGUAUUGGAUGUUAUUAAAAGGUGAUGGAAUUAGUGUUAUGGACUAUUUUGCAUGGUUUGGGUGUAUAGAAUUGCGGAAGGUGAUAUGGUAAUUGAGUUAUGGAAGGUGGAUAUGGUGAUAUACUAUUGAAUUGAUGAUUAUUUAUGUCUAUGUCUCAAUUUGGUUUAAUGGAUUGGUUGGAAGGAUAAAUGAAUCCAAACUUGAUAUUGGAGGAUGUUGUAUGAAUAUGCAUGGCAUGUGAAUGUAAUUGGAGUAUAAGAGGGUUAAAGUGACACCCUUUAUGGUGUAAUUAAGGCUUACUACUUAACCAUUAGUUUGGUGAAUUCAAAUAAUUGAAUUGUGACGUUUGGUUGCUAAUACUAGAUUGCUAUAUAUGUUCAUUGUAGAUAAGUAAUCUGAAAAGACGGGAAGUCCAUUUGGGACUAGUAUUGAAGGUUGACAGUCAGGUAUGUAAAGCAUACUCUAUACCAUAUCUUUGGCAUGAAAGUGAACAAUUGUUCUAUUAAGAAAGUUUCCAAAGUUAUUCAGUAACAUGUGAUCCAUAAUGGUUUUGUAUGAUGUCCUACGUUACCAAUGAACUUGUUUCCUCCCUACAAGAUGUCAAGACAUUCCAAUACUUACUUGUCUUCCAAAUCUUACAUGUUUAUUGUACUAAUGAAUGUUAGAAGGUAUCCGGUUACUCAAACAAGAUUCAUGUGCUAUUAAUGACUCCAAAAUGUUUCAUUGAUAUACCAAUAAGUUCCUACUUCAUUAUUAUGGAAUUGAUGACUCCAAAACACUUCAUUGAUAUGCCAUUGAGUUCUUACUUCAUUGCUAUUGCAUUGAUGGUAUAUUUGCAUGUCUCUUAUUGAUUUAUCAUUAUUUCAAAGUAUCAAAAAUGCGGUGGCGACCGAAAUAACAAUCUCAAAGAUUAAUUGAACUAAGUGAUGGAAGUUCUCUCUUAUCGGGUGGUAUCCCAGGGGCAUAAGCCUAUCAUGGGUCGAUCCCAGUUGAUAUGUACUGGAGGCAGCCUAAUGGUCACAGUACAGUACAGUAAUAAUUACAAAGUUAUAAGAACGAAGGUAAAGUGAUUGAAUAAAUACAAUGUACAGGUUGUCACAAGUUCUAGUAAGUGUGGUCCACUCCUAUUACGAUUUAUUCACUUAUUUCUGAUUUCUAUUGAGCUCCUAUAUCAUAUGUGAUUAUCUACAGCCUUACGUACUCAGUACAUAACCUGCAUUUCAUGCUACAGGCACACGUACCUCAGCUCAUACACCGCACAAGUAGGAGCCAGGAUAUCCAACUACUUUUGGUGAGCUCCAGUUUUCUUCGGGGAUUUUCGUGUCAUAUCCAAUCACUUUUGGUAUUGUAUAGAAGUUAGUUAUAUGGCGGGGUGUGUCCCGACCUUAGUUAAACUCUGUUAUUAUCUAGAGGCUUUGUAGACCUAAUGUAUAGUCAAGGUGGUGUUUUGUUAAUAGACGUGAUGGCUCCAACAGCCAAGUAUUGUAUAUACAUAUAUAUGUGUGCUCGAGCUUAUACAGGUGAUUAUUUCCUUUUAUAUUUGACAUGAUGUUGUUCGAAUUUCUGGUUGUCAUAGAGGUAUGCAUGGGAAGUAUAAGUUUAUGAGCUGGUUCUCCCGGACCUCCUCGGUUACGAGUGCCAGUCCGCCCCAAUAGGAUUUGAGGCGUGACAUUUGGUAAUUGCAUAAUGAGACAGUAUUGCAUUCUUCCCGACUAGAGUCGUCGAUCGAUCACUCUGAGAUGAACCGAUUCUUACUACCUUAUAUAUUUAACUAAUACCUUAAUUGAUUAAGCUAGGACUAGGGGUGAGUUCUCAUAGGAUCAACUACAAUAGAUGACAGCGCCUAUUUGAUAAUUUACAAUAGAAUGGUAAUCUUUUGUGACAUGUGACAAUCUAUUUGAUAAUUUACAAUAGAUAGGUAAUCUGUCGCAACAGAUUACUUAAUCUGUUUGAUAAUUUACAAUAGAUGUGUAUCUGAUGCAAUAGGUUAAACAUUUAUUUUUAUACAAUUUCAAUUAAGUUUAUAUACCUAAAUUGAUUAAUUUAGGACAAGGGGUGAGUUCAUAGGGUCAACUACAACUUCAAUUGAGCAUUUUGGCAAUUGCAUGAUGAGAGGGUUAAAAAUUACGCAUAUCUUUUAUAAUUUUAAAAGAAUAAUUAAGAUCAAUUCGGACCAAAUUAACAUUUUCAAAACUUGUCAUUCUUUUCCAAAAUACAAAUCAACCCAUACAAAUCAUCCAUUUGCGAGAAAAACGUUUCAUCAUUUCAAAUCUCGAGUUCUCGCUCUUUUCUCUUUCUCACUCAAUUAUAUAGUACAGACAAAAACUAAUCAAGAAAUUGCUUUAUCCUUCAUAACAAAUCAAUUUUUUCUCAGUUUCGAUCACAUAGGUGUUAUUUUCGACUUUAUUCUUGCUUGUAUCAAUCAUUUUCUAGGUCUUCGUAGGUAAAAAAGUUCAAGAGAAGUUCUAUAUUUGUUAUUUAUUUCUAAAAAAUAAGGGCUUUUAAGUUAAUUAUGAAAAAGGAAACUUUUAGUUGUAUUAUCUUCGAGAAUGGGAUUACAAUUUUGAGUUUUGAUGGUAAAAUCGUAGGAAGAACUCGAGAAAACCUUUGUUUCUGUUGUAAUCUUCCGUUGACUAUCGUGGUAUUAUUGGAUGGUGUUUGUUGUGUUUGUGGUGGCAGCGGUGGUGGUCGUCGUCGUCAUCAUCAUCAUCAUCAUCAUCAUGGUGGCACUGGUGGUGGCUGUUGGUGGCAUUGGUUUGUGAUGUUUGUGGUGGCAUUGGUUGGUGGUGUUUAUGGUGACUAUCGGUGGUGUCGGUAUUCGUGGUGUUUGUGGCAUUGGUUGGUGGUAUUUGUAGUGGUGAUGGCUGUUGGUAUAUCGUUAUUGGUGGUGCUUGUAAUGUAUUUUUAAAAAUUUAUGUAUACAUUAAUUAUAAAGUAAUUUUUGUUUUUCUGUUUUUUGUAAGUAAAAUAUGUCUCCCAAAAAAAUAAAGUGAAAGUGGAUCAACGUCUUACCACCCAAAAAAAAGGCUAUAGUACAGAGGGAUUCGGAGAAGCUUCCUGAACAAUCUCAGUCAGGGAAACAAAGUGAAGCUAAGGAAAGAUAUAAAAACAAUAUUGAGGGAGGUGGACAAGGGUCUGUAGAUGGUGAUGAAGAAAAUAAAAGUGAUAAAGGGGAGGAAUUAGUGAGUGAGAAAGAGAAAGAGGAUGAUCAUCAACAUGAUGAUAAUGGAUCACCAAUGGGGAAUGAAUUAAUAUCGACAUCCCAGCAUGAUCCUGUCAAAACUUUUAGUAUUGACAAGUUUCAAGUUGCGAUGUCGAUAAAUGACCAAAAAGCAAAAGAAAAACUAACUGGUGAAAUUGUACUUAAAUGUCAGAUGGGGAGUAAAUUUAUUUAUUUUAGAAAAAUUAUGAAGGACGAAAUCAUAGACGAACUUUUUAAGAAGAGUUACUUUAGACACUUUCUUAAGCUUUCUGAUCCCCUGUUUCCAUAUGAGGAUGGUAUAUGGCUUUUUCAAUAGCAGGAUCAAGUACAUGGGGAUGAUGAAGAUUAAAAGGAGGGGGGAAAAUAUUGAUGAAAUCUGGAUCAACUAAUGUGGCAUACCGAUUUGUUUUGGCUUGUAAGAGUUUGCCAUAAUGACAGGCUUAAGAUGCCAUUGUCCAGAAGAACCACCUAUCGCCAAGGGAACACCCCGCAAAAGAUCCAAGGCAAGAAAAUGCAAGAAAAAAAUAGAUGGGUUGUUUGACAUUUCUCAAUGUGGCUACAAAGCAUCGGAUUUCAUGGAUAAAACCAUACCAAAGCAGUAUAAGGAGCAAUUGUGCUUAAUUUGGUUUGGCCAUUCGGUUAUAUUGGCAAGAGACGUCAACAAGGUAAUAGAAGAUGAUUUGUUAGUGCGUGCUACAGAUUUUGAUAAAUUCAACAAUUAUUCCUAUGGAUACGACAGCUUCUACUUGACUGUCCAAUAUUUACUGAUAAAGCUAUCCUUAGGGACGACCACAUUAUACGGCUUUUCUUGGGUUUUCAUAGUAAAAUUAAUCAAUAUUUUAACUCAUCCAUUAAGUUAUAUUGAAUAUAGUUAUUAUGAUUUUUUUGCUUGCUUCCUAUUUACAUGUUUUAGGCUUGGGCAUUUGAAGUCAUUCCCCCCCCCCCCUCCGAAAGCAGGUAAUGGAUUACCCUGAUGAGGUUUCUAAUGAAAGGAUGUUUAGGUGGCUGGAUGCAAAGAGCAACACCAAAAUUAAGGAGGCUGGUCUCUUUAACCCUCCGAAUGAUACAAGAUGAUUUUUUCAAGUAAAAUAAUUUUACUCAAUGAAAUGAAAGAUAUUGAACAGAUGUUAUAUCUGGUGCAACAGAUGUUAUAUCUGAUGCACCAAAUGGAACAUCUGUUGUGAAUGAUUACCAGUCCUGUGCCAACCGGUGCAACAGAUGGAUAAUCGGUUGUGACAAAAGAUUGAUAUCUUGCGUUAGAUUACCUAUCUGUUACUUUAGUUCUCUGAACCCAACUCCUAACAGAUUAACCAUCUACUGAAAAUUAUGCAACAGAUAUGUAAUUUGAUGUAACAUAUUGUUAAUAGACAUACAAAUCAUCUGUUUCAUAACAUGUGACCCAAAAGAUUAACUAUCUUAUGCAACUAUUGCAACAGAUUGGUAAUUUGUUGUGAUAGAUGAUUGAUAUUUUCCAUCAGAUUAUCUAUGUGUUGCUCUGGUUCUCUGAACCCGACUCAAAUGAAUUUUAACCAUCCACUGCAAACUAUACAAUAUAUAGGUAAUCUGAUGUAACAUAUUGUUAAUCUAUUACAGAAGUUGACUGUGUUAAAAUGUAAUCCAACUGUGAAAAUUAUUAUAUUAUAUGAUUUAAAUGUAUCAGUCUUUUUUUCUAAGUUGUGCAUCCAUGGAUCGUGCCUACUGAGGAGGAGUCAUUGAUGACUUCUUAUAUUACUCUAGAUCAUGUUAAUACUAUAGAAGACCCAACGAUGGAGUUAACAAGGAAGGAAUUGGUUGGAGCAACAGCCAUAAUAAGAGAAGUUAGGCAAGGUCAGCCUAAUAUUAAGGCUCUUUGUGACCAACCUACUAAGGCAGAUCCGGGUGCUUCUUCUGAUGGAGUUGUUGGUGUUGGUGGCAGGCAUGCUGAUGUUUCUACCACUAGUGAUGAUGAGUAUGUUGAUGCUCAAUAAAAAAUAAAUGUUUAAAAACACCCCUUUUCAUCCUUACACAGGUCCCUCUCACCCCUCUUCACCCUCGUGUUCUCUUUGCGAAUACGAAGAGUGCAAGGACAACCAGGAUAAACUCUUUGAAAAAGUAGAGGCUAUCUCUAAAGCUUUCGGGAAUUCAAAUCCAAGAGGGGUGUCAUACUAUCCAAGAAGGUGAGGAGGCCAUACACUCCUAUAGUGUUGGUUAGGAGGAAGAAAAGAGCAAUAACCAAUGUACUCUUCGAUCGAAAAUCAAAAAUAAUUGCAACUCCUCCCUCUCUAGAAGUUGUUGAAGCUCAGGGGCCAUUCAAGAAGGUAGACAUGUAUGCAAAACUUGGCGCCAAAGAGAAGAGGGAUUUGUGAUAGGCCAAGAAUGCCAAACCAGGCGCACCAGAUUACCCCAGGCCUCUCUUUUCCCCCAAGACAUCCAUACUAUGACAGAUAUGCGUAUGCGUUACGAGGACAAGGAAAGUUUACUCUUCCUAACCUAACCUUCUAAUCUACCCCAUGAAGAAGAAGCUAUACAAUAAAUGUGAAAUCUGUUGCAACGGCUGGGUAUUCUGGUGCAACUGGUAGUGGUUCUCUUGCAACUUACUAUUCAUCUAUUGCAUAAGUUGUGUUGGAUUAAUGAUUCAGAGAACCCUAUGCAAUAGAUUAACCACAACAACAACAACAAUAAACCCAGUAUAUUCCCACAUAGUGGGGUGAUGGGCCAUCUUUACAAUUACUAAUAUAUUUAUAAAUUGAUUUCUUAUAUCAUAGCAUGUUGACAAAACUCUCUGCUUCUUGAGGAAAUGGCAAUUAACGUAUCCAGAAGCUUAUUACGCUGCCAAUAGGAUAAUGGAACUCGACUUCUGCAAGAAACUCAAGGAUAAGUACGAUCAACUCAAUUCUAAUACAUCAUCUUGUGGUGCGGGACUUGAUUUCUUAGUUUCUACGUAGGACUUGGAUGAAGAAGAAAUAAUAAAAUAUGUUAGAGGGGAGAGGCCAAAUCUACACAGCAAGAUUUAGACCAAGGAAAAGAGGGUUCUUGCAGUCAUUAGCGUGAACGACAUACAUUAUUGGGCUGUUGAGAUACUACUCGAUGAGGAAAAGAUCAAAGUUUAUGACUGCAACGAACCUACCGUCGACGAGGUCAAUCUUUUUUUCCUCAUGCAGCCACUGAUGGAGCUGUUGUCCAUCUUGUUGAGGAAGAGUAGACUGAUAAAUCAUUUUCCAAAGAAAGAGCUGAUGAAGAAAUCAUGGGAUUUUGAAGGUCGAAACAAAAGCAUGACCCUUCCAAAAAAUGAUACCGGUUACGCGUGCGGCUUGCACGCUCUUGCACACAUCGAAUGUUUGCUGAACGACACAGAAAUAGUUGAGCCAAUGAACUUUCUGUGCCACAAUGUUGUGGCAAACCUGCAAGAGGUCUGGACCUAAGGGGUACUAACUGGAAGCUUAGGGCCUGUGUAUAUAGAAGAGCCUGUGAAAUAAUAAUUUUUUAUUUCAAGUCACACUUCACUUUACUUUAAAUUACAUGUACAUGUAAUGGCAAUAAUUUUUUUCUAAUGAAAGUUGAGUUUUUUAUAAUGCAAUAAUUGUCAAUCUGUUGUAAAAUAUAUUCUAUCUGUUUUGGAAGAUAGUUUAUCUGUUGCAAUAGGUUGGUCAUCUAUUGCAUUAUGUCGAUAUUAUAUCUAUCUAAUCUGUUGCAGCAGUGGAAAGACCUUUUUGAUAAUUUCCAACAGAUGACCUAAAUUUUACAACAUAUGCCUAAAUUUGUUUGAUAUUUUGCAACAAUUACACAUGAAUAUCCAUGUGCUCGACAACACCAAAUCGGUAGAAAAUACACCACCAUGAAAAUUUCAGUAAUUAGGCUUGAAUAUCCAUAUGUCAAACAGCACCAAACCAGUAGCAAUAACGGCAACAAUGUAGUAUCUUCUUGCUCGAUUUUGUUUCUCUUCAGAAGCCUUGACUUUGUUCAACAAACCCCAAAUUACACGAUUUGCUUGUGAAGGGUGUCGUUCUUCAGACCAAUCAAAGUAAUCGCAUCCACCCAAUUUCUAUAUAAACAAGAAAACAAUUAUAAAAUAAUUACAAGUCAAUAAUCAAUCAACUAAUUAAAUAAAAAAAUAUUACAUUUGAAAUCCUACAAGUAAAAAACCUACGACCUAUAUUUUGUUGAGUCCAAAAAAGUCUUCAAUAGAAUUUCAUGACCGCACAUACAAUAUCAAAAAUCAUUAUCAUAAAAAAUAGUGGAAUAUGCGCUCGACAUUGUCAAGCUCGAUUGGAAAAAAUGAAAAAAAGAUGAAGAAAAGAAAGAAAAAAUGCAAAUAAUUUAAAGAAUUUGGACAGAUAAAAAAAAAGAUGACGAUGUAAAAGAAGAUUUGAAAAUUUAGGGUUAAAUUUUAGGAAGAAGAUGAAUAUAUAAGACAAUGGGGGAAAAAUAAUCAUUGAGGCUAAAUCAGACGCCAAGUCAGCAAAAAUGGGGGUUUAACGAGCCUUGGCUGCGUGAAUUACACGCGAGCUGCCAACAGGGCAAAAAGUGCCAAACUAACACAUUUGAUGCCUAUUUUAUUUUAGGUGUUUAAAAUGUCACCUUUUUUAUUUCAAUUCACAUUCACUUUUUUACAUGUAGUGGCAAUUUAUUGUGUCCAAUGAAAGUUGAAUUUUUAUAAUGCAAUAGAUUCUCCAUCUGUUGUAACAGAUAUUCUACCUGUUCUGACAUAUAGUUUAUCUAUUGCAAUAGGUUGGUCAUAUGUUGCAUUAUGUUGGUGCUUCUAUAUAAGUCUAUCAGUUGCAGUAGCGGGAAGAUCUGUUUGAUAAAUUAUAACAGAUUACCUACCUGUUGCAACAUAUGUCUAAAUCUGUUUGAUAUUUUCCAACAAAUGUUCCGUCUGUUGCAACACAUACAUUAUCAGUUUUAAUAUUUGAAUCUAGUAUUCCAUUUCAAUUAAUAAGUUCAAAUCUAAGGAAAAAAUAAAAUUUAUAAACAAAAUAAAAUAAAUCGAAGCCUUAAGAAAUUAGCUAAAAUAAAUCAAUGAAUAAAUAAAAUGUAAAAAAAUUAUUAUGGGUAUAGAUCUCAACAAAUACAUCAAUAAUUUAAGUAUUGAUGCCAAGGAUUCCUAAGAAGGGGUGAGAUUAUUACUUUGACAGAUUCAAGCUAUAAAGAUCUACUCAAUAUGGACAAGUUGUUCUUCCUCUAGUGCUAUGGAAUUUGAAUUUACUCUUCGUGGAUCUUUAUUGUCAAUUACGUAUGAUUUCUGCGCUUUAUGUUAUCCAUAUUUCCAUAAAAAGAGUAGAGUUGCAUAUUGUCAAUGUUGUUCAGCAGUAGCUUCUGCAUCCACCUAGAAAGCCAGAAUUGGUCAAUGCUAAUCACGAAGAUACAACAAAAUAAAAAAGGAUAACUCAUGUGUUCUAGCAAAUCAAACAGGUCUUCCUCCUAUUUAAAUUAUUCCAAAAAGAUUAUAUUUUUGUUGCAAAAAUGAAUCAAUUGUUGGGAUAAAUUUCUACAUAAGGAAGACCUGUGUGAUAAUUUCCAAUGGAUGAACCAUCUGUUGCAAAAUAUGAAUUAUUUGUUGCAGUAGAUAGGUCAUCUAUUGGUACAAAUAAAUGCAGUACAAAUAGUUGUUUGAUUUGCUAAAAUAGAUGAGACAUAUGUCGCAAUAUAUACUUUAUCUGGUGAAACAAGUUAGUCAACUAUUGCAACAAAUGUAUAUAUCUGUUUGAUAAUUUUCAGAAGAUGUGUCAUCUGUUGAAACAGAAAUAUGUUUGUUUGUUAGUUGGAAGACAUGUAUAUUCACCUUCUUCAGCUCGUGCUGCUCUCCUUUGGACAUUAUACAUUGCUCAGUGCAACACACGGACAGAGAAGUUAUAAUUUUGCUUUUUUGGAUUCUUGAUAAUGCCUUGAAAAUUACUUUCCUUCUUCUCUUAGCCUUAAUAUCUAAUGGAGUGGAUGAAAACAAAAUCUUCUUUGAUGGAAUGACACUUCUCUUCGAUGCUAAUUCCUUUACAGAAGUAGUUAAUGCAUUAAUAGCAUUAAUCACUACAUCAUGUUCUUCCUGCAGUCUUGAUAUUUGCAUGCAGAACAUUCACGGGGAGAGACAAAAUCUGUAUAACCAGUAUGAUCAUACGCAUAAUGGUUUGUUUUAAAUACUGUAAGAGGAGCAUCAUUAGCCUCAACAGCAGCACCACUACUACUACCAACAGCUCCAUCACCACUAAGACCAUCAACAACAACAACCUCACCCUCCAAAAUUAUUUUUCUUGUAAUGCUUGUUACUCCAAACAAUUCCAUUUUUAUUCUGUCGAUAACCUUAGGGUCCGAUAAAGUUUGCACGGACUGUAAAGUAAAAAAAUGGCAUCUUCAACUCUCGAUUGGUCAGAACUAGUGACGGAUGCACAAUCUAACAUAAAUUAUUACAUAUAUUAGAAUGAUGAUUAGAUCAUUCAAAAAAAUCAUUAAUUAAAAUAAAAACUUAAUUAUAAUUACUUACUGCAUCCUUCAGGGGAUGAAGAGAUCAAGAAAAUUUAUAUUUUUAUCAGUUUUGGCCGACAACCUUCUCAAAAUUUUUGGACAGGAAACUUCUUCCUAGUAGUUCACUUGUUGUGUCAAAUAAAAAAUGGCUUCUAACGCCCAAUCCUAUAAAAUUACGCCAAUAAAUCAAAAUCAUUAUUGAGUGAAAAAUGAAUGAUAUUAUAAUCAAAGAAAGAAACAUUUAGCAUGAAAGACCAUGAAAAGCCAUAUAAGGUGAUUGUGUUUGGCGCUAACGGAGUCAAUAAAUAUUUGACAGUCAUUUUGAAACUUUCAUAACCCCAAGGAUAGCUAUUAAACACCUUAAGAUCCUCGGAGAGCUUUAUUAAACCAACGCUUAUGUUGUUGUUAACAUAUCUCACCCAAAGAUUAUUAUGUACAAACCAAACCAAGCACAAUGACAUCUUGUGCUUCUUUGAAAGUCCUUUACCUUUCAACGCUUCUAUCAAAUUUUUGUUUUUGAAGCUUGGACCAACAAUGGACACCAGGUCAUCACGAUCACGCGACUUGACUUUGCCUUUUAGGGUAUGCGGGGUGCUUUUUUAGGUUAGAAUAGGCAUAACUUGAGAAGGAGGAUAACAUUUUAGUCUAGUAACUAUGGCAAACUCCUUCCAACUAAAACAAAAGGCAUGCCACAGUAAUUUAUCCAUACCUCAUCCAUCUUAUCUUUGUUUUCAUACAUAAACCUACACUUGAGAAGUUCAUAUACCAUUUUUAUUUAGAAACAAGCAUUAUUGUCCUCCGGCAAAUCAAGAUAUUUCUCUAAGCAGCUGUCCCUGAAAUAAGCAUUCAAUUUUUGUUCUUGAAUUAUUUUUCUGAAGCCGUCAAAAGAUUUUUCCAUGGUUGAUUUAACCAUGAAAUCACCCAUUAAAUCUGUGACACUAUCGCACUGCAUUCUCACGGGAUAACGAUCAAUGCUGAAGGUUUUGACCAACUCUUCGGCUGAAGGGCUAUUAGCAUUUAGAUCAAUCUUUUGAAACAUUCCUCCUCCCCCUGCUCAUCAUGUUCUUCUCCUGAUUAAGAUAACGCUUAUAAAGCAAGCUCAUAGAGUAGUGGAUAUAGCCUAGCUGCUUCACUUGUUCCUUUACUUAGACUUGAUUCGGUUUCUAUUCUUUUGGGAGCCAUAUUAUCUAAAAUUAACAUGAACAUACAAAAAUAUUAUAGUUGAUUAAUGCAUCGUUAAAAAAAAAGAUAACAAUAAAUCAAACAAGCAAAAUAGUAAAAUAACAGUUCCAAUAGAUCACUUAUCUGUUGCACCAAGUAAUAUAUCUGUUGCAGCAUAUAACAAACCUAUUGCAGCGGAUGAGCAAUCUGUUGCAACAAUACAAAAUGUAUCACUCAUCUUUUAAGAUAGAUAAAUGGUCUGCGCAAUAGAUCACACAUUGUUGUAACAUAUAAGUGAUAUGUCGGAAUAGUUAAAUAACCUGUUGUAACGGAUGAAAUAUUUGUUGCAAUAAUACAAAACAUAUCACGAUCACACAUCUAUAGCAACAUCAUAUGUUGCAAUAUAUGAGUAAUCUAUUGAAACAGUUAAAUAACCUGUAGCAAUGGUUGAGUAAUCUGUUGCGAUAAUACAAAAUAUAUCACUCGUCUAUUAAGAAAGAUGAAUGGUUUAUGCUACAGAUCACACAUCUGUUGCAAUAUAUGAGUGAUCUGUCGGAACAGUUAACUAACCUGCAGCAACGGCUUAGUAAUCUGUUGCGACAAUACAAAAUAUAUCACUCAUUUAUUGAGAAAGAUGAAUGGUCUGUGCAACAGGUCACACAUCUUUCGCAAAAUAUAAGUGAUAUGUUUGAACAGUUAUCAACGAUCAAUAUUAUUUAGAUUUCUUCCAAGAUAGGAUCGUCUAUCGCGACAGAUGAAUGAUCAGUUGGAAAAAUAAAGUCUUAGACAUUUUCUAUUGGAAGAGUUGAUACGAUUUUAUCCAACAGAAGAUUUAUCUGUUGCAACAGAUCAUUAAUUUGAUAUUUUUUCCGUUGCAUUAGAUGGUUAACCAGUUGCAUUAGAUUUUUUUUAUUCGAUUCUUAAUCUGUUACAAUAUAUGUUUAAUCUGUUGCAUCAGAUAGUUAAACUGUUGUAUCAUAUGCUAAAUCGGUUGCAUCAGAUGAUUAAUCUAUUGCAUUAGAUGAUUAAUCUAUUGCAUCAGAAUUGUAAUCUGAUGGUUCUCCUAGUACAUCAGAUGGUUGAUCUGUUGUAUAAUAUGACAAAUUUUUUGCAUCAGAUAAUGAAUAUAUUGCACCAGAUGGAUAAUUUAUUGGAGAAAAUAAAAAACAGUAGCACGAUUUUGUUUAACAGAAAAAUAGCAAUAUCAUCAUUUUUACCAAGAACAAGAACAGAACAAAUCAACCCAAAUAGUUGUUUUAUUUUUAUAAACACAAACAACAAAAAUCAAACUUAAAAAGUGCAACAAAUAACAAAAUAUCAUAAGAGAAGAAAUACCAGAAAUUAGGAUUUUAUUCAGAUCGUAUUUCAAAUUAAUGCAAUAAAUAUUGAAAUUGUUAACUAAUACUAUAAGAGAAGUUGGCUCAAGUUCCUGUUUUUCUUCAAAACUAAAAAAGCCAUAAAUUUUUUACCUAUGAAAGAAGAAAAGGAACGAUGAAGAAUUCAAAGUUGUUGUGGCCGGAGAGUAAGGCUGUCACGUCGUUUGAAGGUUGAAUAAUUCGAAGCUGUUGUGGCCAGAGAGCAAGGGUGUCACAUCGAUUGAAGGUUGAAGUCGAAAAAAAACUCGAAGCCCAACUAUUUAUCGUCGGAAGUUGAAGUCGCCGAGGAUUGAAAGGAGAAAUUUACAGAACUGUUGGUUGAGAGAGAGUUGAGAGACGCUGUCGGGAGAGAGAGGGGAGAUACUAGUUGAUUUGGAUUAAAGAGGGAAACUCGAAGCCUAACUAUUUUUCGUUGAAGGUUGAAGUCACCGAGGAUUGAAAGAAAAAAAUUUUGCAAAACUGUUAAUUGGGAGAGAAUUGAGAGAACUUGUCGAGAGAGAGGAGAGAGACUGGUUGAUUUAGAUUGAAGAGGGGUGUGAGUUGGGUUGAUUUGUAUUUUUGAAAAGAUUAGAAAGUUUUGAAAAUAUUAAUCAAGUCCACAAUUAACUUAAUAAGUUUUUUAAUGAUGUUUGACCCUUUAAGUUGGUCAAUGACACCAAUCUUUCAUUCAAGACUUAAAAGACACAUUUCCUUCAAAUUUCUCAAGUAACUUCUUAAUAUGAUUUAUGAAAGAAAAAGUCAAAAAGAGUGAGCUAGGUGGUACUUGAUUUGACAAAACGAAGCAAUAACUUCUUUAAAAAAUUGGUAAAAAAUCGUAAUAAAAAGUUAUAAUUUAUAAAUUAUAAUAAAAAGUUUAAAUUUAUAAAAGUUAUAAAGUUUUAAUUCAUAAUUUGUUUUAAAAAAAACUCAAUAUAUUAUCACAUCACUUCUUUAUAUCAAAUCAUGUAAACAUAAUAAAUUAUCACGUUUUUCAAAAAAAAAUUAUAAAACGUAAUAAAUUAUUACGUUUUAUAAAAAAGUUUUGUAAAACGUAAUAAAUUAUUACUACGCUUUACUAAAACUUCUUUGUUGUACACAUCUGCUAUCAAACCGUCAAGAAAAGGUAAAAACAUACUCCCUCAGUUUCAAAAAAAUGACCUACUUUUCUUUUUAGUCCAUUUCAAAAAGAAUGAUCCAUUUUUUUUUUUGGUAAUAUUUUAAUUUCAGCUUUCCACAUGACAUGUUUAUGACCACAAUAUUAAAGAGUAUUUUGGUACAUUUGACACUACUUUAAUUUAAGGCCACAAGAUUCAAAAGUCUUCUUUAUUUUCUUAAACUUUGUGCUGAGUCAAAGUAGGUCAUUCUUUUUUAAACGGAGGGAGUAAUAAAUUAUUACGUUUAGCCUAUUUUGGUAACUUAUUAAAUAGGUAAUCUAUUUUGAUGACUUUAUUCAUAUUUUGGUUUAUUGUGAUUCCAAGUUUGCAAAAGUUACAUCUCAAUAUUUUCUAGAAAAUGACUUUCUUUGGCUAAGAGGGAAGUUAUUUUUUUUCAAAUGGAGGAAAAUGAGUUCCAUUGCAAAAUAUUUUCCCAAACUUAUAUUACAAUCAAACAAGGGAAAAUAGGAAAAUAUUUUCCAGAAAACAUUUUCUAUCAUACCUAACACACCCUAGGGCGAAGAAAAAAACUACUCACUCCAUUUCAUAAUAAGUGAAUUGUUGGAGUAUUUUUUAUGUUUCAAAAUAAGUAAAUGGUUCACAAUUCAAGGUAGAUGUUGAAAAAUUUUUCCAAAUUUACCCUUCAGUAAAUGUGCGUUGGGAGUGAUGAAUCAUGUGUCUUUGCUUUUUGAAGAGGAUAAAAAUAAAAAAAAAACGAUUAAUUUUUGUCUUUACUUUUUAUUCUUAAUAUGUGUGCUAAAAUCCAACGAUUAACUUAUUGUGAAACGGAGGGAGUAUUUCUCAAAAAGUUAAAAAAACAGUAAAGGAAAUCAGGGAUUUAUGGUGCAUUAUAAAAAAAUACGCACCAGACAUUACCGAAUGUGUGUAAGCAUUUUCUUCAUUGAGGUAGGAGAGGAUAUCUGGGUUAGAGCGAGAGUCAUCACGAAGCCAGUAAUAGUUGUCUACUCUAAUAUCCCCGAACAACUCCAUUUCGUGACUCACUUUCUUUGCCACCGGCGGUCCCUUCGACAUCGUGUUUGCCAUAGCUCGCUGGGAGAAAAUUAAAGAAGAAGAAGAAGAAUUUUAGAGUGUUUCCACGGAAUUGAGAGCUUAGUGGUAAUUGCAGUACAACCUAACAUUAAAACAGCACUGGACCAUUCAAAGCAGCGUUGGAGUGGCAAUUUUUGUAGUGUAGAACCGGUCUUCAUCAAAAAUGGAAAAUCAAAAGGUCAGCAAAAAAAAUGUUAUAAAAUUUAUGCAUAGCGCAUUAUCACGGGUAAAAUUUAUAAACAGUAUACUGAAAACUAUAUUUAUGAGAUUCAUAGUAAUACUUUUAUAAUUAUUUAAACACGCAACUUGUAUUUUAUAUUUGAACAAGUUGUUACUAUAAAAAUAUAUAUACAAAUCGUUUUAUUGCUCAUACUUAACUCAAAAUAGUUGAGUUAAAUAUGGUAUUAUUAGUCACGUAAUUUUCGUUAUUUGUUACCGAAUAAAAUAAAAAUUCAAAUUUCAGUUUCAUAUUAUCGUUUUGAUCCAAAAAAAAAUCAAAAUCAAAUUCAACAAAAGUUUCUUUUGUUCAAUAUUUUUGAAAAUUCAAAUUAAACCAUUGCUGUUAUUGAAGGUAUUUAAUUAUAAUAUUAUUUUCUCAUAUAAAUUUCAUCAGUUGUUUGAAAUCGAUCAAAAAUUUUUCAUUCUGAAUUUUUUUUUGAACUAUAACUAUUAUUUCUUUUAAAUUUUUUUGAGCCAUUAUAGAUGUUUCAUUCAAAUAUAGUGAUCAGAAUCGAUUUUUCGUUAAAUUAUUUUUGAAUAUUCUGAGUCAUUAACGAUUUUUUGUUAAAGUGAUCAAAAUCGAUUUUUUGUUACGUUGUACAAUUUAACAAUUUAUUUCAUUAAAUUAUUUUUGAAUAUUUUGUAAAUGAAUUUAAAAAAAAAAAAGAAAGAAAGAAAUGCAACAGUAAAUUGAGCUGAUCGAAUAAUAUAGUGAUCAAAUUGAUUUUUCAAACUGCUCUAACUCAAUUAAUUGGAGUUCUGAUUCUCGAAAUCUAAGAGUAUAUUCGUAUUUUCAUAAAGUUCGAUUUUGUAUAUUUUGGUUGUGUUUGAAUAUGGAUGUUACAAAGCCAUCACUAUGGAAAAAUACAUAUGAAAUUGGAUAUGUAUGUAUAAAAAUACAAAUAUUUUUAUAUACCUUAAAUGUAUAUUGAAUAGAACAAAAAUACAAAUGAAAGUGCAUAUGUAUUUAUAAAAAAAAUACAAAAUACUUCCAUGUAACUUAAAUGUAAAAUUAGUUAGCCAAUUUGUAUAUAUGACAAACCUAUAUAUAUUGUAUUGAAAAAUAUUUGAAAAUGUGUUUGUAUUUCAACAAAUACAAAUACGUUCAUAAUCUCAUCUGCAUAUUUAAACAAAAAGAAUACCCAAAUGUAUAUUUCAACAUUCCAAUAAACUAAAAAUACAUAACAAUUAUAAAAAAAAAAUACAUAUAGGCAAAUACCUCUUCAUAAAUAGUUCAUAGAUAAAUUUAUUUUUCAUACAUACAACUUAGCAUAUGUAUUUAACAUACAAAUACACAGAUACAUAUUACCCCAAAAUGUAUAUUUAAGAUAUCGGCUUGACCAAAAUACAUAUCAGCUUCACCAAAAUACAUAUUACCCCAAAAUGAUAUCAGCUUUACCGAAAUCCCCAAAUACAUAUCAGUAAAUAAAAAUACAUAUACACCAAAAAAUAACUUUUUCUCCUCACCUUCUUCUGAUUUAUUACCACACGAAUUUCAACAUCGUCAUUUACAACAUUGCUUGACUUUGCAAUUUCUUUUACUUUCCUUUUCUUCUCAUAUUUUUGAAAUUUUGUGGUUUUUGGAGGAGAUUUUUUCAACCUUUUUUUCUUCAAAAUAUCAGCCAUCUUCACUAGAUCAUUACAAAACUUGGAUCUAAGUUCUUUCGUACUAACUGAUUUCUUCGAUUGUAUAGGAGUAGAAACAACUUUAAAUACUUCAUCUUAAGUUAAUCCAAGACUGAAUGAUGGUGUAUUAUCAGACAAUAAAUUAAUAGGUGGUAUACCCUUAUUUGUUCGUGAUUUUGGUGUGUAUUCUGCCAUUAGAGCAUAAAAAACUCAAACUCGAAGUUGCUAAUGGUUUACAGUACAAGAUACAAAAUUAAAAAAAAAAAAGAAAAAUUAAUAACAUUCAAUAAUUGAAUUUAUUAAUUACCCAAAAUUGUGGAACACUAUCCUUAUCAAAUCGUAAAAAAAAAUAUGAGAACGUAAAAAUUUUAAAAAAGAAUCCAAGAGAUUUUAAAUAAUAAAAGGUAAAGUAAAAAUUAGUUAAAUGAAAGAAAAAGAGAAGUGGAAUGAAAAGAGAAAGAGAAAGAAAAGUGGAGUGAAAAAGGUUAAAAAAAGAGAAAGAGAAGUGAAGUGAAAAAGGGAAGAGAAAGAGAAGUAGAGUGAAAAAAGGAAUCUUGUACAUGGUAACUUUUCAAAUGCAGUAAAGAGGAGACCACACUUAGAAAUAAUGUUAUAUUUCUCAAAGGUAGUAAAUGGGGGACCACACUUAAAAUAAUGUUAUAUUUUUUGCACAAUGUAAUUUCAUUAAAGUGUUGCGAUUUCUCAUAAUUUAAGUCUUAAGUAUGUUACUUCUUGUAGUUUUUCCUAUAAUUAUUUACUAGAUACUGUAGUCCGUGCCAGCACAGGCCCAUUAUUUAUGUUAUCUCAAUUUAUAUAGCACAAAUAGUUUUUAGAGUGUCAAUUAAAUUUUUAUUAAUAUAAUUUUUUAAAUAAUUUAAGUUGUUAAUCAUUGUGAUUUAAAGUAAUUUUUAGAUAAUUUAGUAAUUUAUGCAACUGGCCAUGUCCCAAUUUUAUAAUUUAAAAAGUCAAUCAAAUUUUUACUAAUAUAUUUUUUAAAAUAUUUUAAGUUGUUAUCCAUUGUGAUUUUAGUAUCUUUUAAUGUAAUUUGAAAUAAUUUAUGUUACUUGCUUUAUUGCAACUUAUGUGACACUAUUAAAAUUUCAAAAAUCGAUCAUAUUUUUUACUGUAUGUUUUUAAAAUAUUAUAAGAUGUUAAUAGUUAUGACUUAUAAUUAUUUUUUUUGCAUAAAUUUUAAAUAUAUAAUAUUUUACCAAAAUAAAAUAAACAAAGUACUAAAUUUUUAAAACAUGUUACAUUCAAAAACAUCAUUUGGAUCAACAAAUUACUAAAUUAAAACACUAAAACAUACAAAUUAUAAAAUGCCAAAAAUGUGUCGGAUUUAUUGUAAUUUAUAAUAUUUUUAAUGUAAUUUUCAAAUAAUAUAUGUCACUUUCCUUAUCAAUUUUUUUGUGGCAAUAAUAGUUAAUUAUAUUCUUAAAAUAAUUUAAAUUUUUAAUUAUUAUGAUUUAUAAUACUUUUUCUUCUAUUUCAAUUUAACUGGCUCUAAAAUAAAUUCGAGAGUAAAUCAAUUUUAUGAUUGAAGCAGCGAAGCAUAUAUGUCUUAAAUCACUUAUAAUACCUAACUAGAAGUGAUAUACAAAAAUUACAAUGAGAAAAAAUUGUGAAAAAAUUUAAAUGAGUCUCAUAUAAAAUGUCAUAUUAAUUUAAAACAUCAAUAAUUAAUUUAUUAUUUUAUAUCAAUUUUAUUUUUAAUUAAAUAUUAUUAAUUUUUAAUACCUAAAUGACUUAUAAUAAUUAAUUAGGAGUGAUAUAGUAAAAUUACGGUUGAAGCAGCUGAAGCAGACAUGCCAUAAAUGUCUAUUUUAUCCCUUUUUAAUUAAAUAUUAUUAAUUUUCUUAUAUGUAAAUGUGUUACAAUAAUUAAUUAGAGGUAAUAUAGUAAAAUUAUGAAGCAAACAUACUUGUGAAAUAUUUUAAAAUAAGUCUCAUAUAAGGUGUCCUAUUAAUUUAAAAUAUCAAAAAUUAAUUUAUCAUUUAUGCCUUUUUUAUUAUUUAUUAAAUUUUAUUAAUUUUUUAAUAUCUAAAUGACUUAUAAUAAUUAAUUAGAGGUGAUAUAAUAAAAUUACGAUUAAUGAAGCUGAAACAGACAUGUCAUAAAUGUCUAUUUUACCUUUUUUAAUUAAAUAUUACUAUGUUUCUUAUAUGUAAAUGACAUAAAAUAAUUAAUUAGGGAUAAUAUAGUAAAAUCACAGAGCAGCUGAAGCAAGUGAAGAAGAAGACAUGUUGACGAAAGGUUGCCUACUUUUUCACACUUAGUAAUAGUAGUAACUAGUUACCACGGUAUGCGCUACGUCGACGCUCGAACUCUAAAUAUUAAAAAAUAUUUUAAUUAAUAAAAUUUAACUUUUUUUAAAUAUUUUUUAUUGUAUAUCUAUAUCUAUAAUCUAUAAUAAUCUAUAAUCUAUAAUAUAUUAGAAGUGUGAAAACCCUUAGAGAAAGUGAUUUAAAAUUUUUGCCUUUUGCUAAAAUUUUCAUCAAUAGACAAAAUUGUUUUUUCACUUAUUUCCUCCAAUUAUUAUAUUAUUAUAUUUAUAAUAUAUAAAAAAAUACUAUAAUAUAUGGUAAGAAAAAAUAUAUAAAAAAUUAAUGUUGGUAGAUUUUUUUUCUCCUUAAUGUACUUAAAAAAGAGUCCUAAAAUAUAGCAGAAAAAAAUGGCAUAAACGCCUGCACACCAAAAGAAAAAUUAAUAUUCUAGAAAAAAAGAAAAAUAACCCACCAAAAUCUAAUAAAAACUUGAAAGUUGGCAAACAAAUAAAAAGGAAAGAAAAAAGUUAGCAUGCGUGAUCAAUUUUUUAGCUUUUGAAUGUCUUUAUCAUUAGGAUUCUUUAAUUAAUUAAUUGGUAAUAAUUAUCUUUCUUUAUUAAGGUUUAGAAUUUUUUCCUCCAAAAUUACCACAUGUAGAGAAAAUCAGGUUUAAAUAUAGAAUUUUUUUAUUAAUGUAUAUAAAUUUUAUUUUAAUUUGAGGUAAUUUUUUAAAAUUUUAGCAUGUUUUUGAAGUUUCUAAUAAAUAAAUUAUCAUGUAUUUUUGAUAAACAAUUGCUAAUUGAAAGUUUUUUUUUUUUAAAUCUCAAUAUAUCUGAUGAUCGAAGGGACAAAUUUAUUUAUGAUUUAAGGUAAGUUUUCUAAUGUUUUAGCAUGUCCUUGAUAUUUACAAUCUAGACAGUAAAUGUGAUUUAAGAGAUAAAUUUGCUUGUAAUUUAAGGUAAUUUUUCUAAAUUUUUAAUAUGUUCUUAAAAUUUACAAAAUGAAUCAUCAUAUUCUUGAUAGACAAUUGCUCAUUGAGAAGCAUUUUUAUUUUUGCAAAAUUUGAUGUAUCUUAUGAUUGAAAAGACAAACUGCUUGUGAUUUGAGGUAAGUUUUUAAAAAUUUUAGUAUGUUCUUAAUGUUUAAAAUCUUUGAAAAGUAAUUUAUUUUUUUGUGCUUUAUUAAAAAUCUUUCCAAUAAAUAAAAUCGUCUAAUUUUAAAUGAUCAAAGGUUACACGUGCUAGGCAUGUGCGAUUUAACUAGUAUAUAUAUAAGCAAAGCUAAAACAAGACAAGAUGUGAAGUGACAACAUAUUAAAAUAGUCACGUGGCAGUUUUUAGGACAAAAUGUGAAAUAUUUUAAGACAAAGUUAAAAAAUUAUAAUAAAAAUUUUGAAUUGAAAGAUUUAAGUAUUUGAAUUUGAAAUACAUUAUCUUAAUAACUAUAACUCAUAAUUGAAGAGUUUUGAUGGACUAUUACUAUUUCAUACUUAUCUUUUUUAUAAUUUAAACAUCUAAUAUUUGAAUUUGAAAUUGUAUUAUCUUUUUAGAAAGAAGAAAAAAGUCAUUAGCUUAAAAAUAGAAAAGUAUGAUUAAAGAGUUCUAAGUAAACUCUUACUAUUUCAAAAUUUUAUUUCUUUUAUAAACAAUAAAAUAUGCUAAGUGGCAACAUAUUAAAAUAGGCACAUGGCAACUUUUAAGACAAAAUUAAAAAAUAUUUUAAGGCAAAGUUAAAAAUAUUGUAAUAAAAAAUUUGAAUUGAAAGAUUAAGUAUUUGAAUUUAAAAUAUAUUAUAUUAAUAAAUAGAAACUCAUAAUUGAAGAGUUCUAAUAGACUAUUACUAUUUCAAACAUAUCUCUUUUAUAACAUAUAUAUAUAUAUAUAUAUAUAUAAUAGAUAUAUAUAUAUAUAUAUAUAUAUAUAUAAUCCUUACUGAAAAAUAAGCUUUCGACAUGGGUUGAGCAUCAUAUUUCAUUAUGCAUAAUUUUAAAAGUUGUGAAUCCAUGUUAACAAGUUUACCAUUUUCAUAUGAAGUAUUUAUGUCUCAAAACCCUUUAAUAAUACUUAGAAAGAACAAUACGACAAGAAGAAAAAUUAAUAUAAAAUUUUUCACAACAAUAUCCUCAACCCUAGUUUCAACCAAUUGUUAAAGAACGCAUAAUUCCCAAGUAAAUCGAUAAAUAAUAAUACUUAAAGUAAGGAGUGUUCAACAUGCCUUUUUGAUGGAAAAUUCAUGAUUAAUGUAAGAGAAUUGGACCCUUAAGCUUGAAACUCUAGCCUCUUUGGCUUUUAAUAGUUUUAGGGAGGGUAAAAUGAGACUUUUGAUGGAUAUUAUCGUAUUUAGGGACUUUGGAAUGCUUUGGAUGGAUGAAAAAUGGUUUAAAACUAUGUGAAAAGACCCAAACAUCCUUAAUUUGGAAUUAAAACGUCUUUCCGUCGAUGAAAGAAGGGGGUGCAAUGCAUGCCUGGAAGCGUGGCCCAUCCCUCGUUGCAUGAGGCCUAUCAUGGGCAAAUAUUCUUGUGGUUCGAGGCUAUCAGUGGGUGAGGCAGUAUCCCCUUGCGGUGGUCAACGAGAUGCGGGGCCAUCGCCCAAGGCUCCCCUUGUGACGCUCAGCCCAUUUUCUAGUCCAAAACUCACACCAAUGCUUCUGAACCCAUUCCAAAGUGUUCUAUACUUGAUCUAGAAGUCACUUAGGCUCGUUUCUAGCUUUAUUUGAGUGCCCAAACAUCUGGGGCAUUGCAUGGGUAUCUAAGUAAAAAGGUCUUACUCUCUAAUGACGAGCUUUAAAGUUGUGCAGUUCUAGACCCAGAGCGGAUAAUAUUACUAGUGGAUUGGGCCAUUACAAAUAGUAUUAGAGCCACUUCUGAGUCAGCCUUGGUGAUGUGGAUCAGAGUUUAAACUGAGUUUAGAAAAAUUCAGUAAGGCGGAAAAAACUUCAAUCUUGAGUCUAGGCAAAUUUCAUUCGGUGGGGCAAACUUCAGCGAGGACAUUGAGUCCAUAAGAGGGGAUGUAUGUAACAUCCCAACUUAGGAUAAGGAGUCCCUCAUCGGCAAAAACACAUGAGAGAUGUUGAAUAUAUAAGUAAACAUGUCUUACUCCCUAGUGGCACAUCUUAAAGCCGCGUGGGUCAAGGUCUAGAUUGGACAAUAUCAUUUUUGAAAAAAAUUAUUUUCAAUAAAUUAACCUCCACGACCCCUUUUCCCAUAUUUUCCAAAUGAAGAAUCAAAAUGUAAAAUAAAGGCCUCAAACUCAAACCAACCAUGAUAUUAAUCCAAAUUCGACAUUUUGAAUUUGCCGAGUAGUCCAAAUUGCCAUCUGGAACUCGAAUCAUUAAAUUUUUAUCGAAGUCAACUAUAUGGCUUUUUGAAACCCCUAAAAUUCUCAAACUCAUCCAAAAUAUUUUUGAUUGCAUCGAACACCAUGUCAAUCAUCCUCAAAUCUUAAAAUCGACAUGUAGCAACUAUGAAAAAGAACAAAAUGGUCAGAAAAACAUAAAAAGCAAAUAUUCACAAAAUAUGUCAUUACAUACAACCAUUAUUAUUUCUUACAACAGUUAUACGAUGUUUACAACAUAAUUCAUGUGGAUAUUGUUAACGUAGAAACAAGCACCUGUCUAUUAAUGCAAAAUUUAACAUGGGAAUAUUUGUUUAUUUAUUUACUUAUUUAUUAUUAUACUAGUAAUACAAGUAACUGAACAAUUCUUAAUUAACUUAUCCAAAUAUAAGCAUUAUUCUAGAGAAAUGUGAUUCUUCAUUUUCUUGUUCCUCCUCUUCCAUUUUGAAACUCUCGAUUCAGAUGAUAGGAUCAAUUAUAAUCGCAGAAAUGACGUCUUUCAAGUUAUUUUUGGAAAAAGUAUAAGCAUCUUCAUCUUUAUAUAAGAACUCUACUGCUCUUGUAAAAUUAACUAUCGACAUGAGCAAAACCUUUGGUAUAAUGCCAGUGUGUUUGAGGUAUUCUUCAUUCAAAACCUUCCAAUAAUUCUCUAUCAUAUUCUUUAUUUUCAUGUAUGCUUCUU
This 273719-nucleotide long non-coding RNA is filed under the name Capsicum annuum. RNAcentral's name for it is "long non-coding RNA (CANN_LNC018131)". Lineage: Eukaryota; Viridiplantae; Streptophyta; Magnoliopsida; Solanales; Solanaceae. The record is from RNAcentral.